CCCCAAAAUCAACCACCUAUCAAGGAAAGCAACAAGUAGGUAAAAGAACUAACAAACUAUUUCAUUCUUCAGUCAAGUAAGCCACACAAACCAAUUUACAUGAUAGAAGUGACCCUACAUGUUUAGAAUAUAGAGCAAGUAGAAAUGAUAACAGAUAUAUAACAAACAUAAACAUAAGAUCCAUGAUGAUUAGCCAAAACGAUCUCCACUCUAGGGAUCACGAUCAUUUCUUUUUCUUUUUUUGUUUUUUGACAAUGGUAACAUUUGUAUUUAAAUCAGUACUUAGGUAGUACUAAAAAACCAUACUUACAACUAUGAGAAACAAGUAUAGUCUUCCCCAAAGCAAAACCAAAAUCUAGAUGGACCCUAGUACAUCUAUGAUUGACUCAGUCUCAUUGGAGUAAAUAGUGGUACACCAAAAGCAAAACAACAAAAUACAUUUAAGCUUGACUUCUUGUAGGUUGUUGUCCCUAUUCUCAAAACAUCUAUCAUUUCUCUCUCUCCAUAUAGUCCACCAUAUACAAGCAUCAUCCUCUAUCUUUCUUGUUUGUAGCCCCAACUCCUGCUUCCUCCCAACUGAAAAGAGUCAUCAAUUUUACUAGGCAUAUACCAGGAAAUGCCUCUGAGAUUUAGGAAAAUCUGCCAGAGCUGGACAGUGAAUUUGCAGUGCAGGAAAAGGUCUUACUGUCUCCAUAUCCUUUCCACAUAAGGAGCACCUGUUGCAUAAAGAGAUACCUCUCUUAGCCACAUUAUCCAAUGUCAAAACAGCUUCAUUGGCUAACAACCAAGUAAAGCAUGCCACUUUAUAUGGCACUUUGACUCUCUAGAUAUGUUUCCAAGGCCAUUUGAGGACUUGAUUGUCACUAACAUUUGUGUCACUAAGACUUGUCUAUUUAUACCCUUCCUUUACCCUUCCUUUACCUUUGUUGUGCCCAUGCCACCAUAAAUAAUACUCACCAGUCUGUGUUUCUUGAAAACUCUCAGUAGUUUGUAAAGUUCGACUAUUCUAUGAAUUUCCCAAUCAUUUAGAUUUCUUCUUAGGACCAAAUUUCAUCCUUGUUGCGACCACAUAUCAGCAAUUGUGUUCUGUUGAUGUUGAGCCAAAACAAAGAUGCCAGGAAAAAAAUCUCUGAGGCUCUCAGCACCCAUCCAUUUGUCAGCCCAAAAAGUAGUUUUUCUACCAUUUAGAACCUUGACAGUUGAUUGAUUAUUGAGGAAAGGCCAGAAGAUUCUGAUUGACUUCCAAAGGCUAACACCAUAUGGAGCAUUUACCUCUUUAGCCAUCCAUUUGUUCAGUUCCUCAUACUUGCUCUUGAUCACCCUACCCCAUAGUGCUUUAUCCUCCUAAUGAUACCUCCAUAGCCACUUCACCUUCAAAGCUUUGCUCUGGUUUUUGAGAUUCUUGAUACCUAAGCCACCUUGUUUCUUUGCUUCUAAUGAUAUUCUUCCACUUGACAAAGUGAAAGCCUUUCCUUUCCUAAUUGCCUUGCCAUAAGAAGUUUCUUCUGAUUUUGUCCAACCUCUGAAUUACUGACUGAGGUAUAUGAAAGAUAGAUAACAUACAUGUAGGAAAAGCAUCUAGAACUAAAUUUAUCUGGUCAGUCUACCUCCCAAAGAUAGAUAUUGGGAUCUCCAUCUAUCUAAUUUCUUUUCACACUUCUCCAGAAUUGGGUUCUUGACUUUGCACCCAAAGGCAUGCCCAAGUAUACUGAUGGCAAAUUUCCCACCACUCCUCCCAAAAUCCGAGAAAGAUAAUCCAUCUCUGGAACCACAUUAAUUGGGUACAAGUGGCUUUUGUUCCAAUUUAUAUGGAGACCAGAUAUGGCUUCAAAGUAAACCAGUAUAAGUCUUAAGAUCAUCAGUUGCUCCUCCUCAACCCCACAAAAAAUUAGUGUAUCAUCUACAUACUGCAGAUGUGUGAUUUCCACACUGUUUCCCGCUACCUUGCUAACUUCAAAUCCCUGGAUUCUUCCUGCUUCCUUGGCUAUAUUCAGCAUGUUAUUUAGCCCUUCCAUAGCUAUGAUGAACAAGAAGGGAAAUAGGGGGUCUCCCUGCCUAAUCCCUCGGUGUGCAUUGAAAAAACCUCCAGGUGAACCAUUGAUAAGCACAAAAAACUUCACAGUUGACAUACAAAAGUUGAUCCACCCGAUCCAUCUCUCACCAAACCCCAUUUGUCUCAGAAUGAAAUCCCAAUUCACGUGGUCAUAUGCUUUCUCGAUAUCAAGUUUGCAUAAUAUACCAAGUUUACUUUGGGACAUUCUAGAAUCAAUUGCUUCAUUAGCUAUAAGCACUGCAUCUAUUAUUUGUCUGCCUCAGAUAAAAGCCAUUUGUUGUUUGUCUACCAACUUAUCCACGACUUUCUUCAGCCUUUCUGUCAGUACCUUGGAGAUAAACUUGUAAAAGCUUCCAAUUAAACUGAUAGGUCUGAAGUCUUUGAGCUCCUUUGCUCCUAUCUUCUUAGGAAUCAAUGCUAUGUCUUGUUUAAUUAUCUCCCAGCAUGUUAGAUAGAACCCAUUGUGUAACCAUCAGGGCCAGAGGUUUUGUCAAUAGCACACAUCUUUAAGCACUCAAAAACUUCUUGCUCUUCAAAUGUUGCCUGCAGUGCCUCGUUCUCAUCCUCAGUGAUGGUAGGAUGGUAGGAUGAUUGCUAAUAUUUUGAGGUCUCCCGUCUUCAGGUUCUAUAUAUAACUUCUUGUAGAAGGAAAUGGCUUCCUCCGUAAUUCUAUUUGGAUCAGUUAUGGUCUCUCCCUGCACUUCCAAUUGAUUAAUGUGAUUAUAUCUUUUGUGGGUAUAAGUAGAUUGAUGGAAAAACUUUGUAUUUCUAUCCCCUUCCUUGAGCCAUAAGGCCCUUGAUCUUUGUCUUCAGGCCACUUCUUCCUUCCUUAAACACCCCUCAUACUCCAUAAACAGUGUUGCUUUCUUGGCGAUUUCCUCCUCUGUCAAGGCUCUAAUAUUCAACUAAGAUUCUAGCAUAGCCAUCUGAUUGAGAAAAUUGUUCUUGUCUACUCCAUUCUUUCAAUUUCCCUUUGCGAGCUUUGAGUUUACAUGCUAAGAUGUAGUCUGGCUUCCCAUAAAAUUCAAAUUCACUCCACCAAUUCUUGAACCUUUCAGCAAAACCUUCUUGAUUCAGCCACCAAUUUACAAACUUAAAGGGAAUUAGAUUGCUCCCAGUGUCCACAAAGCAGAGCUAUUGGGACAUGAUCAGAGGUCACUCUUUGCAAUGUAGUCUGUUUUAGAUUAUUGAAGAGAUUGUUCCAUUCUAUGGAAACCAUUAUCCUGUCUAUUCUUGAUGCAGUUGUAUGAUUAUCCCCUCUAUACCAGGUAUACUUUCCACUGCUCAGUUGUAGAUUAAUUAGGUCCAAGUCCUCGAUGCAAUCUGAAAACUCUCAUUGCUGAAUUUCUCUUGUUCCAACCCUUUCUUUCAGAGGGAAAUCUACAGACGUUGAAGUCACCACAGAUAGCCCAUGACCCAUCAAACAAGCCUCUUCCGUCCAUAGGUGCAUUGGUAGACCCAAAGCCUUAAUCCAGAUGGAUUUGGGUUUGUGAUUGAUAGGCACGCAGCCUGCAGCAUGGUUCUACCAUUCUAAUUUGAGGCUGGUUUUCUUCCACUGCCAUUCUCCCUAUAGAACUUGUUCCGCCAUGUAUCUAUUUGGAAACUCAAAGAGAAAACAGCUGUCCAACAUCUCAUAGACAUUAAUCCCAAACGCCUUCUUCCACAUCAUCGAGGACCAUCAUCUAACUUCUGAAAGGGAGGGUGUUUCAGCUUUUGCGUUACCAAAAGACCCAAAAAUACAUCUUUCCAGUACUCCUUGAUCUUUGAUUUUGGCUGCAACAUUAGUUUCAAUCUCUUUUCCUUGGGUUGUGGCUAUCUCAGAGCUAUUGCUUUGCCAUUUGCUGGUUGUAAAUGUUUUUGCAUAGGUCAUAUUUAAAACAUUUGGCUUGCAUUAUGUCUGUAUCUCCUUCUGUGGUGGAUUUUUAAUGAAACUUUGAAUCUUAAAUGCUACACUUUUCCAACCAGCAUUUCUGUCUAACUCGGGUACAAUAAUAACUGCUCUAUCCUCUCCCUUCAGUGACAAGAUACUCAUAUGUCUCCCAUGGGAAUUGUAUUUCCUCGUACCAAAAAAAUCUGCCAUCUAGUCCUUGUAUCUCCGUCUUCUGACCUGAUUUUUUCGGUCUACUGAUGCUUCUGUGAGGAUGAAGCAGAUCCAUUCCAACACCUUCUCACUGAGUGUAACCCUUCUCAUCAUAUUUCUGCUCCUUUCCACCCAGUCGUACCAUGUAACAUUGUUUGAAGUCCAUCUGGUUAUGUCAUAAGAUUUAAAACCUUGGUUGAAAUAUAUAUUCUAUUAUCUCUCAUAGGUUUAGAAAUCGAAGAUCUUAGUAAAACAGAAAUCAAAAGAUGUAAAGAUUGGGUUGUUUGAAAGAUAAAGGGUCAAUUCCGGCAAGUCUACCAAAAAAGGUCUUGAGUAACGGCCUGAGUCUGUAGGUAAUAGCCGGAAAUUAGUGUUGGUGAAACCGAAUAAUUUGAAAAACUGAAUGAAUGGUCACACGCGCCGGUGCGUGAGGCGCGUGACGGCGGUAGCUGGGAGAUCUGGGUGGUGCAUGAGAGAGCGUGGGGUAGUUUCCGGCGAUAGGUUUUCUGGGGUUUGGUCGCAAUAGGGUGUUGGUGACUAUGGAGGGGGAGGAUUGAGAGAAAGAGGAAGUAAAAGGGGUAUUCCAGUGAUCAGAAGGACCACCGGAGAUGUUUUUGGUUGAAAAGGGGUCUUUUUUUUAAAGUUACAUUGGGACCAAUAAGAAAAAGAAAAAGAAAAAGCACACUGCCCUGACCUCCUAGGGUCACUGCAGUCAAUUGUACAUCUUAGAACAAAUCAAGCCAGUAAUACUUCAACAGAUAUCAACAAACACAAUUAAUUGUAAUAAUCACUUAUAAAGAUCUUGACACUACAAAUAUCAUUUGUUUGCACAUAAUAACUUAAUUUUCGGUUAAUCACAUACAAGACAGUUCUGCUUUUGUCUUGCUUUGAGGCUAUGUCCUAGUUGUGGAUCAAAAUUAGGAAGUCCAAAAUAGUGUUUUUGUAACUGACGGAAUCCUAGCCUGUGGCUGUCUAUUUCUUUUAAUAUAAAACUUGCUUACCUUCUAAAAAAAAAAAAAAAGAGUCCACAAUGAUUCAGUUGGAGAGGUACAUAAAAAUCAAGAUUAGCGGUUAUGUGGCAACAAGUAGCUAAGCUACUAUCAAAUUACUUGGGCCUACAACAUGGGUGAAAGUGCAAAACAGCUCUAGCUAUCAAAGGUUGAAACAGAUGAGAAAAAACUGGAGACAUGGAAGCAAGGAGGAGCCAGCCUUAAAGAUACGGGUUUGGCAGAAUCCAAUAGCUUUGGCUCAAAACCCGUGCUUGAGUUUUAAGUAUAGAAUCUUUUUUGUUCUCAAAAGGUCCCUUUAAUUCCUUCUCAAAAGAAGUCUUGUUGUUUCUUUCCUUCCAAAUUGUUAUUCCCUCAUGCUCUUAGGAUAAAAUAUAACAUAUAUCAUCCUUCAUAAAGGAAUGCCAUUAUUUACCUCGAACACUAUUACUUUGCAUGUUCCGUCAAAGGUUUCACACUUCCAUUUUUAGCCUGUUCGAAAAGAAUGAUGUUACUCUACAUUUAGAAAUAAUUUCACUUUAAACUUCCUUUUUCACCCACAAUGACAUGAUUUUAUAGCCACAUAAAUAUCACGGCAUGUUUAAAACCACAAAUUCUACAAUUCUUGUUCUCUCCACUUAAAUGUCAUGCCCAGACAGAAAGGUUCACAUAUAAUGAAACAUAAGGGUACAAAAAGGCUAUUAAAAUUAGAAUACAUAGAUGGCAAAAAAUGCUUUACCUGAAGGGGCUCUUCAGAUGGAUGAGGAAGAGCCAAGGGCUGGACCAAUAAAGCCAAUUGCAUUGCCGAGGUUGUCAAAAGGUCAACAGUGCACGGUAUCUGUUACACAAACAAAGAGGACCAAAUCAUCUACCAUUAGUGCUUUAAUUAAAAAAAUAUAUAUAUGGUUAAUAAGCUACUCAUUCCAUAGAAUAAGAAAGAGUAUAAUGCAGAAACCAUAGAGGGAAGAAUAACAGAGACAGAAAACAACGCAAAGAAGUUUAUUACCUGAUUAAUAGUACACCUCAUGUACCGUGGGCUGCAAUUUCCAGUGUCCCUAACAAUAUAGUCACUUGUGGCAGGCUUCAAGUGGACAAAAAAGGAUAAAAGGAAAAAAGGAAACAGCAGCAAGAACAAAAAAGUUAGUUUAGUAAGAAGCUUUAGGAGGCAAGCAUAACCAUUUGAAGAAAAGAUGGUUCAGCCGUAUAAGCAACAGUACUAAAUAAAACAAUAAUUUACCGGAGGGGGAUUAGCUUGGUAGCCUUGUCGGGUUUCAUGCAGAACUACAGAAGCAUUUGGAAUAGGGCGCGGGAUUUGAUUUGGAUCAACUUUUGAUGGGCUGGAAUGGCCAAUAGAAGAAGUUAUCGAAGCCACUGCCUGAUUUGGAAGAGGAGGCGCCAUCCCAUACAUACUUGGUGGUUGCAUGGAACCAGGAAUAGCCGAAGAUGGAGCCCCCUGUCAAUAAGUAAAAUCAGGAUAUGACCUUCACAUGAAAGAGGAAAUGGAGUAAAAGCAUGCUGAAACCAAUUUACUUGAUCCAACAUGUGAUCCACAUUGGAAAUGUGCCAUGCACGUAAGGGUCUUUUUGAAUUAAAUAUAAGUUUUAUCAGAGAUCCUUUUACCUCUUCUGAUUAAGAAAGGAUAGACAGGUUGUUGUAGCUUCAAAUGUUAAAGUUAUCCUUUUCGGAUGGUCCAGCCAAACAGAAAAGGUGGUGCAAUAUACUUUGAUACUGUUUAAAUUUUUCAUGCUUGAGGAAACUUGUGCACUUAAGAUUUUUCUUUUACAAGCACUUAUACACUCAAGAUAUAAUAUAACAAUUAUUUAAAUAGCGGCAGAUUUUGCAACAAACUUAUGAAAGGGUUUCUCUAUUUAUAGUUUGAAUUGAUUAGACAAAGUAAAUAAGUGAUACUGAAUAUAUCUUUUUCAUUACUUUCAAGCAUAGAAAAAUACCUAGCCAAAAUAUAACAAUUAAUAAAUAAAAAUAAUUUUUAUUUAUGGAGUAAUCAAAUAUAUUAUUUAAUAACUUCGACUAAUGGAAGAACCCCAAACAACAUAUUCAAAGUUCAAAAGGAAAAAAGAAUUCAUGUAGGUAAUUUCGUUAAUGAGAAUUUGAACUCUGUUUUGUGUUGACGAAAAAGAUAAAUUUUAUAAUGCACAUACUACUAAAUAAAAGUUAUUUAAAAUAGCAGCACAUUUCAAUAUUUUAUCACAAAUCCAUCAAAAUACUUCACGAUUAUCGCUGAAUGAAUAAAAUAUGACAUCAUUGAUUAUUAUGGGAGUAAUAAACUAGAGAUGAAAUGAGUUAAACUAUCAAAGAUAGAAAAAAGAAAAGAAGGUACAUAGAACGUAAGGGCACAGUAGACAUUGCAUGAGGGAAAAUUGCAUAAAGCUGGAGGAAUAUUUGACUUUUUAUACCAAGUUGGAGCGAGAAAAUUAUUUCCACCCCUUUCUAAAUUUUAAGUCAUGACAGCACUUCACAGUGUAGCUUUUUUCUUCACUUUUAGACCCUACUACUUCCACAACAAAUUUUCCGGUAUUACCAAUUGGUCAUUAACAGAGUCUCGAUAUCAUUCUCACAUUACUCAUCAACAGCACCAAACAGUAACCGGUUUCUGAAUAUUAUUGAUCAUUCUAUCCUAAAAGUCAUGAAGCAUCUCUUCAACAUUAGCCCCCUUGAACCAUUGUAAUUCCUUGAUGCCAGAACCCAACAGGCCAACAUUUCUUGUUGGUUAUUAAAUAUAAUAAAUACACGCAUAGAAUUUGAUUAAAAACGCAUCUUGUGUGGCUUGUUGAUCCAAAAGAUGUUGGUGCAAAUUAAAAAUACAAAUCCUAGGACUUCUUUUGUAGUCUAGCACAGGCAAGAACUAAAUAUAUCUCUCAGCUCCAUAGAUUACAAAAUAAAUUACACUUCGCUAAUGGGUUUAGGGAAAGUUCUUAUUUUUCCUUCAAUAACAUUUGCACAUAAUAUCAAAUUUUUCUUUUGGGAAAAUACAUAGAAUUCACCUUGCAAAACAAGUACAGUAAGAUAGGCAUAGUAAGAUAGGCAUAUAAAGAUCACCUGAUGGGGUGGCAGUUGCCACGACUGUGUUCCAUAAGGAGCACCCAUGUGUGGAGCGCCCAUGGGUGGAGGCAUGGCUUUAGAAGGUGCGGGAGGAACCUGGAGGAGGUGGCACAUUCUGAAAUGAUCCUGAAAAUGGUGGUGGUGGUUGUGCUGUAACUGGUGUCGUGCUGACAGAUGACGAACUUCCAAAGGGUGAGCGCAUGCCUGAAGGCUGAGAAGAAGCGCCUGGUGAAACCAUAGCUGGUGGAGGAGCUCCAAAUGGUGGCCUCAUUGCAUUGCUUGGAGGAGGAAAACGUGUUCCACCCUGCAUCAUUCCUGGACCACCUGACGGUGGCCCAUUACUAACCGAGCUAGAAAUGCUUGAUGGUGGCGGCACAGCAGGACCUGUUGUCAACGGCGAAGAAGAAAAAGGACCCGGAGACCCGGGACGAGGACCCAAUCCAGAAGGCAAAGACCCAGGUGGCGGGGGUGCACCACCCAUAGAAGGAGGCAUUACACCAGGAGGAGGUGGCCGAGAUGUAAAGGGAGGAACAGACUGAACCACGGGAGGAGACAAUCCAGUGUGUGGAGGACCACUAGGAGGUGCAGGGCCUCUUGGGAACACACCAGGCGGUGGAGGUCCUGGACGACUAGCAGGUGGUCCACCAGCAAAAGGUGGCUGCUGCCCAAAUGGGGUAUUAGGCCUAGGAGCACCUGGUGGCUGAUUGGGCCUAUUUACUUGUAGAUUUUGCAUACCAUCAGCAAGUGCAUUAGGGUUAUAAUUGGGUGGAGGCGCAUUCCUUGGUCUAGGUCCCCCUGGAGCUGCCAUUGAUUAUUUCCAAAUUUCCCAAAACUCUAGAACAGAUGCGAGAAAAAAAAAAGGUUAAAUAAAUAGAUAAAAUCAACAGAAACAAAAAAUAAGAACAGCAAUCUUCACUAUAUCAAACAUUCAGCAAGCCAAAACAAAACAUAUUGAUUCAAAGGAAAACAAGUCCAUAAAAUCAAUCACAAAAUAAAAAUAACUAGACAAUACAUCUUUUUGGGAAAAAAAAAAUCAUCAGAUAUUAUCCCUCCCCCCCUCCUCCUUCAUCUUGACUAUCGGUUUGUAAUAAAGCUAAACCAUUAGGAAAUAUAGUCCAUAUUGUCAAACCGAUAAACUUCAAAACCGAACCGAACCGACCGAUAUGCAGCCCUACUUUUGCUGUUCUCUUCCCUUUAUGGUGUGUGUCUAGUUCUAAAGCGGGUAGGUAUGUCGAUGCAUGUCAUCCCUGUUUAGCUAGUUAGCAACUUAUUGUGUUCUAGCUCUCUGUACAUCUAUAGGGGCAUCCCACUCAACACCCAGCUUCUUCUACUUAUCUAUGCACAAGCACACACAUACUCCAUUUGUUGAACCUCACAUAGUCUAACCACAUCUGCACAUAAUGCACGGACUUCAAAUGUAUCCAAAGACAGUCAACCAACCAGUCAUUGCUCAUGUCGAAUUUCCUUUAAACAACCACAGUUAACAGGUGUUGAAGCUUCACUGCUGAGCUAAAGCUGCUCUCUACCGUGACAAACACUACGUGAAACGAUAACUUUUGAACUAAAAACUGUUUUAUUCACCAUAUGUACCAUCUACUAUUACCUAAUACGAAAACUAUAUAACCCCAUAUUUAGCUGCUACUCAGCACUCCUACCAUACAUUCAUUAAUCUGUAAUUUCAAGGUUGAGCAUGCGACGAAGAGUCUGUGUCGCAAAGUCAAUACUGUCAAAUACAAUUCCUGGAGAAGGGCUGCGCUCCCUGGUUGGGGUUGCUGGUGCAGAUUUGGCGAAGGGACGUAAAUCAAUAUCAGAUGCUGAAACAGGAAAUUCAAGAGAGGCAGCCCUCUUAGGCCUGAGGGAUAACUUGGGCAUGGGCAGAGAACUAGGAGGAGGAGAAUUCGAAUAAGCUGGCCCUGCCCAUAGUUCAGAGAAUGGAAACUCAUCACUCAAGGAAUUCUCAUUCCUAGAACCAACAUCCCCAUUGAGGUUAAAUGGUAUAGUAAUCGUGUUGCUUCUGCCUGGUUUUCUUGAUUUCUUCUGAUCUUCAGAGUAAAACUUAACAGUAUUAACAGGCAGUGGUGUUAAAGGUGAUCGCUUUUGGGGAGACAAGAAACCCGAGGAGGCUCUUUUGUUGACAGGUUUCUUGACAGACUUCGAUUGGGUUUGAAAUAAACCUGCUCUGGACUCAAAAGCCCUACAAUUUACCUCCCUAAACCCACCAGAAGGAGGUGAACCAUAUGACCCAAAUCGAGCAGGACCAUGUGCCCUGCUUCUCCCAUGGAACUGAUUCCGAUGCUGAGCAACAACAAUCAUUUCCGACAACAACCAAUUCAAUCAAAUUCAACUAUAACUCACUAUCUGAAGAUCUAACAAGAAACAACAGAGGUCAAAGAUUCAUAUUGGGGCUUUGAAAUGCUUUAAAUAGACUGUCAAUCACCAGAUUAUCAGCAAAUCAAAAUCACUAUCACUGUAUCCAAUACAUAAAAUUCAUCCACAAUCACCACUUUCACCCUUCAGUUUCUUCAGAUCUAUAAUCCAGUAACAAAAAAAAAAAAAAAAAAAAAAAAACAUAUAGGAAAACAAAUCAGUAACUCAAAUCCGAAACACCCAAAACGAAAACUGCAAAACACAACUACUACAACUCAAUUUCAGGGCAAUAUUCGUAUGUAAAUCAACUUUAUUCCAAUACAAAAAACUAAGAAUUGUACUUUCUUUCAUAUAAAUAGAAGUUGUAAAUUUCAUUUUCAAGUAAAAUUACCUGAUGUCAGGAAGUAUUAGUGAAGCAGAGUGUCUGGACAGUGUGAUUUAGGAUGAGAUUUUCCUCCCCAACCUAAAAAUACUAAUAGUACUGUACUUAAUAGUAUGGUUGUAAGUUCUCUUUGUAUUAUGGAGCCACCAUAGAUUCAACGACCACUAAAGCUUUUCCGAAACGUGAAUCUCCGGAUCUGAAAUGGACCUAAAGUCGUAUUCUAAAUUAGCUUUGAGGUCCAGCGGCGUUAUUGUACAAUUUGCACCCCGUUUGUGAGUGAAAUUAUGAAAGUGUCACAAGCGGGAUGCAAGGAACAGUGACACUCUGGUUCAUCAAGGACAUAUUUAAACCAUUUACUAAUCUGGCAGGAAUCUGUGGUGACCAAGCACAACAGAUAAAGAGGCAACCACUAGCUUGAACUUUGCCAUUAACAUCGUGAUGUUAUUUAUAACCCCACGGCACAAACAAGAGGACGCCACAGUCCCAUCACACAAACUCAUGGCCAUCAGAAAGGGAUCAUUAAUGGCCAUGAAACAGUUUGAACCUGCCAAAUUGACAAGACUCCAACCAUCAUAGAUCGUUUUCUCAAAAACAUAUAUAAAUUGGGUUCAUUCAUAGUAAUCACAGUUCUCAUCAAAACAGCACAAGAAAUUCACGACCGGUUCUGGGACGACAUCUUCUCAAUGGAGAGGAAAGCAUCAAGAUUUUGCCAAAAAAGCAAAUCAAAGAGUAAAUAAUCAAGGGAAUCUCAGUCAGUACCUUAGUAAGAUGAAAGCAACAGGUCAACAAGAGGGAGAAGCUGUAAGAUCGAUCAGCUACAACAACAAAAACAGGAGCAGAAGAGUAAGAGGCGGUGGAGAACUGGAGAUGAGAUGUGGACUUGGAAACUUCUCAUUUAGAAACCUACUUUUUCUACUUAUCAAUUAUCAUAUAUGUUAUUUAAGGUUGGGCCGGGUAGAGUAAUGGAUUGCUGAAAGUUGAAACAGAUUUUUAUUUUGUUGAAUAAUGGGUUGGGCCAUUAAGUUUUAUUAUUAAUAAAAUAAUAAAUUAAACAGGGAUAGUAUAGUAUUUUUACUGUAUUCUUAUUAGGUUAUCGGUUAAUAGAUCAAAAUCGGAACCGAACCGGUUAAUCAAUAAAAUUCUUUAUAAAAUCAAUAACAAAUCAAUAACCCAAUAACCCGAUACCGAUAACCCAAUGGUAUUUUUAUCGGUUCAGUUUAUCGAUCGGUUCAGUUUUUGCACAGCCCUACUUGUAGGUUAGUCGUUUUUUCCUUUGGCCACCUAAAGUCAAUUUUCUUUUACAUCGUGAAAAUAGUUUCUAACAUAAAUACAAGUAAAGUUAUUUGAUUUUCUUUUAAGUCUCGUAUAUAGCAAAAGAUUUAAUGUAUUAAUAUAAUACUCAGUUGAAUAUGAAUGGAUGAAGUUGUUAAAGUUCCCAAUAGAGUUGGAAUUGAGUGCUCAACAUAAUGACACUUUAGUCCCAAUUGUCCUCGAGAGAAGGCUCGCCAUUAUGUAAAAAUUAGAUAAAUUUGAUCUACAAUUACAAGCGAAAUUAUAGUAUUUAUAUUAAGAAAUUCAUUAAAUAUAAAUUCAUUAAAUGCAAAUUCAAUAACUAAAUUGAGCUAUGGGUUCAGGAAAAGUUUAGAAUUUAUUAAGUUAAAAUAUUAACCUAUCUCUAUUUAACAAUCUGAUAAAUUAAUCGAGUUUUCCAAAUGAUCAAAUACGAGCCAAUUAUUUAUUUGUGAAUUUUGUUGUCUACUCUUUGUUAAAUAAUCAUUUGGCCAAGAACUUUCAUUACAUUAUUAAUUAAAACAUUAUAUGUUCUAUCAUGCACGCGAUCAAAGCUUAUAUUUUUAGAGAGUUAUGUUGUAGAUUAGGCUACUUAAUAACAGUACUAACCUAAUCAGUGUAAUAAGCUAAACUAUUUUAGGUAGGUAAGUAUUUAUCACUAUAAUAAUAAAGACUUUUAGAGGUAAUAAAUAUACACGUUAUUAAGAAAUGUUAAACUAAUUUUUACUGGCAUUAGUUAGUUGUCACCUAAUCCAGUAUCGCUAUAGGACAUUUGCAAAGAAUACUAAGAAUGUAAUUGUCACGAAUAAUCGCUUCUAAAAAAAUAAUUCAGCUGCUAUAAGCUAUUGCCGUGAACUAAUUGCCGCUAAAUAUUUUUUUUCUCUUUUAUAAAAGUACCUAUAUAUACACACAAAACUACUGGAAUUAGUUAUGCAUUUUGUCACGAAUCUAUCACUAAUUUGCUCGUAGCUAUCAAAAAUUACUGGCUAAAUAGGAUUAAGGACGAAUUUUGCUAUUCAACUACAUAAUUUGUCCGCCGCUAAACCCUUUUUUUUUUUUCUUUCUAAGUAGUUACGUAACAUUUUCAGUUCAAUAGUUUAUAAUGAAGCCACAUUUUGCCAAGAAAAUAAAGGAUAAAUAAAUUAAAGAACAACAAUAAUUAAUCACUCAAAAUGAAGCCACAACAAUAAUAUAUAGGUAAAUUACAAUCAGCAUGACACUCCUAAUACAAAGGAACCAAAAGAAUAAUAAUAACAGUUAAUAUUAGUAAUACAAGAUUGACAUAAAAAUAACAUUUUCUCCAAAAACUCAGAAUCCCCUUGUAGUCAAAGCAAAUGAUGAUGUAACAAAUAGGAGGAAUAAUCCAACUAAAGUAGUAGUCAUAGAAACUUUUGUGUUGCUUCCUGCUGCUGCUGAUGAUCCAGGUGUUGAAGGAACUGUUUUAGAACCCGUAGUACCUACACCAAUGAAAGCAUUUGCGCGCGUUUGAGUUAUUUGACUUACUUACACUAGCACAAUAUAAAAUAAUUUUUAUACUAUUAGGUCAACUACAAGUAAUUGUUAUGUAAGUGAUAUAGCAUGUUAAAUUAAAAUUCUUAUAUAUAGGAGAGAUGAUAAUUUUUUGUAUUUGAAUUGUACCUGUUCCUGAUGGAGUUGCUGGGAUUUCAUUAGAGGAAUCGGAUGGGGUAGUUGAACCUGUAGGAGAACUUGCUGGUACUGAAGCAGUUGGUCCAUUUGCAGCUAUUUUUUUUUAUGCACAAAACAAUUAGUUAGUUCAUUAUACAUGUAGAUGUUAUAAGAGUUUAAUUAAUUUAAUCAUAAGUGUAAAGAAUUUUUAUAACUAUUAAAAUCUAGUGGCAGAGCUAUGAAUUGAAGUAUAGAUUUUAAAUUCUAAGAUGGAAACAUCAAGUAUUGGCUUUCGAAUUAAAUUUUUAUACAUAUUUAAUAGAUUCCUGAAUAUAUUAAUGUUAUAAAGUUAUUGUAUUAGGUCAGAUUAAUUAACUGUCUUAUUUUUAGAUUAAUCUCACUGGACAGAUACAUUACUUGUAAUUAUCUUUUACAUGGCCAAAUAAUAUAAAAUUUUCUUCUGCAUUGUGAAUACUCAUUGUUUAAAUAUUACCUAGACCAGUAUUAACAACAUUUCACUAUAACAAUCAAGCUCUAAACCAAUUUUCAUGUUAUGUUAUAUCAUAUAUUUUCUAUAAUAACAAUAUAUCAACCCAAAAAUAUUUGAAGAAAUAACAUCGUUGUAGAGAGGUUCGAUUGUGGAAUGAAAAGUUGUCUUACCAUUGCACCUGCUGAGAGGAGGAGUUUGUAAAUUGCAUGCACUAGGUAAUCCUAGAGCAAGAGUUUGAUUAAUGGCAAUGCCAAGAUUAGAACCACCACCAUUAACCAACAUACAAAGGCAUUGGGGAUUGGAUUGGACAACACCAGCUAGUGAUGUGCAACAAGAUGAAGAUGGUGUUGAUGAAUUUCCACUAACAUAGUUCAAACAUGGUGAUAAUCCUACUAGUGUAGUCAUACAACUUGAUUGACCUAAAGCUCCAUUAAAAAAAAUGGCUACACUUAGUACCAUAACUAGAGCCAUCACAUUGAUUUUGGAUGCCAUUUUUCUUACUUUGAAUCUAAAAGAGAAAAAGAGGAUUGGUUGAUUAUAUUCUUUUUGUUGUUGAGUGAAGAGGAAGAACAGGGUAUUGGGGUUUAUAUUUAGCACAAAAGAACAAGAAAAGAUAGGUAUUUUUGUUGGCCAACUUUUAAACUAAUGAAUGGUUAGCUAAUAUAGCUAAAAAUCAAUAAAGAAUAUAGUUUUUGAGGACUUAUUAUAAUUAUCUAUUACUCCAUUUGAAACCUGUUUACCUAAUUAGGUGAUCUUCCGUUAUUAGUAUAUUUUGUUAAAAAGGUUUUGGUUAUCUUCCAAUAAGGAAAUAUUGUAAGUCGUUGUAUGGAAAAGUUUGUCAACAAAUUAAAUGUUUUUUGUUUCGUGUACGAGCACACUAAAGAUUACUUUCUGCAACACCUACGGAAGCUAAACUCGUUGAAAGUUAUUUCCAUUUUACCCUUGAAAAGAAAGAUUUUAUAGUCAAAACAAAUGUUGGUGGCAUUUGACACGUUUACGAAAUAAAUUUCAGUAGUCCAACAAAUUUUAUGGUAUAUUAAUUUAAAGUCAAAAAUUUCAAAAGUCUAUUUGAACUUAUCAAAUUAUACAAUUGCGGAUGUAGAAUGCCAGUAUCUUUAUCUAAGGCCAGUACUUUUGAUACAGAAAAAUUAUGUGUCAAAUUAUCAAAAUUUGCAACAAACAGUAAACAUGAAUUCAUUUUCUUCUAAUCAAUUUGUCUAAUAAAUCUUGACAUAUAUAUGGUUAAAAUCAUUUUUUGGUAUAUUUACGUCGAACUCCCUUCGGUUAGUUCGUUUGUUCACUUAUGAACCUCUUAUAAAAAUUAUGGCUCCACCACUGUCCGGUAUCAAAAUUAUGUAACAAAUACCCAAUGAAAUAAUUGAAGUACGUAUGUAAUUGACUCGCUAAAGUUCUCCUACGCCUUUUGAAAAUUGACGUUAUAUUAUACUAGUCGUAGGAGCCAUUUGGUAACAUGGAUUGGAGUUAUACCACGUCCAUGUUAUCUGUUUUUUUAAAGUUCUCCUACAUUUUUUACGAAAUUGAUGUUAUAUUUAAUAGUCUUAGGAGCCAUUUAGUUACAUGGACUGGGGAUUAUAACGCAGUACAAAGUUGGGAUGAAUAUUUAGUAUUUGUUUGUGAAUAUUAGAUAAAAUCAUGAUAGAAUUUAUAACAAAAUCAUGGAAUUAUCUAAUCGAUCUCAUAUAAAAUAUGGAAUUAUCUAUUAUCAGUUAAUUUCAGAAUUAUAAUCCGAAAAAAAUAUUGCAUGUUUUGAACAAAGGACAUAUGAUUAUAAGAUUUUUUUUUUCAUCUAAACUAUCUUUUGUUAAAUAAUGUUUCACUAAUUUAAGAAUAGAUCCAGAAGAAACUAAUAAACAACUUCUCAUUUCUCUUAAACGUCACAUAUGUCAAAAGAAAAUCAAUUUGCCAAAUUUCACAGGACAGAAUAUUUUCAUCUGAAGAAUUUAUAAUCAAAUUAUGUUCGUUAUAAAAUUGUUUUAUAAUCUUCUUAAUUAGUUUUAAAUUUUGAAAACUCGUGACAUAAUAAUAUGCUUUAUAUAUAACUUUUAACCAUAUACAUUUUAUUUUAAUAACAUGUUGAUUGCAGAAUGGGUUCAUCUGAUAUUAAUUUUUUUUUUUUAAAAAAAAAAACAUUUGCAGCUCAAUUCCCUAAAUUCAAGGGUUAAUGUGGAGGACCAAAAAGAUGCAAGAGAUGAGCAAAUAGGUCUGAAGAAGAAUAAAUCAGUAUUAUUGUAUUAGUAUAUAUUUCUACUAAAUAUUUCAUCAAUUUAUUUUCCACUGCUGAUUGUAAUUUUCAAAAUUAAUAAAUAAUUCAUUCAUCUCUUAAUUUAAGUUCCACUGCCUUAAUCUAAUUUUUAACUCACUAGUUAUCUGAGUAAAUUAAUAUAUGAAAUCCCGAAACUCCUUUACUUUAUCCAAAGUUGUAAUGUCUCCUAUUGUUUUUAUCUAAAGUCGUAACUAAUGUGGACCUAAUGAGAAUGACCUAAAACUAAUAAAAAGAAAAUGGAGUUUACAUACUAUAUUCAGAAAGUCUCAAUUCAAUUAUUAUCUCCAAUAACUAAUUAAAACUGCAAAAUAUAAAACUUAUAUAUUAGAACAUGAAUUUGGAGUACGUAGUUACUAAUAUUAAGCUGAAAAAGGUAUGAUACAUAAGAGCUAAUUGAACUUCUUCUAUAAUUUGACAUUAUAUAUAAAUAAGUUUUUAUAUUAUUAGAUCACUUAAAUGAUAGUUGCAUAGUUCAUGAAAAGUAAAUUAAUUAAACUCAUAUAGAGUUUCACUUUUCUAUAAUGAUGGUACAUAAAAAAAAUAAAAGGAAAACUACAUGUAACUGUCUGUAUACAUAAUACUUUAUUGGAAGAAGAAAUUUAAAAGAAGAAAAUGACUAGCAAGGAUAAUCACAUGCACAAAAAGGACCAUUAAAGCCAAGUUGUUCAAUGCACUGUCCACCAGCAGAGGAUCCAAAUUUGUUAUUACAGAAAGGUAAGCAUUCUGGUUCAACUUUGCCUUCAUCACACAAUAUUUCUGGACGUAUCUGAUAGCAUUUUUGUGCCAUAGCUGGUGGGAUCAUCGUUCCAACUGCGUGUAAUUAGAAAAAGAGAUACUUAAUAUAAUACACAUUAAUCAUAAUCAAUUUCAUUUAGUUUAUGUUUUUAUAUGCUUUACACAACUUUUCUUAAUGUAAAUGAAAAUUGAAUUAAUUCAUCAAAAAAGUUGAAUUCCUCAGCCAAAAAGACAUAUGUUUUAAUAAUUAAGAAGCAUCAUUUAAAAUAGAAUUUUUUCUUAUUAUUUCCCUAGUGGUGGGAUCAGGAUUUUCGUUAAGGUUCAAAAGUAAAUAGACAAACUAAUCAAAGGGGUUCGACAUAUAUGGUAUAUACAUUAAAAAAAAUAAUUUUAAUUAUAUAUAAAUAGUAAAAACUUUCGCCAAAGAAGAUUCGGAUAAACUCCCUCGAUCAUGAGUUAGCUUUUGAGGUUGAGUUAAAUCCAAAUUCAUUAUUUACAUGAUAUCAGAGUCAGGUCUAUCAAAUUUAUUAUUUUCGAUGUUAGAUCCCCAUUUUAUAUUGUUCACGCUUCAAAUGUCCAAUCCUGAAUGUGCGGGGAUGUUAGAGCCCCAUAUCGGUGGAUUAAAGAAUCUUGAUCUCUUUAUAUAAUCCUGAAUAAUGUUCCCUCAUGAGCUAAUUUUUGAGAUUGAUUUAAGUUCAAGAUCCACUCUUUACAAAAUCACGAUCUAUUCCUUUUUUUAAAUCCUACCAAAAAGAUGAAUUAUUGAUCUAUCCAGCCAAGACAACAAUACUAGAAAGCUACGAGUCUUAUAUUUUGAUCUAGCUUUCCAAAAAAUUGUUUUUCAAGAAAGAGCUAGUUGUAAAAAUUAAAACUGUUUCGGAUACAAAAAGGAUUAAACAGGAACAAAGGGGAUUAAUCCUUCGUAGUUAAAGAUCGAUAAAUAAAAUAUGAGAAAUUAUCUAUGUAUGUAUGUAUAGGCUAUAACAAGUACAAAUCAACAAUGAAAAAACAUGUUACGUACGUACUGUGUAGUAAUAACCUAGAAAAACAGCAGCAACGAGAAGGAUGCAAGUUGGAAUAUUUGCCAUAGGUUUCUUUCUGGAAAAAACAGUUUUUUAACAGAACAAACUAAAUCUGCAAGAGUACUUUGUUUGUGUUGUUUGGUCACACUAAAUAUAUAAUUUGGAUGAGUUCCUUGUACUAUAAUAUUAUAGUUUGUGAAAAAGGGAUAUUUACAUCAAUAAUUGAGCCCAAUCAAAUUAAACCUUACAAUACGUGGAGCAUAUAUAUGAUAGAUUCUUUUGGCUAUGGAGGUUACUUAAUUACCAGGAAAGUGGCCUUUAAUUGUCAACCACAAAUUGUUUUUUACGUCAGAUAUUGCAAAUAAACAACUGUUUGACCACUAAUGACAGUGACUUAAUUUGUUUUGUUUUUUUUGCCAACAUACAUGUUCCAUUGGAUUUAAUGAAAGGACGACUCGAUGCUCUAUAAUGCUUGCUAAGUGUGAGGAUCGGGAACAAUUAUCAUACAUAAUAUUAUUUUACAUUUUUAUAAAAGACUAUUUCCUUAUUUUGUAUCCGUGAUCUUCCAAUCACAUACAAAACAACAUCUUUAUUGAUUAUUCCACACCCCUAACCUUUCAAUCACAUACAUGUCAACCACUUUAUUAUUACCAGGACCCCCUCACAAAUUAAUCAUUUAACAAAUAAACAGCUGUAUUAACACUAAUGACAGCAGUUUGAUUUUUUUGCAACAUUGGCCCCAUUCACAUAACGUGGCAACAGAAAUUUGAGCCUAGUCACAAAUUAUUUCGUCAGCUACAAAUUUUAUGUUUUUUUUUUUAUUAAAGGGAGUUCUUUUAUCAUAGUCGGUCACAACUUUAUAAUAGACUAAUUUUUUUCUUAUCUAGUAUUCUCGUCUAAAAUUAUUUAUCAUAAUUUUUAAAAAUAGUUAGUUUAAGUUAUUUAUUAUUUUAUAUUAUAAAUAUCUUAAUAAAGUAAAUAUUUAAUGUGAAAGAUGAUGUCUUUAGACAUAAAGAAGAUAAAAUAGUUAAAUUUUUCUUCUAAAUAAAUAAUUUUUUAAGAAGCAUGUAAAAGAGAAAUAAGAUAGAUAAUUUGAGAUGAAAUGAUACUAAUAUACUUCACUAUUAUUAAACUUGGAGACAAUUUAGACAAAAAGAUUUUAAGAAUUAAAUAUGUGCUAGAAUUACUUGUUAAACCUUUUUCAGGAGAAUAUUUUGUAAUGUUAUUUUCUCUUGAAAUAUUUGUCAUGGUUUACUAAAUAUAUCUAAUUCACACUCUUAAUGGAAUUCUCCCCCUUCCAAAUCCAUGUGAUAUAUUUUAUCGGGCAUAAAAUUUAAGAAAGAAUUUUUUUUGAAACUUAUGAUUUAAAUGUUUCAUAUACAUUUAUAUGACUAUUUUAUGUAUUAAAAGGAAAAUAAGAAAUUUAAAUUCUAAACUUUUUUUAUAGUUAGAAAAAUCAUAUUCUUAUAGUUAAAGUUAAAAGGAAGUGCAUUUUCUUAAAUUGGACAAAAAAGUAUUAUUAUGUGAUAACUGGUUGUUCAUCUCGUCUGCUUAAAGCUGAGACGAAUCAAAUCAUGCAAAACUUUUUUUUUUUUUUUUGGUAUUUAUUAAUAAAGUUAAUCACCAUUAAUUAAUUAAGAUAGUAAGCAUCAUAUAUAUUUUUCAAAUUUUACACGUUUACGCAACUUGAAAUGUUCUCAUACUCACUAGUAUUUAUGUUGACAAUGAAGCUGGCAUUUACUAAUUACUACAGUUCUAUAUAUGCAAAACAAAAUACAUAAACCAAAUAAUAUUAUUAGUGCUGGUCAUUCAGCAACAAUCAUAUUAAAGUCAAGAAUAAGGAUUUAUUCAAAGAUCACAUAAAGUAAUGCGCGUAAGAAGAUUUGAGUAAUAAGUGUCGGUCUGUUGUCACAAUUUUUUUUUAAUUUACAAAAAUGAGUUUGAGUAUGAAAUUGUGGGAUUUUUAUGUCUUUAUAGUACGUUAUUCUUUUAAGUUAACGUUUAUUUUGUAAUAUUUUUUAGUACAUUGACAUGAUGAUUACACGAUCAAAUUUGCUUAGAUUUCUUUAUGCAUGCAUGUCGUGGGGACUUCGAUUCUCUUCAAUUACUAAUACGUGCACCAUCAUAUAUAAUCCACUAGUACUCUUAGGAUUCAAGCAGCUUUCACAAUAAUGUAUUUUUUUUUCUUUAUUUUAGGAACUCGACAUUUGAAUGUAUGUAUAUCUCUUGAAUUAUCCCCUUAAUUCGGGAACAACCGUCUGUACUACUCAAGCAAUUUUGGGUUAGUUAAAGAGUUCAACGCUCCAUCACAAAAACAUCUUCAUUCAACAUAUAGUUACUCUCUUUAGAGUGAAUAUAGUUAAAGACUUAGAAUAUUUUCUUUAUUUUAACUCUCUCUUUCAAUAAUAUAAUUACUCUCUUUUAUAUAGUGAAUAUAGUUGAAGACUUACAAUAUUUUCCAUGUCUCAACUUUCUCUUUCACUACUACACAUAAUAAUAUUUUUCACAUUUAUUAUCUUUUUCUUAUCCCUCAACAAAGGAAGAAAUAACACUAUUUAUAGGUGGGGAAUUCAUCCUUAUACUACAAGACAUAAUGUGGUAGAUAAUGAACAAAUAAAGUGGUAGAAGUAAUAAGAAUUAUUAAAAUAUAAUGACUUCACUUUCUUCACUUUAUAUUCAUAAAUUAUCAAGCAAAUUAAAGUUUUAAUUUCAAUAUUAAAAUGCAUAAUACCAUCAACAGAAAGUUAUUCUCUUGCAUGCAAUCAGACAUGUCCGUGCAAAAGGGAAUGCGAUUUAUAAAUCGUUUUGAGAAAUGUAAAUUACAAAUCAUGUUUGAACAAUAAUGUGAUAUAUAAAUCAUAUUUGAAGAAUGUAUUUCUUAAUCGUGCUGGAGGAAUAUACUACUCUAUAUUUUUACAUUGCCACUAGCUAUAUUGGAGGAACUGAAAUUAGAUAUUCGAUUGUUAUAAAUGUAGUAUAUAUAGAGAGAAUGUCUACUUUACCAUAUAUAGUGAAUACCUACUUUACCAUAUAUUGUUUACGCCUAUUUAUGGAAAAAUUACAAAUCCUAAGGUUAACUAGUUUUUUCCUAUAAAUAAAGGGGUUUUCCUUCAUUGUAAUUGACUACAUCAAGAGAUCUCUCAAGAGAAAUAAGAAUUACUCUCUCUAUUUUCUCUAUUAUUCCUCUUUGUUCUUUAUUGUUUUAUAACACGUUAUCAGCACGAGGUUCUGCCUUUGAGUUUAUAUUUAUGCCGGUAAGUGGCGACAAAUACUAAUAGACUAACUAAUUAUUUGAUAAUGCCUUUGGCUUAAUUUUAUCCGGUUUACAUUGUGUAAUGUUUUGAUUGAUCGGGAAAUUUUUUUAGAGGAAAUAAGCUUUUGAUUUGCUUUGGCUACUCCCAAAGUAAAUGAAAUCCCCAAAUUGCUUUGUAAAGGAAAGUGAACUUCCAGUUCAGCUUUUCUUUCUCUUUCAUGGACUUCAGCUAACUAAUUUUUUUAUUUACUUAUUUAUUUAUUUGACAAUUUGGUCAUACAUACGACUGCCAUAUUUUUAACACAGUAAGUUAAUUAGUAUUAUAUGACAAAUCUACAAGUCUAUUAUGCUCAGAAGAUAUCAACCACGGGUUUCCAGAUAUGCACAUGUUACUAACGUUUUGUUCUUAGGUUACAUAAUGGUUGUUAUUUUUAUAAUAACUAUAUUAUAAAUCUAAAGGCAAUUUCAAGUUUAAUUAGUAGUUUCUUAUAUUAUUUGUCUUUUGCUACUAAUAAUAUAAUUAUUGUUGGAUUUGAGGAAAAAUAAUUGGUUUGGAACCAUUUAUGUUUUAAAUUUAUUCUUCAAGAACAAUAUUAUCAAAAUGGAUGAUAAUAUGUUGGGUUCAAGUCCCAUUGAUUUAUGCCUAAGACGCCUUUAUAUGGGUAAGACGUUGAGUUUGAAUCUCAAUGUACCAUACUAAUGAUAUUAUGAUGACUAAGGCAAAAUAAUGAGUAUUGGGUGAAAAGUCAUGAAAUUCAACCCAUUGAAUAUGCUAAGUCUGAAAUAUGACAACUUACUUCAUUCUUGAGGUGUAUAUGCAGCAAUGCAUAAUAUGUCUGAAAGAAGACAAGUAAUUAAAUGCACGAAUAUACGCGUGGAGGGACAAUAUGAUAAUGAUCAUAAAAAAUGAUAUAUUUUCACACGCUUAUAUGAUUAUAAGAUAUUCUAGAGAAAAUUUUUCUGCAUCAUAUGUAUGCCUCGAUUUGCUUCUGAAGUAGCAAAAUCUUGAAAGAGGUUAUAAGCUAUCAUAAAUUGAUAGGCUUAAGGCAUGGUUAUAUUCCAUUCCUGGGGAAUGAAAAUUUUGAUUAUUAUAAGCACAGAUCCAUUCUCUGGGGUGAAUGUGAUAAUAUUUAAUGAAGCUUAUUAAUGCAAUCGUGUACUUGAUUGUGAUGGUAUCACAGCUCACCUCCGAAUGAGGCAGAAUAAUCGAGAAGAGUUAUUUUGAAAUCUACUUCUAAAGUAGUAAAUCUGAAAUUUAUUCAUGUAAUAAUAAAUCUGAAAUUUACUAAAGUAAAAGAUACAUGUCAUGGUAAACUUGGAGUUUGCUAGAAUAAAAGUUCAUAAAUUGACUUGAACGAUUUCGACAUCUCAAAGAUGUGCAUAUUGAGUAUUGAGCAUAUAUUGAAGAAUUAGAAAAUUCUUCAUUACUUUUAAUGUUGUUUGUUCUCAUAAUAAGUUGGUUGGACCAACUAAUAUUGGGAUUGGAUCCCUUAAAAUCUAAAAGUAUAAAAGGUGAAUAUGGGCCCGUUCACCCGUCAUGUGAUCUAUUAAGAUGCAUCGAUAUAAGAUGAUCACAUGUACAUUCAUUGUCAACCUGCCAUUUGACAUUCAUAAAGGCGCUUGCUCAAUGAUAUUGAGUUAAGAGUAUAACUUUCAGAUUGUACAAUCAAGCUAAUAAAUCUUGAUGAUGAUGGUUUAGCAUUGAAUGUCUUCAAUAAGUAGCUGAACUAUUGCUAAUGAGAACAAUGCUUCAUGUAUUGGUUUGAAAUAUGAUAUAUUAUAUACAAAAGUACAUGUAUGCAUCAAAUCAAUAAAUUAUGAUUAUUUCUUCCCUCUCAAUUGGUUCAAGAUCGGGAACCAACUAUUCCAUCUAAUAGUUUUGAUGUGCGGUAUACGAUUAAUAAAUAUACCAUGAUGCACAAAGAUAAAUUCCUCAAAGAAGAUGGAGGAUGUAUAUUAGCUUUCCUAACAUAAGGGGGAGAUUAUAAACAGCUAUGAAGUAUGCUAGGAAUUAUCAUCAGAUCCUCAUUCAAAAAAUAAUUCAAGUCAAAUACUGAACACAUCUCAUAUUUAAGCUGCAAGUGCUCCUAUUUUGUCUCUAAAGGACAAAAUCUAUGCAUGCGUGAAGCGUGAUAGACCAAUCGGUUCCAAAUGAAAUAAUCCUUGAAAAGGAUAAGGAGCAACUAAUCAUAAUAAGAAGGCAAUGUGCUCUUGAAGAGCCUACGACAUAACACAUCAUGAAACCUUAUGAGAGGUUCAGGUACCUGAAAAUAAUGAAGUGAUGAGAUCUCAAAAUGUUAUGUCACAUUGUGAAACAAUACAAAAUGAUAUAUCAUUAAUAUCUUUGAUACAAUAUUGACGCAAUAUUGUGAAAAAUUACGAGGAUCUUAAUUCUACGUUAAUUUAAGCAUGCUGACGUAGAAACAUUUAUCAAGUGAUAUGAAAGGAUGCAUCUUGGUAAGUAUAAAACUUAUUUGAUUUGCAGUUCAGACACUUGAAGAUGUCACUCAUGAAAUGUUGAAUAUUGUCACUUGACAAAAUUUAUAUGAAAAACUUUUAAGGAUUCAAAAUGUUUGAAGCAUAUAAAAGUUUCUGGGAAACUUAUUUAUAAUCCUUAUAUUGUAUAAGCUUAUAGCUUGAAAAUCAUUAAACUCUUGGAGAGUUUUCACAAGCAAUGAAUUAUUUGCUGAAAUGCGAAACAUACCGAAUUGGAUUGGUCUUGAAGUACCAUAUCUUAGUCCAAUUGGUGUACUAAUAUUUCUUGCAACUACUACAAGGCCUGAUAUAACCUUUUCACUCAAUUUGUUAGCAAGGUAUAUUUCUGCUCCUACUAGGAGACAUCAGAAUAGGAUAAAAUACAUAAGCUUAUUUUAUUCUAAAAAUUGCAGUCCCGAUAUUAUUGAUCAUGCUGACGUUGGGUACUUAUCUGACCCGCAUAAAGCUCGGUCUCAAACAGGCUAUGUGUUUAUAUUUGGUGGUACUGCUAUAUCUUGAAGAUAUACAAAGCAGUCUAUCGUAGCCGCUUCAUCGAAUCAUGCUGAGAUAGUAGCUAUUCAUGAAGCAAGCCGAGAAUGUGUUUGGUUAAGGUCCAUGAUACAUCUCAUUCGAGAAAAAUAUGAUUUGAAAUGUGACAAUGUACCUACAGUUUUAUACAGAGAUAAUCAUCAUGCAUAGCGCAUCUUAAUGGAGGAUUCAUAAAAGGAGAUAGAACGAAGCACACGAAGCACACUUCAUCAAAGCUUUUCUACAUACACGAGCUACAAAAGAAUGGUGCUAUUAACGUGCAACAGAUUCGUCCAAGUGGCAAUGUGACUGAUUUAUUCACCAAGUCUCUUUCAACUGCAACUUUCAAGAAGAUGAUGCACAAGAUCGGGAUGCAAAGGCUCAAGGAUGUUCUCAUUAGGGGGAGUUAAUACGUGUUGUACUCUUUUUCCCUUUCAAGGUUUUGUCCCACUGGAUUUUUCUUGUAAGGUUUUUAAUGAGGCAACCUAUAUGCGUAUUGUUAGAGAUGUGUACUCUUUUUUCUUCACUAGAUUUUUUUUCCACUUGAUUUUUUCUAGUAAGGUUUUAACGAGGCACAUUAUCUAUCUAGACAUUCAAGGGGGAGUGUUAUAAAUGUACUAUAUAUAGUGAAUGUCUACUUUACCAUAUAUAGUGAAUACCUACUUUACUAUAUAUUGUGUACGUCUAUUUAUGGAAAAGUUACAAACCCCAAGGCUAAUUUUCUCCUAUAAAUAAAUGAAUUUUCCUUCAUUGUAAUUGACUACAUCAAGAGAUAAAUAAGAAUUACUCUCUCUAUUCUUCUUCUUUGUUCUUUAUUGUUUUAUAACAUCGAUAAUUUUAUUGAAUUGAUUUAAAUUUUGUUACAUAAAUUAACGAAUUGAAAAAGGAAAACAAGGAAGGAUCGAAGCUCCAUUCGACUUUCCUUAAAGAAGAUAUGUACUUAUAAAUCGUAUACCAAUUAUGCCACUCCACGUGAAAGCCUCUUAUUGUUAAAUGAGCAAAGGCUAAACCUUUUGGAAAAGACUACUUUUUCUAGGCAAAUAUGUUCAGUUUUAUUAAGCAUAAAUCAAAUUUAAAAUUCAAAUAAGACAAAACUUCUAAAAUUGGAGAGGAGUUUAUUUUUUUAAGCAAAUUAAUAUAAGGGUAUAUCAUUUUUACCGUUUAUUUUUCUAAGAAAACCUUUAAUUUGUUCUUUUUAAAUUUUUAGACUUUCGUCGCUUAACUUUUUACACUAUAACUCAUAUAUUGGAAAAUUUAAAAUAUAUGAUUUUUUAAAAAAUUGUUAAUUUGGUUGCAAUAGAUGACAUUUUUGUUGAUUUAUUAAUGGUGACGAUGACGAAGGGAAAAAAGUGAAGGGGAAGGGAGGCUGGGAGGGGAGGGGUAAAACGAGUCGGGGCAGAACAUGUCACGUGGCAUUCACCUUAAAUUAUCAAAAUGUCAGUGCUACUUGAGAUUGGAUGUCCUCUUUGGACAAUUCUAAUAGGUCAGGAGGGAUAUGUUUGAACUAUUUAAAUAACGAUAAGGAUAUUUUCGUACAAUUAAAAAUAACAACGGAUAAAUUUGACCUAUUUUUAAUAAUUCAGGAAUAUUUAUGAUUUUUUUUCCUUAACAAAAUGUAGUCUGGGUUAAUUAUUUUGAGUUUGAUUGAAUAUUAAAAUCCUAAUUAUCUCACUCAAUUGCUCAGAUUGUGUUGGUCAAGGUAGGAGUGAGCUUUGUCUCAAUGUUGCAACUUUUCACGAUUUAAAGGUGAAUUAUAAAAGUUGAGAUCCAUCAACACUUAUUAUACUUAACCACAUGUUAAUUCCUCCUUAAUUAUCCUAAAAAUUUUUAGUUAAAAAUAAUAAUUUGAUUUUUAACCGAAUGAACAUAUAUGUCACCCGAUCUAUUAAUUUAGGAUAAACAUUCGGUACACAUAAGUUAUUACCACAUGUCAUGGAUUAUGACAUAGUUAAUAAUUCAUUAAAUUUACAUGAUUAUUUCAAAUUAGAGGAAAAAUUCAUUUAAUUUCUUAAGAUCUGUAAUCAAAUGCAAAUUAAAAUCAGUCAACAUUUUUGUGACUUGAAACAAAAUAGCAAAACCAACAGUGCCAUAUAAAUAUUGGCCUGUCUGCAACCUUUGUUCUUCACUUCCAACACAACUUCUACUAAGCUUCCAUUAAGAUCUUAUUUCCAUUUAUAUAUAGAUCCCUUAAAUAUAUAUUUUCUCCCUUCAAAUUAUUUAUUACUAUAAUUAUUUUUAAAACCUUAGAGACUACAAUGUCUAAACGUGCUCGAGUUAACCGCAAUGAUAGCUUUGAUCAGCCCAAUUACCCUAACCAAAAUAUUUCGUCUACAGAUAACCCUAACAAAUUUCUUAAGCCUUCUUCUAGUUUUACCAACAAUACUGCUACUACUGCUACUACUGCUAGUGCUGCUGUCGCCACACCGGCGAGCUUUUCUUCAUUUGGAAUGACUAGUAAUGUUGGUGGUAUUCCGAAUGAGUGCUUCUUCUGCAAGAAGAACUUCAAAAAAGAAAAUCACACCUAUAUUUACAGGUAUAUUAUUUGUAAUUUUUUUUCGACAUAUAUAUCAUUGGAUUGAUCACUUCUCUUGCUUGAAAUUUUCUACUGCAUUAUACAGCGAUGGAUUCAGAAUUUUAAUCAACAUAUGUACCUACAACUCCACUUUGUUCCCUAUGUGGUGCUAAUUGGAGAAUCAACAUUUUAAAUUACUAUCACACUGUCACAUAAAUUAAAACAGACGUAACAUAUAAUUGAAACCGAAGAUAAUGUCUUUCAUGGUUUGGUUGCACACAGGUCCCUUGCAUUCUGCACAGAGGAGUGUCGUGAAGUUCAGAUUUCUUUUGAUCAAAAUAUGAAGAAGACAAGAAUGGAGGCUGCAAACAAAAAGGGGUACAAUUAAUUGAUUACUGGCUCAUGUGAAGAAGGAGUAACAUAUUAUAUAAAUAUAUAUAGGGGUCAUGAGUUUGUGAUAGGAGUAAUAUAUUAUAUAAAUACAUAUAUAUAUAGGGGUCAUGAGUUUGUACUUUGUGUACCGUGGCUUAUAGGUUUUAUAUCAUAUCUAAAAGACUCAUCUAAAAACUAUUAUCUAUAGUUGAAAUUAACGGGUCUAUCCUGUAUUAUUAGUAUUAUGUUGGUUUACAAAAUCAUACUAUAGGUCAUCAAUUGUGCUGUAACAUUUGAACGCCUUUGUAUGAGAAUGAAUCUAUGUCAUUUUACAGUUUGGUGAAAAUUUCUUGUGGCAUACUAUAUUUUAUUUCAUAACUUGUGAGAUAUUAUGAUAUGAAAAUAUAAAUUUAUGUCUCGCGGAAAGUUAUUUUUUAUUUGUUACUUAACGUGUUAAAAGGCAAAAAUGAAUGAUAAUAGAGGUACACCGUGGUGCAAGAAUAUAUAUACGAAUUUCACUAUGCUAAGGGAAAUAAAGGAACUCUUCAAAAGCUCAUUGAUAUAUAAUAAUAACACCAAAUAACCCUCAAAUGGGAAUUAAAUUAUCCUAUAGUUAUUAGCUCAACAAAAGAACCAAGGGGUGCACAACGAUAAUCAUUUGAGACCAAGUAAUCUAGUUGUCGAGACGUACACAAACUGAAAUUAAACAUAAAUUUAGGUUGUGGCUAAAUUGUUAUAGACAACGUAUGAUUGCAAUUCUUGAAACCAAGAUGAAUGACCAUCAAGUACUACUAGGUGAUUAUUAAUAUGGUUCAAGUUCAAUAGUGAUUUUUGGCUUUUGAGUUGUAUUAAUUAAUGCUAGUACUUUUCGCAAUAUACAUAUAUUGAAGUGUUUAAGUUUGGCGCAACGUUGAUGUAUUUUUUUUUUACGCCAUCAUGUGAUUUUUACCUGUUGUAGCUGGUCAUUCAUUUUUAUAUUUUUAAUUGAGAAAUGGAUUACCUGCGGGUAAAAGUUACCUGAUAGUGUAAAAAAAAAAAAAUACACCGAUAAUGCAUCAAACUUAAAUUCUAUAUUGAAUACAGAUGCCAACUUAGUUCUCUUAUAUAUUACAAUAAAUUUAAAAAGGAAAAAGCUAUAUUAAUAUCAUUUGAUUUGAUAAUUCAUUAUAAGUUAAUUUAAUUGUUGAUUGCAGAAAGCUGUAAGUGGCAUUGCAACACAAUAAAGUAUAGUCUAUAUAUAAUUAAUGAGUUUGUGUACUUGGUAGUUCUUCCGUUAUUUGUUCGGGAAGGGGUAGAAGCAAGGCAAAUUAGGAAUUACUUUUAUUAUAGAGUAUAUUAAGGAUGUUCAUUUAGACUGAAAUAACAAUUAAUAUUAUGUCAUAUAUGACAUACAAAAACAUGAAGGAUUUUAAUUACUAAAAUCAAAUAAUUGUACUUUUCGCUACUUGAGCCAUUGAAAGGAUCAAAGAUUAUUAGUUUGACAUAUAGUGCACAUUGUAACCCUUUAUAGAUUAAAAGUUAUGCUCGUUGAAAGUGUUAAAUUGAAUUCGAAUUUUUUUUCCAAGGCUUAACAUAUUAUAUUAUGAUAUAAAAAUAUAAACUUAUGCCUCGCAAAAGAUAUAAAAACUUAUGCCUCGCAAAAGUGUUUCUACGCUUUAUCCCUAAAUCAUUUGAUAAAAAAAGCAAUCCGGUGCACUUAAGCACUCGCUGUGUGCGGGGUUCAUGAAAGGGUUUGACCACAAGAUUCUAUGGUUUACGGGCUUACUGUUGAGACAUAGAUGAUGAUAAAAGGAGUCAUAUAGAAGCUUCCAAAAUCCUAACAGUUUAUAUGAAAAGUUAGUUAGAGGUAUGUAAAGUUAGUUAGAAGUUGGUUAAGGAAAGAGCCUAUUAAAUGUUAAGUAUAGUACUUAAAGAUAGGUCGGUUAAGAAAAAUCUAGCUAACAUAUAUAUAUACACUUGUAAUCUCUAUAAUAAAAGAAUAAGGGUUUUACACAUCAAUAAAGUGAUCUUCCUUCUUGGUUAUCUCUUUUCUUUCUUUGUUUUACAGUACUGCGUUCAUAAAAGUUCAUGAUUUCAGCAGAAACCCUCAUCGUAUCAAAGCCAACGAUUGAAUUCUGAGUAGAUCAAAGUUGUUCUUACAAAUUCGUGGGUCUGUGAUUCUCAAAAUUUGGGGAAAGAAAGCUUCUGCACAAUUGAUUCAAUUCAAGAAAAGUUAAUUCAAAAUGGGAAACAGAGAAGAGAAUGUAGCUGAAGAAAUGUCUCGCGGAUUCAAUAAUGGUGGCCAUGGGAAGGGAUCGACCUUCAACAAUGGUGGAUAUCCUGGAAAUAUAAAUUCCACACCGUCUAUGAAUUCCGAACAAGGUAUCGAUUAUAACCAUCUUCUCUUUUUGAGCCCUGCGGAUAUUAAUGGGGUGAAUCUCAUAUCAUUUCAACUUCUUAGAACUGAAAACUAUGCUUGGUGGAGCAGAUCGAUCCAUCUAGCUUUACUUGGUCAAAAUAAAGUAGGUCUAAUUGAUGGAUCGUGUAGAAAGAAAGAUGUAAGUGUAGAGUUAAGAAGUCAGUGGGAGAGGGUGAAUGCUAUAGUUCUUUCAUGGCUUCUCAAUUCUUUGUCUAAAAGCCUGUUAAGAGGAGUAGCCUUUGCAACUUGUGCUCAGAGCGUGUGGAAUGACUUAAAAGGAAGAUUUGAUCGCCUAGAUAGGUCAAGAAUAUUUAGUUUACACAAAGAAAUUGCAACCUUGCAACAAGGAACUGAUUUUGUAUCUGUGUACUAAACUAAACUAAAGAAUCUAUGGGAUGAAGUUGAGGCUUUAGUUCCAUCCCCAGGAUGUAAUUGUGAAAGUUCAAAAGGGUUUGUUGAUCAUCAAAAUAGGCAAAAAUUAUACCAGUUUCUCAUGGGCCUGAAUGAAUCUUAUCAUCAAGCAAGAAGUCAGAUUCUUUUAAUGAUUCCUAUUCCUGCAGUAAAUCAGGCAUAUGCUAUCAUUGUUAGUGAUGAGUGUCAAAGGUAUGCGGCCACUAAUUCUGGUAGCAUGGGGAUGGAUUCUAUGGGUUCAAGCAAUGAUGAGUCUAUGGUAAUGUAUACUAGAACUGGUGCCAACUUUAAUCAGAUCACUAGAAAUACUGGAUUACAAAUAGGUGCUGGUCAAUCUCAUAACAAGUUCAAAAAAACCUAUAGUGUUAUUUGUGACUUCUGUAGAUGUAGAGGGCAUACUAAAGAUCAAUGCUACAAGCUAGUUGGAUAUCCUACUGACUUUAAGUCAAAAAAGAAGGUGAUAAUGGAGGGAACAAUGCUGCUUAUAAUGUACUUAGUGACAAUGUUGCAAAUGGUGGUUUCAACUAUGGUCUUAACACAAAUGUAGUGACGUAUCUAAGAGGAAAGCAAGUAAAUGAUCACUUCAACCAGGACUCAAAUCAAAUAAGUGAGUACGCAAAAUAACUUCAAGGAUGCACCUUCACUAGAGAACAGUAUGAUCAAAUCCUGCAAAUGCUUAAGCAGACUUAAAGACAUGGAGACAUCAAGCUUGCUGCAGACAAUGCUAAUUCAGUUAAUACAGCAGGUAAAACUCUAUUAGUCUCUGAAAAUAAAGAUGUAUGGAUUAUAGAUACGGGGCAACAAAUCAUAUGGUAUCCAAGAUUAACAUGAUUAGUCAAAAUUCUAUAGUAAAUACACAAAGUCCUAAGACAGUUUAUUUACCCAAUGGUGAAGUAUCAAGGGUCACUCAUAUAGGUUCAUGUGCUAUUUCUCCAAGAAGCAUCAUAACUAAUGUGUUUCAUAUUCCAGAAUUCAAGUACAACCUUAUGUCAGUGAGUAAAGUGACUCAAGAGUUGGGAUGCUCUGUCACAUUUUUUCCUCAUUUCUGUGUUUUUCAAGAGCUUCACACUGAAAAGGUGAGAGAGAUUGGUAAAGAAGAUGCAGGAUUAUAUUUGCUAUUGAAUCAUCUAACUCAGAACCAGUUACAAGAUAAUUCAUCUGUGAUGUAAGCUAAUGCUGCUGGGAGACAAACCUUACAAGAGGAAGAUGUAGUGUUAUGGCACAAGAGAUUAGGACAUAUGUCUUCUCAUAUGUUAAAGCAAUUAUUUUCAGUUAGUACUACAACUAUAGACAAGUCUUUGAAUGAAUGUAAUGUUUGCCCUCAUGCAAAGCAAACAAGAAGUGUCUUUCCAGUAAGUAGCAUCAAAAGCCUUGAGUGUUUUGAUUUGUUUCAUGUAGAUGUAUGGGGACCCUAUAAGACUUCUACAUUCGAUGGAAAUAAAUACUUUCUUACGAUGGUUGAUGACUUUAGUAGAAUGACUUGGUUGUUUUUAUUGAAAAAUAAGUCAGAUAUAUGUGUGUCUUUGCAACAUUUCCUACAGUUUGUUCAUACUCAGUUUGAUAAAUUGAUAAAGCAGUUUAGGUCUGAUAAUAUAUCAGAGUUUGUCAACUCUGUCUGUGAUAAAUUGUUUAAGAAAAGGGGGAUUGUACACCAAAGAACAUGAACAUAUACUCCACAACAAAAUGGAGUUGCAGAAAGAAAACAUAGACACAUAUUGGAAGUGAUUAGAGCAUUAAGAUUUCAGAGCCAUAUUCUAGUAAAGUAUUGGGGUAACUGUGUUCUUGUAGCUGUAUAUUUGAUCAAUAGAAUGCCUAGCAGGGUGCUAAAUGGCAAAUCUCCUUAUGAGAAGAUAUCUGGAAAGAAACCAAUGUUGACACAUCUAAGGGUGCUAGGGUGUUUGUGCUUUGCAAAGAUCUUGACAGAGUCUGAUAAAAUAGCCUCAAGAUCUAAGGUAUCAGUUCAUAUGGGCUACUCAGAAGUACAAAAAAGAUAUAUAUUACUUGACUUGACAUCUUAUUCCUUCUUUAUUAGCAGGGAUGUCAUAUUUAAGGAAUCAAUUUUUCCUUUUUCUACUUUACUUUCUCAACAAUAUAAAUGUCCUUUUGUUGAUAACAUGAUCAGUCCUGAAUUGUUAUAUCAUGUUGAUAAUAGAGGUUCUCCUUUUGAAAUAGUUGGUGAUGCUACUCUUGACCAAGAGUCAGAAAAUAACUUAAGAAUAGUUGAGCAGGAUUCACUUGAUCAAUUAUCUGCGCAAGUUCAAGAAGCUGAUAAUGGUGUUGCAGACCUUGAGCAUGCUCCACCUGAAAAUAUGAAAAGUCAGGAGGCUGUGGUAGUUGCUACAAGAAGAUCCACAAGGGAAGUCCAUCCACCUGUGUGGAUGAAAGACUUUGUUUCCUUAAAUAUCAACAAAGAUGUGCAGUACCCUAUGUCUAACUAUGUGGCAUAUGAUCAUUUGCAAGCAUCCUAUCAAGUCUUCAUUGCUGCAACUUCUGGGCUUACUGAGCAAGUAAAGAUCCAAGAUGGCUAGAGACAAUGCAAACUGAGAUAUAAGCUUUGCAAAGCAACCAUACUUGGGAAAUUACUGACUUACCUGAGGGGAAGACUGCAUAGGGUGUAGAUGGAUUUAUAAAAUCAAGUACAAAUCAACAGGUGAGGUUGAAAGAUUCAAGGCAAGGUUAGUUGCUAAAAGGAUAUAGCCAAAAGGAGGGAAUAAAUUAUAAAGAAACAUUCUCUCCUGUUGUUAAAAUGGUUAUAGUAAGAACCAUCUUGUCAUUAGCUUCUUCUAGACAUUGGCACAUUCAUCAAAUGGAUGUGUACAAUGCCUUUCUACAUGGUGACCUACAUGAUGAGAUAUACAUGGCAUUGCCUUAAGGCUUUACCAGUCAGGGGGAUAAGAAAGUAUGUAGACUGGUAAAGUCACUCUAUGGACUUAAACAAGCCCCAAGGCAAUGGAAUCAUAAGCUAACAGAGGCACUUCAGAAAUUGGGAUUCAAGCAAAGUCAAUAUGAUUAUUCUCUAUUUACAAGAAAGAGAGCUGAAGGAACUACAUUAAUCUUAGUGUAUGUUGAUGAUAUGCUGAUUACAGGAAGUAGUAUGAAGCUUAUUGAAGACACCAAAAGGUCUCUGCAAAAAGCAUUUAAAAUAAAAGAUUUAGGAGAAUUAAAAUACUUUCUUGGGAUAGAAUUUGCAAGAUCCAAAGCUGGCCUUCUUAUGCGUCAAAGGAAAUAUGCACUUGAACUCAUAUCAGAGGUUGGAAUAUCAGGUGCUAAACCAGCUGGAACCUCAAGCUAACCUCUAAGAAUUAUGAUGAUCAAACUGGUCAAAACAUUGAUGAUCAACUAGUCAAUCAAGGAACCUAUCAAAAGCUGGUUAGAAAACUCUUAUAUUUAAACACGAUAAGGCCUGAUAUCUCAUACAGUGAUUAAACAUUGAACCAGUUUCUUCAAUAUCCAAAAAAGUCACAUAUGGAUGCUGCACUAAGGAUUGUCAAAUACAUCAAAAGGAAUCCAGGUCAAGGUAUACUAUUAUCCAGUAGUUCAACUAAUAUGUUCACUACCUAUUGUGAUGCAGAUUGGGCAACUUGUCCUCUUACAAGAAAGUCUAUGACUGGAUAUAUAAUUAAGAUGGGAAAUUCACUAAUAUCUUGGAAAGCCAAAAAGCAGACAACAAUCUCAACAAGCUCAGCUGAAGCUGAGUAUAGAAGUUUAGCAACUACAGUCGCAGAACUAGUAUGGCUACUGGGAAUUUUGAAAGAUCUAGAUGAUGAGAUUGAACUUCCAGUUAACAUAUACAGUGACAGCAAGGCAGCUAUUCAGCUUGCUGCAAAUCCAGUCUAUCACGAAAGGACUAAACACAUCGAAAUUGACUGCCAUUUCAUCCGAGAAAAACUUCAACAAGGGCUGGUCAUUGUCAGCUAUGUGUCUACACAAAAUCAACCUGCUGACAUUCUUACCAAAGGUCUAAGUAGAGUUCAGCAUGAAUUCUUGCUAUCCAAGCUAGGAGUUCUUAAUAUAUUCACCCCUCCUAGCUUGAGGGGGAGUGUUGAGACAUAGAUGAUGAUAAAAGGAGUCAUAUAGAAGCUGAUAGAAGCUUCCAAAAUCCUAACAGUUUAUAUGAAAAGUUAGUUAAAGGUAUGUAAAGUUAGUUAGAAGUUGGUUAAGGAAAGAGCCUAUUAAAUGUUAAGUGUAGUACUUAAAGAUAGGUCGGUUAAGAAAAAUCUAGCUAACAUAUAUAUAUAUAUAUAUAUAUACUUGUAAUCUCUAUAAUAAAAGAAUAAGGGUUUUACACAUCAAUAAAGUGAUCUUCCUUCUUGGUUAUCUCUUUUCUUUCUCUGUUUUACAGUACUGCGUUCAUAAAAGUUCAUGGUUUCAGCAGAAACCCUCACUUACGAUAUAGUUUGCUAGAGACUGUUUUCACGACUUGAACCCGUGACCUCUUAGUCAUAUAGUAAUAACUUACCUAUGGUUAGAUAUAAUAGUACUGUACGUAAUAAGUACAUUUGGUGCAAAAUCUGGUACUGCAAUUACCCACAUUGCAGGAUGGUUAGUAAUUGAUUAAAUUGCUACGAUUCUCUCAAUUUAGGAAAAGAAUUCACAUCAUUUUAUGUCUGUAAUCAGAUAUAUAUUUGAACAUUGACCAAAAUUGAUGUCAGUCAAGAUUUUUUGGACUGAAAACAAAAGAUCAAGACCAUACAUCACCUUAUAUAUAUUGGCCUCUCUACAAUCUUUAUUCUUCAUUUCCAAAAGUACUUCUUCUAAAUUGUAUUUUUGAAAAAAAAAAACUCAAUACUAUAAUGUCCAAACGUUCUCGAGUUAGCCGUUCUGAUAGUUUUGACCAAUCCAAAAACCCUAGCAAAAAUUCUUCUACAGAUAAUUCAAACAAGUUUUUUAAGCCUUCUUCUUCUCAUUUUAAUAAUUAUAAUAAUAAUAAUAAUAAUGUUGUUGUUGCUUCUAAUAAUAAUAAUAAUAAUGUUGUUGUUGCUGCUACUGCAGCGGCGGCUAGCUCUUCUUCUAUUGGAGUGACUAGUUAUAUUAGUGAUUUUCUCAAAGAGUGUUUCUAUUGCAAGUCCAUUCUCAAAAUGGAAAAUGAUAUUUAUAUGUACAAGUAUGUUUUUUUUUUUUUUUCUGAAAAUUCUUUUUAUAAUGUUUUUUUAUUUUGUGAUUUUUUUUUAUAGAUCGAAUUGGAUUGAUCCACACAUCUUUCUUAAAUUUACAUGUUUUAUGUGGUGGUGGAUUCAAAAUUUUAAUCAACAUAUAUACAUACAUAAAGUACAACUCCCAUUUCUCCCCUAUGUGGUAACAAUUGUGAGUUAUAUAAUUUCUAUCACAUAAUUAAAAUGGACGUAACAUAUAACCAAAAUACAUCUCACUUGUCGUUGUUUAUUUGUUUUAAUUUCCUUUUUAGACUUAGUUGAUAGAUUUAAUAUGUUUAUUAAUUUUGAUGCUUUGAUUGAACACAGUUCAAAUCCAUUCUGUACAGAGGAAUGAAAGCCGUGAAAGUCAAAUGGCUUUUGAUGAAGAUUUGAUGAUGAUGGAGCAGCUAGAAAUGGAUUCUGAUGAAGAUUUGAUGAUGGAGAAACUAGAAAUAUCAGGCAAAAAAAAUGAUGAGAAAUGAUUAAUUACUAGCUUAUGAUGAAAGAGUAGUAAUAUUUAUAUAUAUGCAAUAUUAUAUUGGCUAUUAGUUUUUGUAAUAAAAUUUGAGUAUCGUGAUAUGAGAAUCUUGUUUUUUUUUUACAAUUUGGCAAAAUUUUUCUAUUUUAAUUUCUCUUGUUAAUGUCUUUUCUAAAUUUUUACUACUACUACUCCUAUAUAUAUUGUAAGAUCGAUUGUUUAGCUGUGGUAAAGUUCACGUCUUCGUUUUAAGUUCAAGUGCAUGAAAAUCAAGAAAGUAAACUAGUAAUAAUCAUAUGUUAUGACUUAUUACCAAAGGUCUGUUGAUAUGGUAAAGGGGUCAUAUUUUAUGGAUAGUAGUAAAACCCCUCAUAGUAAAUUUUCUACAUUGCAGAUCUAGAUUAUUCUGAAUAGUAAAUUUUAGACAUCGAAUAUUUGAAGGUGAAAAUACCUUUAAAUUUGUUUGGAUUUAUAAUCUGUAUAGAUUCAUUGAACAAGUAAUGAAUAAGAUAUGAUGAUACAUUAUUUAAAAUAAAAAAAAUCGUUUAAUUACUCGUAUUAAUUAUUGGGUAUUGAGAGAAUACAAAUACUAAGCAGUUAGCGAAAAAAUGGUUAUAUGUUAAAUACUUAAAUUGAGUUUGUCCCUAUUUUUUAAGGUAAUAACAAGCGGCAGAGAAAAUUCCAUCUUAAUUUGUAUGUUGUCCAAAUUAUCUUGGUACAGGAGAUAAAGGAAAUUUAAUCCCGAAAAUAAUUUUAGGAUAAGAAUUAAUUAAUCCCGUUAUAAUUUGUUUCCGACCAAACGAUCCUUUAGUGCGUAGUUUAGUAACAUUGCUAAACUAGUCAAACUUUAUUUUAUGGUAUCAAGCAUCUAAGAGCAGCUUUCCCAGUCAGAAUAAGUUGUAGUAAUUACUACUUGCCAUAUUUUGCUAGACUUUUAUAUUUCUGUGUAAUAGUUUAUAUUUAAUAAUAGAAUUACAUAUUAAAUUACCUUAAAAGAUGUAAAAUAAUUCUAAUACUUAACUAUAUUAUCCAUAUCACAAAGCUCUUAUAUAAAGAAAGAGUAUAUACUUUCUUGCAAAUAUAUUCAUGCUGGAUCAUACAUCCUUAAUAUGAAUUAAUGGAUGAGCAGUACAUAUAUAAUAAUAAUUAGGAUUUAACUCAUAUACACUAACAAAUGGUGAUAGAUAUAAUCAACCUAAUUACCUUCACAAAAUUUCGUCAACAGAUAAUUAAUUCAAACAAGUUAACAUAUUGAUCACUUAUGCUGUUUUAAGCUAUUUCUUUAUAUAUGCAUCAGUGGAUUUAGAAUUUUUGUUAACGUAAAACCACUAUAUAUAUAACACCAUCACAUAAAUUAAAACGGACAUGAUGUAUUGCUGAAACCUAAGAUUCAGUCAAACUCGUACACAUCUCAUGACUUGUCAUUAGUUUUUAAAUUUUGUUUUAAUUCACUUUAAUUUCUUCAUACUUGAUACAUAACCUUAAUAUACUUAUUAAAUUUCAUGAUUUGAUUAAACUCAGUUCACAUUCAGAGGCGGAUCCAGGAUUCCUAUGUUUUGGGUGCCAAAUUAUCCACGAAGAUAAACGGGUCGAUUUUUUUAAAUUUUGAGUUAUAUUUCGAACUAUUUAUCUUUUUUUAUUUUUAUAUACAAAUUAAUCAAAUAUGAAUAUUUAGUUAUAUUCUCUUUCAAGAUAUCUGAGAUUCAAGAUACCUAAUUAGCCCAACUUCUUUUUACUAAUAAAAGAAAUUAAUUAACUCUAAAACAGAAAGAAGAAAAAUAAUGUUAAAACAUCGAAAUUUGUAUAAACCAUCUAAUAUCAUUACUUCAACAUAUUCAUAUUUCAUUAUCUUUAUAUGUUGUUACAGAUAUAUAAUUGAGAAGGAGUAAAAAUUAUAGUUUCAAUAUAGUUAUCUUCACUUAGCGUGAACUUUGAUGAAAGAUUAAACAGAUCUUUAAAUUUAAAAAAACUUUAGCAUGAUAAUAAAUCAUUUUUAAAAACUUAAUUUUUUAAAACAAUUUACUAUUUAUAUAUAUUUUUAUUUGUUCGUUGAUAUGGUAUACACUUAAUACUCGUAACAAGAGAUUAAUAGUAAUUAACAAAAGAGAAAGUUAAAAAAUUAAGAAUUAAUUAACGCAAUAAUUUGAAUUAGUAUAGAAUAGAACUAAAAAAGAAAAAGCAAUGAAAAGGCGAAACGGUGAAAGAGUGAAGAAAGAGGGUUGGAGCCCUUCCUAAGCAAGGAAAAACAUAAAAAAAAAAAUACAACAAUGUGCACCAGGAGGGAUUCAAACUCGGAUCAGCUGGAUGGCCGGGAGCUCCUUUUGCCACUUGUGCUAUCUAACUACUUGAUCUUAAGGGUGACAAGUUUAAUCUAUAUUUCAUUUCUUCUAUGUAUAUACAUAUAUAUACAAAGUUUCAGUCGAGGUUACCGGGUGCCAUGGCACCCUCACCCAUACACAUAGAUCCCCCUCUGUUCACAUUCAUUCUGCAAGGAGGAUUGUCGAGCAAUUUAGACACCUUUUGAUGAAGAACUAAUGAAGAGGCAAUUGAAAGUUUCAGACAAAAAAGUGGGAUCGAAUUAUCUAAUUACUAGCUCAUGUUGAACAAUGAGUAAUUAAUUAAGGAAGGAUCGAUUACUUAUCAGGAGAGAUGGAGUUAGAAAUGAGAUUAUUCAAGAGAAGGUGAGAGUGAUUUCAGUGGAGGACAAGAUGCAAGAAGUGAGGUUACGUUGGUUCGGACAUAUGAUAAGGAGGUGCUCAAAUGCUCCAGUACGGAGGUGUGAGAGGCUGACUAUAGAUGGGUUCAGGCGGUGUAGAGGUAGACUGAAGAAAUAUUGGAGGGACGUGAUUAGGCAUGAUAUGGACCAGGUACAACAUAUGGAGGACAUGACCCUUGAUAAAAAGGUGCGGAGGACGCGGAUUAGGGUAGAGGAUUAGUAGGUACGAGUGCGCUCGUAACAAUAGGGAAGAGUGCUUUGCCUGCAUCUAAAGUUUCUUGUUCGUGGUGUUUUGGUGAUGUCUAUGACUUCGAAUAGAUAGUUUAGAGUAUUAUCUUGAGGUUGUCUUGUUUCCUGUAUUAACUGGAAGUCUAUUAUCCCAUUUUGUUGUAUGCUUUUAUAUUUUUUAUUUGUUAUACUAUUAUCUAUCCUGAGCCGAGAGUCUAUCGAAAACACUCUUUGUCACAUCCCUUUUAACUCCGACAAAAGAUUUUAUCAUUCGAAAGAGUUUUUAUUAUUAAAGUGACAAAAGAUGAAAAUUUGUUUCGAAAAAGGAUUAUUUACAAUUUUUAUUUAGAGUCGCCACUUGGCAUAAUCCGGUGUGCCAAGUCAACAUCGGAAAAUCCUUUUCAAAACAUUUUGACUCUUUAAGACUGGUCCGCGAACAGAGAUUUAGGCUAAGGAAUUCUAUUGACCGAGGGAAAGGUAUUAAGCACCCCUCAAUCCCAUGGUUCGACCACGGUCGCUUGGUGGAGCAUAUCGGCUAAUUUGACACUAUGGAUGUACAAACCACAUAAAAUACCCAAACAAUUAAACAAACGAACACAAACCAAAACAAUCCAAAAUUUAGUGUCCAGUCCACUUAUACAGUCCCGAAAACUGAAAAAUGCGAAAAUGUAAACCUACUCUAUUUUAAACUAAUCCUAAACUACUUCUGAACUAAAACUCCACCCGAUGUUCUGGGCCUUGACCGUGCCCCGUCUUCAAGUACAUAAUACUUCGGGGCAUUCCCCGAUGAAUAAAUACGAUUCCUUUGGGGCAUUCCCCAUCAAAUGAAUACAAUUUUAAUUUCAUGAGACAAACUAGAAAAGCAUUCAACACGUUCAAUAUUCCACGCACUCGAUCCAAUAUCAUUCCUAAAUUUUCCUACCCGACCUAAACUUUUGCCUAUCCAUUUAGCGACCUAAAACAGUGAUACUAUCGAUUUCACAAACAUGAAAAUUAUUCAACUAACAAAAUAAAUAUUCCAACUAAAAUUAUGAAUUAGCCAACUUUUCACGUCAUCCCCAUAAUUAAGAUUUACCCUCCAAAUUAAACCCAACUUCUUUGACCAUCCAAUUCACACUAUCAAUCAAUAUCAAUAAUCAACUGCCAUGAUAUAAAUUACAUCAAAAUUAGCGAAGGCAAAAUUCAAACAUCAACACAUUUACCAUAUAAAAUGUCAAACAAUUUAUUAAUGGAGAAGGAGAUGAAGAGUGGAACUUAAUGCCUCUUUUAUUCCAGUAUUACUCAAUUGAACGAGAUGGAAUCCACGCCCAGAAUCCUCAAGUGGAACCUCAGUAAGCGAAUUCUCCAACUCGAAUCCCGAAGUCGACUAAUCAAACCCGAACAACAAAAAUGGAGCCAAAGCCGACCAACUGUGAGCUUACCGUCGCUGCCAGAUCCGGCAACACUUCGGCCAGUCUCUGGCGGAUUAAAACCGUGAUAGUGAUCGAAGGUGUUUUCUAAUCAAUUUUCGGCAUUUUCCGACCAAGAAGUUGAUCGGUGGAAUGGCAACCGUGGUGGGCUGUCUCCUCUCUUGUGAUUUUCACUUGUUUUUUUCCUAUUUUUCCCUCGAUUUCUCUAUUAUCCCUACUCCCGAUCUCAGUUCCGAUUAGUCUCUCUCCAGCUGUGAUCUCUCUCUCUCCAAUUUUUCUUCUCUCGAUCUCGAUCUCGCUCUCUCGAACUCUCUCUCACUAUUUCUCUCUCUCGCUCUCUCGAAUAUCUCACUCUCUCCUCGAUUCGUAUGUGUUUUUCGUGGUGUGAGGAGAGUGGUCAAAAAAUGGAGGAUCAGUGUGUUGUGUGUAAAUCGCUGUCUCCUUCGUUUUUUCUCUGAAGAAGAAGGCUUUUUGUGUGCUCCUUUUUUUCGUUGUCCCCCCUCCCUUUUUCUCAAUGAAAAAAAUCUGUUCCUUUUCUUGUAUUCCCUCCUCUAUAUAUAGAAAUAAUGUCUAUCAUAAAAGUGGGUAGGGCGGUCAAAUGGGUGAGGUGUCCUAAUUAUCUAAUAGGAAAGGGUUGUUAAUUUUGUUACCAAAAGAAUAAUUAGGAUUGGGUUUGUUAGGAAUUUGUUAUUUUUGUAUCUUUGUGCAAAAAUUAUUAUAUAGGGUAGGAUACAUGGUAAGGCAGGGAUAAAAUAGUAAAAAUGCUUUUCGGGAGGGACAAAAUUACGUGUCUACACUCUCUACUUCAUCUGAGGUAGUACUAUAGAUUGCACACACAUUACCCUCCGACCUCUCCAAACCAUACUAUGUGUAGACACGUGAUCUUUGAUCCUCCCUAAAUUUUAACUUGUUUAUUGAUAUUAAAUAUUUUAUAUUUAUAUAUUUAAUCAUAUAUUAUUUUGAUUCUUAUUUUUANNNNNNNNNNNNNNNNNNNNNNNNNNNNNNNNNNNNNNNNNNNNNNNNNNNNNNNNNNNNNNNNNNNNNNNNNNNNNNNNNNNNNNNNNNNNNNNNNNNNNNNNNNNNNNNNNNNNNNNNNNNNNNNNNNNNNNNNNNNNNNNNNNNNNNNNNNNNNNNNNNNNNNNNNNNNNNNNNNNNNNNNNNNNNNNNNNNNNNNNNNNNNNNNNNNNNNNNNNNNNNNNNNNNNNNNNNNNNNNNNNNNNNNNNNNNNNNNNNNNNNNNNNNNNNNNNNNNNNNNNNNNNNNNNNNNNNNNNNNNNNNNNNNNNNNNNNNNNNNNNNNNNNNNNNNNNNNNNNNNNNNNNNNNNCCCCCCAAAAAAAGGGAGGUACUAUCUCUAUAGUACAUUGUAUUAUCAGACUGUAUCGAAAACCAGAGACUGAAAAGGAGAAUACAGAGAACAAAAAAAAGAGUGAAAAAUUAGAGAAAAAGAAAACAUCAAAAAAUAUAGAGAGAAAAAGAAAAAGCAUUGAAUCUGAGUUUCGUUCGAGUUUCGAUUCCGAUGACGAAUUCUUGUUUCAUCACAGGUUCUAUUCAAUCAUGAAUUAUUUAUUUUUUGUAAACUUUAUUAUGAAGAAGCAUGAAUGAAGAAUGUUCAAGCAAAGAUUAUGCAUUAUUUGAUCUGUGUAAUUGAUUGAUUACAUGAACUUUUAUUAUUAUAUGUUAUACUAUCAAAUUAUUGAAUAUUUAUAUAUUUGUACUGUGUUGAAUAUAAAAAUAUUGUAGGUAUGAUACUAGUUUACAAUUAAAACAGAAAGGAAAUAAUAGGAAGAAAAUGAGUACUGUUACGAUUUUACACACUCUGUUAUGAUUCAAUGCAUACAUUAUCAAUUUCACACACACACAUAAAAUUCUCGUACACACCACAUACAUUCAGAUUACGUAUAAUGACACAAUAAUACACAGAUAGUAGUAGGCAUGCACGAAAAACAGUAAUAAACACAUACUGUUGAAAAAAAAAUAGUGGAAGAAUAGAUGGAAAAUAGUGAACGAGUGAAAACAUUAGACAAAAAUUGAAUGAGAAAAAUCGAGAGUAAAUCACUGAAUAAAAAAAUAGUAGUUUCUAAUUCGUCCGGCGAGAAACUUGCUGGAAUCACUAGCCAAAGGCUAUUGCCCCUUUUCUUUCACCGGCCAUCGCCACCAUAUCCAAAAAUCCGCCGCCGCCGCCGCCGCCAUUAAUGGCGAAGCCAUGGACGGCAACUACCAACAACCACCACCGGAGAAAACUCUCCCUCCCACUUUCCCGAUGUUGUCAGUCCACCAACCGGCUAGCGAAGCUUAGCCGUGCUGCCGCCGUCUUCAGAUCUACCCACAUCGGCGUCGCCUUUUCUUCCCUCUCCAUUUUUCUGGCGAACUAACUCGCCGGAUAUCCACUAACGCCGCCGCCUCAUGUUCUGUUCAGAGAAUCCCUCUGCUCGACUCCACCAACCUCCCUUCGUUACUGUAGUUAAAAUUGUAAUGUUAUAAUAAUUUAUAUUUGGUUUAUUAGCAAAGUUGAAAAAUUUAUUAUUAUAUUAUUUGGGUUUAAAUUGACGGGUAAAGGAUAACGUUUCAAUUUUUUGUGCUCCUUUUAUUAAAAGAAAAAAAUGGAAUCUUUAUUUUAUUUGUAAAUAAGUUAUACAGUAAUAUUUAUGUUGGAUAAAACUUUUAUUUGCCAAUAAAAGUUAGAAUUUUGACUAAUCUCUUGAGAUUGAAAAAUGACUUGCUUUUUGAACAAUAUGGAUAAUUUUAUAUAUAUAUAUAUAUAUAUAUUAUUUUUACUUUUUAUUACUAAUAAAAUUUAAUAAUUAUUCGUAAAAACUAAUUGAUUGUCUCGAAUGAAUUUGCAUAAAAGUUUUUUUUUUUGUUAAGUUUAAUCAAUAUUUUAGCGUUAAGCAAAUUUUAGGCACGUUUUAAAAUAUUCAUCUCAAUUAAGAAUGCGGCGUAGACCUCUUUAUGAGACAUUUUAAAAUUCAAGGAUGCAAUAACGCAUUUUGACAAAUAUUUUUCUAAAAUUAAAUUUUAUCGAUUUAUUUAAUAAUAGAUAAAUUUUAGAUAUUAAAAAUGUGCGAAUUUAGGCCUUAACUUAAUAUUCAAAAUAGUUUAAGUCAACAUAAGUAAAAAAAAAGCGACUGUGCUAGAACCACGGGACUCGAGGGGUGCCUCGCACCUUCCUCUCGGUCAACAGAAUUCCUUAUCCGAUCUUCUAUUUUCGCAGACCAAAUAAGAGUCAUUUUCUUUUGAUUAGGGAUUCAAAAGGUGACUUGGAACACUAUAACUCAAUUACAAGUGGCGACUCUUUAAAUAAACUAAUAUCUAUUUAAUAUCAUCACUUUAAUUGAAAAAAUCCUUCGACUUCGAUCCCUCGGACGAAAAAGGGGUGUGACACUAUGUGGGAAUACUAUGUUGUUGUUACUUAUAUUAUAUUUAUACGUAGCAUAAAGCUCUUAUAUAAAGAAAUUAAAGAAUAUAUUAGUAUAUACUUGUUGCAGAUAUAGUCCUACCUCGAUCAUACAUCCUCAAUACGAAUUUACUUUUCGCAAUAUAGGGUUUAAGUCAUGUAAUUUACAAGCUACUUAUCGUUUAUUCAAUGUUAAUCAAUGAUUAUUGAAUAAAAUCGUCAUGUAUAAUUACAUUUUGAAUGAUGUGAUUGUAUAAAUUACAGGAGACCAUCGAUGAUGCAGAUGACAAGCUGGAAGACACAGUAUUGCUGUUGCUCAACCGUGAGACAAGACCCAAUUCAGUAUAUUAAGGGAAAUAAGGGUAACAAUAUUCAAAGAAAGGCUUUGGAAAAAAAAAAAAAAAAAAAGAGCUCAUCCUUAUAUAUCGUCCAAAAUCUAUUAAAAAGCUCACUGGAUAUAAUAACACCACCCAACAAAACUGCAAGGGGUGCACGACGACGACGAUAAUGAUCAGUUGAGACAAUGAAUCUAGCUGUUAGGAGUUGUCGAGGAGCACACAAAGUUGAAUUUAGACGUAAUUUUAGGUCAUUGAUAGAUUGUUAUAGACCAUGCUUGGUUGUAAUUCUCGAAAUCAAUAUGAAUGAUCAUCAAGUAUAAUACUAUUAGAUGAUUUCCCGUUUACUGAUAUGAUUCAAGUUCCCCCUGAAGGAAACUCUGGUGGCAUUGUGAUUUUGUGGGACAUCCAUUUUUUAGAGGUCAAUUAGAUUGCAGUUGCAGGUCAAAAAGUUCAUGAGGUACGUGCAAAUAACGAUUCUUGGCUUUUAAAUUAUAUAUCUAUGCUAGCACUAAGGGCCCAUUUGGUACAAGUGAUAAUUUUAGUUUCCUUAGAAAUUACAGUGAAUUCAAAAGCUGAUUUAGUUACUGAUUGCAGAAAAGUCCAAAAGAAAACUCAUUAUUAUUGGAUAAAUGCAUAUUGAUGCUUAUUAUACUCUGCCUUUAAUGAAUCCCAGAGUUUCAUUCUUAACAUGCUCCAUGAAUUUCUUUAUUUGCCACCUUGUUAUAUAUGUUGUGAAAGGCUCUCUCUUUCAAGUUCUUCGAAGAGUUUCUCAAAAUUCAAAAACAUAUCAUUUCUUCCAUUGUCAUAACUAUUUAGCGCUUGACCGGAGGGUCUUUUGCAUAAACUCUACCCUCCAUAGAUCCCGCUUGUGGAGAUUGAAAAAUUCACUGGGUAUGUCGUUCUAGAAACAGUGAAAUAAAGUGGGAGAUAAAUUUGUUUCCAAACUUAUGAAUGGUGUGAUUUUGUCAAUAUACCAUGCUUCAUUGUUUCCCUAUUGGUGAAAUAAAACUUUAUAACUGUAUUUGUCAGCAUGUAUCGUAGGUUCGACUGAUGGUUAUAUAGUUGAAUAAGAAUACAGAGAGUUGUAGACACAUAAAUUCAAACAUGUACCCUCAGUCACACUGAUAAUAAUCAAGAGUACAAUAAAUACAGAUUGAUCCUUGCAAUGAGCAAGUCAUUCGGUUUCUCCUGCUCCAUGGCAUCUGAUCUUUUCACUGAAAAUCAAUCAGAGAAAUCAUUUACAAACUAAUAGAGACAGCUCCUAAAUCAACAACUGUAUGCCAGGAACAUAUAGACAAUUAGUUCAUGAUACAACAGUAGAUAGUGCAGUUUUUCAAGCAGAUGCACAAACAGUAGUUUUGUUCACCGCGGUGGUGCCCAAGUGCUAUAUGAAAAUAAAUUAGAAGACUAUUAAUGAAGGGCUAAAAACACUGACAUACAACUUAUAAAGACUAUUUGCAGCUGUGACUGAAACAUAAGCACAUUGUUUUAUUACUUAUAACUGCUAUGUUUGGUUGAUCAAUGAGCCUGAUGUGUUCUAUUUAUCUGAAGUAUUUCAUGUUCCGUCAUCGUCUGUGGUACUACUAAUGUUCAGGCUUUCAGAAAAGAAAGAGAAAAGGGCAAAGAGAGGUAUGGAAUAUAUGAAUGAAUCCAGCUGUAUUAAGAAAACAAAAAGGCCAGAUAACCAUGAUAUCCAACACUUCAUCUCCAAGAGGACAUAGUGAAAUUGGUGAAUGAUUACUCUGAGAAAUGAAACUAUAUACGGAAUAGCAGCGAUUUAAAAAAAGGGGUUGCUAGCAAAGUACUGUGCUGUUGGCAUGAAAACAUAGAAAUUUGAUAAUAAUAACAUUCUGGAAAUAUAAAAAGUCAUAUUGGCUGCAAUUGCAAGCAUAGAGACCAAUUACCUCAACGUGGAGUCAACCAACCAUUGUGCGCUUUCUUCCUCUUAGCCUCACUGAAAUAAGUCACAAAAUCAGAAAAUCAAAACAUAAAGAACCCGCCAAAAUUAGACCCAUGUUAUUUAUUCUUUCUGGGAAUAAACAGGUAAUAAAUAGAAGGGGACAUGGAAGAAGAUUCGGCAGCACCUUCGGCUAGCUUGUUCAAAGUUGAUGACCACUGCUUAGAGGACUUCCUAUAUGCAGCAAGUAUCUGGUCCAUCUGUGAUAGCAAUAUACACAGAUCUUCACUACAAGUUAAAGCCCUGUUACUUUGCUACAGACUAAAAGUAACACCACUAUCCGCAUGCAUCUUGAAAAAACUUAAAGAGAUUCACGUGUCGUGUGUGGCCAAAAUAAGGUUCCUGUUUCCAAACUACAAGAAAUAUUUAAUUCUACAAUCCUAAUUAGGGGCAAUAAGUCAUUGAAAGGCUUCUUUUAUAUCAAUAAAGCAAUUAAUAAGACGCUCAAGUGUAUUAGAGAAAAAGCACCAGAGAGGUAGAGAACUAUUCAAUGAUGCCAUCAAAAAUACAGUUUCCGUGAAGCGGUGCAUGUUUCAUGCAAUAAUAUGUUCACAUGACACAAAUGAUAUAAUGCGCAAAGGCAAAAGGAAGAUGAAUCUAAAAGAAGAAAUUAACAUCCUAUCCCCUGAAAGAAAUUAUAAUUUAAAAAUGAGGGAACAGAGGAGCAAAAAACUUCAAAAGGCUUUAAACAUGCCUCUAACCCACAACACAGUAGAUAUGACAGAGCUUACCACAUUUCCACAAGAAGAGUGCAUAGAGAGUAAAGCACGUUCUAGUACAUACAAAUCAACUGCUUUAUCUUCUGGAAGCGUUGAAGUAAAGCUUAGACCAAAGUCAAUCAACACCUGGAGAAAAAGUACCAUUGUUAGAAAAAUAAUGUCAUUGAGGGUGACGUAACAGCUCCAUCCUCCAAAACCAAGAGAAAAGGCAAAUAAGGAAAGAAAUUGACAAAAAGAGUCAGUCAUAAGAAUUAGAGGAACAUUCUAAGAGAGAGAGCAAAAAGUUCACCAGCUGAUUGGAAGCAUUCCUUACUAACAUGUUUGAUGUUGUCAAAUCACCAUGGACUAGGCCACCAUCGUGUAGUUUUCCGAUAGCAUUACCAAUCUGUGUUGCAAUAUCAGCCAUCCGUUCUUUGUCAACACCAACUAGUCCAAAGCCAAGCAAUAUAUCUUUCACAGAAGGACCUUCAAUAUAUUCAAAGGUGAGAGAAUGCAUAACAGGGUCAACAGCAUAAAGCACUGGAGUAAGAACACCAAGCCGUCUAGCUUUUGUCAUGCACCUGGCCUCCUGCGCCACGAUUCAAUUUAUUUAAGCAACACAAGCUUUAAGAAGGAUUUAAAAAAAGAGUAGGUAUCAUUUUACACCGACCGCAUUCAACCGUUUAAGGGUGAGCUUUGAGUCCAAAGUCGGAUGCCUGUAUUUCUUUGAAAACCGUUCCUUGAUGAUACACCUCCUGCUACCCACAAAUGUCGACUCAAAUACCCUCUGAUGUUAUCAACAGCGAAACAAGAUAAAAUGUUACAGAAACUCUAGUGUCAAGUGUCGACAAUUACUUGCCAUCAAAUGAACGUUGGUAGAAACAGUAGUACAUAUUAUUACCGACUUUUAAACUAAACAAAAGACACCCACCCACCCACAAAAUCUUUUCAAAAGAAAAUUAGAGAAAAAAAAUGAGAAAUAUUAAAGGAAAGUUUUAUAGAAACACAAUAGAGAACAAUUAAAUAUGAACUCACAGCCUCAGCUCCUUGCUUGAUUAAAACCAAGGAUCCAUCACUUCCAUCUGUCUUGGUUUCCAUCUAUAUGAGAUCUCCAAUUAACUUCAGGCGCAAGAAACAAAAUAAACAAAAAAGUAAAACUAAAAAGAAAAGGAUAACAAAACUUUAGGAUUUCAUAAAUGAAGUUGUUUAGCUCUUCCACAAUUCAAGUACAACACAAAGCUUGCACGCAAAAGAAUGGUUAAGAAAUUCUUUGGCAUCCAAUGGGGAUAGCUUAGCAGUCUAUGAAGUUUAUUCAGAACUGCGAGGUCUCAGGUUCAAUUGCAAAAUAACAAAACUAAAGUCCUAAUAUAGGAAAAGAGAAAUUAAAAAAUAAGAACCUAACCUCUCUCACUUUUUCCUCAUUUACCCAGCACCUCCAGGUCAAGUAUUCUCUCCCACAACUUUCAAUCGUUGAAGCGAUCAAAAGAUGUUUGGAAGAGCACCGAAGAAGAGUGAUAAUACGAAGUAUUAUGAUAUCUUAGGAGUACAGAACAGGGCUUCACAAGAUGAUCUCAAAAAGGCUUAUCGUAAAGCCGCCAUCAAAAAUCAUCCUGAUAAAGGAGGCGAUCCUGAAAAGUUUAAAGAGAUUGCCGAAGCUUAUGAUGUCUUACGUGACCCUGAAAAGCGUGAAAUAUAUGCUCAGUAUGGGGAGGAUGCUCUUAAGGAAGGAAUGGGUGCUGGAGGUGGUAGACAUGACCCAUUUGAUAUAUUUCAAUCAUUCUUUGGUGGUGGUGGAAGCAGCAGAGGUAGAAGACAAAGAAGAGGAGAGGAUGUUACCCCCCCACUCAAGGUCUCUUUGGAGGAUCUUUAUAAUGGAGCAUCAAAGAAGCUUUCACUAUCUCGCAAUGUGUUGUGCUAGAAGUGCAAGGGUAAAGGGUCUAAGUCAGGUGCUUCAAUGAAGUGUUCUGGCUGUCAGGGGUCUGGAAUGAAGUCUGCUGGAUCAUGGAUGGACCAAGCAGUCUGAAGUGUUCUGGCUGUCAGGGGUCUGGAAUGAAAGUUUCUAUCAGACUACUUGGUCCAUCCAUGAUCCAGCAGAGGCAGCACCCUUGCAAUGAGUGUAAGGGUACUGGUGAGACAAUCAGUGACAAAAAUAGGUGCCCACAGUGUAAUGGUGAGGGGUCGUGCAGGAGAAGAAGGUGUUGGAAGUUCAUGUGGAGAAGGGUAAGCAGAACGGGCAGAAGGUAACAUUCCCAGGCGAGGCAGAUGAAGCGCCAGAAACUAUCACUGGAGACAUGGUUUUUGUCUUGCAACAGAAGGAACAUCCUAAAUUAAAGAGAAAGGAAGAUGGAUCUUUUUGUUGAGCAUACAUUGUCCUUGACUGAGGCCCUAUGUGGUUUCCAGUUCGUUUUGACUCACCUAGACAACAGACAGCUGCUCAUUAAGUCCCCACCUGGCAAAGUUGUCAAGUCAAGCCUGAUCAGUUUAAGGCUAUCAACGAUGAAGGAAUNNNNNNNNNNNNNNNNNNNNNNNNNNNNNNNNNNNNNNNNNNNNNNNNNNNNNNNNNNNNNNNNNNNNNNNNNNNNNNNNNNNNNNNNNNNNNNNNNNNNNNNNNNNNNNNNNNNNNNAAUGCCGAUGUAACAAAGGACUUUUAUGAGAGGUAAACUGUACAUUCACUUCACUGUUGAUUUCCCAGAGUCAUUAACACCAGAGCAGUGCAAGAACCUUGAGGCCGUGCUUCCUCCAAAACCCAAACAGCAAGUGUCUGACAUGGAAUUAGACGAGUACGAGGAGACUGUUUUGCAUGAUGUGAACAUUGAGGAUGAGAUGCGUAGGAAGCACCAAGCUUCCCAAGAGGCAUAUGACGAAGAUGAUGAUAUGCAUGGUGGUGGUGGUGCACAGAGAGUCCAAUGUGCACAGCAGUAAUUUGGUAGUGUUCUGGUAUUUGUGCUAUCUUCUGAUAGGGGGUAGAUUACUUAAGGGUUUGGUUAUUUUUCUUAUGCAAACUGACACUACGAGCAGAAUUUUACUGCUCGACUAUUGUAAGUGUGCUUACAUGUUUAUGCAAUUUGUUUUAUUUUAUUCAAUAAUUCUUCUUACUUCGAAGUCGCAUUUGAAACUAACAUAGAGUCUCAUAUAGUUCUAACGAUUUUGGAAAUUAUAAUUCAUUUCACUAAGGGUGAGUCUUUAUUCACAAUCAACGUUAUUUGUAAGACUUAUUUUUCUUACUUUAAUUAUGGACGUUAUUUUGUUCACGAAAAAAAAAGAACCUAACAACUCUAACGACUAGUUACAAGCCUCGCAUGCUGCAUAAACUUUUGAUUGAGAUGAUCAUCUUCAUCCCAUAUUCAUCAAACUUCAGAUCUUCCAACCAGCAACCAGAGGACUUAAAAGCUAUGCUUUUUCCUUUUUCUUACAUGCUUAGAAGAAAUCAAAUGGACAUCAUCUAAGCCUGCGGAUACUCUUUAUACAAUUUUAAUGGUUCCUUUCAACUCUCAGCUUCCCACCUCCUCUUUCUCAUAAGAAGAAUGUAAGAUUCGUUAAGUUCUGGCUUCGAUUGUUUUUACUAUUUUGAGUCUUAAAGAGUAAAUUACACUUUUAAGCUUAAGACGGGGGAACCAGGACUGUUGUUACAUAAAAUAUCCUUGCAGAGAAUUCUAUUCUAUCGAAACCACUCAAACUACCUGAAAUCAAACAACGUGUUGCCUCAUAAGCUACUAAUAAACUCAUAAACAACCUCCUAAAUAGGUUUUAACUUAUAGCUAACAUUGGCUGAUUUGUUCCCAAUAUAUCCAAGCCUUAGUGGAUAAAGUUACCCGGUACCUGUACUAGUGAGGGUAGACGAUACCAGUGGAAUUAAUCGAGGUCCGCCACAAGCUAUCCCAGACACCAUAAUAAUUAAACAAAGGAGAUUCUUCGAUUUACACAAAUGUCUUUCUGUGAUUUUCUAUUUUGUAAGUCUUAUCUCCUUCACACUACAUAUGCUUCAAUAAAUGGUAGUACUAUACCUCUUCUAAUUAAUUUAUCAAGAAAACACACUAAGGUACCAUUAUAGCUUAAAAUAGAGGGAAAAUAUUUUUAUUCUUGAAGUGUUCUUUAUUGUAGCUAAAAAAAAAGCUUCAAUUUUUACAAGUAAACAACCCAAUUAGUAGCAUUUCUAGGUAUAAAAGAAGCAUUAGCCGCAGAAUUUGGAGAUAAAAACAUGAAAAAGAAUAAGAAAUAAAGAAAAGCAAAAUUAAGAAGGAAAUUUUGUUCUUGUUUUGUACUUUGAAUCCUCAAAUAAUGACCACCCAUCAAAGAAUUAUGAAAACUAAAAGCAAUUUGUGAGUAUUAAGGAAGAAAGAUACCUUUUUCCCCGUCGACAAUUAACAGCGCCGCCAGCCACAGCAAACCGUACCACUUCCGACAGUAUGAGUGAAGAAGAAGAAGAGAUAUGUUUUGCUUAAUAUGGGCCGGGUCAAUAGAAGUAGGUGGGCUUCCUUUUGGGACAACCCAAUUAGUGACGAAUGUUAAUAGCUCGGUUGAUUCAAUUUGCAACAUUAUAAUCGUCCGGAGAACAUUAGAAUAACUGAUAAAGUCAUGAAAAUUUUUGCAUAUAUACCGACAUGUUUAAUGUUAAUUACUAAAAAUCUCAACAUUUUUCAAAAUCUUCUAAAACUCCAAUAUUUGACCUCUGAUGAUUUAAUCGCAUUGGAUAUAUAUUGCUAUACAUAUAUCUAAUGUGAUUAACUUGUAUCACAGUAGAUACAAACAUUAGAUACAUGUAGGAUUAACUUUUAUUUCAGAAAUAGUAAAAAAUAUGAAAUGUUAGGAUUUAAGUGGUUUUUAAGAAGUGGAGGAAUUUUAGAAAUUUAGAUAGUUAUAAUGUUUAUUUAGGUAAUUUUUUGUAAAGUUAUUGCAAUAGGAACCGGAGGUCAUGGGUUUGUAAAAAUCCAAGAUAGAACUGCAUAAAAUAAAAUAAAAAAUUACAUCAUACCACAACUUAAUUUAUCAUAAAUAGUUAAAAUUUUCUUCCUUUUAAAUAGUUACAUAAAUCACUGAUUUAUUUAAAAAUAUGGAUACAUCAUAAAUGAAUGUGAGGUGUCAUGUAAAAUUAAAUUAUAUAUAUAUAAAAUAUGAUGUAUUCGUAUAAAAUUAAAUAAUGCACUCGAAAAUGUAUGUAUCUAUGUACACUAAAUAAGGGAUAUUUAGUAAGUUUAAAAAAAAAUUGAAAUGCAUUUACACAGUUUUUACUACAAUAAACUAUUGUGAUUCGAAUAUUUCUUAUACUUUGCUUAAUGCGAGCUUAUAUUUUAGAGUCCAUUUGAUCAUAAUUUUUUUUUUUUUCACUUUUUUCAAAAAUUAAGAAAAACUCAUUUAUAUUUAUGGUCGAAGAGAACUCUAAUUUCAAAAAUAAAUCAGUUUUGUAGCAAAACGCCUACUUAUUUUCUAAGACCAAACAAAAAACAGUAAGCAUCGACAAGUACGAAGAGGUUUGCAUUACUUUAUGACAAGCUUUUUCUGUGUAAGAAGUACUGUUCACAAAAUCGGUGGAUGGCUCCAAUAAGGAAAUCAAAGAAGAUGAAGAAAGAUUCAAGCAAGUUGAAGAAAAUCAAAGACAUAAACAACAAACACAAAUCCAUCAACAUUCACAACAAAGCCACUGAAUGCGAUUGGUGGGAAUGUUUCUGGAGCAAGAAUUCACCAACCCCAGGUAGGUCCCCCUUUACUUCUUGGUCCCCUUUUACUUCUUUCUCCCCAAAUCUCCAUUCUUUUACUGCAUUUUUUUAGCUUUUUUAUUUUUUUUGCUAAUUGAAUUGUGUUUUUAGCAUUUGAGUUCCAGCACUGUUCAAGAAUUAACUAUAGUUAUGUAAGACUUUAGUUAGAAGUCAAUUGGGAUGUUGGUAAAUGUCAAGAUUGGAGCUUUAAGCCUAAUUGUCAAGAUUGGAGCUAUGAUUUUUAACUGGAAUCAAUUUUUUUUUUUUAUUUUUUUUUUAAAAACACAUGAAGAAUUCAAGGGGGUUCAACAUCCGUUUCAAUUGGUUUGUAUGAUUUUGACUUGACACGGAGGUUAAGAAAGUAAAGAAAGAAUUUUUAAUUGUGUGGUUUUAAAUAUGUAUUGUGGAAAGUUGAAAUUAACGAGUUGCCAAAAAAAGGAAAGAGACAUUCCUUUGGAAAGGAAAGUAAAACAAACAAAUUGAAAUGGAGUGAAUAUAGAAGAAUUAUCUUUACCUAUCUAAACAGCGUAAUUUUCCAGUGAAUUGACAUCCCUUUGGACAAGGUGGCUCUGCCACUCUUUGUAGGCGGAAGGGUUGUGUGAAAAUAGUUUGAUAAUUCAUAUUGUCGACUCCAACUUGUUUGGAUGUAAGACAUUAUUGAUUGCUUUUUCUUUAUGUAUGCAUACUUGAAGUCACCUCGUUAAACUAGAAAGAAAAGAAGUCACUUAGUUAAGAUUUUUGUUGGAAAUGAACUCUCCUGCUUGGAGUUUAAAAGUCUAAUUUAUUCUAAAACCUAAAGUAGUGAAGUCCAAGGCAAUGCAAAUGUAGUCAAGGCCAGAACUUUUACAUUUAAAACAUUUUGUGGCGGGAUCUGUUAUCGUUAGUAUAUUAGGUAUUCAUUAUUAGGUUUAUAAUGCGGUUGUUGUCCAUGUGUCCUUCUUAGCAAAAUGAAGGUUUUCCCGCUUGAUUGAUCCCUAACUUUCCCCCAAAUAAGCUAGUUUGAGUGGGUUCAAUAGACUGGAAUUGUCUGCAAGGAUAUUUUAUGUAACAACAAUCCUUGGUUCCCGUCUUAUUCCUUUUUUUUUUUGCAUCUUUUUUCUAUAAGAUCUUUUGAAAUUCGUUUUUUCUUUUCUUAUUUUGGUCUGUACAAUGAAGGGAUUAGCUAACGCCUAUACCUAUUAUAUCCUGCAGGUUCUGGUGUACCUUGUGAUGAAGAGGAAGGUUUCAAGUAUUAUUUCCGUGUUUCCAAGAGUACUUUUGAUUACAUAUGUUCGCUUGUAAGGGAGGACCUUAUCUCAAGACCUCCUUCAGGUCUGAUAAACAUCGAGGGAAGGCUUCUUAGUGUUGAGAAGCAAGUUGCGAUUGCAAUGAGAAGAUUGGCUUCUGGUGAAUCCCAAGUUUCAGUUGGGGCAUCAUUUGGAGUCGGGCAGUCCACUGUGUCUCAGGUUACCUGGAGAUUCAUCGAAGCAUUGGAAGAACGUGCAAAGCAUCAUCUUAAGUGGCCAGAACCUAGUAAGAUGGAGAUGAUCAAGUCUGAGUUUGAACGAUCAUUUGGUUUGCCUAACUGUUGUGGAGCAAUUGAUGCAACCCACAUCGUAAUGACCCUUCCUGCUGUUGAAACCUCAGAUGAUUGGUGUGAUCAGGAAAACAAUUACAGCAUGCUUUUGCAAGGUAUCGUGGACAGUGAGAUGCGUUUUUUAGACAUUGUGACAGGAUGGCCUGGGGGCAUGACCACUUCAAGGCUGUUCAAGUGCUCUGGAUUUUACAAACUCUGUGAAAAUGGUGAUCGUUUAAACGGAAAUGUAAAAGUGGCUUUUGAAGGAGCAGAAGUUAGAGAGUACAUUCUAGGAGGAUUUAGUUACCCUCUUCUUCCAUGGCUCAUUACACCUUAUGAAGGUGAUGACCUCUCGGAUCCCAUGCAAGAUUUUAAUGCGGUGCACGCCACUGCAAGUUCAGUUGCAGUAAAAGCUUUCACACAAUUGAAGGGAGGUUGGAGAAUCCUUAAUAAGGUUAUGUGGAGACCUGAUAAACAGAAACUCCCUAGUAUCAUCCUCGUGUGUUGUUUACUUCAUAAUAUUAUCAUUGAUUGUGGAGACAAAUUACACCCUGAUGUUGCCCUAGCUGGCCAUCAUGACCCGGGAUAUAAGGGACAGAGCAGCAAGAAGAUCGAAUCAACGGGAAGAUUAAUGAGGGAAAAUUUAACUAAACACAUACAGGUUACCAAAAAAGAUGGUUCGAUGUAGAUGAUUGUCUAACAGUGCAUGUGAAAAAUAGAUGGCCUUUUCAAAGACUUCUGUUUCAGAGUUCAGACCAUGUUGUCGAUGUAAAUGGAGUUCAGGUACAAGAUCUUUCUGAAUGUAGAAAAGGUGCUUCAUGGUCCUUGAAUAUAUGUAAAGACUUACUUCAUACCUAACAGUUUCACAUGUCAUUUAGGUAAAAAAAUUUCUACAUUAUUCUAAUCAUCACUGUUUUUCUUUUCUAUUGUGACAUGUAGCCUCUCCUAGAUUAUCUCCAUUUAACUUGAGACUUGAAUCAGCUGUUAGUAAGGAUGAUUUAAGGAUGGUGAAGCGUUUAGAUGCUUAAUCUUUAGUGGUGUACUGCAUAUCUCUUUAUGGAAAAGGUAAAGAGGAUAGAGGGAAAGAAAAGGUCUUUCCGAAAUAAUUCUUGUCACAGGAAAAAGUAAGUUAUGUAAAGUGAAGAAUUACCCUUGUUUCAUCCGACAUUCUAAGCGCCUUGAAAUAUAGGCAAUUGAGUGACCCAUUUCCAGACUUGCCCGAUUUCUGUAGGGAUAUAUGAUAUGUUAAAUCGCAUCUAAUUGUUUGAUGUGCAGCAAGACUCUAAUUUGAUUCAAUAUAUACCUAAUGUGACUUUUCACUUUAUAUGGCCUCGUAAAGGUAUAAACUCUUAGAAGUGCUUUCGAUAGUGAUUAGUGUUGGUUUAAGAAUACUUUUUAGUAAUAGCUGGCUCUUUAUAAGUUACCAAAUGCAAUCACCUCUUCGUAGCUCAGAGUCUAUUGUUAGCCUAUCUUUAUGUUUUCGUCUCUCUCCCCGAAGUGGAUGUAUCUGCGUAAUGCCUGAUAAUGAGUCAUGGCAUAACCAUGAGACUAGUAUGUAGUACUUGUAAUUUCUUAGAACUCCAAUAUGAUAAAGCAAUCAAAUAUACAAGUCACAGGUGGAAAAUUAAAACCUGGCUCCCAGAUAACAGAUUAAUACAAAACUAAUUUAUUUAAGCUAGUUGAAAUAGUCAUAGAACUUGUUGAGACUGGGUUAAUAGGAUCUGUUGAUCAAAGUGACUAGAUAAGGAAGAAAUCCAGGGGCAGAUGUAGAGUAUUGUUUGCGGGUUCCCGGAACCCAGUAACUUUCGUACGGUUCUUGAAUUUAUAUUGAAAAAACUAGUAAAUAUAUAAGAAUUAUAAGUUGGGAACCCACAAACAAAGCGUGUUAUUGGUCUAGUGAUAAAGAAUUAUAAGUUGGGAACCCACAACCUUUAAAUUCUAGAUCCGCCUCUGGAAAUCUUAAUGUGAAUAACCUAAGUCGCAUAGGAUUUUGUCGCGUAAUAACUUAAGUAAUUGUAGCAAGUGAAUGAACAUCUUUUACUAUGUGAUAACCCAGUGAAGGCGGCUAGUCACAUAGUUGAUAAGAGAACACAGGGGAGAACUAUCAAGCGAGCAAGCAACCACUUAAGCAGUAACAAUAAGGUGCUAAGUUUUGAGGGAACAAUUAGGAGCUAGCAUGCCGUGAAAGUUGUUUAGGUCCAGGUCCCUAGUUAUAGGUAGUUAUUUUGUACGUAAAUUGUGCAUUAUCCAUGCAGUACAAACACAUAUUCAGCUCCUUUGGUUAAACUUAAUUCCUUUCUAUUCUUGUAUAAAUUUCUUUAGAUUCUUAAAAUUUAUGUCUCUUUACAUCCCAAGCAUUUAUAACCUUACUUGCCUUAAUGCAAUAUCAAGAAUAUUCACUGCUGGGAUCUUCUGUGAAGUGGUCCUAGGAAUCUAUAUCGAGGGAGUAGAGUCCCCUUGUAACCUUGUCAAUACUCGUCCCCUGAAUUUGUUUUUGCAAAUCAUUAGUUUAUGACUUCCAACUGCCACAACUCAUCCAACUCAGGUGAUUCAUUGAAUUUUUUCCGACUCAUUCUCUAGCAUACGUCCAAUACAACAACUUAUCAAAAUUCCUCGAAGGUUCUCUUCAGAAGUUACCUACUUCAAUCUGCAUGAAACUUGAGAUUUGGCAGAAACCUUUCUAAUUUAGAGCCCCAAUUGGGGAAUAAAACUGCAGUUCAGAUUUUUGUGUUCUUCUCAUCAAAUGCAUAACCAGUAGUUAGGCUUUACCAUUCGUCUUCUGGCUUCAACAAUUUCAGCUCAUCACUGCCACAAGAUGGAGGACUUUUUUUCUCUCCCUUGGUGGUUACCUUGCCAUUGAUAAAUGAACAAUCAGCAUGGGUGUUAACAACAAAAUGCACUCUCUGUCGAAACACAUUAGUGGUGUUCUUAAGCCUAUGGUGCAGAACGAGCUAUAUUUUACCAGAUAAUUUUUAGUGAAGAGAUCGGUUAUUUUGAUCUCGGGAAAGAAUACUAUGGUGAUUGAUGUGAAACCGAAAGUAUUUCAGUGUAAACAGUGGUAGUCAUGGAUUUAUAGAACUUCUUGCAUGGGCCAAAGAUAUUGAAUAUACAUAAAACUGAUCCUAUAAUUAAAAACUAAACCUUUUCUAAUUCUGAGAAAAAUGAAAAUGAAAUCUAAAGUUCCUCAUAUAUUGCAGGUAAAUAAAAGCUACAAAUGGGUAUACAGGUGAUAAUCAUUCUUUAAAUAGGAGCACAUUAUUUUACAAAAUGUGGGAGAGAAAUAAAACCCCUUCCAGUUUAUUCUAUGGAAGAGCACUGCAGCAAAAUCUUGACUUCUUUAAGCCAAAAUCUUUACAAAUUAGACGCACGCAUGAGCCACUAAAACAAACACUGUUUGAUAAUACUAAUAACUAAUUUGAAGUCAAACAUGGUUGCUCCAUUUCUGGGAUUCACCAUCUUCUGAAGUUUUUGGUUUACAGGAGUGAAGCAUGUAGCUGCAUGCUUCCACUGCUUCCCCUACUGUUAGGAACAUCCAUUCUUGUCCUAAUGUCUCUGUGAAUUUCGACUUGUUCAACUUCUUCAUCACCUCUGCUCCUGGAUUCGCCAAAACUAGCUGCAAAGCCACAAAAAUCACACCUUAUGUUAGAGACAUGAAAAUAAGACGCUAACCUUGAGAUCUCUUCUAUCAAGAUUUUUCUUGACCUCUUCGAACAUGCUAAUUCCGCUUGUAUCAAUGUUACCUACAGCUGCACAUCAAAGAAUUUAAGCUGUCAGUUUGUCAACUGUAUAUAUAUUUAGGCACCCAAAGGUGUGGCCUAGUGGUCAACAACAGAGGCAGAGGCAGAACCAUUAGGUGAUUCUUCCCAUCUGUCCUAGCCUUUGUCUACCUAGUAUCUGUUGUUGUUGUUGUUGUUGGGAGGUGGUAGGUAUCCCGUGGAUUUAGUCGAGGUGCGCAAAAGCUGGCCCAGACACCACGGUUAUCAAAAACAAAUGUAUAUGUAUUUACCGUUUUUUCGAAUAAAUAGAUGCAACACAAUUUGACUAACCUCCCGUAUCAAGUAUAACAUACUGCAAAGUUGUUUCUCCUGAAGAUUUUAAAUUGUCUUCCUCGUCGUCAAUCCACCUUGAGAUCCUGUAUAUAAGAAGGAAAUUGAAUCAACCCAUAAUUACUAUUUGCAUAAAGAGAUGGUAGUUAUUUGUAUACGAGUUUACCUUCUAUAUACUAACAAUGUAAAAUAACUUUUUAACUCUACUAGAUCAUAGUACAUGUAACUGUCCGUAAUGAGUGAAACUAGUAAUUUGAAUAUUACGUUGUCAGUGCAUGCAAGUUAAAUUCUUUGUAGAUAAUUUACCUCUCUUAAAUAGCUCGAGUUAGUGAAGUAAAUAGGUGCUCCAAUGUCAAGUAUGAGAACUUUGUGUUUGGAUAUUGCUCCACAUUUCUAUAGAUCAUAGAAUUGGGGAUAUUACCAAGUACUAAAGUCCUUGGCCUUGCUACAGAAAGUAACACCCUUAGCAAUGAUAAACCAACCUGCAUUUGUAUUGAAACAACAAUUUAUAAGUCAAUUUGAAUUUCAAACUCUUUUUUAAGUUGAUUAAAUACAUUAGAAAGGAGUACUUACAGCCAUGACCAAGCCAAUUUCAAUGUUGCCAAAGACAACACCAAUGUAUGCACUCAUGCAAACCAAGAAGUCGAAUUUGUCGACAUGCCAGAGAUGAAUGGCAGCAUUAUAGUCGAUGAGGCCGAGCAUGGCAGCGAUUAUAAUGGACGACAAGACAACGAGGGGAAUGAAGUGGAACAAUGGCGUUAACAGCAUCAACGUCACCAUCACAGCCAACGUCAUAACAAUAUUUGAUACUGCAGUUUUGCAUCCUGCGUUGAAGUUCACCGCUGUUCGCGAGAAUGGCCCUGCACGUAAUGUUAACAGCGCGCUAUCUUAAAUCCUAAUAUGUAAAAAGAGUUUUAACUUCUAUACGCUACUAGCCUUGACGUUAUGGUUUUAACGGGUCAACAAGGAAAGCAAUGACAUAUUCACACAUUUUGUUAAGGAAUCGAAAAAGCUUCCUAUACGUUUUUAAGGUUUGGGGUUAUUGUUCUAUCUACAUCCAUCCCGAAGAGUCAUUUUCACAAAUUUAAUUGUAAAUGUGUUAAAUACUUAUACAUAUAAAAAUGCGAUAAAAAAGAUGCAUGGUCGUUUUCACUUUAUUACUAAGGUGGAAUGAAAUGAUCCACCAAUUAAAAAAGUAGAUAAAAUUAUCUGAUAGUUUAUCGGUGGAAGGUAGCAAGUAUCAAAUGAAACUACUCAGACAUGAGUGGCAGGUCCCGGGGGUUUCGAUCAGGUCAUAUGAUCAGUAAUCACAUGGGACGGGCCCAAGUGGGACAAGAAGUGAUAGUAGUCCAAAUCAAAAUCAACUUUCGGCCCAAAGGAUAAUAAAAGUGAAAAAAAAGAUAAUGACCAGGUUAGAACUCAAAAUUAUGAUACGCGUGGUGCAGUGGAUGAGGCUGCUCCUUUCUUAACUAGAGGUCUCAGAUUCGAGCUUUGGGUAUGAAAAAACAAAUCCUUGGUAGGAAGCAUUUCCCUCCGAAUGGGCCCUACGCGGCGUGAAUCCAGAUUAUUAGGGCUUCAAUGUGGGUACCGGACACCGGACGAGAAAUAAAUAAAAUAAAAAAAAGGACUCAAAAUAUGAUAUUGAUAUGUUUGUAUAUAGCAACAUACAUACCAGUAGUAAGGUAGCAAGAGGUGCAGGAGCCAACAAUGUUCAUCAUCCCAAAAGCAAUCAUCUCUUUAUUACCAUCUGUAUGGUAAUUCUUGAACAUUGCAAAACUUCUCCCUACUGCUAUUCCUUCCUAUAAAAGUAAUUUUAUGUAUCAUAUAUCAAAUUAUUUAAAAGAUAAGUACAAAAUAAUCGUAUAUAAAAUCGAAUAGGUAAUUUUGGAAACAAGGCAUGCAUGUUACCAAUGGUAAGUUUAUCUAAUUUUUUUUCCCUUAAUAGUAUUUAAGUGGUGUUGGUAUAUAUUGUCACAAUUCGACAUGUUAGAAUGUUUGGGUUUACAUUGCUUACUGUCUCAAAUUGAUAUUUAUUUUUGCUUGUAUUUAUUAAUAGAUUUGAAGUUAUAUUCACAGAUAUCAUAUUUUUUCACUAUGAUCAGUAUGAUAAAGCCAUUUACAGGAUAUUAUAACUCUAUAUUUCAAGUUACUAUAUAGACUUGUUAUGAAAGGAGCUUACAAGCAAGAGCAAUGACACCCGUGACUAUGCCAGUUUUGAUAGCAGUUGUCAAAUAUUUCGAUCCAAAUGACAGAUCCAUUAUUGAUGGAGGAUUUAUCCCUUUCUUCAGCUCUCCAAUCUGUUUCCAUUUUUUAAAUAAAAUUAUUCACAUAAGAAUCCAAUUAUUCCACAUAAUGGAUGAUGACAUAACACAACCACAAUUGUUACUGCAGUCACUUUUAGAAAUAAGAAUAUUUAGAUAUAGUUAUCUUAAUAGGUUUGAACUUUGAAGUCCGAAAGUCGAAACAUUUAAUUUCGAGUUUUUUACUAUGAUAAAUUCAGAUACAGAUUCUUCAAAAAUCUACGAAAAAUAUUCAUACACGAAAACUAUUAUAAGUCAUCAUAGUUGAUAAUUUGACGAAUUUAAAUUUUAUGCAUCAUUAGUGUACAAAAUAUUUUAUACUAUCAGGUAAAGUUGAUUUACUAUUGCAGGUUAACUAAUUUUUUCUUUUUUUCAUUUUUAUGUAAAUAAUUGGAUAACUUGCAAUAACAUGUCAAGUUAACUGAUAGUGUAGAAUAUUUUGUAUACUGACCGAUGCAUAGAAUUUAAAACUCUAAUUUGAAAUCCUUUCUUAAAAAUAAAUAAAUUAUAUUUGAUUCUCAAAGCAUCAAUGACGGAACCAGAAUUUUUACUAAGAAUUUUCAUAAAUGAACAUCAUAUAAGCUAAUCGAAAAGGGUUCAAUAUCUAUAAUAGAUACAUAAAACAUAAUUUUAAUCAUACUAUAUAUAACAUAAUUUUUCACUAAAAGGGUUCAGAUGACCCCCUAGCCGAGGGUAGCUCCUCCCCUAAGUAGCACCUUGAAAUGAGAUAGAGGAGUGUGUCAUUUCUUUUUUACUGUUUGCGUAUGCAAGUAAAGUUAAUCUCUUCGCAAAAAGCGGCCACACUGAAGUGUUCAUCUUCGAUUGGUGACGGAAUCAGAAUUUUUAUUAAGAAAAUUUAUAAAUGAACAUAAAAACUAAUCAAAGGAAUUUAAUAUCUACUAUUGAUAUAAAUGAAAAAAUAAUUUUAAUCAUAUAUAUAUAUAUAUAUAUAACUAUUGAUAUAAAUUAUAUAUAUAUCAUAAAUUUUUGCAAAAGAAAAAAUUUGAUCAACUUGCAGUAUAUUUGUACUACAUUGAAACCCGUGACUGACAAGACUCAAAUUAAAACUUCUCAUUUCACUAUUUGUUACUCCCUCCGUCUCAUUUUAUGUGACAUUUGAUCUGAUACGAAAUUUAAAAAAUAAGAAAAGACUUGGUAAGGUUUAUCAAAUUAUCCUUUAUAAAAAAAUGUAUCAAUAUCUUUUUUUUAAUUAAGUGAGACCAAUAAAAGUAAAAGAAUAAUUGUGCCUUUAAAAAGUUGUCAAAUAAGGAAAGACAAUACUUAUUUUGAGACGAAUUAAAAAAAAUAAUAACACAUAAUUUGAGACGGAGGAAGUAUUUUUUUUUUUUUUUUUUUUUUUUUUUUUUUUUUUGUAUUUGAGUGUUUCCAAUUUAUAUAAGGACAAACAACUACAGCUAUCAAUCAGAAGUGUCUUGUUUCAUAUCUAUCAUAUACUGAUAAUGAAUAUGAACAACUAAUGUCGUAGAAGUAUCACCCCUAACCAAUUAGAAUUAAGUUGUUUUAUUCAUGUUUUAUGCACUUACUUACACAUGAAUAUGAUAGUAACUAAGUAAGGUAACUUGAACCAUAACAUGUUAAAUUGACAGUGUAUAUAAAUUAAAUCGAACUAAAAGUCUUACCACUUUAACAUCAUAUUUUUCAGCAUGUGUUAUAUAAAUAAUAAUCAUUCCCAAUAUGACAGAUGUUAACAGCGUUAUCGUCGAUAACCAAAACAACUUCGGUCUCUUUUGACUCUGCAUAAAUGCGGAAUGCCCAUUAAUAAAUUAAUAUCAAAUUAUAAUUAUGAAUAAAUUUUAUGAUAACAAAAUAUAAAAUUAAACAUUUUUAUUCUUUGACGAAAUUAAGGAAAGUUUGCUUCAAUUUGUUGGCUCUUUUCGGAGUAGGAGUAGGUUAAGUAACAAUAUAAAAUUUUAAAAGUGACAAUAUUUUUUUGGGAGAUUUGCAAUGUCUACCAAAAAGAAAAAUAUUAGUAUUUGGCAUUGCAAGUUUAAAAGAUUUCCACUUUUAGUAGACUGCUUUUGGCUUAUGGAUAUAUAAUUAUAGUGUUCCCAUUCCAAAAUGUCAAAGUCAGUUUGAGUAUGCUUACUAAAAAUUUGGCAAGCAUCAAGUAGAAAAGGAAACAAAAUCCCAGCACUGCACUUUCCCAUCGCCACUGCAAUUAUUUUAUAUGAUCAAUAAUUGAACCAUUAGUAUUGUAUUCAAAGAAAGUAUUAAUUACUAACACAUACUAAGUGAACAGACAAUAAUAUAUAACUAAUCUAGAACGUGUACUACUAUUUAAGAAUCACUUUAAAUCAACUCAAGUCUAUUUCUACACUAAAGUGCUUUGAUUCGAUAAUGAAAAUCUAAUUGAAAAAUGUAAAGGAAAAGGGUAUAUUUCUAUUAAAAGUAAAUACUUUAAGCAAUUCUCUAAACUUUUAAGUUUUAAGAAAAAAGGGAAGAAAGAAUCAACAUCUAACUAAAGGAUACUUAUGAGACAUAUUUUGCAAAUUAGCAAACCAUGUGCUUGUUACAAAAUAUACUUAAAAUUUUUUAAGUGAUCUAAUAACGUAAAUUUGUUUCAAACUAUGAUAUUGCUGUAUUUAUGUUCAAAAUCUCUAGAACGUAACUCAAAAAAUUGCAUUUUUUAGAAUCAAGCAACCUCAUAAACUCAAAAUCUUAGCUCGGAUUAAACUGUCUACCAUGAAUAUGUGACAUGUGACAUGAAAGAGAAAGAGAGGGACCUGAUGAGUUUGAGAAAAGACAGAGAGAUAUCAUCAGUGGCAUGAGUGAAAUGUUGAAGACCAAGUACUCCUUUUAAUUGCUGCAAUAUCACCACUGCUGCUGCUCCUCCCAUAAAUCCUACUAUUGUUGCAUGUGAUAAAAAAUCCACUAUAAAUCCCAGCCUUCAAUUUCAUUAAACAAAACAUUCAUUAAUUAUCAACAACUUAUAAUAAGGUCAUUCUACCAAUUAAACUUAUAUGGAUGUUGAAGAGAUUAGUCAGUUAGGUUGUUAUAGUUUGUUAGAAAAGAGAGUGGUGUACAGCUGGUGUACAGCUGUCAAGUUAGUGAAGUUGGAUGUUAGUGGAGUCGGUUAUUUUUCUCUAUAAGUUGCAAUUGCAUCACUAACAUUGUAAUCAGAAUUAGAUGAUUUUCAAUCAAUAAGGCUUGUUCAUUCCUCUAAGAACCAUAUCAACGAACUUGGUCCAACAGCUCUAGGGAUUUUAUCAUGGUAUUAGAGCAGUGAUCCACGAGCUGCUGCAGCUAUGCACCGGAGUAUCAUCAACAAUGGCGGACAAUACCACCUCUUCACUCAAUUCGCAGAACCCAACAGAAAUGGCAACGCAAAUUGAUUUCCAUCAUCUUCUAUAUCUGCAAAAUUCUGAUACACCUGGAUUGGUGUUAAUUGGCAUCAAGUUAACAGGACAUGAGAAUUACACAUUGUGGAGCAAAUCGAUGCGAUUGGCCUUGCUAGGGAAAAACAAGCUAGGUUUCGUGGAUGGCAGUUGUACAAAAGCUCAGUACAGUGACGAUUUGGGGAAACUCUGGGAACGAUGUAAUGCGAUUAUUCUGAGUUGGAUUGGAGUUACUGUUUUUCCGGAUUGGUUUCUAGCAUAGUGUAUGUGUUUGAUUCAAAAAAGGUUUGGGACGAAUUCAAGGAAAGGUUCAAUAAAUCAAAUCUCACUAGAAUAUAUCAACUCUGAAAGGAUAUAGCUACUCUAACUCAAGGUACGGACUCAGUCGCUGCUUACUAUUCCAAAAUACGAGAUUAUUGGGAUAAGAUAGAUGCCUUAGUACCAGUGGUAGGCUGUAGUUGUGAAGGAUCUAAGGCUUCCACUGAAAUGCUGAGAAAUCAAAGGUUGUUGCAAUUUUUUAUGGGGCUAAAUGAAAUUUUCAAUCAUGUUCGAAGUGAUAUUUUACUGUGCACCCCUGUCUUGACGGUCAAUCAGGCAUAUACACUAGUAGUGCAAGAAGAAAGCCAAAGAGGCAUGGGUGCUGGUAGCAAACAAAUGGAUUCCAUCACCUUAAUGGCUGGAGGUGACCACAGAUAAAAGGGAUCAACAUUCAACCAGUCUAAACCUGCUUCUACUUCAAAUCAGACCACAUAUAAGAAGCCACUUUUUCCUGCAGGUUGUGCUCAUUGUGGUUACAGAAACCAUUUAACAGAGGAUUGCUAUAGAGUUGUGGGAUAUCUACCUGAUUUCAAAAGUAAAAAGAAGGGCCAGUAUAGUUCCACUAAAGUCUAUGCCCUAGGUAAUGCUGUGGAUGCAGAAAUUGAACUUGUUUCUUCAGGAGAAGGGAGGUACAUAUCUGAGGAACAAUAUCAACAAUUCAUCACAGCAAGUUCCAGUAACACCUCAAGCAGCAACAACACUAACAACACUAACAAUACCUCAGGUGAUUUUCAGGCUAAUAUGACAGGUAUACUUGCACAUUCAUCCAGUAUUUUUUCACAUGAGUGGAUAAUUGAUUCUGGUGCAUCUCACCAUAUCACACCAUAUAAAGAGUGCUCGUUUAAUUCCUAAAAACUUGAGGGUUGUGAGAGAAACAAGGUCCAAGUACCUACAGGAGGUAGAUGUGAAGUUACACAUAAAGGAACCACUAUCAUACUGAGAGAUCAUAGGCUUAAGAAUAUUCUAUAUGUUCCUGAUUUCAAGUACAACUUGUUGUCAGUGUCAAAGAUGACAAAAGAUCUUUGCUGCUUAGUAUGCUUUUACCCAGAUUUUUGUGUUUUCCAGGACCUUUACUCUGGCAAGGUCUUGGGGAUCGGUAGAGAAAACAAUGGUUUGUACUUGAUGAAGGAUGAUGCAUCCAUACAUCCUGUAGUAGGCUCAAAAAUUCAUAAAGAAGUUGAUGGUGCAAUGUGGCAUAUGAGAUUAGGCCAUCCAUCCAUCAAUAUUCCAAGUUGCAUUUCCAUUGUUUAGAAUGGAAGAGAAGCACACAAACUAUGUGGGAUAUGCCCAUUAUCCAAGCAGACAAGGUUACAAUUUCCUGUUAGUAACUCACAUUCUAAUAGCAUUUUUCAGUUGAUACAUGUUGAUGUAUUGGGUCCUUUUAAGGUUCCUACUUAUGACAGAAAACAUUAAUUUGUCACCAUUGUUGAUAACUAUAGUAGAUAUGCGUGGACAUGUUUGGUUCAGUGUAAGUCUGAAGUGAUUAUUGUUCUGAAAGAUUUUUUGUUGAAAGUAAAGAAUUAGUUUUGUACUACUGUGAAGACAUUAAGAUCAGACAAUGGUAGAGAGUUUUUCAAUUCUCAGUGUUCUGAUUUACUUUCAUCCUUGGGCAUUAUUCAUCAAAGUUCUUGUCCAUACAUACCCCAACAAAAUAGGAUGGUGGAGAGAAAACAUAGACAUAUUCUUGAAGUAGCUAGAGCUCUUAAAUUUUAGAGUUCUAUCCCUAACAAGUUCUGGGGAGACUGUGUUAUGACUGCAACAUAUCUUAUAAAUAAACUGCCUACACCAAUUUUGUAAGGAAAGUCUCCUUAUACAAUUUUAUAUAAGAAACCUUUAGUAUAUGAUCACUUAAGGGUCUUUGGUUGCUUAUGUUUUGCAUCUACUUUACCUAAAGGAGAUAAGUUUGAACCAAGAGCUAAAAGAGCAGUUUUUAUUGGUUUUUAUUGGUUAUUCUGAGACUCAAAAGGGAUAUAAGUUAUUUGAUCUUCAGCAGAACACAUGUUGGGUCAGUAGAGAUGUGGUAUUUAGAGAAGACAUCUUUCCUUUCAAGGGAAUCACAUAUAAAAGAACCACUAUUUUUUAUGUUCCACACUCUGUCAAUGAUCAUCAUCAUCCUGACCCUACUCCAAUACCUAUGCCUGCAUCAUAUGCCCCUAUAUAUGAUGAUCCUGCUAGCUCUUCUGGUGUGCCAGAAGUUGCAGAUAAUAUGCAACAUUCCACAGUUGAAGCUGAUGAAGUGCCACCAGUGGAACAUUUAUUUUCACCUGUUCCACAACCAACAGACUUGAGAAGGACAACAAGGAGUGCCAAUCCGCCAAUAUGGUUAAAGGAUUAUGUAACCACUAAAUCUGGUGGUAAGUUUGGAAGUGUGACCCUUUAUUCUAUCUCAGAUGUGUUAUCUUAUGAUAAUGUCUCACCAGCAUAUCAAGUCUAUCUGCAAGCCUUUUCAUCUCAAAUUGAACCAUAAAAUUUUAAAGAAGCCACAACAGAUGAACACUGGAUUAAGGCUAUGCAGCUUGAAACUCAAACCCUGAAAGAAAAUCAGACUUGGGACCUGGUCCCUCUACCACCAGGGAAAUAUGCCAUAGGUUCUAAAUGGGUAUACAAGAUUAAAUAUAAGGCUGAUCAGAGCAUUGAAAGAUACAAGGCCAGAUUAGUUGUGAAGGGAUACAAUCAAUAGAAAGGUUUGGAUUAUCAUGAUACCUUCUCACCUAUUGCUAAAAUGGUGACAGUUAGAGCUAUGAUAAGCCUGGCAGCCUCCAAGAAGCGGGACAUCUUCCAAAUAGAUGUAAAUAAUGCUUUCCUAUAAGGAGAUCUUUAUGAAGAUGUAUACAUGGAAUUGCCUCAAGGCUUUCAGAGACAAGGAAGUAAACUGGUAUGCAAACUGAAAAAAUCAUUAUAUGGACUCAAACAGGAUUCAAGACAGUGGAAUAUUAAGCUCACAAAUGCAUUAAUUGCUGGUGGCUAUACACAAAGCAUCUAUGAUCACUCACUGUUUAUUCAGAAAUCAGGACAUGAUAUUGUAGUGGUCUUGGUUUAUGUUGGUGAUCUGCUUAUCACAGGGAGUAACUCUACUCUAAUUCAGUAUGCAAAAAACACACUGAAUGAGGCAUUCAAGGUGAAAGACUUGGGCUAGUUAAGAUUCUUCUUGGGAAUUGAAGUACUCAGGUCUGACAAAGGUGUCUUGCUUAACCAAAGGAAGUAUGUGUUGGAGCUGAUCUCACAAAUUGGCCUGAGUGGGUGCAAACUAUCUCCAACACCAUUAGAGGUCAAUAAUAAAUAAACUUCUGUAGAGUAUGACCUCCAAGUUGGUCCAUCUGAUGAUCCUGAAAUAGAUGACAUACUUGGUUAUCAAAAGCUGGUUGGCAAAUUGCUUUAUCUCACUAUUACAAGGCCUGACAUUUGCUUUGCAGUACAAAUAUUAAGACAAUUUAUGCAGAGACCUAAACAGUCUCACAUGGAUGGUGCACUAAGGGUGGUGAGGUAUCUGAAGGGUAAUCCUGGACUUGGAAUUCUACUUAAAGCAGAUGAGAUCACAUCUAUGACUUCCUUAUGUGAUUCUGAUUGGGCAUCUUGUCCCAACACUAGAAGGUCAGUUUCAGGGUAUAUAGUCAUGAUGGGUGAUUCUUUUGUUUCUUGGAAAUCUAAGAAACAAUAUACAGUGAGUAGAAGCUCAGCAGAAGUUGAGUAUAGGAGCAUGGCAGAUGCAACUGUUGAAGUGAUAUGGCUGGCUGGUUUAUUGGCAGAGCUUGGAGUGACCUUAACCAUGCCUGUGAAGUUGUUUUGUGAUAAUAAAGCUGCACUACAAAUUGCUGCUAAUCCUAUUUUUCACGAGAUAACUAAGCACAUAGAAAUCGAUUUUUAUUUUGUCAGAGAAAGAAUCAAAUCAGGUUUGCUGCAACCAGUUCAUGUCCCUUCCAAUAUGCAACUAGCUGAUCUCAUGACUAAAGGACUUCCAGCAGCUCAACAUCAGUUUCUUCUUUCCAAGCUGAGCGUCCUUGAUUUUUUUGGUCACCAGCUUGAGGGGGAGUAAAGAGACUAGUCAGUUAGGUUGCUAUAGUUUGUUAGAAAAGAGAGUGGUGUACAACUGGUGUACAACUGUCAAGUUAGUGGAGUUGGAUGUUAGUGGAGUCGGUUAUUUGUCUCUAUAAGUAGCAAUUGUAUCACUAACAUUGUAAUCAGAAUUAAAUCAUUUUCAAUCAAUAAAGCUUGUUCAUUCCUCUAAGAACCAUAUCAACGAACUUGGUCCAACAACUCUAGGGAUUUUAUUAGAUGUGAUUUGGCAACAAUAAUAGAAGUAGAAUUUAAGUUCAAUGGAGAGAUAAUAUAUCAUAAACACAUACCUAGAACUUAGAAGGCCGACGUACACUCCACCCUUCCCACUUCUCAUACUCCACUUGGUGAAAUUAGACUGGAUUUCACUAUGUCCCUCACAAGCACGUAGAAGUAAUUCUUUUUGUAUAAUGGUUGAAGGUGAGAUUAUUAAAACUCAGGAUCUCUAUAUGCUUUUUGUUAGAGUUGUGACCUGAAUUAUGUUGAGCCGGCCCUGAAAGUUUCGUUGUGCGACCCAUAUUUGUGAUUUUCAGUGAGGUCUGUGGUCGUAGCAUAAAGGUAUGAACCUUUAUGUUUUUGGACCAAGGACUAAUUUGUAUGCACGUAUUAUAUAAGUAUAUUUAGUGGGUUAUUUUGUGUAUUCAGAAAAUACUCAUUCUCUACAUUUUACUCCUCUUCUUUCAUUAUAAUGAAACAUCCUCUGCCUUUGCCCGUGGUUUUUCCCGCAAGAAAUUUCCACAUAAAUUUGUGUGUUCUUAUUUAUUAUUUUGCUUAUGGUUUGCUUUAUUUCUGCUGAUUUAUAACACUUUUAAAUCCUAUUGAACUUUGUGAGCCUACAUGAAAAAGCCAAGAACAACUUCAAAUAAUCCAUUGAAGAAAGUGGCAGUAAAAGCAAGAUGAAGAUAAAGUGUUGGAUUUUUAGCUGCGUUAACUUCAUUUCCCAACAUAGAAGCCAUGAGAAGAGAUCUAACUGCAACUAUUCCCACUGCUAAAUCUCUUGAACUUCCCAUUAAUACGUACACUAAUGGCGGAAUAAAGCUUGAAUCUGUACAACAAAAAAAACGUAGUAAUUAAGUUGCUAUAAUUUUAUGAGUUUGCAUUCAUGUCUAGGCUAAAAGUUAUUGGUUCAUUUGAAUUCAUAACUAUUACACUAGAUUCGUCCUGGUGAUACGUGACUAGUCACCAGCAAAAGUGUUUGAUUUGACAAAAGUCAUUUUCUUGGAAUAUAUUGUCUGGUAGCUGAACAUUAUAAAGUGAACGUCACGUACGUAAAACUUUCAUGAAAAAUAACUUUGGUCGUACCAAACAGUUUUACUAAAAAUAAACCUGAUCACUUACAGAGGCCAAGUAUAGGUGGCAAGUUCCCCAACUUAGCAUAAAUUAUUCCCUGAGGAAUAGCAAGACUAGCAAUAGUAAUUCUAGCAAUAAGAUCUGAUUUGAAGAACCCAAAAUUGUAACGAGAACCCCAUUCAAAAAUUGGAAAAAAAAUUGAACCGCAAGUAUGAAUUUUCUAAAGGGUGUUUGGUUCUUGAAUUUCCUAAGUGGAUCAUCUGGAAAUAAAGUUUCCUUCACAGUUGUUGAGAUUAUUGAAGAAUCAUGUAAAGUUUGAUUAGCUGGUAGAUUAGAAUAUUUAAUUAUGCUGUUAGUGGUAGUUAGUUAGCUGACUAGACUUAGUUAGUUAGAUAGUUGUUGACAUCUGGCAUUUACACAUACUUGUAUAUAUGUUGAUUUUGCAUUCACGGAAUAGAGUUAGUUACCAUUUCACAAAUUAUCUUCUUGUGAUCUUCUCUCAGUUCUCUCUCUCAAUCAAAGCUCAAGGUUAACUGCACAACAAUGACAAAUUUCAGUUUAUUGUCUUCAUAAAUCCUCAACUUUAACAUGGUAUCAGAGAAAUUUUGAUCCUGAAUUUUGCAUUUUUCUUUAGCAUUUCUUACUGCUCUGUUAGUAUAUUUGAUCUUUUGGGUUUUUUGAGUUGUUUUUUUGGUGUUACUUUCUGCUUCACUAGUGUUGGUGAUAUUGUUGUUCUUUCUCUCAUUGCGUCUUCAAAGUGUUUGCUUUUUUGUCACUUCUAAUGGUGGAUAAUGAAGCCAAUCCUCCUACUCAAGCGAGUCGAGAAACUAUCGACUUAACUAAUCCCUUGUAUAUGCAUCCCUCUGAGAAUUUAGGAGCAACACUGCUUCCUGGUAUUUUUGAUGGCACGGGGUAUCGGUCAUGGAGGAGAGGUGUACUUCGUGCCUUGUCAGUCGAAAAUAAAACUGGUUUUAUCAAUGGCAAAUGUCCAAAACCACCAGAGGAUUCUUCAUUUUUUAGUCAUUGGGAGAGAUAUGAUGACAUGGUGACUUCGUGGCUCUUUAAUUCUCUAUUCAGAGACCUAGCAGAUAGUUUACAAUAUGUCGAUAAUGCUCAAGAGCUUUGGCAGGAACUCGAAGACAGAUAUGAUCAAACGAAUGGGGCUAAGUUGUAUCAACUGUAGAAAGAGAUUAAUGACCUUUCUCAGGGUUCUUUAGACACCACCAACUACUACACUAAAAUGAAGAAACUAUGAGAGGAAUUGAGUGCACUCACUCUGAGUAAUAGCUGCACAUGUCAAUGCACUUGUGGUGCUAAAGCAGUUGUGCAUAAGGCUAAACAGGAUCGACGACUAAUACAAUUUCUCAUGGGGCUCAAUGAGAUGUACACACCUGUGCGAGGGAGUAUUUUAAUGAUGAAUCCCCUUCCUAGCAUUGCACAAGCCUUCUCCAAUUUGAUUCAGAAAGAGAAGCAAAGGGAAGUUAAGCCUCACACUCAGCUUAGUCUAGAAUCUGCUUCUCUUACCACUCAUGCCAUAGAAAAUGCAGCCUUUAAGACAAAUUAUCAAAACACUAGGAUAGGAAAUACUCAGUACAAUAGCAAACAAUUUGGUAAUCACUAUUCAGGUUCAUCUGGUUCUUCUGGAGGAUAUCCGUAUGGGAAUUUACAUGGUGCAGGUGGCCAUUCUCUGAGUAGAUCUCAUUUGUUUUGUGAUUAUUGCAAGAAAUCUGGUCACACUAAAGACAAAUACUAUAGGUUGCAUGGUUUCCCUCAGGAUUUCAAGUUCAUAAAAAGAAAGAAUUUAGCUUCUGCUGCUAAUGUGUUUGGAGGAGUGCACACUGAUAAUCACACAAAAAAGACUAUUACAGCAGAAGAUCCUAAUUCUCAAGGACUUCAAACCUUAACUAAGGAUCAAUACAGUUAAUUGAUGACCUUAUUGAGCACUUUUCAACAAGGAGAUGCAAUACAUGACAUAAGUGGUAUUUCUAGUGGUGCUACGAACCUUGCAGGUAUAAUUACUUGUCAUUCCUCUAUAAUUGAGAUUUCUGCCUUUCAUGUGCAUGUACCACAUUGACAACUGAUUCCUGGAUAUUUGACUCUGGAGCAUUUCACCAUAUCACAUACAAUAAAACCUUACUGACUAACAUCAGUAGUUUACCCUAACCUUUCCUAGUAAAUUUGCCUAAUGGAUAUAGAGUAAGGGUGACAGAAAUUGGUGACAUCUUUAUAAAUCCAACUUUAACACUGCAUAAUGUUUGGGUUGUGUCUAUUUUUAAAUUUAACCUCAUUUCUGUUCAUUGUUUAGUACUUGAUCUUCAAAGCAUAGUUAGUUUCAGUAGCUGUUUUUGUACCUUGCAGGCCCCUUCACUGAAGAGGACUCUAGAGAUUAGUAGAGCUAACAAUGGUUAUACUAUCUCUGCUCAAAAUGUCACAACAACACAUCAAGAUCUUCUAGCAGACUCAAAUCCUCCAUUCCCAGCUCUUUAAAUACUUGUCUUAGUUUUCCCACUUUUAGUAAACUUGUUUCAUCUUUACUUCCAAUUAUUGUUGUAAAUAAUUCAUGUUCAACUAGUAAAUAAUUCAUGUUCAACUAAUAAAGAAGUCUACUUUAUUUUGAAUCCAAGUCUGUCUUCUGCAUCUCAUAAUAAUAAUGUUGAUAUUUUGUGGCAUCAAAGAUUAGGCCAUGUACCUUUUGCAAAAAUAAGAGGAAUAUCUUCACUACCAGUACCUUUUGCACCAAAACAACCUUUCAUGUGUACCAUUUGUCCAAUGGCCAGACAAAGUAGACUACUUUUUCCACAGAAAUUGACAAUCAGUACCACCCCUUUUGAGCUCUUAUACAUUAAUCUAUGAGGACCUUAUCAUGCUCCAACUCAUGACAACUAUAGGUAUUUUCUUACAUGGUUGAUGAUUACAGCAGGUCCACUUGGACACAUCUUCUAAGUUGUAAAAGUAAUACACUUCAAUCCAUCAAAACCUUUGUGUCUCUUGUAGAAACUCAGUUUUUGACCAAGAUCAAGAUUAUCAGGUCUGAUAAUGGCCUUGAGUUUGUAAAUCAUGCAACUACAUCAUUCUUUCAAGAAAAGGGCAUCAUCCACCAGAAAACUUAUCCAUACACACCAUAAAAUAAUGGUGUGGUGGAAAGAAAACACAAAUAUCUGCUUGAAACUGCAAGAGCACUUUUAUAUCAAUACAAGCUUCCAAUUAGAUAUUGGGGAGAAUGUAUCCUAACUGCUACCUACCUUCCUCUUAUGAACUUCUGUACCAAAAGAAACCUAGUUACUUUUAUUUAAAGACUUUUGGAUGUCUUUGUUUUCCCACCACUCUCAAGGCUCACACAAGUAAGUUUGACCCUAGGACCACUCCAUAUGUUUUCAUGGGAUAUCCUUUUGGUACAAAAGGUUACAAGGUUCUUAGCUUGAGUACAAAAAGGUUACAUAUUUCUAGGGAUGUUGUUUUUCAUGAAAAUGUCUUUCCUUUUUCCUUGUCAUCUCACCAGCCUGCCUGAUGUGGUUCCUUUAACAAAUUUUAAUAUUAAUGCUAGUCACUCUUCUAUCACACCACAUAGUUUUGAUAUACAUGAGUUGGAUUUUAGAUAAAAUUCUCAUAAUGCUGCCCCUGAUCCUAUACCUGCUAGCAACUCUCCAUCAUCACCAGCAUCUCCUCAACCCACUACCUCUCCAUCAUCUUCUCAUAAUCCACUACCUGAUCCUCAACCACAUAUUUCACAACCACAAGCUGAACCUAGAAGAUCAUCUAGAACUCAUGCCACACCAGCCUACCUAUAGGAAUAUUCUUAUUCUUUACCCAACCUACAACCUUCUUCUUCAUCUGUUUCUGCAUCAACAAACAUUGCCACUCAUACCUCUCUUUCACUUACUUCUUUUAGUUCGGAUAGCCAGCAGUUAAUAAGGAAUAUUUCACUUGAAUGUGAGCCAUCCUUAUGAGGAAGCAGUAUUAAAUCCUGCUUGGCAUAUUGCAAUGACACAGGAAUUUGAAGCUCUGUAUGCAAACCAUACUUAGGAUCUUGUCCCAUUACCUACUGGAAAGAGAACCAUUGGUUGUAGGUGGGUUUAUAAGGUUAAACACAAGGUUGAUGGAAAUAUAGAGAGGUUCAAUUCUAUACUCGUGGUGAAAGGAUACACGCGAAAACACAAUGUUGAUUACAGUGAAACUUUCUCACCAGUAGUGAAGAUGACUACUAUAAGAAUUCUUCUCAGUCUAGCUAUAAAGAAAGGAUAGAAACUCCAUCAACUUGAUGUCAACAAUGCUUUUCUACAUGGUGAUUUGCAUAAAGAGGUGUAUAUGGACUCUCCAAAGGGCCUAUUGUUGGAUAAUCCAAACCUUGUAUUCAAGCUAAGGAAAUCCUUAUAAGGUUUGAAGCAAGCUAGUAGGUAGUGGUAUGAAAAACUGGUUGAAUCCUUAUGUUUGCAGGGUUAUUUACAUUCUGCUAGUGAUUACUCUUUAUUUUACAAGAAAACUGAUGGUUACACAGUUUUUGUAGUUGUGUAUGUUGAUGAUGUUAUAGUUACUGGUACUGAUGAGAAGGAGAUACACCAGCUGAAGUUGUUUUUACACAACAAGUUCAAAAUCAAAUAUCUGGGACAUCUACAUUAUUUCUUGGGGUUAGAGGUAUUAUACAGACAUGAUGGAAUUUUAAUUUCCCAGAUAAAAUUUGCCACUGAUUUGUUGAAAGAGUAUGAUCACCUGAACUACAGCAUUACUGCUUCCCCUCUUGAUCCCAAUGUUAAGUUACUGGAAAAUGAGGGAAAGUUGUUGUCUGACCCAACACCUUAUAGAAAACUGGUUGGGAAGCUGAAUUUUCUCACAAAUACUAGGUUGAACCUUGCAUAUAGUGUGCAACAUCUUAGCCAAUUUAUGCAGGCUCCUAGAGAGUCCCAUUACAAAGCUGAUUUACAUGUCCUGAGGUACUUAAAAUCAGAUCCAACCUGGGGUUUUUUCUUGUCAAAUGACCCCAACUACACUCUGUCAGCUUUUUGCGACUCUGAUUGGACUCCAUGUCCAGAUUCAAGAGGGAUAUAUUGUGUUUCUUGGCAAUAGUCCAGUUAGUUGGAAAUCCAAGAAACGAACUACCAUUUCUCUAUCAUCAUCUUGGUGAACUGGUAUGGGUGGAUAGACUGCUGACUGAGUUAACUAUUGUCUCCACCAAGCCUAUUUCAAUACUUUGCGAUAGUCAAGCAGCCAUACACAUCGCAAGGAAUCUUGUUUUUCAUGAGAGAACUAAACAUAUAGAAGUAGACUAUCAUUUUGUCCGGGACAAGCUACAUGAAGGCCUCAUUACUUUGUAACAUGUUACUACAAAUGCUCAACUUGCAGACAUCUUGACAAAGUCUCUUACUGGAGUUAAGCAUCAUACUGUAUUAGGCAAGUUGGCUGUACUUUCAGCACCUCCAACUUGAGGAGGGGUGUUGAGAUCAUUGAAGAAUCAUGUAAAGUUUGAUUAGCUGGUAGAUUAGAAUAUUUAAUUAUGCUGUUAGUGGUAGUUAGUUAGCUGACUAGACUUAGUUAGUUAGAUAGUUGUUGACAGCUGGCACCUACACACACUUGUAUAUAUGUUGAUUUUGCAUUCAUGGAAUAGAGUUAGUUACCAUUUCACAAAAUAUCUUCUUGUGAUCUUCUCUCAGUUCUCUCUCUCAAUCAAAGCUCAAGGUUAACUGCACAACAAUGACAGAUUUCAAUUAUUGUCUUCAUAAAUCCUCAACUUUAACAACAGUAUUUUUCAGUGACUUGAAAAAAGAUUGUGGUGGUGGUAGUUCAACUUUGUGUAUGCCUAUGCCUGUGUGCUCUCCAUUAUUCAUCAUUGAUGGGUACUCAUAAUCUGCGUUACCCAUUCUGAUAAUAUAUACUAGUAUUUUUUUUAAUUUUUAAUUUUGGGUAUUCAAAGAAAUAAUCUGACACUGAUGAAAUUAUAUAUAUCCAAUGGAUAAGGACUUUCUGCAAAGCGUUGAAAUAAGGAAUUUUGGUUGGAGUGGCUUGGACUGAAUAAUAAAGGAUGGGUGUUUAUAUAGAGGUAUUAUAUGAAGGAUUGUUGACACUUUUUUCGAGUGGAGUGGAAGGUAAUAGCCAUAGGGACCAAUUGUGUGGUUCUAAUUUCUAUAUUUUUAUUCUUAUAUGAAUUUAAUUUGUGUGUUUAUGCACACAAUAUAUAUAUAUAUAUGCAUGAUAUGUUGGUAAAGGUGAAUUUAUAUGUAAGAGACUAGUCAUAUUUUAGAUUAGCAAAUCAAUAUUUCUAAUUAGGAUUUGGAAAUUGGACAGUUACUUUAGUUCAUAUUCAAGCCUUGGAAACAGUCUAUGGCAGAAAUGCAAAGUAAGACUGCGUACAAUACAUCUUGUGCUGGGACUCUUUCCCGGAAAGCGCGCAUAGUGAUAGCUUUAGUGCACUGGACUGCCCUUUUACUUUAGUCCAUAUUCAAAUAGGGUUUGUAAUUAAAAGAGAAUUUAAAAAAAAAAGAAUUCGCAAAUCAGUAAAUAGCUCCUACUUUUUCAAGCUCAAUAUAAUUCCAAUUCAAUUUACAGAAAAAUGAUCAUAUCUCAAAAUUCUUUUGGUUUUACAUUAUAUCUGAUAUUUAUAUUACGAUUUGAUUAAAUUCCGAUUCGCACUUUAUAGGAUUCUUCUCUGAAGACUAAACUUUCAAACUAAUUUUUUGGAUUCCUCGCUCGAACAUUACUCUUUUUGAUUCAAUGUUUCAAACUUUUAUUUAAAAAUUCUGGACCCAAAAAUAUUAUUUCUUUUCAGCACACUGAAUGCUAUUUCUGGAAAAGAAGGCAGACGCAGACUCCGCCAAAAUUAUAAUUUACUCUUUUUAUAAUGACAUAAAAUUUUUUUUAGUCCGUAUAAAGAAAAAUGAUUCAUCUUUUUUGGUAAUACUUGAAUCAGAUGAUUAACAAAUGAGUGAAUAUAGACUUAAUUGAACUGAAUCAAAAAUAGGUUAAACGAAGAGUCAUGGCUCAGCAUGUCAAACUCAAUACAAAACUUUCAUUUCUUUGUCUGUUUCUCUUAAUUUGUUUAAUUAUCUAAGAAUUUUUUUCUGUAUUACGACUUAUUAUAAAAUAUCAAAAACGAUAAAAAUUGUAUAUUUUGACAAGAUUUUUAUGAGCUAAUUUAGAUUACAUAUUAGCAAUUUAACACAAGUUUUAAAUGAAUUGAAUUUGAUUGGUCAAAAUGGGUUGACUUGAGUUAUUCAAACUUAAAUAUAUUGUACGAGUAUGUAUUUCCUUGGGCCAAUUUUGUCAACUCUAUGUUAAACUACGCCGAUAAGAUAAAAUUAGAGUUACAGCCUGAAUAUCUUUGUUCCUACUCAUCAUGCAUCACUAUCAAUUAAGCACAUUUGAACUUUAUGAAUUAAACCUAAUCCUGAUAUUUUGCAAGUGCUAGUAAUUAAUCAUGACAAUUCAAACUUCCACUAAAGCUAUCUAUGUGAGAAAAAAAGGCAAAUUAAGGUGGGUAAUACAAUAUAUAUCUAGUAACAACCAAUAUCAACAAGUAAAAUGGAAGCUCCUAAUUUAUUAAGUUUGUAAACCACACCAUUGUUGCACACGAUCGAGCUAAAAUGGAGAUAAUAGAUUUUGUUGCAACGUAGGAAUCAAAAUCAAUUCAAAAUUCUCUUACUAGAUAGCACUUUUAUAUAUGGAAUUGGGGAUUUUGCUAGUUCGUUUUAUGAAUGUUCACUUUAUUGAAUCCAAGUCAAUAAAUUGUUUUUUGAAUGGAAUGUCGUUUAGUUUAGCCUAAAAAUAUCACUUGGAGGAAACAUAAUAUUAUUUUUAGCAUACUUAAGGCAAAAUUGAAUGGUUAUUUUUAUUAUAAAAAGUUGUUCACUGACUUUUUGAAAUAUUUAUUAAAUGUAAAGUUGAGUGACUUUUUUAUCUAAUAAUUAGAGAAGCUAAUUUAGUUUUUAUGUAUAUAUAUUAGAUGUUGAACCCCCUCGAUUAGUUUUUAUAUUCACUUAUGAAUCCCCUUAGUGAAAAUCCUAGCUCCGCCACUGCUGUAUACCACAUGUAUUUUUUCAUUGUCUUAUAUAUGCUCAACUCAAGAGGGAUCCGUGACCUAAACACACAUAUAUACAUAUAGCCCUUAAGUUGCGUGUUUGCUUUAUGCAACUGGAAUUAAAUUAAAUAACAUAACGAAGUUGGCAUCUGGAUAAUUAAUAACUUCUUGAAAAUAUUUCCAAUCUGGUCUAGCCGUUAGGAAAGCAAUUACAGAAAAAGAGAAAAAAAAUCACGUUUGUUUACAAACCAAAACAAUAUAUACGACAGAAAAUUUCAUUAAGAAUAGAAGAUCAGAAGAUAAAUUCAAUAAUCCAUAGAGGAAGCUGCAAGCAAAGUGCUUCAAUUAAUAAAAUAACAAUAAAGAGCGGAUUAUUGUGGAAAAAUGCUGCGAAUAUAAUUAAGUAAAUAAAAGUGUGUUCGCUUUAAUAUACUAAAUUUUUAAACAAGAUGAUCACACACUUUAAUAUCAUAUUGAAAACAAAUCUAACCACCAUCUAUCAUCAGAAGAAUUUUCAUCGACCCAUUGAAAAAAUGGAACUCAUAUGCACAUUAAACACUUCAAUAUUAACCUAGUAAGGCAAAAAUCCCGAGAAGAUGCUUAUCGAGACCUUAUUUUCAACUAAGUAUCAAUCCCUAGAAAUUUUUUUAAAAAAUGGGCUAGCUAAUUACAUGACAAAUGCUGCAUGAAUAAUUACAAUUAACACGCUAUAUAAUUACAUAUACAUUUCAUCUCGUGAUUCAGAAAAUUAAAAUACAAAAGGAAAACGAAUCAAAGACUUUGACUUGGGGAUUUAUGUGGGAAAUGACAAAAUCCGACAUAUACUUUUUUAAUAUCUUCUCUAUAUUCCUGAUAACGAUUCUUCUGUUUAAUUUGGAAUUUGGUGCGUGAUUAAUUAAUAAAUGAAGUAGCUAACUUGGCACUUGGCAGCAGUUAACAGAAUAUUUAACCUUUUUUUCUUGUAAUAUAGCUAAAUAAUAAAAGAGACACAUCCAACUAGACAACUAGACAUAAGGUUAGUGGAAUUCUGUAUAUAUUUUACAUUUUAGUAAUAUGUUUUGUAUGAAUUCUUAACGCUAUACAGCUCUUGUUUCGAAAUUUAAAUUAAUCCACAGUAAUUAAAUAUUAAAAUAUAAUUAUUUGAUUUAGAGAAGUUAAAUUUUGAAGUGAAAAUGUGAUGGAAUAUAAUGUUAACGAGUCUGAAUGUGGGUGAGACUUCAUGAACAUAUGUAGUAACUAGUAUACGCUUAAGUUUAAGUUCGUAGGUGUCAGAUAGACGGAUUAAAUUGAAAUCAUUAUAACAUAAAACAAUCAUCACUGUCUGCCCUUGGUGUGCUAUUACCAUUGCCAAUAUUAUUCUGAAAUCACUAUGUGCAACCACCAUCAUCAUCCUCGUAACACUUCCAUCACCAACUUCUAUCGCUCAACCACCACAAUCACCACCACCUGUAUAUAAUAGUACGCACCAAGAACAACCACAUGUAGGUGCGGAGCCAGCAUAUAUUUAGAGGGUUUCAAACUUCUCUGGACGAAAAAUUACAUUAUUUAUACAUGGUUAAAUUAUUUUUUAUGUUUAUAUAUAGUAGAUAUUGAACCCCUUUAGCUAGUUCGCGUGUACAUUUUAAACCCCUUAAUGAAAAUUUUGGCUUCGCCACUGACCACGUGAACCGCCUCCACUAGCAAAUACCACUAAUGACCAACUCAACACCAUGCCGCCCCACAACACCAGGCAAUGUAUUGUCAGGCAAGACAAAACACUAAUGCUCAUUGUCAUUGCGCCAAAAAUCCUAGUGUGUUUCAUCAAACAAACAGGUUUACCAGCAUGGGUUGUGGUGUAGAGGUGGGACAACUCCACCCUUAAUUAAAGGUCUCGGGUUCGAGUCCUGGGUAUGGAGAAAAUUCUAUUGGGAGCGCCACCCCCUAGAAUGGGCCCUACAGUGCACGAUCUGGAUUAGUCGGGUCUCUAAUGUGGGUACCGAACACCGGUUAGGAAACAGAAAAAAGGUUUAAUUUGUAUUAUUUGUUAUGAAAUAUAAAGCAAAGAGGAAGAAGAAUAGAGAGAGAAGAGAAGAGACUUCUUUAUUUCUCGUGGAGAUUCUUGAUGGGUUAAUUAGAAUGAAGGAAAACCUUGAUUCCUAGAAGACGUACCUUUUAGUCGAGUCAUCUCCCUUGAUUCCUAGAAGACGUACCUUUUAGUCGAGUNNNNNNNNNNNNNNNNNNNNNNNNNNNNNNNNNNNNNNNNNNNNNNNNNNNNNNNNNNNNNNNNNNNNNNNNNNNNNNNNNNNNNNNNNNNNNNNNNNNNNNNNNNNNNNNNNNNNNNNNNNNNNNNNNNNNNNNNNNNNNNNNNNNNNGUACCUUUUAGUCGAGUCAUUCCCUUUGACUCCUAGAAGACGUAUCUUUUAGUCGAGUCAUUUCCUCUGAUUCCUAUAAGACGUACCUUUUAGUCGAGUCAUUCCCUUUGAUUCCUAUAAGACAUACCCUUUAGUCGAGUCAUUUCCUCUGAUUCCUAUAAGACGUACCUUUUAGUCGAGUCAUCUCCUUUGAUUCCUAGAAAACGUACCUUUUAGUUGAGUCAUUCCCCUUGACCCCUAGAAGACGUACCAAUUAGUCGAGUCAUCCCCCUUGAUUCCUAUAAGGCAUACCUUUUAAUCGAGUUAUCCCCCUUUGAUUCCUAUAAGACGUACCUUUUAGUCGAGUCAUCUCCCUUUGAUUCCUAUAAGACGUACCUUUUAGUCGAGUCAUCUCCCUUUGAUUCCUAUAAGACGUACCUUUUAGUCGAGUCAUCUCCCUUUGAUUCCUAUAAGACGUACCUUUUAGUCGAGUCAUUCCCCUUGACCCCUAGAAGACGUACCAAUUAGUCGAGUCAUCCCCCUUGAUUCCUAUAAGGCAUACCUUUUAAUCGAGUCAUUUCCCUUGACCCAUAGAAGGCGUACCUUUUAGUCGAGUCAUUUCCCUUGACCCCUAGAAGACGUACCUUUUAGUCGAGUCAACUCCCCUGAUUCCUAUAAGACAUACCUUUUAGUCGAGUCAUUCCCCUUGAUUCCUAUAAAAUGUACCUUUCAGUCGAGUCAUUCCCCUUGAUUCCUAUAAGGCGUACCUUUUAGUCGAGUCAUGCUCCUUAAUUCCUAUAAUGAUGUGACUUUCAUCAAAGUCCUUUGAUGAUAAACUGGGGCAAAAUUUAAUUCUUGUUUUUGGAACUUUACUUUUCUGGCAAACGAAAUUUCUCUUUAUAAUAAUUUUUGUUUGGGUUGGGAUAAUUUUCUUUCCAGUUUUGAUGUGAUUUCAGGAGCCUUCCCGAAGCACAGGGCGAAUAAAUGGAAAACCAAGCAACAAAGUGAAGAAAUUAAAAGUUAAACAGAUUGAAAAAUAGCAAGUGGGGUGAAGAAAUUGAAAGCAUAGCAAAAAGUUGAUGAAAUAGCAAGUCAGGAACCCGCCCGGAGAACAGGGUGUAGAAAUUGAAAGGCAAGCAACAAGUUGAAGAAAUUGCAAGUCAGAAGCCCGCCUGAAUAAUAGGGUGAUGAAACUCAAGUCAAGAGUCCAAAAGAAGCUGUAUAGAUAGGAUUUUUGUGAUUUUCAUUUUUGUUUAACUUGUAAUUUUCAUUUUUGAUGUAAUGACAGAGCCGCGGACCGGAACCUCGACGGGACCUCACUCGACUCCCCAACUCGAUAAUGUCCAUCUCCUUCCAAUCCUUUAAGAUACCUGGGACUUGACUCCCUCAUAACUUGGGUAGGUAGGAUGUCCUAAGUCAAGACUUGGUUGUCCUUCUUGCUUUGAAUAAUGAUCAGGUCAAAAUUCUGUCUCGUUGUCUACUUCUUUGAAUGAAAACACUUUGUGUUUACAUGCAAAGAGGGGUAUGAUGUAGACACGUAAUUUUGUCCCUCCCCGAAAAUAUUUUUACCAUUUUACCUUAUUCUACCGCGUACCCUCAACCAUGUAAUUAUCCCUCCAUAAAAUGACAAAAAUAACAACCCUUAAUAAAUUUUACCUUGUUCUAAUCCUAUCCUAACAACCUCUCCAAUUAAAAGCGGACACCUUAGCACCCCUACCCCUGCCACGUGACCCCCCCUAAAUCACAUUUUUCCAUCUUUGGUUAUAAUAACAGAUUACUAGGACCCAGGGAAGGAUUUAAUAAUAACAUAUACACUCACAGGCCCCACCACUAAAAAAAAGACCAUUAAUACACUCAUCCUCACCAACACUCACCAGAAAUUUGCCAAAACCCACAACACUGUCACACCCCUUUUUACGUACUCUAAAAAAAUGGUUAUAAAUUAAUGUUUGAAAGGGUUUUAAUUAUUAAAGUGAUAAAAUAUGAAAAUUUAUUUCGGAAAAGGAUUAUUUACAUUUUUUACUCAGAGUCGCCACAUGGCAUAAUCUGGCAUGCCAAGUCACCAUUAGAAAAUCCUUUUUAAAACCGUUUGACUCUUUGAACUGGUUUACGAACAGAGAUUCCGGCUAAGGAAUUCUAUUGACCGAGGGGAAGGUAUUAGGCACCUCUCGAUCCCGUGGUUCAACCACGGUCGCUAGGUAGGGUGUAUCAACUAUUUUGACACUACGAAAUGUAUCAACCACACAGAGGCACGCAAANNNNNNNNNNNNNNNNNNNNNNNNNNNNNNNNNNNNNNNNNNNNNNNNNNNNNNNNNNNNNNNNNNNNNNNNUCCGGGGUAUGAAAAGAAAUGCAGAAAUAUAAACCUAUGCUAAAUUAAUUCUAAACUAAUGUUCUACCCGACGCCUCGGGCCUUCAUCACGAACGUCCUCCGGAUACAUGAUACCUCGGGGCAUUCCCCGGGGACUAAAUAUAUACAGAUACUUCGGGGCAUUCCCCUGCCAAAUUAUACAAUUGAAUCUCAAUGCAUAAAUCAGAACCAUUCCACAAAUAUUUCAAACAUUCCAACAAUCCAUCAAUUCUAAAUUUUGCCUACCCGAACCUACCUUUACCUAUCUAUUUGAUCCAAAUGUGAUAUUAUCAAAACUUAACAAAUCCAACGCCUAAUUUACAACAAAACAAACAUCAAUCAAUCAAUACGAACAAAUCACAUUAAUUUUUCUAUCCGUUUCCCAUUCUCACCUCGAUUUUGUUAACUAAUUACCGAUUUCAAUUAUCCACAAGAUAUCGUUUUCAUCCAAAUUGCACCGUUCGAGAUCAAUCAUUCAACACAAGCACAUAUCGCAGCAAAUCAAUCCAAAAAUCACAGAACACAGUCACAUGGAAUUUAAGAAAAAUAGAGUUAGAAAUUGGACAUUUCGGGAUCAAAGUGUUGUUUCGAUUAAAUAAGAUGAACCAACGGACCAAAAACCGAGAAAACCUCAACUCGAGCAAUCUCAACCUCGAAUGAUGCCAAUCGACCAAUCCUCAAUACGAACCCCAAAACCACCAAAUAACGAGACGAAUCAACCACGAAAACCCCCUAAGAAAUCUGAUUUGAACGCAGUUUCUUGAAGAAGACGAAUCUCGAAAACAACACACAUAAAAAUCCAAGCGGAAUACCAACACAUAUACGAUUCAAAAGGAAUUUUGGGAAAGAUUGAUUUCUGGUGACGUCGUUUUCCGAUUGCUUUUCGCCGGAAUAGCGAUAAACCGUCACUAGGCAUCUCCCGAUGGCUGACCGAAUAAAAUUUCGAUGGAUUUCCCGUGAGAUACUCGCCGUUAAUUGAUCCCUCUAUUUUUCUCUCUCUCUCUCUCAUGCUCAAUCUCUCUUAAUUUCCUUCGAUUUUCAUCCUCUCUCUUCAAUCACACUCCGACUCAAUCCCCUCAAACUUAUGUCUCAAUCUCUCUGAAUUUUCCACCUUUCACUAUGUGUGUGGGCGCUUAUGUUAGUGUGUUUGUUGUGACUGUGUGUUUGUGUAUAUCGAUGGAUGUGCGAGUGAUGAGUGAUGAAUGAAAAAAAAGGAAGAAGAUGAGUGUGUGUCCCCUGUGUGUAACGAAAAAUGGCUUUUUGUGAGGUGAGUCCCGUCUGUGUAUGGGUGUGUGAAUAGAAUUGAGAAUGGUGUUGUUGUGUUUGGGAGCCCAGAAGCCCAAGAAGAAGAAAAGAAUGGUGUCUGACCCCCUUUUUUUAAAAAAAAAACUCCUCAUAUGGUCCCUUUGUGUGUGUAUAUAUGUUGUGAGGUGAGGGUGGGGUAGUGAGGUUAGGUAGGUGGGGUCACAUGGGGUAGGGGGUAGGGUGUGAUGUGGUUUAUUUUGAUUGGAUGGGUUGUUAGGAUAAGAUGUAGGGGUUAGGAUAGGAUAGGAAUUGUUAGGGAGUUUGUUAUUUUUUUUGUAUUUUGUGAGGGUAUAAUAACAUGGGUGAGGGUACACGGUAGGAUAAAAUAAAAACGGGUAAAAGUGAAUAAAAAUUGAACUUUUAAGGUAAAAAUGGGUAAAACGACAUCGGGGAGGGAUGAAAUUAGGUGUCUACAUCAUGCCCCCUUUGAAUGUAAACAUGAAGUGUUUUCAGACAAAGAAGUAGACAACGAGACUGAAUUUUGUCUCAAUCAUUAUUCAAAGAGAGGAGUAAAAGAAGGAAGGACAAUCGACUCCUGUCGGAUACCCUAUCUACCCAAAUCAUGAGAGAAUCAAGUCACGGGUAUUUCGAAGGAUUGGAAGAGAAGUGGGCUAUACCGAGUUGGAGAGUCGAGUGAGGUUCCAUCGAGGUUACGGUUCGUGGCUCUGUUAUUACAUCAAAAAUGAAAAUUUAACAAGUUAAAACAUAAAUGAAAUUACAANNNNNNNNNNNNNNNNNNNNNNNNNNNNNNNNNNNNNNNNNNNNNNNNNNNNNNNNNNNNNNNNNNNNNNNNNNNNNNNNNNNNNNNNNNNNNNNNNNNNNNNNNNNNNNNNNNNNNNNNNNNNNNNNNNNNNNNNNNNNNNNNNNNNNNNNNNNNNNNNNNNNNNNNNNNNNNNNNNNNNNNNNNNNNNNNNNNNNNNNNNNNNNNNNNNNNNNNNNNNNNNNNNNNNNNNNNNNNNNNNNNNNNNNNNNNNNNNNNNNNNNNUUGCUAUUUCAUCACCCUGUUCUCCAGGCGGGCUCCUGACUUGCUAUUUCAUCACCCUGUUCUUCAGGCGGGCUCCUGAAACCCAAAAUUAAAACUAGAACGAAAAUUAUCCCAAAAAUUAUAGUAAAGUAGUAUUUUAUUUUUUGAAAGGGUUGUCCCAUUUUCCAGGAGGGUACUGAACAGAAAGUAACAUCCCAUUUUUCAGGAGGGUCCUGAAUUGAAAGUAAAUUCCCAUUUUUCAGGAGGGUCCUGAGCAGAAAGCGAAAUCCCAUUUUUCAGGAGCGUUUUGAACAGAAAGUAAAAUUCCAUUUUUCAGGAGGGUCCUGAACAUAAAGUAGAAUCCCUUUUUUCAGGAGGGUCCUGAACAUAAAGUAAAAUCCCAUUUUUCAGGAGGGUCCUGAAUUGAAAGUAAAUUCCCAUUUUUCAGGAGGGUCCUGAGCAGAAAGCGAAAUCCCAUUUUUCAGGAGCGUUUUGAACAGAAAGUAAAAUUCCAUUUUUCAGGAGGGUCCUGAACANNNNNNNNNNNNNNNNNNNNNNNNNNNNNNNNNNNNNNNNNNNNNNNNNNNNNNNNNNNNNNNNNNNNNNNNNNNNNNNNNNNNNNNNNNNNNNNNNNNNNNNNNNNNNNNNNNNNNNNNNNNNNNNNNNNNNNNNGUCCUGAACUGAAAGUAAAUUCUCAUUUUUCAAGAGGGUCCUGAACAAAAGUAAAAUUUCAUUUUUCAAGAGGGUCCUGUAUAGAAAGUAAAAUCUCAUUUUUCAGGAGGGUCCUGAGCAUAAAGUAAAAUCCCAUUUUUCAGGAGGGUCCUGAGCAUAAAGUAAAAUCUCAUUUUUCAGGAGGGUCCUGAGCAUAAAGUAAAAUCCCAUUUUUCAGGAGGGUCCUGAGCAUAAAGUAAAAUCUCAUUUUUCAGGAGGGUCCUGAGCAUAAAGUAAAAUCCCAUUUUUCAGGAGGGUCCUGAGCAGAAAGUAAAAUUCCAUUUUUCAGAAGGGUCUUGUGCAUAAAGUAAAAUCCCAUUUUUCAGGAGGGUCUUGAACAAAAAGUAAAAUCCCAUUUUUCAGGAGGGUCCUGAACAGAGAGUAAAAUCUCAUUUUUCAGGAGGGUCCUGAACAUAAAGUAGAAUCCCCUUUUUCAGGAGGGUCCUGAACAUAAAGUAAAUUUCUAUUUUUCAAGAGGGUCCUGAACAGAAAGUAAAUUUCCAUUUUUCAGGAGGGUCCUGAACUGAAAGUAAAUUCACUGAACAGAACGUAAAAUCCCAUUUUUCAGGAGGGUCCUGAACAGAAAGUAAAUUCCCAUUUUUCAGGAGGGUCCUGAACUGAAAGUAAAUUCUCAUUUUUCAAGAGGGUCCUGAACAAAAGUAAAAUUUCAUUUUUCAAGAGGGUCCUGUAUAGAAAGUAAAAUCUCAUUUUUCAGGAGGGUCCUGAACUGAAAGUAAAUUCCCAUUUUUCAGGAGGGUCCUGAACAUAAAGUAAAAUUACUGAACAGAAAGAAAAUCUAAUUUUUCAGGAGGGUCCUGAACAGAAAGUAAAGUUCCAUUUCAGGAGGGUCCUGUACAUAAAGUAAAAUCCCAUUUUUCAGGAGGGUCCUGGACAUAAAGUAAAAUCCCACGAAUGUGCAUUUCCAAUCGUAGCUGAAUCAAGUGAAAAGAAUUUGCCCCUGUUUCAAUAAAGAAAAUUUGUCAGUUAAAAAAAACUUAGUGGUGGCUUGCAGCUCUUGGCUUCUCAUGUAUCUGCCCCAGCACUCACUCCUUUCAUCUUUGUUCUAAAUUGCUAACACCUGCUCUGUCUUGCUGCAUCAUCGACCCGGAUCCAGAUUGAAGGAAAUGAGUUCUGACUCAAACAAUGGGUUUCCAUUUUACUAUGCCCCUGAGAUGCACUCUUUUCCCAAAUCUGAAUGCUUCUACGAAUCCAAUAGCCUGGCGGUUUAUAGACUUCCUUUGCUUCGUGUUGAAUUACGAUCAUAUUUCUUUCCUGUACUGUUCCUUGGAUUUUCCUUAUAUAAUUGGAAAGACUUGUAGUAAAUUUUGAAAUCCUUUCUCGCUUGUUUUGAGACAGACUUGACUUAAAAUGUAAAGAAAAUGAUGAUGACUUUUAUUUUUGAUAAAUGACAUAAAAGACAAAACAUGAAUAUGUAAAUGAAAGAAAAGGGCAAUGUCCCAUAUUCAAAAAGAAAACUUAUCUAAAUACGACAACCAACGCCAAUGAUUAUGACAUGCAUUUUGGAUUGAGCUGCCUGAUCUUUCUAUCCAAACUCCCCAUUUGUUAUUGAGUUCAUGCCUUUGCUGCUGAGCCAUUUCCUCAAAUCCAUUGGACUCCUACAUCACAUUCGAUUGACGACAUCUUAAAAGAUUUUCGCCAACGAAGCUCUUUCUUCUCACUUUUCACCUUUCUCUUGAACUCUCCAUCGCCUUACAGUGCCCGUGAGGGUUUUCACCAAUAAGACUCUCUCAUUUUAUUUCUCUCCACUCACCAUCGCUUUAUGGUGCCUGCAAAGGUUUUCACCAAUAAGACUCUCUCAUUUUAUUUCUCUCCACUCACCAUCGCCUUAUGGUGCCUACAAAGGUUUUCACCAAUAAGACUUUUCUCUUGAACUCUCCAUCGCCUUACGGUACCCGUGAGGGUUUUUACCAAUAAGACUCUCUCAUUUUUAUUUUCUCUCAACUCACCAUCGCCUUAUGAUGCCCACGGGGGUUUUCACCAAUAAGACUCUCUCAUUUUUAUUUUCUCUCAACUCACCAUCGCCUUAUGAUGCCCACAGGGUUUUUACCAAUAAGAAUCUCAUUUUUGUAUUUCUUUCCUGAUUUUUUAUGCUGAGGGAGACAAGUGGUACUUCACAAUGUAUCAUCAAUAUCCAUUGCAUGCUUAGCCUUAACAUUAUCAAAAAUUGAUCUGAAGGGCUUUCUUUUGUUGUAACUUGGCUUUUGGUUAAGGUUAGAAAAAAUGGUAAGAGGCUCAAAUGAUACUUGAAAUGGGGGUGGGACUUACAACUUUUGGAAUCGACUCAAACUACACAUUAACUCAUGCCCCAGUUUUGUUGACUGGGUGAAUCUUAANNNNNNNNNNNNNNNNNNNNNNNNNNNNNNNNNNNNNNNNNNNNNNNNNNNNNNNNNNNNNNNNNNNNNNNNNNNNNNNNNNNNNNNNNNNNNNNNNNNNNNNNNNNNNNNNNNNNNNNNNNNNNNNNNNNNNNNNNNNNNNNNNNNNNNNNNNNNNNNNNNNNNNNNNNNNNNNNNNNNNNNNNNNNNNNNNNNNNNNNNNNNNNNNNNNNNNNNNNNNNNNNNNNNNNNNNNNNNNNNNNNNNNNNNNNNNNNNNNNNNNNNNNNNNNNNNNNNNNNNNNNNNNNNNNNNNNNNNNNNNNNNNNNNNNNNNNNNNNNNNNNNNNNNNNNNNNNNNNNNNNNNNNNNNNNNNNNNNNNNNNNNNNNNNNNNNNNNNNNNNNNNNNNNNNNNNNNNNNNNNNNNNNNNNNNNNNNNNNNNNNNNNNNNNNNNNNNNNNNNNNNNNNNNNNNNNNNNNNNNNNNNNNNNNNNNNNNNNNNNNNNNNNNNNNNNNNNNNNNNNNNNNNNNNNNNNNNNNNNNNNNNNNNNNNNNNNNNNNNNNNNNNNNNNNNNNNNNNNNNNNNNNNNNNNNNNNNNNNNNNNNNNNNNNNNNNNNNNNNNNNNNNNNNNNNNNNNNNNNNNNNNNNNNNNNNNNNNNNNNNNNNNNNNNNNNNNNNNNNNNNNNNNNNNNNNNNNNNNNNNNNNNNNNNNNNNNNNNNNNNNNNNNNNNNNNNNNNNNNNNNNNNNNNNNNNNNNNNNNNNNNNNNNNNNNNNNNNNNNNNNNNNNNNNNNNNNNNNNNNNNNNNNNNNNNNNNNNNNNNNNNNNNNNNNNNNNNNNNNNNNNNNNNNNNNNNNNNNNNNNNNNNNNNNNNNNNNNNNNNNNNNNNNNNNNNNNNNNNNNNNNNNNNNNNNNNNNNNNNNNNNNNNNNNNNNNNNNNNNNNNNNNNNNNNNNNNNNNNNNNNNNNNNNNNNNNNNNNNNNNNNNNNNNNNNNNNNNNNNNNNNNNNNNNNNNNNNNNNNNNNNNNNNNNNNNNNNNNNNNNNNNNNNNNNNNNNNNNNNNNNNNNNNNNNNNNNNNNNNNNNNNNNNNNNNNNNNNNNNNNNNNNNNNNNNNNNNNNNNNNNNNNNNNNNNNNNNNNNNNNNNNNNNNNNNNNNNNNNNNNNNNNNNNNNNNNNNNNNNNNNNNNNNNNNNNNNNNNNNNNNNNNNNNNNNNNNNNNNNNNNNNNNNNNNNNNNNNNNNNNNNNNNNNNNNNNNNNNNNNNNNNNNNNNNNNNNNNNNNNNNNNNNNNNNNNNNNNNNNNNNNNNNNNNNNNNNNNNNNNNNNNNNNNNNNNNNNNNNNNNNNNNNNNNNNNNNNNNNNNNNNNNNNNNNNNNNNNNNNNNNNNNNNNNNNNNNNNNNNNNNNNNNNNNNNNNNNNNNNNNNNNNNNNNNNNNNNNNNNNNNNNNNNNNNNNNNNNNNNNNNNNNNNNNNNNNNNNNNNNNNNNNNNNNNNNNNNNNNNNNNNNNNNNNNNNNNNNNNNNNNNNNNNNNNNNNNNNNNNNNNNNNNNNNNNNNNNNNNNNNNNNNNNNNNNNNNNNNNNNNNNNNNNNNNNNNNNNNNNNNNNNNNNNNNNNNNNNNNNNNNNNNNNNNNNNNNNNNNNNNNNNNNNNNNNNNNNNNNNNNNNNNNNNNNNNNNNNNNNNNNNNNNNNNNNNNNNNNNNNNNNNNNNNNNNNNNNNNNNNNNNNNNNNNNNNNNNNNNNNNNNNNNNNNNNNNNNNNNNNNNNNNNNNNNNNNNNNNNNNNNNNNNNNNNNNNNNNNNNNNNNNNNNNNNNNNNNNNNNNNNNNNNNNNNNNNNNNNNNNNNNNNNNNNNNNNNNNNNNNNNNNNNNNNNNNNNNNNNNNNNNNNNNNNNNNNNNNNNNNNNNNNNNNNNNNNNNNNNNNNNNNNNNNNNNNNNNNNNNNNNNNNNNNNNNNNNNNNNNNNNNNNNNNNNNNNNNNNNNNNNNNNNNNNNNNNNNNNNNNNNNNNNNNNNNNNNNNNNNNNNNNNNNNNNNNNNNNNNNNNNNNNNNNNNNNNNNNNNNNNNNNNNNNNNNNNNNNNNNNNNNNNNNNNNNNNNNNNNNNNNNNNNNNNNNNNNNNNNNNNNNNNNNNNNNNNNNNNNNNNNNNNNNNNNNNNNNNNNNNNNNNNNNNNNNNNNNNNNNNNNNNNNNNNNNNNNNNNNNNNNNNNNNNNNNNNNNNNNNNNNNNNNNNNNNNNNNNNNNNNNNNNNNNNNNNNNNNNNNNNNNNAGGCUUUGUCAGGAUGUUGGAGCAUUGAAGACAGAGUGGCUAAAGCAUCAGCAAUUUCAUUAUGAAUCCUUGGAAUAUGCCUAAAUUUUACUAACACAAACCGUUGACAUAGCUCCUGCAAGCAUUGUUGAUACGGGAUGAGCUUCAAAUCUCGCGUCUCCCAAUAACCUUGAAUUUGAUGGACGAACAAAUCAGAAUCUCCCAACACUAGUAAUUCCUGGACUCCCAUAUCAACAGCUAACCUCAAACCAAGAAUACAGGCUUCAUACUCUGCCAUAUUAUUAGUACAGUAGAAUCAAAGUUGUGCUGUUACCGGGAAAUGUUGUCCCGACUCAAAGAUAAGAACCGCACCUAUUUCGACCCCUUUCAUAUUGACAGCUCCAUCAAAAAAUAACCUCCAACCAGGAUCAGCAUCUAUAACGACUUCAUCGACACACGACACUUUUUCGUUCGAAAAAUAUGUCUUUAAUGGCUCGUACUCUUCAUCAAUGGGAUUCUCAGCAAGAUGAUCUGCCAGGGCUUGGGUUUUCAUGGUGGUUCGAGUCACAUAUAUAAUGUUGAACUCGGUAAGCAAUAUUUUCCACUUUGCCAAUCGACCCGUUGGCAUAGGCUUCUGAAAAUCAAAGGAUCCAUGCGGGAGAUGAGAUAAGUAGUAUAGGAUGAGAGAUAAUGCUUCAACUUCUGUGCUAUCCAAGUUAGGGCACAACACGUCCUUUCAAGAAGAGUAUACCUGGCCUUAUAUGCGGUGAACUUCUUGCUAAGAUAAUAAAUAGCCGGCUCUUUUUUGCCUGUUACAUCAUGUUGACCCAAGACACAACCGAAAGAAUUUUUCAUGACUGAUAAAUAUAAGAUCAAAGGCCUACCAGGCUCUGAGGGUACCAGCACGGGUGGAUUUGACAAAUAUCUUUUGAUUCGAUCGAACGCUUCCUGACAUUCUUUAGUCCAUUUUACCGCAGCACUCUUUUUCAGCAACUUGAAUAUGGGCUCACAAGUGGUUGUGAGUUGAGCAAUAAACCUGCUAAUGUAUUUCAGUCUACCAAAUAAACUCAUCACCUCCGUUCUAUUCUUGGGCGGGGGCAAAUCCUGAAUGGCUUUGAUUUUCGAGGGAUCCAAUUCAAUUCCUUGACGGCUGACUACAAACCCCAACAGCUUUCCAGAUGGAACUCCAAAGACAUAUUUCGCCGGGUUGAGUUUGAGAUUAUACCUGCGAAGCCUUUCAAAGAACUUUCUUAAAUCUUUAACGUGGUUGGCCUGAAUUUUUGACUUAAUAAUCACAUCAUCCACGUAGACCUCAAUCUCCUUAUGCAUCAUAUCAUGAAAUAUAGUGGUCAUGGCUCUCAUGUAUGUUGCUCCAGCAUUCUUCAAACUGAACGGCAUCACUCGAUAACAAUAAGUUCCCCAUGGUAUGAUAAAAGAUGUCUUCUUCACGUCUUCAUCAUCCAUAAUGAUCUGGUGAUAUACGGCAUAGCAAUCCACAAAAGAGGCGACCUCAUGUUAGCACAGUUUUCUAACGAAAUGUGAAUGUUGGGCAGUGGAAAAUCAUCUUUUGGACUUGCUCUGUUCAAAUCACGGUAAUCAAUACACACUCAAAUUUUGCCAUCUUUCUUUGGUACGGGAACAACAUUGGAUAACCAUAUGGGAUAGCNNNNNNNNNNNNNNNNNNNNNNNNNNNNNNNNNNNNNNNNNNNNNNNNNNNNNNNUACUUACAUCUAUUUUAAACUUCCUCAACUUCUGUUUGACAGGAGGGAAUGCGGGAUCAGUUGGCAAUUUGUGAGCCACUAAUUCAGUGCUUAAAUUAGGCAUAUCAUCAUAAGACCAUGCAAAAACAUCCUUAUAAUCAAUUAAUGCUUGAAUCAUUUCACCUUUUAGCUGUGGCAAAAAAUGUACACUAAUUUUAGUUUCCCUAACAUCUUCUUGAUCCCCUAGAUUUAUUGGCUCAGUAUCAUUCAAAUUAGGAUUCGGUUUGUCUUCAAAUUGUUCCAACUCUUUGCUUAUUUCUUUUAAUGCUUCUUAUUCAUCAUAUUCUCCAUCCUGCUUCAUUACAUCUUGCUUAGUUUGGAUUUUAAGAUCAGGCUGAAAAUUUCGCAUGCAUGUCAUGUCAUUAGAAUCAGCAUAAAGAGAACUGUGUAAAAAAAGAAAAAUAAAAUAUAUUAGACACGAAAUAAAAGGGACAUUGCAUUUCAUUAAAUAGAAAGAUAGAAGGGUUUAAACCUAGAUACCAACAUAACAUAAACAAACUAAAAUCUGAAUUACAACCCUGAAAUAACUCGGAUAAACAGAAAGAAAAACAAAAUAAACUACCAAAACUCCCUCCUGACGGGGAGAGGAGUGACUUCCCAAUUAUUGAGCCGGACAGCUGGACCUAUGAAUUACACGUCUGCCAUACUGGUACCUUCUCCUGCUUCAACCAUAUCGACUUCAAUACAAAGGUUCUGGAAGUCAUCAACCAAUUCAACCUCAAAUUCCACAUGCUUCGUGACACCGCUCUUAACAAAUGAUUCACUGAGUAGUGGCAUUGGGCNNNNNNNNNNNNNNNNNNNNNNNNNNNNNNNNNNNNNNNNNNNNNNNNNNNNNAGCUGUAGGCUCAAAUCCCAGACCAAACGUGCCCACGUUCUCACUCGAACAUAUGGGAUGAACUAUACCGUGCAGAGAUGCUCCCAAACCCUUUCCUGGCUCAAAUCCGUAUUUCCAAAGUUCACUCACCAUCAUGAUAGAAGCAGAAGACAAUUGCGAUCCCGAUAUAGCCUGCCAUUCAAGGAUACGAUUCACUUGCACUGCAUAAAAAAUUUGAUAGACGAAUGUCUCCUCUACGCUAUUUGCUUCAAUAAGAGACAAGGAAGAAUCUUCGUAGGCUAAAAAAUCUCCUUCACCAUGAAUAACUACUUCUUUCCUGUCAUGAUCAAACUUAAUCAUUUGGUGCAGUGUAGAUGCAACCGCCUUGGCCUUGUGGAUCCACGGCCUUCCCAACAACAGAUUGUAAGAGGAUUCUACCUUCAAUACUUGAAACUCUAUGGCAAAAUCAACAGGCCCUAUGGUCAACAUUAGUUCUAUUUCGCCAAUGGAAUUUGAUUUUGCACCAUCGAAAGCCCUAACACAUACAUUGUUGGGCCUGAUCCUGUCAGCACCAAUAUUCAACUUUUGCAAAGUAGAAAUAGGGCAAAUAUUUGCACCUGAACCUCCAUCAAUCAUAACAUGAGUGACGUAGAAAUCUUCACACUUCACUGUAAUGUAAAGGCCCCGGUUAUGCCCUGUACCUUCAACAGGCAAUUCCUUAUCAGAAAAGCUGAUCCGAUUGACCUCAAAGAUUUUUCCAACCAUUUUCUCAAGAUGGUUGAUUGUAAUCUCCCUUGGAAUAUAUGCUUUAUUUAAUACCUUCAGUAAAACAUCACGAUGCUCUUUGGAGUGCAACAACAAAGAUAAAAGGGAAAUUUGAGCAGAGGUCUUUUUCAACUGGUUUAAUAUUGAAUACUCUGGCAACUUCAUCUUCUUCAAAAAUUCUUUGGCUUCCUCUUCGGUGAUAGGAUUUUUGAGAGAUGAAGGUCUACUCAUCGUUGGCUUGGACUUUCUUAAGCUUUCAGGCACGAAGCAUCUUCCUGACCUAGUCAAACCCCCUACCUCAUCUACAUCUUCAACAACUUCUUUCCCGUGAUAGGUCAUCACAGUCCGCCCAUAAUUCCAGGGAACUUUUUUCGUAUCAACUAUCGGAGGUUGGGUCACCGAUUUGAGAACAGUAGGCGCUGCCAGUGCUCCUCUCACCGUCAAGAUGGGCUGACUCAGGGCUCUCACCACUGUCAACUUAGGUUUAUCCUGGCUUAAAUCAACAUACCCUCUGGCGCCUUGUACUGUGAUCAGGGGCUUCUUUGUGCUUUCAAGGGCUUUAUCUUCGCUCAUUCCAUCCUGGCUCAAUGACAUUGCUUUCAAAGAUUCUGCUACAUUCACCGAUUUUUCCUUAAUGGUCUGUAUCUUGACAGUAGGCUUAUAACCCCUUGAAGAUUCUUUCCCAUUAUAUAUCAAUUCUAACAUAUUGGCUUCAGCAUGGGUUGGCAAUGGAUUCUGGUUAAUGUUUGGACCCUCCGGGGCCUGGACCAGCAUCUGAUAUGUGUCAAUUAAAUCUUGGACAGCUCUCUUUAAAUGCCAGCAUUUUUUGAUAGCAUGGCCUGGCAUAUCAGAACAGUAUGCACACCUUAAAGAAUAAUCGAGAUUCCUCGGUGGUGGAUUUGAAAGCCUUUCUUGAAUUGGGCUUAAAACCUUCAACUUUCUCAACCUAUCAAACAAGCUAGCAUAUGACUCCCCAAGAGGUGUGAAUUGAUUUUUGACCGCCUUCUCCUUCUUAUACUCGGGCCUAGGCUGAAAAAUGGGUCUGGAGGGGGUUUGGUAAUUUGGUGGACCGAAUGGGCAAUUUUGUAGAGCUUGCGCGCGCCAUUGCGGGUAAGAAGGGGUUUGGGCAUAUGGUUGCACGCUAUAUACUGGGUACGGAGGUGGUGGAAUGGAAUAUAAAGGGUUUUAUAAGGGGUAGUAAUGGUGGGAAGGAAUAUAUGGAGCUUGGGCGUAGACUUGGGCUUGGGAUUGGGGAUAGGGGCGAGGUGGUCUUUUGGGAUAGGAAUGGGUUCCAGCUACGACAGUCGCNNNNNNNNNNNNNNNNNNNNNNNNNNNNNNNNNNNNNNNNNNNNNNNNNNNNNNNNNNNNNNNNNNNNNNNNNNNNNNNNNNNNNNNNNNNNNNNNNNNNNNNNNNNNNNNNNNNNNNNNNNNNNNNNNNNNNNNNNNNNNNNNNNNNNNNNNNNNNNNNNNNNNNNNNNNNNNNNNNNNNNNNNNNNNNNNNNNNNNNNNNNNNNNNNNNNNNNNNNNNNNNNNNNNNNNNNNNNNNNNNNNNNNNNNNNNNNNNNNNNNNNNNNNNNNNNNNNNNNNNNNNNNNNNNNNNNNNNNNNNNNNNNNNNNNNNNNNNNNNNNNNNNNNNNNNGGCUUUUAAUGCGGCAAAACUCACUAUUCGGCCGGUCUUAAUUCCAUCCUCUAUCAUCUCCCCCAUUUUAAGGACUUCCAUAAAAGACUUUCCCAUUGCCGGAAGUAAAUAUUGAAAAUAGGUCUCAUCCUGCGCCUGAAUGAAAACUUCUACCAACUUACUUUCUUUCAUUGGAGGCUUUACCCUGGCAUCCUGCUCACGCCACCUUAUCGCGUAUUCCCUAAAACCUUCAGUGCUCUUCUUCUUCAUGUUGACCAAGGAUUUUUCGUCCGAAAUCAGGUCGAUAUUGUACUAAAAAUGUUGAACAAAUUCAAAAGCCAAAUCAUCCCAGCUAUUUCAUUUAUCGAUGUCUCAAUCGAUAAACCAUUCUGAGGCCAGAUCUGAAAGACUCUCGCCAAAGAAAGCCAUGAGAAGUUCUUCCUUUCCUCCUGCAGCCCUCAACUGGUUGCAAUAAUGUCUUAAGUGUGCCACGAGAUCGUCGUAUCUUGCAUACUUCUCGAACUUAGGCAUCUUAAAAUCGGGGGGAAGGUUGAUGUCUGGGAACAUGCAAAGAUCUUUAUAGGAAACACUCCUAUAAUCUCUGAUUCCUUGUAAAUUUCUCAUCACUUGUUCUAAACUUUUCAAUUUCCGGGCUAUGAUAUUAUGUUCCUCUGCUGCGACAGAUUUCUCCGUAUCAAAUGGAAAUGCAGGCGACUGAGUGUACCCAUACGAUUCAUUCAUCUGCAAAGUAGGCUCCGGGGCAUAAUACUGACUAUCUGAAGCCUUCAGUACUGGCUCACUGGCAGACCUAGGAAGCCUCAUUGUGGAACGCACAGCAUAUAUGGGAGUUUCAUGUGGUGGCGGAGCCACGAAUACUGGUGUGAUCGGUGGCGCUGGCUGAGUAGCUGGUCUUAAUUGGGGAGCUGCCAAGGGCACACCAGAACUGCCAGGAUAAUAAUUUCUCGGAGUGAAUCCUGGCGCGUGUUCAGGUGACUCAGUAGGAGCAGAGAAUUGCGCCUGAGAGAGCGGUGGGCAAUUAGAGAUAUUCCCAAGACCUUCAGGGAGUGGAGGAGGAGGCAUUCCGCUGGCCCAUGCCCGGUGUAAAUCUAUCAAUUGUAGCCUGAUCCUUACUACCUCAUCAUUGUGUUCAGAAUUUCUUUCCUGUGAUCCUGAUCCGGGUCAAUGAGCGAAUUUUUAAUCUCCCUGCUAGCCAUGGAGAGCUUUGCUUUGGAUCUAGUGAAGUAUGGGUGACUGGCCAAAGUGCUGCAAACCUACCACUGUUAUCUGAAAGAACAUGCUCAUCAAAGACAACAUUCGUUAGGAUUAGGGCACACAACAAACAUGGGAAUCACAUUGGUAAAAUUGUCCUAAAUUCAUGUUCAUUUCUACCAGCUUUUGAGGGUAGCGAGGUCAUUUUAACAUCAUCCUGAUUUUGUCUACACUUAUUUUUUUUAUCUACACUUAUUAUUAUUAUUAUUAUUAUUCGUAUCCAUCUCUGUCUUUUCCGUUCUCUCUUUAUCUACCUUUAUUUUAUCAUUCUUUAUGUCUUUUGUUAAACUAUGAUUAACAAAGAAAAAUCUUUUGGGAUUUUUGAUUUUGAAUUUCAUAGAAAAAUGAAACUUGAAACUAUUAAAGAAAAAUCUUUUUGUAGUUUUCUUUUAGAGAUGUAUAUGAAACACCUACUCUAAGCGAAGAGUGAAGAAAAUCUUUUUGAAUUUUCAGAUUUCUAUACAAAAUGAAAUCUAUGAUUACCGAAAAAAUAUUUUUGGAUUUUUAUUUUGAAUUUCAUUCGAAAAAUAAAACCUGAACCUAUUAAAGGGAAAUAUUUUUUUUGUUGUUUUCUUUUAAAGAUGUACAUGAAACACCUACUCUAAAUGAAGAGUGAAGAAAAUCUUUUUGAAUUUUUGAAAUAAGAUCAACCAAAAAUGAAACCUACGCCUAUUCAGGAAAAUCUCUUUUUUUUUCUCUUUUUUUUUUUCUUUUCAAGAUAUGUAUGAAACACCUACUCUAAAUAAAGAGUGAAGAAAAAUCUUUUUUAAAAAAAAAAAUAAGAUCCCCGAACCAACAAUAGGCUGCCUAUAUAUCUCACAUCCCGAAAGAGGUAAAUUAGGGGAGCGUAGUUCAUCCAGAUUGAACAAUUAACGAUUAACUACUAAAUUGACCCUAACUUAAGAGACACAAUCGAAAAACUUUUUGGAUUUUCAACUAGACAUUUCAACUAAGACUGACACCACCAAUUGUGAAAAAAACUUUUUGGUAUUUUGUUUUUGACAAAUAAGUAGAAAAGGCAAACAAAACCCUCUUUUAUUCAUUUUUUUUAUUAUGAAUUUUUUGAAUUUACGGUACUUUGCGAAGACAAAUGCAAAACGUAAAAAAAAUCAUUUUGGAUUUUGGAUUGUGAAAAACAAAAGUCAUAACGAAUUCUAAAAUAAACUAUGACAUUCCUCUUUUUUUUUUAAUUCUUUUCGACUCACUUUUUCUAUUUUUUUUUCUUUGUUUUAACCACGGUCGCUAGGUAGGGUGUAUCGACUAUUUUGACACUACGAAAUGUAUAAACCACACAGAGGCACGUAAAACAAUCAAAUGAUAAACAAAACAAAAACAAUCCAAAAUGUAAUGUCCAGUCCAAUUAUACAGUCCGGGGUAUGAAAAGAAAUGCAGAAAUAUAAACCUAUGCUAAAUUAAUUCUAAACUAAUGUUCUACCCGAUGCCUCGGGCCUUCAUCACGAACGUCCUCCGGAUACAUGAUACCUCGGGGGCAAUAAAUAUAUACAAAUACUUUGGGGCAUUCCCCGGCCAAAUUAUACAAUUGAAUCUCAAUGCAUAAAUCAGAACCAUUCCACAAAUAUUUCAAACAUUCCAACAAUCCAUCAAUUCUAAAUUUUGCCUACCCGAACCUACCUUCGCCUAUCUAUUUGAUCCAAAUGUGAUAUUAUCAAAACUUAACAAAUCCAACGCCUAAUUUACAACAAAACAAACAUCAAUCAAUCAAUACGAAUAAAUCACAUUAAUUUUUCUAUCCGUUUCCCAUUCUCACCUCGAUUUUGUUAACUAAUUACCGAUUUCAAUUAUCCACAAGAUAUCGUUUUCAUCCAAAUUGCACCGUUCGAGAUCAAUCAUUCAACACAAACACAUAUCGCAGCAAAUCAAUCCAAAAAUCACAAAACACAGUCACAUGGAAUUUAAGAAAAAUAGAGUUAGAAAUUGGACCUUUCGGGAUCAAAGUGUUGUUUCGAUUAAAUAAGAUGAACCAACGGACCAAAACCGGGAAAACCUCAACUCGAGCAAUCUCAACCUUGAACGAUGCCAAUCGAACAAUCCUCAAUACGAACCCCAAAACCACCAAACAACGAGAUGAAUCAACCAUGAAAACCCCCUAAGAAAUCUGAUUUGAACGCAGUUUCUUGAAGAAGACGAAUCUCGAAAACAACACACAUAAAAAUCCAAGCGGAAUACCAACACAUAUACGAUUCAAAAGGAAUUUUGGGAAAGAUUGAUUUCUGGUGACGUCGUUUUCCGAUUGCUUUUUGCCAGAACAACGAUAAACCGUCAUUGGGCGUCUUCCGAUGGCUGACCGGAUGAAAUUUUGAUGGAUUUCCCGUGAGAUACUUUCCGUUAAUCGAUCCCUCUAUUUUUUCCUCUCUCUCUCAUGCCCAAUCUCUCUUAAUUUCCUCCAAUUUCCAUCCUCUCUCUUCAAUCAUACUCCAACUCAAUCCCCUCAAACUUAUGUCUCAAUCUCUCUGAAUUUUCCACCUUUCACUAUGUGCGUGGGCGCCUAUGUUAGUGUGUUUGUUAUGACUGUGUGUUUGUGUAUAUCGAUGGAUGUGCGAGUGAUGAGUGAUGAAUGAAAUAAAAGUAAGAAGAUGAGUGUGUGUCCCCUGUGUGUAACGAAAAAUGGCUUUUUGUGAGGUGAGUCCCGUCUGUGUAUGAGUGUGUGAAUAGAAUUGAGAAUGGUGUUGUUGUGUUUGGGAGCCCAGAAGCCCAAGAAGAAGAAAAGAAUGGUGUCUCCCCCCCCCCCCCUUUUUUAAAAAAAAAAUCUCCUCAUAUGGUCCCUUUGUGUGUGUAUAUAUGCUGUGAGGUUAGGUAGGUGGGGUCACGUGGGGUAGGGUGUAGGGUAUGAUGUGGUUUAUUUUGAUUGGAUGGAUUGUUAGGAUAAGAUGUAGGGGUUAGGAUAGGAUAGGAUUUGUUAGGGAGUUUGUUAUUUUUUUGUAUUUUGUGAGGGUAUAAUAACAUGGGUGAGGGUACAUGGUAGGAUAAAAUAAAAACGGGUAAAAGUGAAUAAAAAUUGAACUUUUAAGGUAAAAAUGGGUAAAACGACAACGGGGAGGGAUGAAAUUAGGUGUCUACAAACACAGUAACCAAUUCACACAUACACCAUCCCAUUGACAAAAAAAAAGCCACCAAUACUCUCACUGACCCCUCAAAACCAAAAUAUACACAUAACACUCAUCCUCACUGAGAUCACACACACAAUCUCAAUUCAUACAUACCAUUUAUGAAUUCCGCUCUCACACAGUUUGUACACACAUACAAAAGGAAAUCAAAAAAGAGAAGAGAGAGAAGUGAAUUAGACUAAAAGAAAAUAUAUUGAGGGCUCAAAGGUUCGAGUAAGAGAGAGCUCAGCCAUUGAGAGAAUGACAGGGAGAGAAAUCGGUCAUGCUACUCUAAUUUUUCGGUGAAACUUCACCGGAAUUCGGUGCCACCGGCGAGCCUGAUACACCCACCAGCUGCCAUAUACCAUCCUGCCGCCUCUGAACCACCAGAGCACUGUGACCAUCGAGAAUACCCCAAAUCUGAUCCAAACUCGACUAGUUCGUCUUUCUUCGUCACGAUUUCGGUAUGCUCAAUUUCUGUUUGAGUCUUUGGGUUACUAUACUGAGUUGGUGUCGAUCAUUUUAAAGUUUUCUUGUCGUCCGUCUAGUGUCGGGUUGCCAUCCGUCGUCGAUUUGUUUCAAUCUAGGUUUAUUUUGCUUUUGGAUUUCGAGAUCGAAAUUCCAUCUUCGAGGGUUUUAUUGCUUCUGUUUGAAGUUAUUGGUUAGGCAGUAUAUAUUGAAUUUGCGGUCUUGGAUUCAAAUCUAUUAGGAAUUCAUGAUAUCGAGUUGGUCGAGUUGUCGAGGUUGAUUUGGGGUUCUUCGGCACGUGGAUUCACCCCCUCGUUUGAUUGAUAUUUGGAAUAAAAUCAUCAUUGAGGUCUGUUUCUACUCAUUUCCUCUUUUUUAUUUCAUUGUUAAUGGUAUAUGGUACAUUAGAUUAAUUAGCUGUGAAUGUGAUUAGGUGGUUGUUGAUCAUGAUUGUUUGAUUUUGUUGAUGUUUAUGCUUUUGAUAAUGAAAUUCGAGUGAUGUUGAGUUGUUUAAUUUCGUGAAUCAAAAAAUGAUUAAGGAUAGUUGAAUUGGUGAUUACGAAUUGUGGAAUUUGAUAUUAAAAGAGAAUUUGGGGUGGAAUUUUGAGAUUGAUGAAAAGGGUCAAUUUGGAUUAAUGUUGGUCUUCUUGUUGUUUAAUGCGGAAUUAAUUUCAAGUUUGUGAAUUCUAUAGUGUCAUGAUAGGUAAAAUGGGAUAGACAAAUAUUUAGGUUCGGGUAGGCAAAAAUUUAGGAUUGAUGUAUUGAUUGAAUGGGUUGAAUAUUUAGAUGUAUGUUUUGAACCUUUUUUUAGUUAUCUCAGAUGUAUUCAUUUGGCCGGGGAAUGCCCCGAGGUAUUUGUGUUCAUUUGCUGGGGAAUGCCCCGAAGUAUCAUGUACUGGAAGAUAGCACACGUUCAAGGCCAGGAACGACGGGUGGAGUUUAAUUCAGGAGUAGUUAGGGAUAGUUCGGAAUAGAAUAGAUUUACAUUUUUGCAUUUUUCAUUAUUCGAUACUGUAUAAUUGGACUGGACACUAUAUUUUUUAUUCGUUUUGUUUUGUUUGUUUUUUGAUUGUUUUACAUGUUUUUGUGUGGUUUGUACAUUCAUAGUGUCAAAUUAGCCGAUAUCCUCCACCAAGCGAUCGUGGUCAAAAGAUGGGACUGAGGGGUGCCUAACACCUUCCCCUCGGUCAACAAAGUUCCUUAGCCAGAAUCUCUGUUCGCAAACUAGUUUAAAGAGUCAAAUAAUUUUGAAAAGGAUUUUCCAAUGGUGACUUGGCACACCAGAUUAUGCCAAGUGGAGACUCUGAUUUCAAAUGUAAAGACAAUCCUUCUUCGAAACAAAUCAUUUUCUUUUGUCACUUAAUAAUAAAAAUCCUUUUCAAACUUAAAACGAAUCAUUUGGAGUACGAAAAGGGGUGUGACAGCUCUGGAGACUCUGCUGGGGAACCUUUUCAGAAUUUGAGUUUAUUUUUUUGGAGUUGAAUUGGCUUAGUUUGACAUUAUGGGUGCGUAAACAUUGUUUGUGUUAUCAUUUGUUGUUUAUUUUAUCAUUGUUGAGUGCCUACGUGCUCUUUGUUUACAGUUUUUCUCUUAUGUGUUACCGCUUUAUAAAAUCCAGUUUAAGCAUGAACAUUGAAUCAAAGGGUUAAAGUUAGAAAAAGAGAGCAUCUGAGAAAAUAGAUAGAGUGCUGAGGCAUUUGGUGAUCAAGUUGAAGCCUUCUUUGAAAAUUAAGGCUAUUAUUUUGAGAAUCGUGAGAAUAACUUGGUCAUCAAUUGAAAGACAUAUCUCAAUUAGGUCAAGUAUUGAAUGUGUGAUCCUAUAUCAAAAGGAACAGGAAGAAAAUUAGCUCCACGAAGUCAUGAGUCCUUCAGCAUGAGGAAUGUACAACAAAGUGGAGUUGUAUACUGGGCAAGUGUAGGAAAAGAAAUGGCACACAUGCUCGGGGCAAGUUAGUGUUGUAAAAUAUUUCAUAAGUGAUCUUGAUCGUGCACUUUUGCAUUGCAUGCUAUGUAGUAGCAUUUUCAAGAAUUGAUAUGACGAAGACAUUUUAUUCUGCUAUCCAAACAUUGUAUCAUCCUUUGUCUACCCCAUUUGGGCCUUAGUUUUAUUUUCUUUCAUACUCCUCUUUUGGAAUCAGGAUAGAGUUUGCAACGUCCAAGAAACAGUGUCGAAAAAAAAGAGGUCAGAAAAUUUUCAAAAAAGAGACAAAAUAGGUCCAAAAAGAAAGAAAAGAAGAGUGUGUCAAGAAAAUGGAGUCAGAAAAAGAAUCUCAAAGAGAAAAGAUCCAAUAAAAGAAAAAAGAAAAAAAAAUCAGAUCAAAAGAAAGAACAAGUUGCCAGAACUACGCAUGGCCUGAUUCUCCUCUCUCAAGGGUGAGAUACGUAAGUUGCCCUACUCAGAGCUCGGUCCAACCAAAUAAGCAAUUUAGAAUUGCCCAGGCAAAAGAAACCAGGGCAUGAGUUGAUCCUCAUUAUUUGAGUCGAUUCCAAAAGUUGUAAGUCUCACCCCACUUCAAGUGUCGCUUGGGCCCCAUGUCAUCCUUUCUUUCUAACCCUAUCCAAAAGUCAAGUUACAACAAAAGAAAGACCUUUGGAUCUAUCUUUGAGAAUGUUAAGUCAAAGCAUGCAAUGGAUGUGAUGACACAUUUUAGGAACUACUCGUCUUCCUCUACAUAAGAAAUCAGGAGAGAAAUAAAAAUGAGAGAGUCUAAUUGGUGAAAACCCUCAUGGGCACCAUAAGGUGAUGGUAAGCAGAUAAAAAUGAGAGGGUCUUAAUGGUGAAAACCCUCACGGGCACCAUAAGGUGAUUGUGAGUUGAGAGAAAAAUGAGAGAGGCUUGUUAGCAAAAAUCCUUCAAUGUGCCACUAGCCGAAUGAGUUCUUCGAAUGCAAUGGGUUCAAGCAAGUAACUUAGUUUCAGAGCCAUUAACUCAAAAACAAUUGGUAGAAAGUUUGGAUGGAAAGAUCAAGCAUCUUGAUCCAAAAUGCAUGGCAUAAUCAUUAGAGUUAUUCAAAUGGGGACAUUCAUUGUCUUUUCUUUCUUUUCUUUAUUUUUGUUUUAUUUUUCUUGAGUCAGUUAUCCAAAUAAAAAAUUAUUGUCAUUUUUCUCUUGUUUUUGAGUCAAGUCCAUGUCAAAACAAGUGAGAAAAGAUUUUAAAAUUGGCUACCAUCUUCUUCAAUUGCAAAGAGCGAGACAAAAGACCAACACAUGAAAAAGACAUAAUUGUAAGCCGAAAUAAGGCAUACAAAAAAUCCUGUCAACAAACAAGUCUGGGAACUCAUGGAAAUACCAAAUUUCAAAGGGUUUAUCUGAAGAGCUUGGCAAAGCAAAGAUACUGUGUUUGUUUCAAAGUCACUCUUAAUAAUCUGAGUUUUGGUCAAUGAUGCAUCAAGUCAAUGAUAUAUGUAAUAGUUGGAAGGAAUAAUGCGGCAAAGGCGAUCUCCGCAAAAACUAAAGCCAUAAAUCAACCACCAUGUUUCAAACUAACAAGUUUUCUUUGAUGAAAUAGGAAACAUACUACCUUCAAAGCAAUAACUUCAGAGCAUGAACAUCAAGGGCUGCAAAGAGUCACAUUUACAAAUGCAAGAAGCAAUGUUGCUGCACAGGUUUGAUAAUAAAAUCAUGGUAAAGAUUUAUCAUCCUAUAUCCCUCGGAGACACACUUGUUAAGGGAUUUCAGUUUUCAUUUGUUAGGUGAUACACUUUUUAAAUUGAAAUUUGAUUUCUAUAAGACGUACCUUUUAGUCGAGUCAUCUCCCUUGAUUCCUAGAAGACGUACCUUUUAGUCGAGUCAUCUCUCUUGAUUCCUAUAAGACAUACCUUUUGCCAGUCAUCUCCCUUGAUUCAUAGAAGACGUACCUUUUAGUCAAGUCAUCCCCCUUGAUUCUUAUAAAACGUACCUUUUAGUCGAGUCAUCCCCCAUGAUUCCCAUAAGACGAAUCUUUUAGUCGAGUCAUCCCCCAUGAUUACCAUAAGACGUACCUUUUAGUCGAGUCAUCCCCCUUGACCCUUAGAAGACGUACCUUUUAGUCGAGUCAUUCCUUUUGAUUCCUAUAAGAUGUACAUUUUAGUCGAGUCAUUUUCUUUGAUUCCUAUAAGACGUACCUUUUAGUCGAGUCAUUCCCUUUGAUUCUUAUAAGACGUACCUUUUAGUCGAGUCAUUCCCUUUGAUUCUUAUAAGACGUACCUUUUAGUCGAGUCAUUUCCUUUGAUUCCUAUAAGACGUACCUUUUAGUCGNNNNNNNNNNNNNNNNNNNNNNNNNNNNNNNNNNNNNNNNNNNNNNNNNNNNNNNNNNNNNNNNNNNNNNNNNNNNNNNNNNNNNNNNNNNNNNNNNNNNNNNNNNNNNNNNNNNNNNNNNNNNNNNNNNNNNNNNNNNNNNNNNNNNNNNNNNNNNNNNNNNNNNNNNNNNNNNNNNNNNNNNNNNNNNNNNNNNNNNNNNNNNNNNNNNNNNNNNNNNNNNNNNNNNNNNNNNNNNNNNNNNNNNNNNNNNNNNNNNNNNNNNNNNNNNNNNNNNNNNNNNNNNNNNNNNNNNNNNNNNNNNNNNNNNNNNNNNNNNNNNNNNNNNNNNNNNNNNNNNNNNNNNNNNNNNNNNNNNNNNNNNNNNNNNNNNNNNNNNNNNNNNNNNNNNNNNNNNNNNNNNNNNNNNNNNNNNNNNNNNNNNNNNNNNNNNNNNNNNNNNNNNNNNNNNNNNNNNNNNNNNNNNNNNNNNNNNNNNNNNNNNNNNNNNNNNNNNNNNNNNNNNNNNNNNNNNNNNNNNNNNNNNNNNNNNNNNNNNNNNNNNNNNNNNNNNNNNNNNNNNNNNNNNNNNNNNNNNNNNNNNNNNNNNNNNNNNNNNNNNNNNNNNNNNNNNNNNNNNNNNNNNNNNNNNNNNNNNNNNNNNNNNNNNNNNNNNNNNNNNNNNNNNNNNNNNNNNNNNNNNNNNNNNNNNNNNNNNNNNNNNNNNNNNNNNNNNNNNNNNNNNNNNNNNNNNNNNNNNNNNNNNNNNNNNNNNNNNNNNNNNNNNNNNNNNNNNNNNNNNNNNNNNNNNNNNNNNNNNNNNNNNNNNNNNNNNNNNNNNNNNNNNNNNNNNNNNNNNNNNNNNNNNNNNNNNNNNNNNNNNNNNNNNNNNNNNNNNNNNNNNNNNNNNNNNNNNNNNNNNNNNNNNNNNNNNNNNNNNNNNNNNNNNNNNNNNNNNNNNNNNNNNNNNNNNNNNNNNNNNNNNNNNNNNNNNNNNNNNNNNNNNNNNNNNNNNNNNNNNNNNNNNNNNNNNNNNNNNNNNNNNNNNNNNNNNNNNNNNNNNNNNNNNNNNNNNNNNNNNNNNNNNNNNNNNNNNNNNNNNNNNNNNNNNNNNNNNNNNNNNNNNNNNNNNNNNNNNNNNNNNNNNNNNNNNNNNNNNNNNNNNNNNNNNNNNNNNNNNNNNNNNNNNNNNNNNNNNNNNNNNNNNNNNNNNNNNNNNNNNNNNNNNNNNNNNNNNNNNNNNNNNNNNNNNNNNNNNNNNNNNNNNNNNNNNNNNNNNNNNNNNNNNNNNNNNNNNNNNNNNNNNNNNNNNNNNNNNNNNNNNNNNNNNNNNNNNNNNNNNNNNNNNNNNNNNNNNNNNNNNNNNNNNNNNNNNNNNNNNNNNNNNNNNNNNNNNNNNNNNNNNNNNNNNNNNNNNNNNNNNNNNNNNNNNNNNNNNNNNNNNNNNNNNNNNNNNNNNNNNNNNNNNNNNNNNNNNNNNNNNNNNNNNNNNNNNNNNNNNNNNNNNNNNNNNNNNNNNNNNNNNNNNNNNNNNNNNNNNNNNNNNNNNNNNNNNNNNNNNNNNNNNNNNNNNNNNNNNNNNNNNNNNNNNNNNNNNNNNNNNNNNNNNNNNNNNNNNNNNNNNNNNNNNNNNNNNNNNNNNNNNNNNNNNNNNNNNNNNNNNNNNNNNNNNNNNNNNNNNNNNNNNNNNNNNNNNNNNNNNNNNNNNNNNNNNNNNNNNNNNNNNNNNNNNNNNNNNNNNNNNNNNNNNNNNNNNNNNNNNNNNNNNNNNNNNNNNNNNNNNNNNNNNNNNNNNNNNNNNNNNNNNNNNNNNNNNNNNNNNNNNNNNNNNNNNNNNNNNNNNNNNNNNNNNNNNNNNNNNNNNNNNNNNNNNNNNNNNNNNNNNNNNNNNNNNNNNNNNNNNNNNNNNNNNNNNNNNNNNNNNNNNNNNNNNNNNNNNNNNNNNNNNNNNNNNNNNNNNNNNNNNNNNNNNNNNNNNNNNNNNNNNNNNNNNNNNNNNNNNNNNNNNNNNNNNNNNNNNNNNNNNNNNNNNNNNNNNNNNNNNNNNNNNNNNNNNNNNNNNNNNNNNNNNNNNNNNNNNNNNNNNNNNNNNNNNNNNNNNNNNNNNNNNNNNNNNNNNNNNNNNNNNNNNNNNNNNNNNNNNNNNNNNNNNNNNNNNNNNNNNNNNNNNNNNNNNNNNNNNNNNNNNNNNNNNNNNNNNNNNNNNNNNNNNNNNNNNNNNNNNNNNNNNNNNNNNNNNNNNNNNNNNNNNNNNNNNNNNNNNNNNNNNNNAAAGGAUUUUCCAAUGGUGACUUGGCACACCAGAUUAUGCCAAGUGGAGACUCUGAUUUCAAAUGUAAAGACAAUCCUUCUUCGAAACAAAUCAUUUUCUUUUGUCACUUAAUAAUAAAAAUCCUUUUCAAACUUAAAACGAAUCAUUUGGAGUACGAAAAGGGGUGUGACAGCUCUGGAGACUCUGCUGGGGAACCUUUUCAGAAUUUGAGUUUAUUUUUUUGGAGUUGAAUUGGCUUAGUUUGACAUUAUGGGUGCGUAAACAUUGUUUGUGUUAUCAUUUGUUGUUUAUUUUAUCAUUGUUGAGUGCCUACGUGCUCUUUGUUUACAGUUUUUCUCUUAUGUGUUACCGCUUUAUAAAAUCCAGUUUAAGCAUGAACAUUGAAUCAAAGGGUUAAAGUUAGAAAAAGAGAGCAUCUGAGAAAAUAGAUAGAGUGCUGAGGCAUUUGGUGAUCAAGUUGAAGCCUUCUUUGAAAAUUAAGGCUAUUAUUUUGAGAAUCGUGAGAAUAACUUGGUCAUCAAUUGAAAGACAUAUCUCAAUUAGGUCAAGUAUUGAAUGUGUGAUCCUAUAUCAAAAGGAACAGGAAGAAAAUUAGCUCCACGAAGUCAUGAGUCCUUCAGCAUGAGGAAUGUACAACAAAGUGGAGUUGUAUACUGGGCAAGUGUAGGAAAAGAAAUGGCACACAUGCUCGGGGCAAGUUAGUGUUGUAAAAUAUUUCAUAAGUGAUCUUGAUCGUGCACUUUUGCAUUGCAUGCUAUGUAGUAGCAUUUUCAAGAAUUGAUAUGACGAAGACAUUUUAUUCUGCUAUCCAAACAUUGUAUCAUCCUUUGUCUACCCCAUUUGGGCCUUAGUUUUAUUUUCUUUCAUACUCCUCUUUUGGAAUCAGGAUAGAGUUUGCAACGUCCAAGAAACAGUGUCGAAAAAAAAGAGGUCAGAAAAUUUUCAAAAAAGAGACAAAAUAGGUCCAAAAAGAAAGAAAAGAAGAGUGUGUCAAGAAAAUGGAGUCAGAAAAAGAAUCUCAAAGAGAAAAGAUCCAAUAAAAGAAAAAAGAAAAAAAAAUCAGAUCAAAAGAAAGAACAAGUUGCCAGAACUACGCAUGGCCUGAUUCUCCUCUCUCAAGGGUGAGAUACGUAAGUUGCCCUACUCAGAGCUCGGUCCAACCAAAUAAGCAAUUUAGAAUUGCCCAGGCAAAAGAAACCAGGGCAUGAGUUGAUCCUCAUUAUUUGAGUCGAUUCCAAAAGUUGUAAGUCUCACCCCACUUCAAGUGUCGCUUGGGCCCCAUGUCAUCCUUUCUUUCUAACCCUAUCCAAAAGUCAAGUUACAACAAAAGAAAGACCUUUGGAUCUAUCUUUGAGAAUGUUAAGUCAAAGCAUGCAAUGGAUGUGAUGACACAUUUUAGGAACUACUCGUCUUCCUCUACAUAAGAAAUCAGGAGAGAAAUAAAAAUGAGAGAGUCUAAUUGGUGAAAACCCUCAUGGGCACCAUAAGGUGAUGGUAAGCAGAUAAAAAUGAGAGGGUCUUAAUGGUGAAAACCCUCACGGGCACCAUAAGGUGAUUGUGAGUUGAGAGAAAAAUGAGAGAGGCUUGUUAGCAAAAAUCCUUCAAUGUGCCACUAGCCGAAUGAGUUCUUCGAAUGCAAUGGGUUCAAGCAAGUAACUUAGUUUCAGAGCCAUUAACUCAAAAACAAUUGGUAGAAAGUUUGGAUGGAAAGAUCAAGCAUCUUGAUCCAAAAUGCAUGGCAUAAUCAUUAGAGUUAUUCAAAUGGGGACAUUCAUUGUCUUUUCUUUCUUUUCUUUAUUUUUGUUUUAUUUUUCUUGAGUCAGUUAUCCAAAUAAAAAAUUAUUGUCAUUUUUCUCUUGUUUUUGAGUCAAGUCCAUGUCAAAACAAGUGAGAAAAGAUUUUAAAAUUGGCUACCAUCUUCUUCAAUUAAGUGAGAAAAGAUUUUAAAAUUGGCUACCAUCUUCUUCAAUUGCAAAGAGCGAGACAAAAGACCAACACAUGAAAAAGACAUAAUUGUAAGCCGAAAUAAGGCAUACAAAAAAUCCUGUCAACAAACAAGUCUGGGAACUCAUGGAAAUACCAAAUUUCAAAGGGUUUAUCUGAAGAGCUUGGCAAAGCAAAGAUACUGUGUUUGUUUCAAAGUCACUCUUAAUAAUCUGAGUUUUGGUCAAUGAUGCAUCAAGUCAAUGAUAUAUGUAAUAGUUGGAAGCAAGAUUAAUGUGAUGACGGCAAAGGCGAUCUCCGCAAAAACUAAAGCCAUAAAUCAACCACCAUGUUUCAAACUAACAAGUUUUCUUUGAUGAAAUAGGAAACAUACUACCUUCAAAGCAAUAACUUCAGAGCAUGAACAUCAAGGGCUGCAAAGAGUCACAUUUACAAAUGCAAGAAGCAAUGUUGCUGCACAGGUUUGAUAAUAAAAUCAUGGUAAAGAUUUAUCAUCCUAUAUCCCUCGGAGACACACUUGUUAAGGGAUUUCAGUUUUCAUUUGUUAGGUGAUACACUUUUUAAAUUGAAAUUUGAUUUCUAUAAGACGUACCUUUUAGUCGAGUCAUCUCCCUUGAUUCCUAGAAGACGUACCUUUUAGUCGAGUCAUCUCUCUUGAUUCCUAUAAGACAUACCUUUUAGUCGAGUCAUCUCCCUUGAUUCCUAGAAGACGUACCUUUUAGUCAAGUCAUCCCCCUUGAUUCUUAUAAAACGUACCUUUUAGUCGAGUCAUCCCCCAUGAUUCCCAUAAGACGAAUCUUUUAGUCGAGUCAUCCCCCAUGAUUACCAUAAGACGUACCUUUUAGUCGAGUCAUCCCCCUUGACCCUUAGAAGACGUACCUUUUAGUCGAGUCAUUCCUUUUGAUUCCUAUAAGAUGUACAUUUUAGUCGAGUCAUUUUCUUUGAUUCCUAUAAGACGUACCUUUUAGUCGAGUCAUUCCCUUUGAUUCUUAUAAGACGUACCUUUUAGUCGAGUCAUUUCCUUUGAUUCCUAUAAGACGUACCUUUUAGUCGAGUCAUUCCCCUUGACCCCUAGAAGACGUACCUUUUAGUCGAGUCAUUUCCUCUGAUUCCUAUAAGACGUACCUUUUAGUCGAGUCAUUCUCUUUGAUUCAUAUAAGAUGUACCCUUUAGUCGAGUUAUUUCCUCUGAUUCCUAGAAGACGUACCUUUUAGUCGAGUCAUCCCAUUUGAUUCCUAGAAGACGUACCUUUUAGUCGAGUUAUUCCCCUUGACCCCUAGAAGACGUACCUUUUAGUCGAGUCAUUUCCCUGGAUUCUUAUAAGACGUACCUUUUAGUCAAGUCAUCUCCCUUUGAUUCCUAUUAGACAUAACUUUUAGUCGAGUCAUCUCCCUUUGAUUCCUAUAAGACGUACCUUUUAGUCGAGUCAUCCCCCUUGAUUCCUAUAAGACGUACCUUUUAGUCAAGUCAUUCCCCUUGACCCCUAGAAGACGUACCUUUUAGUUGAGUCAUCCCUCUUGAUUCCUAUAAGGCAUACCUUUUAGUCGACUUAUUUCCCUUGACCCCUAGAAGGAGUACCUUUUAGUCGACUUAUUUCCCUUGACCCCUAGAAGACGUACCUUUUAGUCGAGUCAUUCCCCUUGAUUCCUAUAAAACAUACCUUUUAGUCGAUUCAUUCCCCUUGAUUCCUAUAAGACGUACCUUUUUAUCAAGUCAUUCUCCUUAAUUCCUAUAAUGAUGUGACUUUCACAAAAUUCCUUUGAUGAUAAACUGGGGCAAAAUUUAAUUCUUGUUUUUGGAACUUUACUUUUCUGGAAAACAAAAUUUCUCUUUAUAAUAAUUUUUGUUUGGGUUGGGAUAAUUUUCUUUCCAGUUUUGAUGUGAUUUCAGGAGCCUGCCCGAAGCACAGAGCGAAUAAAUGGAAAACCAAGCAACAAGGUGAAGAAAUUAAAAGUUAAACAGAUUGAAAAAUAGCAAGUCAGGAGCCCGCCUACAGAAUGGGGUGAAGAAAUUGAAAGCAUAGCAACAAGUUGAUGAAAAAGCAAGUCAGGAACCCGCUCGGAGAACAGGGUGUAGAAAUUGAAAGGCAAGCAACAAGUUGAAGAAAUUGUAAGUCAGAAGCCCGCAUGAAUAAUAGGGUGAUGAAACUCAAGUCAAGAGUCCAAAAGAAGUUGUAUAGAUAGGAUUUUUGUACUUUUCAUUUAUGUUUAACUUGUAAUUUUCAUUUUUAAUGUAAUGACAGAGCUGCGGACCAUAACCUCGACGGGACCUCACUCGACUCCCCAACUCGGUACUGUCCAUCUCCUUCCAAUCUUUUAAGAUACCUGCGACUUGACUCCCUCGUAAUUUGGGUAGGUAGGAUGUCCUAAGUCAAGACUCGGUUGUCCUUCUUGCUUUGAAUAAUGGUCGUGUCAAAACUUUGUCUCAUUGUCUACUUCUUUGUAUGAAAACACUUUGUGUUUACAUGCAAAGAGGGGUAUGAUGUAGACACAUAAUUUUGUCCCUCCCCGAAAAUAUUUUUACCAUUUUACCUUAUUCUACCGCAUACCCUCAACCAUAUAAUUAUCCCUCCAUAACAUGAACAAAAUAACAACCCUUAACAAAUUUUACCUUGUUCUAAUCCUAUCCUUACAACCUCUCCAAUUAAAAGCGGACACCUCAGCACCCCUACCCCUUCCACAGACCCCCCCCCCCCCCUCCCAACCCCCCCCCCCCCAAAUCACAUUUUUCCAUCUUUGGUUAUAAUAAAAGAUAACUAGGACCCAAGGAAGGAUUUGAUAACAACAUAUACACUCACGGGCCCCACCACUAAAAAAAGACAAUUAAUACACCCAUCCUUACCAACCCUCACCAGAAUUGUCAAAACCUACAACACAGUAACCAAUUCACACAUACACCAUCCCAUUGACAAAAAAAAAGCAACCAAUACUCUCACUGACCCCUCACAACCAAAAUAUACACACAACACUCAUCCUCACUAAUAUCACACACACAAUCUCAAUUCAUACAUACCAUUUAUGAAUUCCAGUCUCACGCACAGUUUGCACGCACAUACGGAGAGAAAUCAAAAAAAGAAAAGAGAAAGGAGUGAAUUGGACUAAAAGAAAAUAUAUCGAGGGCUCAAAGGUUUGAGUGAUAGAGAGCUCAGCCAUUGAGAGAAGGACGGGGAGAGAAACCGGUCAUGCCACUCUAAUUUUUCGGCGAAACUUCACCGGAAUCCGGUGCCAUCAGCGAACCUGAUACACCCACCAGUCGCCAUACACCAUCCCACCGCUUCUGAACCACCAGAGCACCGUGACCAUCGAGAAUACCCCAAAUCCGAUCCAAACUCAACUAGUGCGUCUUUCUUCGUCACGAUUUUGGUAUGCUCGAUUUUCGUUCGAGUCCUUGGGUUAUGAUACUGAGCCGGUGUCGAUCAUUUUAAAGUUUUUUUGUCAUUCGUCUAGUGUCGGGUUGCCAUCCAUCGUCAAUUUAUUUCAAUCUGGGUUUAUUUUGCUUUUGGAUUUCGAGAUCGGAAUUCCAUCUUCGAGGGUUUUAUUGCUUCUGUUUGAAGUUGUUAGUUAGGCAAUAUAUUUUGAGUUUGCGGUCUUGGAUUCAAAUCUAUUCGGAUCCUAAUUUGUGAUAUCGAGUUGGUCGAGUUGUCGAGGUUGGUUCGGGGUUCUUCGGCACACGGAUUCGUCCUCCCGUUUGAUUGAUCUUUCGAAUAAAAUCAUCAUUGAGGUAUGUUUCUACUCCUUUCCUCUUUUUUAUUUCAUUGUUGAUGGAAUAUGGUACAUUGGAUAAAUUGGUUGUGAAUGUGAUUAGGUGGUUGUUGAUCAUGAUUGUUUGAUUUUAUCGACGUUUAUGCUUUUGAUGAUGAAAUUUGAGUGAUGUUGAGUUGUUUAAUUUCGUGAAUCAAAAAAUGAUUAAGAAGAGUUGAAUUGGUGAUUGCGAAUUGUGGAAUUUGAUAUUAAAAGGGGAAUUUGGGGUGGAAUUUCGAGAUUGAUGAAAAGGGUCAAUUUGGAUUAAUGUUGGUCUUGUUGUUGUUUAAUGCGGAAUUAAUUUCAAGUUUGUGAAUUCUAUAGUGUCAUGAUAGGUAAAAUGGGAUAGGCAAAUGUUUAGGUUCGGAUAGGCCAAAAUUUAGGAGUGAUGUGUUGAUUGAAUGCGUUGACUGUUUAGAUGUAUGUUUUGAAUGUUUUUCUAGUUAUCUCAGAUGUAUUCAUUUGGUCAGGGAAUGCCCCGAGGUAUUUGUGUUCAUUUGCCAGGGAAUGCCCCAAAGUAUCAUGUACUGAAAGACGGCACACGGUCAAGGCCUGGAACGACGGGUGGAGUUUAAUUCAGGAGUAGUUUGGAAUAGAAUAGGUUUACAUUUUCACUUUUUUCAUUAUUCGGGACUGUAUAAUUGGACUGGAAACUAUAUUUUUUAUUUGUUUUGUUUUGUUUGUUUGUUGAUUGUUUUACAUGUUUUUGUGUGGUUUGUACAUUCUUAGUGUCAAAUUAGCUGAUAUCCUCCAUCAAGCGACCGUGGUCAAAAGACGGGACCGAGGAGUCCCUAACACCUUCCCCUCGGUCAACAGAAUUCCUUAGUCGGAAUCUCUAUUCGCAAACCAGUUUAAAGAAUCAAAUGGUUUUGAAAAGGAUUUUCCAAUGGUGACUUGGCACACCAGAUUAUGUUAAGUGGCGACUCUGAUUUCGAAUGUAAAGAAAAUCCUUCUUCGAAACAAAUCGUUUUCUUUUGUCACUUGAUAAUAAAAACCCUUUCGAACUUAACGAAUCAUUUGGAGUAAGAAAAAGGUGUGUGACAGCUUUGACGAAUCUGCUGGGGAACCUUUUCAAAAUUCGAGCUUACUUAUUUUUUCGAGCUUAGUUUGACAUUAUGGGUGUGUAAACAUUGUUUAUGUUAUCGUUUAUUGUUUAUUUUAUCAUUGUUGAGUGCAUACGUGCUCUUUGUUUACAAUUUUUUUCUUAUAUGUUAUCACUUUGUAACUGGUAUAAUGUGCAUAUGACAAUCUCUUGGGCUUAUUGAUUAAUGGACUAGCCCAGUAAAUAUUGGACUUCAUUUAAAUCCAUACAUGUUUGAACUUAAAUAAUUAAUUCAAUUAUAUUAAUCUGCAAUAUUUAUUUGGGACUAAUAUAUUUUAAAUUUAAUAUAAUCCAAAUUUAAUACGGAUUUAAAUUUAAUAAAAUUGCAUCGCCCAUAAAUACCCCACCUUCAAGAUUUGUCGAGACAUUUAAUCUUUCGACCACUAGAAUUGAAGUAUUUGUAACAAUAUUUGUGUAACAAAGAAAAGCCUCGAGCCAACGCCUCAAAUAGAAAUCUAUUUAAUUUGAAUCUGACUUUCUAAAGAAUAAAGUUGUAACUUAUGUUACAAUUAUAGGCAAAAUAUGAAUGAAUAUUUCAGUCAAAAUGAUGGCACAUGAUUGCUAACCAAUAAUCCACGUGAAAUCACAUUAUUGACCCUUCUUUUGUUUGCAUGCAUUUUCUAAGAAAAUGGACAUGUUAUCAUUUUUUAUUUACUGGCUGUUGCUUUGUCUCAUAGCCAUGCCAAUAAUCCAUUUGGAUUGGAGAAAAAAAAAUGAUUAGCAACCCAAAUUCCCUUUGGGCAUAGGAAACGUUAUUCUGCCGCCUCAAGUUAUUUUAUGUGUGUUAUUUUUUUUAUUUUUUCAAAGCCUGCACGUGACUGGAGGAGGCAGAAGAUAACAUUCCAUGCUUGAGUUCCAUCCGAAGUCAAAUUGUAACACCCAAUUCAUCUUUGACAUUAAUUGCUCAGCCGACUUUAAACUUCUAUAAAUAUCAAUCAUUUAAUCGCUUGUGAUUCAGAAUUUAACUGCCGCAAUUCCCAUCGGUUCUGUUUGAUUGUUGGUUGCGCCUGACCGAAGUAUUAUUGGUGAGUUGCUUUUCCUUAAUUUGCUCAUUAAUGUUUUGUUCUCUUUUUCUUUCCCUUUUUUUUUAUAGGGUUGAAACAAAUAGCAAUAUGCCACAAUCGGCUUAGGGUGUGAGAGUUUAACUUCGUCUUCAUACACUCUAAGACCAAUUAAUUUUGACUCUAAGACGGUGGCUACGCAAUAAUCGGCUUAGGGUGCGAGAGUUUAACUUCGCCUCCGUACACUCUAAGACCGACCAAUUUGACUUCAAGAUGCUGACUUUGCAACAAUCGGCUUAGGGUGCGAGAGUUUAACUUCGCCUUCGUACACUCUAAGACCGACCAAUUUGACUUCAAUACGGUGGCAAUGCAACAAUCGGCUUAGGGUGCGAGAGUUUAACUUCGCCUCCGUACACUCUAAGACCGACCAAUUUGACUUCAAGACGCAUGGUUUUCUUUAAGUAUGUGCCCUUUCAAUGUUCAGCUUAAGGUGCAAAGGAACAAAUUUUGUCCACCUUAAGGCAUAAAAAUUUUGAUAUCCUUUUAAGGAUAAACCCUUUAGAUGCCAGCUUAAGGUACAAAGGGACAAAUUUUGUCCACAUUAAGGCAUGAAAAUUUUCAUAUCCUUCUAAGGAUAACCACGUAAGAGGCCAAUUUAAGGUGGAAAGGGACAAAUUUUGUCCACCUUAAGGCAUAAAAUUUUUUAUAUCUUUUUAAGGAUAAACACGUAAGAGGCCAACUUAAGGUGCAAGGGGGCAAAUCUUGUUCACCUUAAGGCAUGAAAAUUUUGAUAUCCUUUAGGGAUAAACUUGCGAGAGGCCCACUUAAGGUGAAAAGAAACAAAUCUUGUCCACCUUAAGGCAUGUAAAUUUUGAGAUCCUUUUAGUUGUAGGCUUGGAGAACUUUGGCAUUCCAAAUCCCAUUGAAGGAACUCUCUUUCUUUUUGACGAGUUGCCCCCAUUGAACCACAAGUAUUUGACAUAAUUCCAAAUCUUAAUUCAAAUGUAUGCAAACUUGACUUUCAUACGACGGAUCAAACAGGGACAUACGUUUUUUUGACACUCAUGUAACUGAACUCAGAAUGAAAUUUCAAGCGCCUGCGUACCUCAAUAAAGAGGAUCAAGUCACAACGUAGUUCUGGGUGAGUUUUUUUUUUGUGUCCCAAGUUUUGCCUAGGUCGCCUCUUUCGAGGUUUUCAACCUAGCAGACAUUUAUUUGAUUUUUUUUAGCCGUUCACAGUUUAUACUCUUGCGGGCCAGGAGUAGACAUACAGUUUAUACUCGUGCCUUAAGGGGUGUCAUCUUCCUUCAAGGAUAGUACUUCUUCAAGAACUUGGCAUUGAUGGGGCCAAUCCUCAUGUCAUCUGCAUCGAUAAGCUUGUAAGCACCAUUUGAAUAUGCCUCUUGUUCAACAUAUGAUCCAUCCCACUUCGGGGUGAAUUUGCCCCCAGACUUACGAGAAGUGAUAAUGGGUCUUUUUACUGCAAGGACUUGAUCUCCAACUUGGAAGCACCUCAAGCGAACCCUUUUGUUGAAAGAACGAGAUAGCCGGGCUUGGUAACAUUCAAGAUUUUGUUGGGCCUCCAGCCUCUUCUCAUCAAGAGCUUCUAACUCCGCAAGACGCAACUUAGCAUUUUCUUCAUCGGUGAGCCCUUCUUGAAUAGCCAAUCUCAAAGAAGGUAUUUGAUGCUCAAGUGACAGGACUUCUUCAACUCCAAAAGCAAGUGAGUAUGGAGCUGCUUGCGCCGGUGUACGGUAAGUUGCCCUAUAUGCCCAUAAAUCUUCUUCCAUUCGCUCAUGCCAGUCUCGUUUGGAUUUGGAGACGACUUUCUUCAGCAAGUUACAUAAAGUCUUAUUGAACAUUUCGGCUAGACCAUUGGCGGCAGCAUGGUACAUAGAAGACUUGUGUUUCUUGAAACCAAAGAGAUCGCAAAUUUUGUUCAUCAGCUUAUUAUCAAAUGGCUUUCCAUUGUUAGUUAUUAUGUACUGAGGAAUUUCAAAGCGGUAGACGAUAUUCACUCAGAUGAAGUUUGCAACAUUUUUUUUCUUUACUUCCUUGAGAGCAACAGCUUCAGCCCAUUUCGAGAAGUAAUCUGUCGCGGCCAAGAUAUAUAGGUGUCCACCAGAAGAUUUUGGUAGUGGACCAACAACAUCCAUUCCCCAAGCAUUGAAUGGCCAAGAUGCUACAGUUGGAUGUAGUACCUCUGGAGGUUGAUGUAUGAAAUUUGCAUGGAAUUGACAAGCUUUGCAUCUUCUAGCAUAGUCUAAGCACUCUUUCACCAUCGCUGGCCAAUAAUAUCCUAUUCUUUUAAUGUGAAAAUGGAGCUUCGAUCCAGACUGAUGUGAUCCACAAACUCUCGAGUGUGCUUCUUGCAAAGAUUGAACUGCUUCUUCCUCUCCCAAAUACCGUAAGAGUACUCCUUCAAAUAAUCUUCUGUACAGUGUGUCUUUGUAGUAAAGGAAGCGAGGUGCGCGACGACGAAUGUCAGUCUUUCUCCUUGGAUAUUCUGGAAGUAUCCCAUAACAUAAGUAAUUAAUGAUAGGUUGUCACCAAUCUUCUUUUACAGCUUCAGACAAGGCAACGAGGUAUUCAACCUUGCUUUCCACAUCCUCAUCUGACGGCGGUACUACCUAUUCUUGGCGGAUAGUAACUUGGGUCUAAUUUGGAAGAGUCAGGGUUGAGGCCAAAGCAGCUAGAGCAUCAGCUUGAUUAUUUUCUCUCCUUGGCACAUGUUGGAGGGUCACUCCUCCAAGCCACCCCAUUAACUUUUGUGCAUAAUCAUGAUAUGGUCGUAGCUCAGGCUUUCUGACUUCAUAGCUUCCCAAAAGUUGUUUGAUCACUAGUUGGGAGUCACCAAAGACUCGUAAUUGUAGUUGUUUCAUGUCGACAGUCAUCUCUAGUCGAGUAUGAGCGCUUGAUACUCGGCAACAUUAUUGGAGCAAUGAUUUGUCAAGGUAAAAGAGUAGGGGAUGACCUCUUCUUGCGGUGUGACAAACACCUCACCGACACCAGCUCCAUCUCGAUGUGCAGGACCAUCAAAGUACAUUUUCCAUGGGGGACUAGCCUCAAUAACCAUUGCAUCUUCAUCAGGAAGUUCAUCGCUCAGUUCCCAAUCAUCAGGUAUCGGGUGGUCUGUCAAGAAGUUAGCCAAUGAUUGUCCCUUUACAGCCUUUUGGGGAACAUACACAAUCUCAAACUGUUGAAAUUGAAGGUACCAUCUUGCAAGUUGGUCACUAAGGACUGGUUUCGACACUACAAACUUGAUGGGAUUUGUCCUAGAGAUAAGCCGGACAACAUGAGCCUGAAAGUAGUGCUUCAUCUUUUGAAUCGAGAAGAAUAAUGCCAAACAUAACUUUUCAAUUGGAGAAUACUUUAGCUCAUUCGGCGUCAUCAUUCUGCUCAAAUAGUAAAGAGAGUUUUCCUUGCCUUUAUUAUUUUCUUGAGCCAGUAGUGCUCUAACUGACCUCUUUUGUGCCGCAAUGUAAAGUAUCAAUGGUUUCCCAGGUAUGGGUGCUGCAAGAACUGGUGGCUUCAUUAAGUAUGAUUUGAUACUCUCAAAGGCAUUACUACAAGCUUGGUCCCAUUCGAAGAAAGUGUCCUUCUUCAUAAGACGACUAAAUGGUUGACAUUUUCCGGCCAGGUUUAAGAUGAACCUCCUUAAAUAUGCUAGCCUUCCUUAAAGGCUUUUUAACUCAUGAAUAUCUCGAGGCUUGGGCAUCUUCAAAAUUGCAUCAACCUUAGCUUGAUUAAUUUUAAUUCCUCGGUGUCGCACAAUGAAGCCAAGAAAUUUUCCCGAAGUAACUCCAAAGGCACACUUCAAAGGAUUCAUCCUAAGUUGAUAUCUUCGAAGCAACUCGAAUACCAUUCUUAGGUCUUUUAAGUGGUUGCAUCUCUUUCUUGACUUCACCACUAGAUCAUCUACAUAGAAUUCAACAUUUUUAUGGAGCAGGCCAUCAAAGAUGUUCUGCAUAGCCCUUUGAUAAGUGGCGCCAGCGUUCUUCAAACCAAAAGGCAUCACCUUAUAGAAAUAAAUACCUUUGGGCGUACGAAAUGCAGUGAGUUCUUCAUUCUUUGGUGCCAUACGGAUUUGAUUAUAGCCGGAUGAACCAUCCAUAAAGGACAUUGCCUUAUAACCAGUGGUGGGAUCAAUCAUCAACUCUGGUAUGGGAAUUGAAAAGACAUCCUUAGGGCAGGCAUUGUUGAGGUCUCAAAAGUCGACACAAACUUGAAUUUGGCUAUUCUUUUUUCUUACUGGAACAAUACUUGAAAUCCACGUGGGAUAUUUGACUUAGCAAAUAAAGCCAGCUUCAAUGAGUUUGUUAACUUCAUUUUCAAUUAAUGGAACCAACUCUGGCCUAAAGCGCCUUUGGGCUUGCUUAACAAGACGAGCACCAUUCUUGACCGCCAACUGAUGAACCGCUACUUUUGGAUCUAAGCCAGGCAUUUUCUCAUAGCUCCAGGCGAAGACAUCCAUAUAUUCUUUGAGUAUUUCCAUAUAAGCGAUUUUCUCCUCUACUUCUAGAAACGCACUCAAGUAAGUUGGUCAUGGUUCUUCAUCGGUUCCAAGAUGAACUUCCUUCAAGGGAUCUAUUGUGGCCUUUACUCCUUCUUCAAGUUACGAUGGAGCAUCUCCAACAUCUUCCUCCUCUUGAGGAUCAUCUUCAUUGACGGAUAUAUGAUAACACCAGAAAGCAUCUUCUAUCUCUUCAUCAACCUUUAUUUGAAACAAGACAUCUUUCUCGUUCUGGGUCAUAACAUGAUAUGAGGAGCCAACACUCUCUUCAUCUUCUUCGCGUUGCUUAGUAUAAACCACAGUAUGCGCCUUUGCUUUUAACACCUCGUUGCAUGAAACUACCAGUUUCGUUUGUCGCUUCAUUCUAGAAGGAAUCAAACUUUGGAAAUCCUUCUGGAUUUUAAAUGAAGAAUGCAGCAUCGUGCUUUGACGACUUCUUUGACGCUUGUUGUUUUUCUUAUUAUUUAUAGGACCCAACCUUUCGAACACAGAAGUUCUUGCGGUUGAUUCUCCAAGUCGAUCAAAUACGGAGGGUCUUUUGUUAGCGGCAGUGGAUUCUUCUUCCACGGUGAUGUAAUUAUUGAAUGCCCUUCUUAUGGAGAUGCGAAUUGGAAGUGGUUGCGUGUAUCCUAGUUCUUCACGUACUUGCCUGGUGUUACCCUCCAAUGGAAGUUUGCCCAACCUUAAUGGCUCAUUAGGAUUGUAUCCAGCCUUUACAAAUAGCUUGUAUGCAUUUGGAUUAAAGCCUUCUUUCGUACGCUUCGUAGGGAGUGCCAUAUCUGAUGGUAGAUUUUGAGCCACAAAUUCCCCAAGUGGCCUUGAGGAUGGAUUUAUUGCGUCAAUCUUCCUGACAGGUAAAGUUAUCCCCUUUAGCACAUUAUCUUGGGCGUCAGGUGAGUGAUCUUCCUCUUUCUUUACCUUUGGCAUGCAGCGAAGAACAUGAGUUGCCUUCUUCUUCGUAAGAGCGACACUUUCUUUAUUCGAAGUGAAGAAAAGCUUCUUGUUGAUGAAUUUUUCGAUAGUCACCGCGACCUUCUUAGAUGCAAGAUCGUCACACUUGGUCUUGGUGACAUCUUCAAUCCUUUUCUCAUCUACAAUAUGAUUCUUUGAGUAGAAUUUUGCAUCGGCAAAAUGUGACUCAGUUUCAGUGAAUGGCUUAUCAUCCGCGACUAUCGUUCUUUCCACUCCAUUUUUGAGGUACUUCAAGCAUUGAUUGUAAGAGGACAAGAUAAUUUUGUUCCCGUGCACCCAAGGCCUACCAAGCAAUACAUUAUAUGAAGUUUUGACAUCGAUCACAUGCAUCAAUGGGUUUGAUUGAAAAUCAUCCAUACUAAUCCAAAACUUGAUACAUCCCAUGGCCCUUUGGCCCCCUUGGUUGAAGCCUUGGAUCAUUAUACGACUUUCUUCCAGUUCACUAGUAGCGAUGCCAAGCUCCUUCAUCGUACGGAUAGGCAAGAUAUUGACUCCAAAUCCUUCAUCUAUCAAGAUUCUAUUGAUCUUCUUUCCUAGAAUUUGACCCACCAUGUAUAAGGGACGGUUAUGUAGGGUCUCACCAAGCAGAAGAUCGUUAUUUGUGAAUGUGAUUUUUGUAUCACACACAUGUGCCUCUUCGCCAAGAGUUUCAGCAAGCUUUUCGGAAGGUGAAGGAACUUCCAUGGGUUUAUUUUCACCUUUUUCCCCCUCUUUGGCGGUAUUAAAACAAGACACCUCAAAGUUAACUUGGGCAGUCUUAUUGCGGAACCAACUCGGUAAGAAUUCCUCUAAAGUUACCGGACGCCGAGGUUUCUAAUGGUGAAGCUCUGUCACCCUUGUCCUUUUUGGAAGUGCAACCAACUUCUGUUUCCUUAGUUUCUUCACCACUUUCCUUUCGGUUGGCUGCUCGUACGUCUCCUUUCGCAGACUCAUCUUCUUGCGUUUUCGUCUAGUCACUAGGGUCCAACCUUCUUCGUCGUCUUCAUCAACCGAAGACCUGUCAGGAUCUAAUAUCUCCUCAUUCUGCUUUUUGACACAAAUUUUAACCGGGUCGAGCAAGCCAAAAGUGAUAGAGAUUUGAUGAGAACUGGUUGUCUCAUCGUCGAAGAAAAUUUUCUUCUCUUUUGCCAGUUGCAUACCUUUAUCUUUAAAGACAAAGCAUUUCUCUAGAGGGUGACUUAUGAGCCUAUGAUAUUUGCAAUAAUUAGGGUCAUUGGUCCUUUCGGCUUUAUUGGGACGCUUCAUCUCUGGGAGUUCGAUGAGCUUAUGCUGAAGGAGUUCAUCGAAAAUAUCAUCAACAUCAGAAUCAAGGAAGGGAUAUUCCUUUUCCUGCAUCUCCUUUAACGUUUUCUGAUUUGGACGUGCUCCAGAAGUCGUCUUUACAUUUUGCUUCUUGCUCACCUUUGUGGUGACUUUCACAGGAGACACAUCAACAUUUAUGGAUUCUUUGUUAUCAUUUUUGGGGAUAAACUUACCCCAUCUUUUGGGUUCUUGCUUAUCCUUUCCCCUUCGAGAGUCAUGGAUAGGCGCUCCUUCCUUUCCAGCACAAGACAUCCUCAACUCCAUGUCAUGAGCACGAGUAGCUAACUCUUCAAAGGAUUUUGGCUUAAUGCCUUGCAAGAUGUAGAGAAGCCCCCAGUGUAUUCCUUUGAUGAACAUCUCUAUCGCAGAAGUUUUGCUGAGCCUAUCUUUACAGUUUAGGCUAGCAUUUCUCCAUCAAUUGGUGAAGUCAAUGACUGGUUCGUCCUUUCUUUGCCGAGUAUUUGUGAGCUCUACCAUGCUCAUUGUACUCUUUGUGCUAUAAAAGCGAUUCAGGAACUCAUGUUCCAAUUGCUCUCAACUAUCGAUGGAAUUAGGCGCGAGAUCCGUAUACCAAUCAAAGGUGUUUCCCUUUAGGGAACGAACAAACCGUUUGACAAGAUAAUCACCGUAAGUUUCAACAUUAUUACAUGUCUCGAUAAAGUGUGCGACAUGUUGUUUUAGGUUACCUUUGCCCUCAAAUUGUUGAAAUUUGGGGGGUUGAUAGCCAGCAGGCAUUUUGAGGCUAUCUAUUCUUGCAGUGUAAGGCUUAGCAUAUGCAAGGUAAGACUUGGUGACAACAUCAUACUUGUCUUUGAGGGUCCCUUUAAUAAAUUUCCUCAAUUGCCCAAUCGGGAUUAUUCCCUCAGCAGAAACAUGCACCUCUUUAGUCGAUGGUGUUUGUUUCACAGGGUUUUUUAUCUCAUGAACCCCUAGAACUUUUCCCGGCGCAUGGCUAGAUUCUCCGUAUAUCAAGCCUUCCACCCUAUCCACUAUCUUAUCAAUCCUAGCCUCUUGAUUCUGAACAUAGUUGGUCAGGCCUUCAAUUGCCUUUGUCAGAUUCGCAAGUUGCUCCUCCACAAACGAGGCAUCAGUUACCAUUACUUGCAUGAUCACUGGAGAUGUUGGAGAGUAACAUGGAUUAUCGCUUAGGUUGAUUUUUGAAGUGCUUAACUUAUGCGGUGUAAGUGGAGAUGACGCGUUUGUUGAACGACCAUAGCUCUUUACACUAGAGUAUUUGGAACCAGAAUGCUCAAGUAGAGCAAGAGUCUUCUUAAUCAAUUCCACGACACUGCUUCCUCCUUCCGAAACAUUUGUAUUGGACUUCGUUCCUUUUAGGGUUGAAGAUCCAAAAACUGGAGUUGGCGCGGACGACACUAGAUGUGUUUAUUGUCCUAUCAAGCCUGCCUUGCUCCUCGUGACAGCUCCUAAACUUCCGAAAGUAACACCAAGGAUUCUUUCCACUUAGGCAGAGAACCUUGAAUCAACAGCCUUGGAAGCAGUUGAUUGAGAGUUGAUCUUCUUGAAAGUCAUUUCAGCGUUCUUAAUCUUCAAAGUCUAAAAAGUUGAGAUGAGAGGUAGAGAUCGUCCCACUGGGCGUGCCAGAAUUUGUUGGACAAUAAAAUUCUCGAGUGAGGAAAAUAAAUAAUUCGAGACAAGAAAAUAUUGCAACAAUCAAUUUUAUUGAUUUCAAUGCGAUUGUUACAAUCUCUAUGAAUCCUCUGAUUCGUCUUUUCAAAUAUAAAUUUAAGGGCUUGAAGCUUAAUCUUGAAUUUAAACUUGAUUUGUUGAAUUUAAGGGACUUGGUCUUGACUUGUGCUUGAAUUCAAGAGCUUUUGAGCUUGUUCUUGAAUAUUGCGGUCUAGAUCUUGAAUCUUGAUGAACUUAAUUUGAAUGCCUGAGCUUUUUAGAGAAAUUAUGGCGUUUAAUCCACUAGCUUUGUCUUGCUACUUGUUAGAAUUCUAGGGGUCUGGGGUCUCUUUUUCUGAAUUAUGAGACUCUUAUUUAUAGUUGUAGGAAAAAAAGAGUCAUGAUGAAUAUGAACUUCCUUUGACCAAUCAGAUUUAAGUUGACAUGUCACCUUUUAUGGGCUUUAAUUUUAUGGGCCUACUGCAUCAUUUUGACAUGUGUCAUGGUCCUAUUGACUCCUUCCCUUGACUUGUCAUACCACAUCAUUUGACAUGUGUCACUUAUUUGGGCCUCUAGAAUAUGACGAUCUCUUGAACUUAUUAAAGUGGGCUCAUCAUUUAUAACCCAAAUUAAUGGACUAGCCCAAUAAAGAUUGGACUUCAUUUAAAUCCAUACAUGUUUGGAGUUAAAUAAUUAAUCCAAUAAUAUUAAUCCGCAAUAUUUAUUUGGGACUAAUAUAUUUUGAAUUUAAUAUAAUCCGAAUUUGAUACGGAUUUAAAUUUAAUAAAAUUACAUCGAACACAAUACUAUAGAUUAUAAUUUUUCUAAUAUGAAUAUGAUAAAUUAUAUUUUAAAAUAUUAUUCAAAGUUUAUAUCAAUUGAUUGAUUAAAAAAAAAUUAUGAUAAGGAUGUCUCUACUCCCUAAUUGGCUUUCAACGUCUUGCUUUUUGGAAAAAGCAUCCUUCAACUUCAAAGCACUAUCUUCAAGCACUGCGUUCUUGACUUUAUGGCUAUGGCACGUUGUAAAGAUAAUGACAGAAAGUUAAGAUCUCUCUUUCUAUUUCUUGCCUCCUCUAUUUAUCUUGCGAGAGAACUGAGAAGAGAUGUACGUGAUCAUCAGUUCAUUUAAAAGUUGGAAUCGUUAUGAAGAUUAUAAUUUUGUUAAUGUAAUUAUACUUCAACGUCUUGACCCUCACAGAAAUGAUUAUGCAUCAUGGGCUUGAUUUCUUUUGAUGAGCCAGACAUGGAAAAUAAAUUAUUAAUAAGUGAUAAAUAAAACUCUUUCGAUCCAAUAACUCUUGCUUCGUUCUCAUCUUUUAUGAGCCCCACACACAUAAAACUUUUAUCAAUAUUUUUACAUCCCACGUUGGUUGAAGGGAGGGGAAUUUGGCAUUAUUAUUAUUAUGCCAACGCUUACAUUUAUUUAAUAUUUUUAAAAUUACUAAUCCUGAUAUGAGUAGUCUUUGAUAAUUGUAAAUUGAAAGAGAUUUUAUUAUGGUGGGACUAUAUUUCACCCUUGAUUAGAGGCCUUGGGUUCAAGCCUGGAUAUGAAGAAUUGGGAGCACCACCCCCUUAAUGGGUUCUACAAUGCGAGAUUCCAAUUAGUCAUGGCUUUAAUACGGCCGUACACCGGAUGAAAAUUUUUAAAAAAGAAAAAAAAAAGAAGAAAGAAUUGAAAGAAAUUUUAGAGGAAUUAAUUACUGGACUUUUGAAAUUAAAUAUCCUCAACUGCAUAAAGUAGUAGGGCAUAUAUUGGCCUAGUGUGGGAGAGGUAUUUUGGCCAAUUACAUCAAUUUUAGUUGAUGCAAUUUUUACUUGUACAAUGUCACCACAAUUGUUUUGUCACAGUCAAUCUGCACAAUGGAAAACUCACUUAGAAAUGAACACAAUUCAUAAAUCAAUCAAACUAGCAUAGCAUAUUCGACAGGGAUUCAACAGUAAAAACUUUUGAAUGUAAUUAUUCACACAGGAAAAGGUUAUUAAGUGUAAACAUGCAUACAGAAGAACCCAUGCUAGUAUGGCUGCAAAUGAACUAAAAUCCCUUACCAGCAUGUGCAGUUUCCUUUUCCUUUUUUCUUGAUCAGGUAAACAUUUCAUUAAUCACAGGGCCAAAGUCGGCCGUAUACAAGAAGUAUACCAAAAAGUAAAGAACCUACAAUACGACAUGGUUCUCUACAAAAGACACCCAAUCCUUUAUACAAUCCUGCACUACAUGGAUGCAACAAAAAUAAAUAAGGGACCUCCUCAACUGGACAAAAGUCAAUUCUACCCCUUCAAAAGCCCUCCUAUUUCUCUCUCCCCAAACGAUCCACAUCAAAGCUAAAGGAACAAUAUUCCAAGCCCUGCACUUUCUCAUGCUUCUUCUAGCUUUCCAAUGAAAAAAUGUUUCCUUCACAUUUCUGGGCAUCACCAAAGAAAUACCAAACCAGCUAAACAUUUCCCACCACAGUCUCGUAGUCAGGUUGCAAUGUAAUAGAAGAUGAUCAACCUCCUCACCCGUCUUUUUGCAUAAGUAACACCAGCUAAUGCAUACGAUCUUACUUUUUCUUAGGUUUCCUGCCGUCAAAAUCACCCCCUCUGGCAGCUAACCAAGAGAAAAAAUACAUCUUCCUCGGUACCUCCAUAUCCACCCUCACCAAGAGCUUCUCAUAAAAGGACUUGACAGAAAAAACCCAAUUACUCUCCAACUUCCAUUUCAGAGUACCGAAUCUAACGACUGGCUCAUGAUAUAUGCUGAUAAAUUAGAGCUAGAAACAUUUGAAACCCAUUAACCUCCCAGUCUUAAAAAUUCCUCCUAAUGAUGGACUACCGCCUCCCUCUGACAAGAAAUCCUAUAGAGGCUCGGGAAUUCAUCUUUUAGUCCCACAUCUCUACACCAUUUGUUUUUCCAAAAACUGACUCUCCUCUUAUCCCCUACCCUGGACGAGAUGUUAACCUCAAAAUCAGCCCAUCACUUCAUAAUACUACUCCACACUCCACACCCAUACGCCAUAUUGAUUUCAUUAAUUCUCCCACCCCCUUCCAUCACUCCAUAUUUUUCUACUAUCACCCUUCACCAAAAAGAAUGGACCUCUAUCCCCAAUCUCCAUAACUAUUUUCCAGGCAAAGCUUUAUUAAAUACCCUUAAGUCUUUGAAACCCAACCCUCCCCAAUUUUUAGGCAUAGUCACUUUCUUCCAUCAGACCAAAUAAUGUUUUCUUGCCCCGUCUGUCGAAUCUCAAAGAAAGUUUCUUUGAAGUCUUUCCAGUUUUCCUGUAACACUGGUAGGAUCAUGAAACAAAGACAAAAAGUAAGUGGGGAUACUUGAUAAUGUGCUCUUAAUAAAGCACUUCUUUUCCUCCUUUGGAUAAAUAUCUUUUUUGCCAACUAGCAAGCCUCUAGAUUAACGUAACCCCUUUUGGAAGGAGAUAUCAACUCAUAAGGUUCUCCCAAAACAUGUAACUUAGAACAUAAGUACCUUUGGGUACUUUUGGACAUGUGAGCUUUCACAUUAAUGGCCCAUGUAACAUUCAUUUGAAUUUGGCAAUGGACAAUCUGAAAAGAUGACUUAAAAGCUUCAUCUAGAUAUGAAAAAAGGCGGAUAAAAAUAUAGUUGAUAAACGAGUGACGAAUGAACAUGUCACAACACAUGCUUUUUCUCAGUUGCAUCAUCUACACCCCCAAAACUCACCAAAAGAACAGGACCAAACUCUGGAUGGUGGAGAAACCCACACUGUUGGAAGCUCACUUAGUAAAUCAGGCAGAGAGUCAAUGGUGAAAUAUCAAAAGUAGCCAACAUAAUAUAGGAGAUUUGGUAUUAGCCCAAGAAAUGUCCUACAAAUGCUUCGAACUUCAUACAGAUGAGCUUAGUUUGUAUAUCAAAUUCUAUCUCAGCUGUUGUGGUUGUACUCUGGAAAGUGCAUAAUAGUCUUCUAAAGGAGGAGGGAUAAACUGCACUGCAGGUAGAUCAGCAUCUAAUGGAAUUCUUUUACAGUAAUAAAGAUGUGCAUAGUUCAUUUAUCAAAUUCCAUCUAAGUUGUAGUUCUACUUCAUGCUUGGGAAAUGCAUAAUUGUCUCUGUGUGUGUUUGGGGGAGGGGAUGUGAUAGAGGGACAAACCGCAGGUAGAUCAACAUCUGUUGGAAUUCUUUUGCAGUAAUUGCCAGCGUACUCCUGAACUUGAAUUCCCUGCAAAUAAAUAGAACACGGUCAGCAUGCGAGCUCAGUUUCACUUUCCAUAAAUUAGGUAUGGCAAUUCUCCUACGAGAGAAGCACAGGAAGAUCCGAAAAAUAGGGAGCAUACCUGACUACAUCUUACACGCAUUACUGCCUCAAACCUUUCGGGCCUAGUGAUAUUCCAUCGAAGAUCAUUGUAUAGCUUGGCAGUAUCAGCAAGAGCAGAAAACGGGAAAUAGUAAUACACCUGACACAAGUGAAACAACCAUAAAGCUCAAAGCUUAGAUGUAAAAAUAUCAAAAGGAACAUGAAGUGAAGUGGCUGCAUCAUAAGAUUGUUGAUAAAUUUCAUGAACAGUAAGUUGCACCAUAACCAAGGCCCUAGGGAAGAAGACAAGCUAAAAUAGUAACAAGCGUCACAGUUACCUGCCCACCAGUGGUCCUAGGAAUGACUGAAAUGGAGGCAAUGUCUUCAUAAGAUUGAGUUGUGAGAAACACGUCAACACAGACCUGAAGCAGUUGAGGUCUAAUUAAUAAAAGUGAAUGAUUAUAAAAAUAAAGACCAAAAGGCGUUCUUAAUCCUAUUUGUUUUUAAUGAAUCAUCACUGCCACGGGCUUUUAAUAUAAACUCUCACCUGAUACUCAGCAAACUCAAUGGCCAUUGUCUUCAGAUUUUUGUCGGCUGGCUGGAGUAACUUGUUAGCCUCCUGAAAUUGGAAAAUAUACAACUCUUCUGAAUAAGCAAUGUCAUGGUUUGUUUUUUCGGCAUAAGACAUUAGCGCUGAAUAUGUACAUUACAAAACUCAGAUGGAGUUUCACUUAUCCAAUGCUUACAGGAUUCCACUAAAAGUACCUCAGUGUACCAGACAAACACCAUUGGCAUAAAACAUUCAUCUGUUCUAAGAAAACUGAUCAACGAGUAAAAAACUGAUAAGCCCAGUCUGGUGAAAUCUUAGUAGGAAUACACCUAAACACAAGAUUUAAGAAGAAAAUUGAUAGCCACAAAGAGCACUCUCAUUUACCACACAAGAAAAAUGAUUAUUCUGCUCCACGAUUUAAGACAAUGAUUCAAGAGUGCAAUGAAGAGCAGACAUUUUCAUGAAAUGAUGAGCACGCUGCCAUUCAUUUCUCAGCCUUUCUACUUCUUUAGAGGUAGAGGUAUGGACUGCGUACAUCUUACCCUCCCCAGACCUCACUAUGUGGGAAUAAACUGGGUUUGUUGUUGUUGUUGUUGUUGACGACUCAAAUAAGUGAUUAGCAGCUUAAAGAACUUCAGUCAAGUUACUGAACCUCUAUUUCUGACCAUACAUUAUUGUACAUGCUCUAGUAGUCAAAUUUCAAGCAGACAUUUUGAUAUCAAUAAAUAGAAAAGACUAUUUAAUUUCCAAUGUUCUCUUUAAUAAGAAGUUGACAGUUAAAAGACAUCAUCUCUCGCACUUAAUCGUCUUAGCGACAAUAUUAGAAGCUUCUAUAUAUUCAGCACAAUAUGGACAACUUUAUGGGCAGAGCCCACAUUAUAAACGAGCAAUGUCUUUCUACAUCCAAAAUAUGAAAUGAGGGGCAAAAACUAGGGGACAGUAGGUAGAAACAAUCUAAAAGUGAGACAGAUAUAUGCUGAAGAACUAAAAACUGGUUCAAAAAUUUUACCUUCUCUGCAGCUGAUACAUUGGUUCUUCCUUCAGCCUCUCUAGCAGAAAUACUUCAAUUUUAAAAGAACCAGACAGUGCUGUAGAAAGCAAUCCUCUUAUGUAUCAUCCUAUUUAGUCAGAUUGCAUUGGAAACAGAAGUUAAGCAUAAAUUAAUGAAAGCAAAACAGUCAAUCAGCAGUGCAUUGUAAACAAGGCGUGGGGGAUCAAAGAUAAAAGAUGUUUUAAUGCAAGCAUGCGGACAAUAUUACCGGCUUGAUUUUUUACUAGUACAUGAAACUUAAAGUUAACUGCAUUUAGCACCUUACCUGAUUGAAACACAAGAAGUUUGCCUCCAGUGCUUUUCAUUGCCAAGAAAGCAGCCUGAAGUAACAAAACACGAAGUAAGAAUCAAUCUAUAUGAUAAUCCAUCAUAGACUGAUGUCGUUAGACUUGCAUCAAUCAUCUGCAUGAGGGAGAUCCCAGAUUUAAAUUCUAUGGGAUCAAUCUUUAAUGUUCGAAGCAUUGGACACAUUAAUUUUAAAAAAAAAAAACGAUAACAGUUGUGUCCAAGCUAGCUUGCGCGCACCUCGACUAACUCAAUGUGAUAUUUGUCACCUCCCACCUACAAUAGAUACUAAUUGACUUUGUCAAACAAGGCUAGGACAAAUGGGAAGAGAUCACCUAGAGUUUUUGUCUCUGCUGAGAUUUGAACAUGAGACCUCGUGAUUCUCAACCCACUUCAUUGACCACUACAUAUUUUUAAAUUUAUGGCUUCAUACCCAUCAUUUAGUGCAAGUUUAGUCAUUUUUUACACAUAAACUUAUGCUCUAAGUUGAACGUAUCGGGUUUAGAUGAACCCGUUACUGUACGGCUGGACCUGCCCCUGCAUCUGCAUGUAGAGACAUAUACUACUUAAUUUUUCCAAUCUUUUUCUAAGAAUGGCAAAGUCUCAGGAAACUGUAAUGACCUAACUACUCACAUUAUAGAGGGAAUGCAGAAAAUACUUAUUCCAUCUAUGAAUUAACGAGGCAAUUUUUUAAAAAAAAGGCAAUAUAAAACAAGUGGAUUUAUAUUCCAAAUGAUAACUUGGGAAUAUAACUUCAUGUAACGCACUGAUACCUUGACAGCAGCACCAAAAGCUGAAUUAGCAGUCCAGUUGUUCUGGAACAUAGUUGGGAUGCUUUCUAGGAGAAGCUCUAGGUUUUGACGGCACUGAAAACACAAACAAGGAACAACUUUCAUAGGACGCACUCAUAGUCUUAGUCAUUCUGCUUAAUAAGGGGAAAAUGAACAGAAGUUAGACAACAUCUUGCAGAACAAACCUCCGACAGCUGCACAAUAACAUCAGUCUGAAGGGGGGUGUAAACGUCUUGGACAUCAGGGACUAUUAGCAUCAAUGGCUGCAAAGGUAGAUCCAGAAUAAACUUAUCAGAAAACACGCACUUCACCAACCUAAACCAUUUGCCACAACCCUAAUCCCACAGUUUAGCAUCCAUAUUAAAGAACAAUGAACAGGUCAUAUUAGAGAACAAUGGAACAAGUGAAAUGGAAUCCAACUAUACCGGAGAAGAAAAAUGAAGAACUGCAUAAUUAAGCAAAAUGAAGAAAUCCAACAAUAAGGAGAAGAGCAACUAAUUAAGGCAGAAAAGUUGAGAAAAGUCAUAAAGUACUCUUUUUGAAGGCUAAUAUUUUCUUCCUGCAAUCCAUUACUUAAUCAUGGACAAGACAAAUGAAAAAGGAAAACAACAACAAUUUUACUUUAUUUUAGUAAGUACUACUAACUCUGCUUCCCAGAUAUGCCUAAUUUUGCUCAAACUCUCCAAAAAUGUUGUCACACCUGUCUCGGAUCCACAAAAAUGCAUAAUUUUUUGAGGAUCCGACAUGCACUAUUUGACAUUUUUGAAGAGCCCGAGCAACAUACACUUGGUUAAAGAUUUUUAUUUUAUUUUCACUACAGAAAUUCUUUACGAAGAGCCGAGGGUCUUUUGGAAACAGUCUCUCUACCUCCCACGAGGUAGUGGUAAGGUCUGAGUACGCUCUCUACCUUCCCUAAACCUCACUAGUUUCACUGGGUAUGUUGUUGUUGCAAAGAAAUUCUUUAAGAAAUGGCAUUUAGCUAAUCAUCUUGGCAACACAUUUCUGAAAUCCAACGAGAAUCAUUUUAGUAGUUCUGCAUUUUACCCUUAAAAGUAAUUGUCAAUUCAUCACUACCUCAACAAAGAGAAAAAUGGCAAAGAUAACUGAUUAAGACUUAACACUAAUUACAAAGCAUCUUUUAAUUUUAGAUUCUAUUCAAUAGCUUAAUUUAGCAGAAUAAACUCAUUUGGAUGUGCUGAACCUGCUGCAAUGCACACUUGAGAUUGUAAAAGUGGAUAGUUGAGUCAAAUGUAGCAACUCCAACCAACGUCCGAGGACCAUCCUGCAAUAAUAAGUUUUCAAAGUCAAAGACAGCUCUUUUAACUCUCCAAGAAUUCAUAUUGUGCAUUAAAAUUGAAAAGAAAUGCAUCUUAGCUGAACUAUAUCACAAAUAGAAUAGACUCCCAAAUCUCUUGCCUCUUAGUGAACAUGUCAUUCUACCACUUGACCGAUCCCAUCUCUCCCGAAUUCCAUUAGAUCAUAGAUUGAUUUCUACCAGAUCCUAUGGUCCAUUCAACUAGAAUGACACCAGAUGCCAAGAAAAGAACCCCACAAUCAAAGCAAGGGUUCACCUGAAUCUUUUCGUCACAUUCAUAGUUUUCCUUUUACCUUCUGAUUUAUUAUAAGCCAUCACUUAAGGAGAUGCAAAUCAACAGGUUAUCGCAUCAUAAUCUCUUCAUCUUUUUUUGCCUAAUCCCCCCCCGAUGUCCAGCAGCCACUAAAUAUAAAUUUCCAUAAUGACCUCUUGGAUAAAACAAAGUGAUCAAGCAGCAUUCGUGCAGCAUCGCACCAUUCAGAAUGGAGACAACUAGGUUUUCCACAAUCAGAUACAUAAAUAACUAACCUAUCUCAUCAUCUCAACAGACAAAUUACACGGAUAAUUGCUUCGCUACAUCAGAAGUUCUAGGUAAAAGUGGAUAGUUGAGUCGAAUGUAGCAACUCCAACCAAUGUCCGAGGACCAUCCUGCAAUAAUAAGUUUUCAAAGUCAAAGACAGCUCUUUAACUCCAAGAAUUCAUAUUGUGCAUUAAAAUUGAAAAGAAAUGCAUCUUAGCUGAACUAUAUCACAAAUAGAAUAGACUCCCGAAUCUCUUGCCUCUUAGUGAACAUGUCAUUCUACCACUUGACCGAUCCCAUCUCUCCCGAAUUCCAUUAGAUCAUAGAUUGAUUUCUACCAGAUCAUUCUAUGGUCCAUUCAACUAGAAUGACACCAGAUGCCAAGAAAAAACCCCACAAUCAAAGCAAGGGUUCACCUGAAUCUUUUUGUCACAUUCAUAGUUUUCCUUUUACCUUCUGAUUUAUUAUAAGCCAUCACUUAAGGAGAUGCAAAUCAACAGGUUAACGCAUCAUAAUCUCUUCAUCUUUUUUUGCCUAAUCCCCCCCCGGUGUCCAGCAGCCACUAAAUAUAAAUUUCCAUAAUGACCUCUUGGAUAAAACAAAGUGAUCAAGCAGCAUUCGUGCAGCAUCGCACUAUUCAGAAUGGAGACAACUAGGUUUUCCACAAUUCAGACACAUAAAUAACUAACCUACCUCAUCAUCUCAACAGACAAAUUACACGGAUAAUUGCUUCGCUACAUCAGAAGUUCUAGUUAAUCUCACUGAUUUUAGUAUAAAAAUUGAUUAAUUUAUGAUGACUCCACUUGAGAAGACACGCCAAAUACUUUUCCCUCUAAUCUAAAGGGAAAAAAAAUGCAUGUUGCAUCAUCAUAAACAACCAAUAGACUUACAGGGAGAUCAGAAAUAACUUGGCUGAUCGCACUGCAAGCAGCUGCAGUUGCACCAGUCUGUAUGGCAUUCAUGGAAACAUCUAUCAGGAAGAAAUAAACAGCGGGCAUUGGAUCCCGAACCUGAAAUACAAGAAAAAAUUCCAAGUUAUUACUGCAAAAUAAAAUGAGUCACAAAAUCAAAUUAAGGAAUUCUCUAGACCAAAGACAGGAGUGCAUCUACGAAAAAGGAGAGCAUCAAAUCAACUUGCAACAUAGAGUAGGUUCUAAGCUAUAUCUACAUUGAUUUAGAACUCUGUAAAAUGUCUCUGUGGAAGUAUUAGUUUAAUUUUCUAAACUUGAGCUCCUACUCGUCCACACUACCGACCCCCUCAACCCAUGCGCUGUUAACAGAUUGCAUAGUACUCUAGGAGCAGUAAAUUGACAAGUCUGCCACAGUUCAACAUCUCACGUAUCCUGCUCAUUGCUCAGUGGACCUUCUCCUUCUCACCAUAUUCCUCUUUAGCUUCUCUCUGUAUAUGUUGUUUUUUACUACUUUCAAUGCUGAAAAGAAUUUUGUAACAAAUAAUAUACAAACCAACUGUUUCCUCCUAAAGUCUAAAAUCAGCAACAGAAUAGCAGGCCGAUAGCAACAACCUGGUGCUGGAAAACAACACAAGAACCGGCAUUUGGAGUAUAUUGAAAACGGUGCUAGUGAACUGCAAACUUUCCGCAUACCAAUCCACUGUGACUCAAUCUCAAGUUAGUGUUUUAUUUUAUUAUUACUUAUUUGCCCACAGGGUAUGUUGUUAUUGUUGUUGUAUUUUUAUACCAGCAUCAAUCCCAAUAGUUAAUAUUGCAAUAUGAAUCCUGUGUAGUCAAGUCACUCUGUUCUGGUUAGCUUCAGCAAAUACCAUAACAACUUCAGAUGUUAGAUUUGAAAGCACAAAGCUAGCAAAACAGAAAGCUCAGAGCUUGAAAUGUCUACUUAAUAUGGCAUUACUCCUAUAACGUCAUGCAAUCACAUCCCUUAACCAAUGUGUCCAAAAAGUACCAACCAUAUAUUCCUUCGUAGCGACAAACUUAACAGUUCCUCGGCAUAGUUCAGGCCUCUCAUCAGCAUCCCUACGCCUGCCAUCUGGACCUAAGUUGCACUGAUAGUCACGAGGAGUUUCAUCGGUAUGUCCUGCAACAAGGACGGCAAGAAACAUGAGAUAAGAGUUGCAUAACAACACAUUUUCAUUAAACAUGCAGUAUUAAGAAAUUGAAAUGGUUUUUACAUUUCAAGUUAUGAAUGCGAUUGAUUAAUUAAAGCUAAUGGCCUUUGUCCUCACUUAAAAGUUGAGGAACCUGAAAAGAGAUAUCGGUAAAUGGAAUAGAGAGGUCUGUGGCAAACUAGACUAUCAGAGGAAUAAGGUUCUGGAAGAGCUGGGAUUCCUUGAACAAAUUGCUGAACACAGGGAAAAUACAACAGAAGAGAAACUGAAAGCUUGAAGUCUGAAACUAGACCUUAAACAGAUAGCAAUUGCUAAGGAAAUUUCUGUAACACCCCGCAUUUCGGACUAGAAUAAAAACCAUGACUCUGAUGCGUUGAUAAUCCCAGAGCCUUAAAUCCUAUGCCAAUUUGGCAUGUUUAUGUAGUAUGUGAAUCCAUCUGAGCAUGAAUUUAGACCCUAGAGGUCCUUCAACUCAAGGACAAGUUGAAACUAUCUCGAUCGAUUAAGUUUUAGUGGACGUUGUAAUUUGUGUCAGCUUCCAUCGACCAUAACUCUCUGUACAUGUUGAAUUAGAGAGCCUACUAUGUGUCAAAUCAUAGGUCUUCGAGCUAACUUUCCAACGAUACCAAUUUUGCUAAAAUCCGACACCCGAGCAAGAAGUUAUGGCCUUUCAAAGUAGUAUGCGUCACCUAACCAAUCGCACAUGGCCACUGGAAAGCAUAUGCGAUAGCAUAUGCGGCGCCUAUGUAAAUAUAGGCGAUAUCAUAUGCGGCGUCUAUGUAAAUAUAGGCGAUAUCAUAUGCGGAGGCUAUGUAAAUAUAGGUGAUAUCAUAUGCGGCGCAUAUCUUAUGGUUUCAAGUGACUUAAACACUCCGUUUUUGGGGCAAAAUAGUCCUUUUCCCACCCUUAUUCAGCCAUAAACACGAAAUUCAGUCCCCAAUUCUCCAAAAUACAUCCACAUUCAUCUAAAAAUUCUCAAGAACACUUCCAGGGGUUUCAAACUAAAAACCCAAAUAAAUCAAGAUUUAACCGUAGGUUUUCAAAAUUGAUUAGAGAUUCGGAAUCCCCAAUCCACAGGCUUCAAGAAGCACCCAUUAUUUUCCGAAAUAGAGGUACGCGGGGUUUUCCUAAAUUCUCAUGGGCAUAGAAAAAUCAUGUUUUAGAAUGGGGUUUUUGAAUCUAUGUAUAUAUUCAUGUAUUAAAUAUUUUAACAUCAUUAUUUUGGUCUUUUGACCUUCCCCAAAGUGAUUUGAGAAUAUGAAUGUAUGAAACCNNNNNNNNNNNNNNNNNNNNNNNNNNNNNNNNNNNNNNNNNNNNNNNNNNNNNNNNNNNNNNNNNNNNNNNNNNNNNNNNNNNNNNNNNNNNNNNNNNNNNNNNNNNNNNNNNNNNNNNNNNNNNNNNNNNNNNNNNNNNNNNNNNNNNNNNNNNNNNNNNNNNNNNNNNNNNNNNNNNNNNNNNNNNNNNNNNNNNNNNNNNNNNNNNNNNNNNNNNNNNNNNNNNNNNNNNNNNNNNNNNNNNNNNNNNNNNNNNNNNNNNNNNNNNNNNNNNNNNNNNNNNNNNNNNNNNNNNNNNNNNNNNNNNNNNNNNNNNNNNNNNNNNNNNNNNNNNNNNNNNNNNNNNNNNNNNNNNNNNNNNNNNNNNNNNNNNNNNNNNNNNNNNNNNNNNNNNNNNNNNNNNNNNNNNNNNNNNNNNNNNNNNNNNNNNNNNNNNNNNNNNNNNNNNNNNNNNNNNNNNNGGCAUACAGAGAUGUUAGGUGGUUCCCUAAAGAGGGCUUGAGUUCAAGCAACUCAUUGCCUAAAAUCGUGGUUUGCCGACCCGAGUAUAUUAUUAUAUGCUGACUUAAGUGUCGUGCGGCGUAUCAUAUUCAAGAACUCCAACCCUUCUGGCAUACUCGGGUUGGAGGCUUCCCUGCUGAGUCAAUGGCGGAUUCCAUAUCGCUCGUGGAAUAUCAGACUUGCAGGGGAUACCACCUAACUUAGAAGUAAUACACAGAUCAGAGUUUGAGACUUACAGACAGGUUACAUGUUUUCAGAAGGUGCCCAUGUGUUUUUCAGAAACUGUUUUAUGCAUAAUGUUUGAUGAACAUUUGCUCUCACGUAUUAUAUAUAUAUANNNNNNNNNNNNNNNNNNNNNNNNNNNNNNNNNNNNNNNNNNNNNNNNNNNNNNNNNNNNNNNNNNNNNNNNNNNNNNNNNNNNNNNNNNNNNNNNNNNNNNNNNNNNNNNNNNNNNNNNNNNNNNNNNNNNNNNNNNNNNNNNNNNNNNNNNNNNNNNNNNNNNNNNNNNNNNNNNNNNNNNNNNNNNNNNNNNNNNNNNNNNNNNNNNNNNNNNNNNNNNNNNNNNNNNNNNNNNNNNNNNNNNNNNNNNNNNNNNNNNNNNNNNNNNNNNNNNNNNNNNNNNNNNNNNNNNNNNNNNNNNNNNNNNNNNNNNNNNNNNNNNNNNNNNNNNNNNNNNNNNNNNNNNNNNNNNNNNNNNNNNNNNNNNNNNNNNNNNNNNNNNNNNNNNNNNNNNNNNNNNNNNNNNNNNNNNNNNNNNUUCGCGUGCCAGUACAAUUGUGCUGACCCCCUUCCUCCCAGGUAACUGAGGCGCAGUCUAGGGGUCUAGAUACUCAGUAGAGUCUACAGACAGAGUUGUCUCAGAGUUCAGUUGGUGAGCCUUCUUUGCUUCGAAAGGCCUAGUCAUUUAGGUAUUUAUUUCAGUAUGGCUUUUGGUCUGCUGGGGGCCUUGUCCCAGUUAUUCAGAUAGUAUGUCAGUACAGAUUUCGUAGACUGUUGCAGAUGUUUAUUAAAUAUUGUUGGGCAUGUUUUCAGGCCUUUAACUGUUUUAAAUUGUUGACCAUGUUUCCGUAUUAUUGUGUCUAUUCCGUAUUACUUUGAUCAUAUGAAUUAUGUGCAUAAUUACCAAAUAGACAGAGGACGUUCCGGGCCUUCAGGUUCGGGAAUGCUCGUCGCGGCCAGGGCCCCGGUUCGGAUCGUGACAAUUUCUUGGAGGAAAAAGUCCAGAUUUCUAUGGCUAAAAGCCGGGGACAAGAACACUAAGUUCUUCCAAAGAAUGGCAAACUCACACAAAAGAGGCAAUAGUAUUGACAGGCUAAAAAUUGAAGGAGAAAUCAUUGAGGAUGAGGAUGUGAUAAAAGAAGGCAUCCUUGAUUUUUACCAAAACCUUUAAAAGGAAUCUGAACCAUGGAGGCCAUCUGCAGAGUUUGAAAACAUCUCAACUUUAAGGAUUGAGGAAAGGGAUGAGCUAGAGCUACCAUUCAAUGUACUUGAAGUUCUUAAUGCUCUCAAAUCAUAAGCUCCAAGCCCUGAUGGCUUUACCAUGGCUUUUCUACCAGAAAGAAUGGAUUUUCAACAAAGAAGACAUCAUGAAUGCCUUCAGUUAUUCCAUCAAAACUAUCAAUUGGUGAGAUCCUGCAAUGCUUCCUCCAUUGCCCUUAUUAUCCCAAAGAAGAAGGUGCUUUGGAACUUAGGGACUUAAAACCAAUCAGCCCCGUAGGAAGCAUUUAUAAACUGGUGGCCAAGGGUCUGGCUGAGAGGUUGAAAAAGGUGGUGUGCAAUUUAGUUUCAGGUCAACAAAGUGCUUUCAUGAAGAACAGGCAGAUUACUGAUGCCUCACUUAUUGCUAAUGAAGUGCUAGACUGGAAGAUCGAAAGUGGGGAAACUGGCAUUCUAUGUACGCUAGACAUAGAAAAGGCUUUUGACCAGUUACAAUGGAGCUAUCUAGCUAAACUUCUAAAAAUACUAGGCUUUGGCAACAGGUGGAUUAAAUGGAUAUACUUCUGCAUCUCAAUUGUUAAGUUCUCAGUAGUGAAUAGAAGUCCAGUAUGGUUCUUCUAUCCCAAAAGGGUCUCAGGCACGGGGACUCCCUCUCUCCUUUUCUGUUUAUCUUGGCAAUGGAAGAGCUCACUCAGUUACUAGUUAGAGCUAGAGAACUUCAAUGGAUUCAGGGAUUCCAAGUUGGCAAUGACCCUAGCACAGCUGUUACAGUCUCACAUCUGCUAUAUGCAAAUGACACUUUGGCUUUUGGUGGAGCAAACAGACAACAAAGUGCGGCAAAUCAACAUCACUCCCAUGGUCUUUGAAUCAAUUUCUGGACUUCACAUCAACAUGAUCAAGAACAAAAGCUACCCAGUAAAUAGAGUCCCCAACUUAAAUGAUCAGGCAGACAUUCUUAGUUGCAAAACUAGAACUCUUCCAACUACCUACUUGGGAUUGCCAUUACGAGCAAAAUUUAAGGUUAUUGAAAGAAUGGAGAAGAGACUAGCAACCUGAAGAUGCAAUCUCUCUUUAGGAGGCACACUUACACUAAUCAGUAGUGUACUUGAUAGUAUUCCCGCCUACAUUAAAAGCCAUUUUUUACUUUUAGGAUUGUUUGGCAAAUUUAAAAGUUGCUUAAAAAAAGUUAAUUUUUGCUUUUUAAAAGCCAAAAGCUAGAAGUUGUCCAUUCCUUACUCUUUUUUUUCAGUUUAUAAUCCAUUAAAAGUUGACCACAUAAAAGAUAUUUGUGUCCCUUAUAAUUCUUAUUUAUUCCAAAAUUACCCUCUUGUAACCCCCAAAACACAUUCUCUUUCACUACAACACACUUCUUCUUGUAUUAAUUAAACAUUUUUACUUUUUGUAUUUAUGGCGAACUUAACUAUAGCCAUAUUAGUACCUCUUUUGUGUGAAACUUAUAAUUUAUGAAAUAUGAUUUUUAUGUAUUAUUCUCAUUCUUUAAUAUAUUCUUUUAAAUUUGAACAAUUAUUAUUAUACAACAUAUGAAUUUUUCUAAGGAAAAAAAAAACUCACCAACCAAGAUAUACGGAGAACAUUCACUGAAGAUAUACAACUUUAUGAACGAUUAGCGAACAAUUCACGAAUAUUUGACGACGCAACGUUCGUAUUCGACAAUGUUUUAAUAGUGGUAUAGUCAUUACUCAAUCAACGAGUAAUAUAUUUUUCAAUUAAGAGUCAUUUUAGCAAAGAAAUAGUAUCAUUUGUGACCAACUAUUUAUCUAUUAAUGUAAUUAUAAUGAUUAGUAACAUAUAUAUUUUGUUUGAUGAUUUAAACUCUUUUAACCAAGAAAAAAGAAUUUUUUUUAGCGCACAUUUAAUAGUCAUUCAUGAAAAUAUUUUAUAUAUUGAAACUGAAUUAAAAAUAUAUAUAUUAAUUUUAAUUUGAAUCAUUUUAGAAAUAAAAAUUAAUAAUAAUCUACUCUACAUAUUGUUAACAGCUUUAAGGGUAUUUCAGACAUUUUGACCCAAAAAAGUGCUUACAACACUUGUUUACCAAACACAUCAACAACUUUUUUUCAGUUUCAACACUUUUAUCCAAACACGUAACUGCUUCUUUUUAAAAUAAGUUUCAGCACUUUCAAAAGCACUUUUAAAGAAUCUUUUAAAAGCCAUUUUUUUUCAGUCUAUCCAAACAGGUUCUAAGAAGGAAAUUUCUAACAACAACAACAACAACAACAAACCCAGUGUAUUCCCACUUAGUGGGGUCUGGGGGGGUAAGAUGUACGCAGUCCAUACCUCUACCUCUGAUGAAGUAGAAAGGCUGUUUCCGAAAGACCCCCGACUCCAGGAAUACACCCCCACCAAUUACCUCCCUACAUUAGCGACCCGAACAGGCCCUAAUCCUCUGCCGUAAUUCGCGUCUUCCAGACCUUCCUAUCUAGGGUCAUGUCCUCGGUGAGCUGUAACUGUUCCAUGUCCCGCCUAAUCACCUCACCCCAGUACUUCUUCGGUCUACCCCUACCCCGUCUAAAACCAUCCAACGCUAGCCUCUCACACCUACGGACCGGGGCAUCCGUGCCCCUCCUCUUCACGUGUCCGAACCAGCUCAAUCGUGCUUCCCGCAUCUUACACUCCACUGAAGUCACACCAACCUUCUCCCGGAUAGUCUCAUUCCGAACUCUAUCCCCUCGAGUCAGUCCACACAUCCAGCGCAACAUCCGCAUUUCUGCCACCUUCAUUUUUUGGAUGUGGGAGUUCUUAACUGGCCAACACUCCGCUCCAUACAGCAAGGCCGGACGGACUACCACCCUAUAGAAUUUGCCUUUAAGCUUGGGCGGCACCUUCUUAUCACACAGCACCCCCGACGCGAGUUUCCACUUCAUCCAUCCCGCCCCAAUACGGUGCGAGACAUCCUCGUCAAUCUCACCGUUACUCUGGAUCACGGACCCGAGAUACUUGAACUUAUCCCUCUUACAUACCUCUUGUGCUUCCAGCUUCACUACUACCUUGUUCUCCCGCCUCACGUCAUUAAACUUACAUUCCACAACAAGGUUGCUCAUAAAACUCACAACAAGGUUGCUCAUAAAAUGGCUAUGGAGGUAUGGCCAAGCAGAGGCCUGAUAUUGGAAAGAUGUCAUCAUAGCCAAAUAUGGGGCACAGAAACAUUGGUGUACCAACAGGAUCAGAGUACCAUAUGGGGUAGGGGACCUAGAAAUUUAUCAGUAGCUUUCAAGAGGUAAACAUUGGUGUACCAACAGGAUCAGAGUACCAUAUGGGGUAGGGCACCUAGAAAUUUAUCAGUAGCUUUCAAGAGGUCUUCUUUCAGAAGGUAUCCUACAAAGCUCACAAUGUCUGACCAAUGGCUUGGAAACACUACAUUAAAGAAUGUUUUUCCCAGCCUUUAUCAAAUAGCCAACAACAGGGAAGCAACCAUUGCACAAUAUAGAGAUGGCAACAUGUGGAACACUAAUUUCAAAAGGAAUCACCAAGAUUGGGAACUCAAUGAUCUGCUGCUCCUCUUAGAGUCCUUGGUGUCCUAUCAUCUAGAUAGAAAUGCUAGCAGGAUCUUAUGGGGCUCUUCCAAUACAGGAACCUACACAGUGAAAGAUUUCUACAGAGCAGAAUGCUCGCAGAAUAGCCAAAUUGAGCUUUGGCCUUGAAAGCAUGUUUGAAAAACUAGACAACCUCUCAAAGUCACUUGUUUCACAUGGAUUGCACUAUAUGAAGUCUCUUUGACUCAAGACAAUCUCAGAAAGAAAGGCAUCAUCCUUACCAACAGAUGCUACAACGAACCAGUGAACCACCUUCUUUUGAUUCAACCUGUGACCUGCCAGGUCGAAUCAAAGAAGCAUAUUUUAGCUGGAUUUCUUGGAGAGUUGACAAAUUCAUCAAAAUAAUCUGGAUCAUGAUCCUUGCAGUCAUAUUUUGGACCAUCUGGAAGGAAAGAAAUCAUAGACAUUUGCUUAGUAACCUUAUUCAGUUGGCACUCCCUAUCCCCUGUAAACAGUGUCGAUACCUUUUUAGAUUUUGUUAGCUCCUUAACUCUUAUUUAACAGAGUAUCAAGGUAUCAUUCUUUUGACUAUGUUUCUAGGUUUUUGAAGCUAUUUUUAGUUUAGUCAGUUUUUUCUCUCUAGCUACUCGUACCAUUGCAUCUACGUGAUGCCUUUCUAAUACAAUUAAUAAUUACUUUAACCAAAAAAAAAAAGAAUUGCAUGUGUAAUGCUGAGGCCGGUCCGUCCACGCCUUGAAUAUUUAUCAGAGGUGAAUGGACUAUCCCCAAAAUAAAAGAGAUAUAGAGAGAGAAUCAACAAUUCUUUCCUUUUACUGUUCCACUUCAUAGCGCUAGUUAACUUAUAAAGUUGCUCACGGGCAGGCUUCACAUAUAGACUGACAUGUCAACCUAUAAGGAUUAUAUUGAUAUCUAUCAAUGUCACUUCCAAAUAAAACUUAUAUCUGAAUUAGGUCCAGAAAAGACUACGUUUAAAGAUAAUUUUCUUCUUUGCAGCUUAUGAAAUGGAAGGUGUAAGAGUAAGACUGCUCACAUGUUCUCCGUUAACCAAUAAGAAUGAAUAUUAGACGUUUGAGAAUGUGCUUAUGUGUUUUGCUAGACUAGUUGGAGCAGAAAAAUAUCAAUAACGAUGUAAAUUUGAUACUUCUGUUUGGUAUUCUGUAGUUUCACAAAACAUCACAGCCAUGCUAUGUUGCAUUUCAAUCUUGAGUCUCUAAAUAAUAUAUAGAGCCACUCAAGACUCCAAAUAUCACAUAACUUCAGUGGAAAUAAAUGAAAUUCAUUCUUACCACAAAAUGAAUUUAAAGUUUCAAAAAAAAUCUUUCUUACCACAAAAAUUACAGAUGAAACGUCUUCCCUGAUCAAUGAACUUCACAAAAGGAUUUAUAUAACCUUUGCAACGGGAGCACCGAACAGGACCAUUUUCCCCAAAAUCUACCACCUAUCAAGGAAAACAACAGGUAGGUAAAAGAACUAACAAACUAUUUCAUUCUGCAGUCAAGUAAGCCACACAAACCAAUUUAGAUGAUUGAAGUGACCCUACAUGUUUAGAAUAUAGAGCAAGUAGAAAUGAAAACAAAUAUAUAACAAACAUAAACAUAAGAUCCAUGAUGAUUAGUCAAAACAUUAGAUGAUUGAAGUGACCCUACAUGUUUAGAAUAUAGAGCAAGUACAAAUGAAAACAAAUAUAUAACAAACAUAAACAUAAGAUCCAUGAUGAUUAGUCAAAACAAUCUCCACUCUAGGGAUCACGAUCAUGCCUUUUUGUCACGAAGAAGAAGAAGAAAAAGAAAAAGCACACUGCCCUGACGAAGGUCAUUGCAGUCAAUUGUACAUCUUAGAACAAAUCAAGCCAGUAAUACUUCAACAAAUAUCAACAAACACAAUUAAUUGUAAUAAUCACUUAUAAAGAUCUUGACACUACAAAUAUCAUUUGUUUGCAUGCGAUAACUUAAUUUUCGGUUAAUCACAUAUAAGACAGUUCUGCUUUUGGCUUACUUUGAGGCUAUAUCCUAGUUCUGGAUCAAAAUUAGGAAGUCCAAAAUAGUUCUUUUGUAACUGCCGGAAUCCUAGCCUGUGGGCUGUGGCUGCCUAUUUCUUUUAAUAUAAAACUUGCUUACCUUCUAAAAAAAAAAAAAAAAGAGUCCGCAAUGAUCCAGCUGGAGAGGCACAUAAAAAUCAAGAUUAGCGGUUAUGUGGCAGCAAGUAGCUAAGCUACUAUCGAAUUACUUGGGCCUACAACAUGGGUGAAAGUGCAAAACAGCUCUAGUUAUCAAAGGUUGAAAGAGAUGAGAAAAAACUGGAGACAUGGAAGCAAGGAGGAGCCAGCCUUAAAGAUACGGGUUUGGAAGAAUCCAAUAGUUUUGGCUCAAAACCCGUGCUUGAGUUUUAAGUAUAGAAUCUUUUUUGUUCUCAAAAGGUCCCUUUUAUUCAUUCUCAAAAGAAGUCUUGUUGUUUCUUUCCUUCCAAAUUGUUAUUACCUCGUGCUCUUCGGAUAAAAUAUAACAUAAAUCAUCCUUCAUAAAGGUAUGCCAUUAUUUACCUCGAACACUAUUACUUUUCCUGUUCCGUCAAAGGUUUCACACUUUCAUUUUUAGCCUGUUCGAAAAAGAAUGAUGUUACUCUACAUUUAGAAAUAAUUUCACUUUAAACUUCUCUUUUCACCCUCAAUGACAUGAUUUUAUAGCCACAUAAAUAUCACGGCAUGUUUAAGACCACAAAUUCUACAAUUCUUUUUCUCUCCACUUAAAUGUCAUGCCCAGACAGAAAGGUUCACAUAUAAUGAAACAUAAGGGUACAAAAAGGCUAUUAAAAUUAGAAUACAUAGAUGGCAAAAAAUGCUUUACCUGAAGGGGCUGUUCAGAUGGAUGAGGAAGAGCCAAGGGCUGGAUCAAUAAAGCCAAUUGCAUUGCCGAAGUUGUCAAAAGGUCAACAGUGCGUGGUAUCUGUUAAACAAACAACGAGGACCAAAUCAUCUACCAUUAGUGCUUUAAUUAAAAAAAAUAUAUAUGGUUAAUAAGCUACUCAUUACAUAGAAUAAGAAAGAGUAUAAUGCAGAAACCAUAGAGGGAAGAAUAACAGAGACAAAAAUCAACGCAAAAAAGUCUAGUACCUAACCAUGGGCUGCAAUUUCCAGUGUCCCUAGCAAUAUAGUUACUUGUGGCAGGCUUCGAGUGGACGAAAAAGGAAAAAGGAAAAAAAGGAAACAGCAGCAAGAACAAAAAAGUUAGUUUAGUAAGAAGCUUUGGGAGGCAAGCAUAACCAUUUGAAAAAAAGAUGGUUCAGCCGCAUAUGCAACAGUACUAAAUGAAACAAUAAUUUACCGGAGGGGGAUUGGCUUGGUUGCAUUGUCGGGUUUCAUGCAGAACUACAGAAGCAUUUGGAAUAGGGCGCGGGAUUUGAUUUGGAUCAACUUUUGAUGGGCUGGAAUGGCCAAUAGAAGAAGUUAUCGAAGCCACUGCCUGAUUUGAAAGGGGAGGCGCCAUCCCAUACAUACUUGGUGGUUGCAUGGAACCAGGAAGAGCAGAAGGUGGAGCCCCCUGUCAAUAAGUAAAAUCAGGAUAUGCCCUUCACAUGAAAGAGGAAAUGGAGUAAAAGCAUGCUAAAACCAAUUUACUUGAUCCAACAUGUGAUCCACAUUGGAAGUGUGUCAUGCACGUAAGGGUCUUUUUGAAUUAAAUAUAAGUUUUAUCAGAGAUCCUUUUACCUCUUCUGAUUAAGAAAGGAUAGCUAGGUUGUUGUAGCUUCAAAUGUGAAAGUUUUCCUUUUCAGAUGGUCCAGCCAGCCAAACAGAAAAGGUGGUGCAAUAUACUUUGAUACUGUUUAAAUUUUUCAUGCUUGAGGAAACUUGUGCACUUCAAAUUUUUCUUUUACAAGCACUUAUACACUCAAGAUAUAAUAUAACAAUUAUUUAAAUAGCGGCAGAUUUUGCAGCAAACUUAUGAAAGGGUUUCUCUAUUUAUAGUUUGAAUUGAUUAGACAAAGUAAAUAAGUGAUACUGAAUAUAUCUUUUUCAUUACUUUCAAGCAUAGAAAAAUACCUAGCCAAAAUAUAACAAUUUAUAAAUAAAAAUAAUUUUUAUUUAUGGAGUAAUCAAAUAUAUUAUUUAAUAACUUCAACUAAUGGAAGAACCCCAAAAAACAUAUUAAAAGUUCAAAAGGAAAAAAGAAUUCAUAUAGGUAAUUUCGUUAAUGAGAAUUUGAGCUCUCUUUUGUGUUGACGAAAAAGAUAAAUUUUAUAAUGCACAUACUACUAAAUAAAAGUUACUUAAAAUAGCAGCACAUUUUAAUAUUUUAUCACAAAUCCAUCAAAAUACUUCGACGAUUAUCUCUGAAUGAAUAAAAUAUGACAUCAUUGAUUUAUAUGGGAGAAAUACACUAGAGGUGAAAUGAGUUAAACUAUCAAAGAUAGAAAAAAAGAAAAGAAUGUACAUAGAACGUAAGGGCACAGAACAAUAGACAUUGCAUGAGGGAAAACUGCAUAAAGCUGGAGGAAUAUUUGACUAUUUAUACCAUGUUGGAGCGAGAAAAUUAUUUUCACCCCUUUCUAAAUUUUAAGUCAUGACAGCACUUCACAGUGUAGCUUUUUUCUUCACUUUUAGACCCUACUACUUCCACAACAAAUUUUCUGGAAUUACCAAUUGGUCAUUAACAGAGUUUUGAUAUCAUUCUCACAUUACUCAUCAACAGCACCAAAUAGUAACCGAUUUCUGAAUAUUAUUGAUCAGUAUAUCCUAAAAGUCAUGAAGCAUCUCUUCAACAUUAGCCCCCUUGAACCAUUGUAAUUCCUUGAUUCCAGAACCAACAGGCCAACAUUUCUAGUUGGUUAUUAAAUAUAAUAAAUACACGCAUAAAAUUUGAUUAAAAACGCAUCUUGUGUGGCUUGUUGAUCCAAAAGAUGUUUGUGCAAAUUAAAAAUACAAAUCCUAUGACUUCUUUUUUAGUCUAUCACAGGAAAGAACUAAAUAUAUCUCUCAGCUCCAUAGAUUACAAAAUAAAUUACACUUCGCUAAUGAGUUUAGGGAAAAUUCUUAUUUUUCCUUCAAUAACAUAUGCACAUGAUAUCAAAUUUUUCUUUUGGGAAAAUACAUAGAUUUCACCUUGCAAAAAAGGUACAGUAAGAUAGGCAUAAAAAGAUCACCUGAUGGGGUGGCAGUUGCCACGACUGUGUUCCACCACGACUGUGUUCCAUAAGGAGCACCUAUGGGUGGAGCACCCAUGUGUGGAGUGCCCAUGGGUGGAGCACCCAUGGGUGGAGGCAUGGCUUGAGAAGGUGCUGCAAAUGGGGAGAAACCUGGAGGAGGUGGCACAUUCUGAAAUGAUCCUGAAAAUGGUGGUGGUGGUUGUGCUGUAACUGGUGUCGUGCUGACACAUGACGAACUUCCAAAGGGAGAGCGCAUGCGUGAAGGCUGAGAAGAAGCGCCUGGUGAAACCAUAGCUGGUGGAGGAGCUCCAAAUGGUGGCCUCAUUGCAUUGCUUGGAGGAGGAAUACGUGCUCCACCCUGCAUCAUUCCCGGACCACCUGACGGUGGCCCAUUACUAACAGAGCUAGAAAUGCUUGAUGGUGGUGGCACAGCAGGACCUGUUGUCAACGGCGAAGAAGAAAAAGAAUCCGGAGGCCCCGGACGAGAACCCAAUCCAAAAGGAGAAGACCCAGGUGACGGGGGUGCACCACCCAUAGAAGGAGGCAUUACACCAGGAGGAGGUGGCCGAGAUGCAAAGGGAGGAACAGACUGAGCCACGGAAGGAGGCAAUCCAUUGUGUGGAGGACCACCAGGAGGUGCAGGGCCUCUUGGAAAUACACCAGGCGGUAGAGGUCCUGGACGACUAACAGGUGGUCCACCAGCAAAAGGUGGCUGCUGCCCAAAUGGGGUAUUAGGCCUAGGAGCACCAGGUGGCUGAUUGGGCCUAUUUACUUGUAGAUUUUGCAUACCAUCAGCAAGUGCAUUAGGGUUAUAAUUGGGUGGAGGCGCAUUCCUUGGUCUAGGUCCCCCUGGAGCUGCCAUUGAUUAUUUCCAAAUUUCCCAAAACUCUAGAACAGAUGCCACAGAAAAAAAAAAGUUUAAUAAAUAGAUAAAAUCAACAGAAACAAAAAAUAAGAACAGCAAUCUUCACUAUAUCAAACAAUCAGCAAGAGAAAACAAAACAUAUUGAUUCAAAGGAAAACAAGUCCAUAAAAUCAAUCACAAAAUAAAAAUAACCAGACAAUACAUCUUUUUUUAUCCCCUUCAUCCCCCCUCCUUCAUUUCAGCACACGCGGCCCAAAGAACCUGGAAGACGGACAAUUAACACAUUGACACCCAGAAAUAGCAUCAGCGGAAAGGUCCAAAUGACAAAGGCGGCCAAGUCAAACACCACCAGCUCCAAAACAACAGAAAUUAGCAAAGAGAACUCAAACAUCUCAUGAAACAAAAACAGAGCUGACAGGUUUAAAAGAGCAGAAGUGAAGGUGGAGAACUCCCUAGAUCUGGAAGAAAAGAAAAUGGACAGGAUAUGGUUCUUCCUGAGAGAAACUGAGAGAUUACAAAGACAUGGAAAAAACUGGUCUCUUUGGCAAGAACAAAAUUUCUAUGGCGAUAUAAAUGAGUCCCAACUACAGCAUACAAAUGGGAUUGAAUAAAGAGUGGGGAUAAUAUGAGAAUCACUCAGCCUUUUCAGUUUUUUAUUCAAGAUAUACAGAGAGCUAGAGCACAAUAAGAUGCUAACUAGCUAAACAAAGAUGACAUGCAUCGACAUACCUACCCGCUUUAGAACUAGACACAAACCAUAAAGGGAAGAGAACAGCAAAAGGCUAUUGAUAGAAGAACCCAAACUACCAUUCGGUAUCAUUUUAAGGAAGAUCUAGGGCACAUACUUUGUUGUGCUUGGCCAUUGACGAAACAGAUCAUAUCACAAUAGAUAUAUACAAAAUCACUCGAAAAAGGAAGAAAACUAAUUGCCUCCAAAGGCAGGGAUCAAAUCUUAGAAGUACACGCAAAAAAGAACAAAUUAAUAGAGGCUCAAUUGGAAGAAGAGCGAAAAAUUUCAGACAACGGCAUGGGAGAUACACAAAUAACGAUCCUAAGGCUGGAGAGAGAUAGAAAAAUCUGUGCCAUAUUUUUGCCAACUGACCUUCCUCUAUUUCUCUAUGGACUAACUUACUCAGUUAGGGCUUCUUUAAAUGGAUCAUUGCUAGCUUUCUUUGUGGAUCCAAAAAAUAAAAUCUUCCCUAGAUCUAGAGUUUUCACGGUGCGAUUACAUAACAAAGUAUAAACCAUUUCCCCUCUUAAACUUCAUUUAAAAAUAGAAUUUUCAUCUAAAUUUGUAUAAUGAAUGUGCUUCUUCUCCUUCAAUUUCGGGAUGUUAGUCCAAUUAGUUUGUAAUUCUAGAACACAAUGCCCUCAUUGAAGUAUCAAGUAUCAGCCUCUCUUUCUUUGAAAUUUUAUAACAUGCUAAUUUAUUUUCUUUUUCUGAAGUUCUCUUCUCAUGGUAUUGAUUAACACAGUAUAUAUAGUGUUCUUCUCCUCCAUCCAAAGAACAUUCUAUUAAUAAAAUGAUGGAAUGGGACUUAGAGUAACUGGUAAAGUUACUGUCUUGUGAUCAGGAAUGCACAGUAAAAUUGUAUACAAUAAACCUUUUUGAUCCGGAUACACGGAAGCUUUAGUGCGCCAAUGUUUCCUUUUUAUUAAUAAAUGAAUCAAUCUGCCUAUGAUACAUGGUGAAAGUAUGAGCUGGAAGGGUUCAUAAACUAAACUAUUCGGCCCUUGAGCUGCCGUUGAUUAUUAACAAAUUUACAACCUAAGCAAAUUCCAGCUCAAUUAAAUGUAUCAAAAAUCAUCCACAAAAAUGGAACAAAUAAAUAGUCAUAAAGAGAAAUUUACAGGCUAUAAAUAAAUAAAUGAUACUAAAAAGAAAAACUAACCAGCUAUAAUGUUAAAUUGAAUUAAAGGACGUUAACGUUGACGCCGGUAGCAACGAAACGACGUCGUGUGUAAAAUUAAACAGCGAAUGAAUUCGCCUACUCACCGAAACCCUUACUGUUACAAGUGAUAUACACGAACCGAGUUUUCAAUGACCUUGAACGACUUCGAUCUGAUACAAAAAACCUAAUUCGAUUAAAAUCAAUUAGAUCCAAAAUACAAAAUUCAAAAUUGAAUACAUUCACAUAAACAUAGCAUUCAACGUCAUUCAUAUAUACUACAUGUACAUACAUAAAAGGGAAAAAAUGUUGAACCUGAAAAUCUAGAGGAGGAAGACGCUGGGUUUAUAGAUCGAAAUUGGUGAAGGUUUCAGUGAUCGAAUACUGGCUCAAUGGAGAAGAAGAAGGUGUAACUAUAUUUUUUUUUACUUGUCCAAAUAGAGAUUUUUUUUUUUAUUACUUACUAUUUAAUUGUGUAGAGUAGUUUUGAUAAAUAACGCAAUCUGAUUGGUCUAAACCCCAGAAAUUGAUGUCAAUGCAGGAAAAUGAAUUGUGUAGUUGUUGUAAUAUUUAGGUGCAUUAUUUUGUUGUCAUUUUUUUUUUCUACGAUUAAUAUUCUUCCUUAAAAAUUGUGUAAUAAAUAUUGGUUGUUCAUAUUAUUAAAAGAAAAAAAUCAAAUUACUUACUAUUGAUUAUUAAAACUAAGGUAAAUUAAUUAUUUUUCCCAUUUUAUCUUUAUAGUUAAUUCUUUUGAAAGUGUAUACAAGUUUGUAAAAUCUCAGGAAAAAAAUUAAGAAAUAAAUUUUUAAAAUUACUAUUAUACAUGAGAGAGAAUAGAAUUUUUUGGUAGUCCUUACAUAAUUUUUUUUAUCUCUUUUACUCUUAAUUGAAGUUUUUAUUACUUUGUAAGUAAACACAUAUUUUAAUAAAUUUUUAAAACUUUAAGGUCUUUUACAUGCCACCAAAAGUGAAAAGGAUGAUAGUAGACCCUGCAAAACAUACUUAUACAUAUUUGAGUCUUUAUUUAUUUUAUGUAAACAUGCUAUUAAACUUGUUUCAAAUUAUAUUUGAUUGUAACAUUUAAUUAUAAACGCAUAAAUAAUUAUUAUAUUGUUCAAUUUCUAUCAUGAUAAACGCAUAAUUAAUGAGUUCAAAUAUUUUUCUUAUAAUAUUAUUUGUUGAUGUUAUUUAUAAUGUUUAAUUUGUAAUUUAAAUUGUUAGUUAAUGAUUAAUAAGUAUAGUUUAUUUUAUUUUAAUUUUAUCUGUAAUUUUAUAUUGUACAUGCCGACAAACAUAAGUAAUUAACAAAGAUUACACUUAUAUAAAAUUAUAUUUUAAACUAAAUAAUAACCAUAAUUAAAUUCAUCAUUGUUAAAUACUCUUAAAAUGUGUCCAAAUGUUAGUUAUAAUCAUUUCAUUUAAGUCAAAAAAUAAAUUUCAUAAUAUGAUAGUUAGUUAAUCUAAUUUUAUGUGCGCACAUUUUUAAUUUAAAAUUUACUUGAUAAAUGACCAUAUUAAAAAUAAAUAAUAAAAUAUUAUUUUUGUAUAUAUUUUGAAAAUGCUUGGAGAAAAAUGUAGUUAAAGAAAUUAUAAUUUGAUUUCCUAAUAGUUUAUGAUAAAAAUUAUAGGAAAAAUACUCAAAAAAAUACCUGAACUUUGACCGGAUUUGCAGUUGAUCAUACUGAACUUUGCGGGGGUCCUAUUACCCACCGAGACUUUUUUUAAGUGGAUUUAAUUCCCCCCGAAAUGCUAUACGCAGUUUUGACGGUUGACAGUGUAAUACACGCGCCAAUCUCGUUUUUACACGUGUUUUUUUAAAAAUAAUUUUUAUUUACUUUCUUCUCCAUUCUUAUUCUUUUCAUCAAUUUUCAUUAUUUUUUCACCAAAAUCUUGAUUUCUAAUUCUUGAAGUUUGACUUUUAUUUAGUUCAUACUAAAUCUUUUCCCAAAUUUCAAAUUCAAAUCGAAAACUUUCUUCAAUAAUUUUAUUCAAAUCGAAUGGAAUACUUUCCAAAGUUUCUUAAUUAUGCCCAAAUGCCAACGACAAUGGUGGCUGCCGGCAGCAAUGGUGGAAUUAAUUUCCUCCAAAAUUUGAUAAAGAUUUGAUUUUUUUCCGACCAAAUGUAAAAGAUGAUUAGUUUUUCAAUUUUGCGAUAUUUUUUCUUUUACAAUUUAAAAUUGGGUCAAAUUGAUGGAAAAUAAUUGGGUGUUGAAGAUGAAAGAAAGAAGCACCAUUGGAGCACCAUUAAAGAGAAGAAAGAAAGAAGAGAGAAGAGAUUGAUUUUUUUUCGACCAAACGUAAAAGAUGAUUAAUUUUUCAAUUUUGCGAUGAAUUUUUCUUUUUCAAUUUAAAGUUGGGUCAAAUUGAUGGAAAUGAAUUGGAUGUGUUGAAGAUGAAAGAAAGAAGCACCAUUGGAGCACCAUUGAAGAGAAAAGAGAAGAGAAAGAAAGAAGAGAGAAGAGAAAAAAUGAAAAAAUAAAUAAAAAUAUAAAAAAUUUAAAAAUCAGAAAAUUGAGGGGCUAUUUGACAAAAAAAAGGGUUUUAAUAUUUUUUUAAUACUCUCACGCGCCUAAUGCGCGUGAAUUACACGCACUUGUCAAAGUGGACAGAUAUAUACCAUUAAAAUACGAAAAAAAGAAGUCUAGGUGGGUAAUAGAACCUUCGCGAAGUUCAGUAUGCUCAACUGCAAAUCCGGUCAAAGUUUAAGUAUUUUUCUGAGUAUUUUUUCAAAACUAAAAGCUCAAUUUGAAUAAUCGGAGAUUAGAAACUCAAAAGAUUUCGGUAAAAUAGAAAUUAGAACUUUCAUACACGCAUUUUUUUUUUUGAAAGUGUAAAAUUUAAAUUAAAAAAUAUUAUCCUUUAACUUUUCAAUAUCAUUCAUACUGUACUAUUUUAAAACUCCUUAAAAAUUAUUACACUGAUAUCACAAAAAAAUAAAAAAAUAAGAACGAUUUUUUUUUUAAAAUAUCUAUAAAUUUAUUUGAGAUAAUACUCAAUCACCCCCUGAACUAUACUCAAAAAGGCUAUGACACACCUCAACUUAAACGGGGUCCUAUUACCCCCGAACUAAUUAAAAGUUGAAUUUUCACCUCCUUAAUGUCUAUGUGGCACAUACGUGGCACAACACACUAAAGUGUCCACGUAGGCACACGUGUGUGCCACGUAUGUGCCACAUAGGCACUAAGGGGCUGAAAAAUUUACUUUUAAUUAGUUCAGGGUGGUACUAGGACCCCCUUUAAGUUGAGGUGCGCCAUAACCUUUUUGGGUAUAGUUCAGAAGGGUAAUUGGGUAUUUUUUCAAUUUAUUUUGUUAAUGGAAGUUUGGGCCCAGGCUUAGUCGGGCUAAAUGAAACUAGUUACUUUACUACUAUAUAUAAGAGACAAUUCAAGGACUUUGGUAGUCCUCACAAAAGUUUUCAAUUUAAUUUUAAUUUUUUCAAUUAAUUACUUUUAUGUCAUGAUUUUAUCUUUUAUAGUCAUUUAAUUAAUUUUUUAAUCCUAUAAUAUUGUGACAUCUGAUUGACAUAGCUGAAGUUUUUUUUUUUUUUUUUUGGUUAUAUAGACCUUUGCACUUGGUGCAUGUGUCAUAGUAUGAGAAGCUAUUAUUAAUAUUUUUUUUUUGUAAUUUCGAUUAAUUAAUUAACUAUUUAGAAAAUAAUAAUUGGGAGUAGGACAAGGGAAAUUACGGAGGAGAUUACGAAGCAAAAAAUUAAAUAUUUACCAAUAAAGUAAAGUUUAGGUAGUUAAUCAAUUGAAACAUUCAAAUUCUCAUAUUGUUUAACUAAUCGAUAAAUCAUUUUUAGAAUCUUCCAUUAUAAUGUUUUAUUUCUCAUACUUAUAUAUUAUUUAAUCAAGUCUAUUGCAAAAUAUAAACGUCAAAUAUCGUUUAAUUAUUUUUUUUAUUAAAUUAUUUGUACUUCAUGCUUUAUGAAGUAUAAGACCAAAAAGUAUUAAUUUUUCCCUUUGCUACUUACAAGACCAAAAUAUUUUAAUUUGACUAUUUUUCAUUAACUUUUUAAAUUAAAAUUAAUUAUUUAAUUAAUUUUUGUAAAUUAAAAUAGCUUUAAUAAAAUUAAUAUUUUAUAUGAACUUUUAUUUAAAGUAGUUUAAGAAAAAAAAAUUGACCGUGGAGAAUUUUUUCUGUUGCAUAAAUAAUUCAUCAUUUUUUUUCUUUCUUAUUAUUAAUCUUUAUUAUUUAUUUUCCAUAAGAAAGAGUUUUGUACAAAUAAUGUGGGUAUGCAGAUAUAUUUUAUUUCUAUUGAAUUGAAUAUGGUUCUGAUGCAUUUCUUAAUUAUCUUUUAUAAAUUGAAUAAUUUUUUGUGGACAAUUUUAUUUAAUGCUUUUUAAAAUAUCAGACAUAUUUCAUAUACAAAAAAUUAAAAUUAUUGAUAAAGUUAAAAAUUAAGGUAAUGAUAUGAAUUAAGAUGAAAUUAUUUUUGAAAUCUCUUUUCUGGUCAAUUGAGAAUCAAUAUUUUUAAGCAUUAACUAUAGAGAGAGAAUCAAUUGAUCUCGAUGUUCAUUUUAGUGAGUCUAAUUUUUUUUCUUAAUUUAGUAUAAAAUUAUGCUUAAAGCACCACAAUUAACUAGCAUGAAUUCUUGUCACGUGAAAUUAUAAAUAAAAUCAUACAUUUUUCAUCACACACAAGAAGCCUUGAGUAAAUAAUUGAUCCACUUGAUAUAUUUUAAAUCAUAUUAGUCAUAAAACAUCAAAUUACUUGAGUUUGGGCCUUGUAAAACUAGACUAUAUAUAAGGGAGAACAUCUUAUUUUGGUAGUCCUCACAUAACUGUAUUUUGUCUAUUUUAUCCUUAAUUAAGUUUUAAUUACCUUUUAAAAUCUCAUCCAUUUUAAUAAAUCUAAACAAUCACAUGAGCAUUUAAAAUGCUAUACAAAAAUGAUGAAUCAUAAAGAAGUGAUAGUGACACUAUAAAAUAUCUAUUUAUCUAACUAAAUUUAAAAUUAAUUCAAAAUUUUAUUGUCGCCUUUUAUGUGGGAUAAUAUUAAUUUAAUUAAAAAAAAUACAUUUUUUAAUCCUCACAAGAAAUUUGUGAAGCUUUAAUAAACUUGUAAGGACUCAUUGAAGAAACAUCUACAAAAAGUAUUUUAUUGAGUUUGACUUUUAAUUAUUUAAUUUAUCAUAAAGCAUACAAUAGUUUGUAGCAUCAAAUAUUUUUAUAUUAAUCAAAUAUUGUAUUAUUUUUUUAAAAAUAUGAAUCAGCAAUGUAAAGUUUAAUUGAGAAAAAACAAUGAAAUUAAUUAUACAUAAGGCAAAAAUCAAUUUAGAUCGUUAAAGGCUUUCAUUCAAAACUUUCAGUAAAAUAAAAAGGAGAAAAUUUUUCGUGUGUGCAUUUGUUUGAAAAUUAAAAGAAAGACUAAAAUAUACCAUAAGAAAAAUUGUUAUUUUUAACUUAUAAAAGCUUUUACUCCCUCUGUUUUAAUUUAUAUGUUUGAUUCUGACUUAACACAAAGUUACAGAAAAAGUAACGAAUAUUUUUGAAUUUUAUGGUCUUAAAUUAAAAAUAUGUAGAAAGGAUCAAAAUAUUUGUUGAUCUUGUUGUCUUAAACAUGCCACGUGGACAGUUGGAUUAACCAAGAAAGAAAAGAGACAUUUUUUAAAAAAGAACUAAAAAAAUAGGACAAAAAUUGAAACAGAUAUAUAAUUAUAACAUUUUAAAAAUAUUAAAAAAUAAUCAAACCAAACCGUUAAACUAAUAUAAUGGUAUAAAAAGUAAAAAUAGCAAGUUAAAAAAAUUACAAAUAUAAAAGUUAAUGUAGUUUGAGCCCGGGUUUAGCACGAGCUAAACGACACUAUAAUUUCUUAAGGAUAUGUAGAGAAAAAAUAGAUAACUAAGUAAUACAAAAAGAAAGGAAAAUGUGUGAAGCAUUAAAAUUAAAUGUUUGAAUUCUAUUACAAUGAGGGAUCGUUUGAUGUGUGAUAUAAGUGAUAAAUAAUUUUGAAAUAAAAUGAAGGAAUAUUUUAUCUCAUGUUUAUUGUGAGGUAUUAAUUAGUAUCGGGAAUUAUUUAUCCCACCAUUUUACACUAUAGUGAUAGAAUAAGUUAUCUCUUAUACAUUGUGGGACAACUAAUCCUGCAAUGACUCUUUUCUAAUCAAACGACCCCUCAGAGUAACAAGAAGAAUAAUGUAUCUGUUGCAAGCCUACAAUAUCACAAAUGAUGUUCGAGAAAGACGGAGAGAGAAUUUAUUCGUAAUAAAGCAAAAUAUCAAACCAGCUCGGUAAAAGAAACAACUAAAGUAAAAAGUCAUAUAAUGAAAUACUAAAGAUAACUUGACAAAAUAUUUUUUUGGUAGAAACAACAUAAACAAUAACUACAACAUAAUAAUAUUAGUUAAAUAGGAAGCAAGAGGUAGCAACAAAAAACAAAUUUCAAUAAAUAACACAUAGUAAAUAGAGAUUGAGAAUAAAAAAUUACAAAAAUAAUAUGACGACUACUAGUGUAGAAGAAUUAGUGAGACAACUUUUAAUUACCUACUAGAUUUUUACUUAAGUCGUGUCCUCAAAACUUUCAUCUAAGAUUAUACCCUCAAUAAGUUGAACUUGCGUUAUCUUUCUUCAAUACUUUUUUAGACUAUUUUUGUCUCUUUUGAAGUUAUUCAGAGUCAAUUUCUCACACCUGGACAUUCGAACGCCUCCUAACAAUACCCAAAUCAUCUUAGUCUCGCUUCUUAGUUCUUACAUAUUGACCUUUACAUGUCAUUUUCAUUUUGUUGGUACUGUCUUCAUUUUUAAUCAUAUCAUCGGUAAGUUGAACUUGCAUCACCGUUCUUCAAUACUUUUUUGAUCUAUUUUUGUCUCUUUUGAAAUCAUUUACAGUCAACCUCUCACACUACUGCACUAGAACAUCCACGUCUCAUAACCACACCCAAAUCAUCUUAGUAUAACUUCUCACAUGUUGGCCUCCGCGUGUCACUCUCAUUUUGUCGUGACUUUCAUUUUUAAUCAUCUCUUCCAACAAGUCCACAUAUUCAUCUCAUCGUUUUUAUCUCCACAACUUUCAUCUUCUGAACAAAAAUUUCCGACUGGUCAAUAAUUCGCCUCAUAAAGAAAUAUCAUCUACCAAAAAUUUUCAUCUUGUUAUGUUAAGAGUGUGCAUAAUUAAAAUUACACUCAUAGUACCUAGCACUACACCACAUAAUUUUUCGGAAAGGAUAUGCUUACGUAGCUCCGCCGAUGAUAGUAGGAGUAUUUGGAAGCUGGAUUUGUGGAGGCAGGGACAAGACAAAACAAAACAAAACAAUAGGGAGGAAGUUGCGGGGAUGCUUCCAGAAAGUGUUGAAAAACGCCACGCCAAGCAGCCCCCCACAUAUCAUCAUCAGUCCAUGUAAUGACAUGACAUAAGACGAAUUGAAAGUUUGGCAUGCAUUGUCAGGGCAAUUGCCGUGUAACAGACGAAUUGACAUGAUUGCAAGCGUUAUUACAAAAUUAUACACUAGUACCAAAUAAGGAUAAAGCUAGCAGCAAAAGAAAUGGAAUACAAAGAGUAGAAAAAGUGAGAACAGACUAUCUACUUACUUUACUGGAAAGUCAUACAGUACCAUCUUCUUAAGAUGAUUAUUUGAAAUUGUAAAUUAUCAAUUAUAUAAUCUUAUAUCUUGAGGAAGAAAAUUAAUGUGCAAACUUUCUGGCAAAGAAGGUCACAUGCACAAAGAAAAUUUGCUAAUCUAAAAAGUAUGCGUGAAGGAAAUAAAAUCUCAUUUCUUCUCCCUCACACAUUUGAGAAAUGUAGCUAAUGAACAAUGUUAAAAGUAGGAGUGCUGAGGAUUGGCAAGACUGAAGUAGCUUGGACGGUUACUCAUGCAAAAGGAGAAUCUGCAAGGCAGGAAUUCUAUAGGAUGGUUCUAUCAAGAUGUGUUUAUCUUGCUUGGCUUAAAAGGAAUGCCAUGUUUGCCUUGCCUACCUUUUUCUUCCCAAUGCCAGUCCACACUCCACACUAAUCUUUCAGUUCUUUCAGAUGGAAGUUCUAAUUGUCACUUCCAACAAUUGAUCAAAUUCAGUUUAAAGCUAACAUGAGAACUUAAUUCCUAAUACGAUUGUAAUAAUGAACCAAAGGAUCUUGUUUUGGUAUAUUAAGAAUUUGAAUCAGGUCCUUUAAUCUAUAGCUCGAACAAAUUUUGACAGAAAGGGCUCCCAAAGGUCAAUCUAAGUAGAUUGAAAUGACGCUCAAAACUUCAGCUGAUGAUGCUCUGACAUCAAGAGAACAAAGGUUAAAUAGAAACACAUUUUUCACACCAUACCAAUAUAGUCAAUAAAACUAAUUCCAUUUUAAUUUCACGUCAAGAAAAAUAAUCAUGAUAAAUAACACUAUUGCUUUUUGUUUGUCCCCUAUGAGUAGGUGCUACACCUCAGAAAAACUAAGAGAGACCUGAAGCCACGGCCACACCUAGAAAGCUGAUCUGCACCUCUUCAUAUUGAAACCAUCUGUACCCCUUUCUCUAUAAUCAAAAUUCAUGAACAAAACUGGAUAUUUCUCAAGCCAUUUUAUUUUGAAUGUGUCGAUGGAUAUGUACUAGAAACUCAACAUAUGAAAGUCCAUUUUGUGUCUUGUCUUCUACCAUGUACGAGAAAAAUAACAUGCCUGGCAAAGAGAUUCAAAGGUUAAUAAUGUGAUGGGGCCAAGGCCAAGAAUGAUUAUCAUAUAAUUUGACACGCUUACCUUCCACAACAAUCUCACAUGAACAUGCUUCUUAAAUGUAGAAAAUGUUUUGGCAUAUGUUAUAUAAUCAUUCUUUUUCCUCAAUCUUAAUUAAAGCUAUAUAACCAUAAACAAUAAGACAAGGGUAGAAGUAAGUAAUCCUUUGAUACAACUGUUCUACACCUCAGAUAAACCUCAGGAUGUGUUGCGAUAAACUGUUGUAAAACCAAAGUACUGCCUAAAGAAUCUGGAAUGGCUAAAGGUGAGUUAAUAAACAAAGCGAGAAUGAUGGUCAUUGCAAGAUAUCAGAUGAAGUGUUAACAUUAAGCAGCUAAGAGCAGCAAGAACGUUAAAUAUAGAUCAGUUUGAUAAUUAGUUAUCCUAACCCUUCUCCUUUUUUCCACUUUAGACUAUUUUAUCUUUGUUUUCCUGGGGGGAUAUGCCAAGAUUGAGGGUAGAAAUGCAAAAGCAUGGUGCUAGAUAUGAACCUGAUGAAUCUCCCUUUUUGCAUAAUUUUAAGCUGCCAAGAUCAAAUUGAGAAUUUAUCAGAAAUUAGACAUAUUAUGUGUUAUAGGUAACAAAUCACAUCGUUUUGAUUAAUAAGUAAUGAAUUGUAAUUGAGGAACCAUCAUUUAAAAUGGAGUAAAUAGAGGAGCAAAUACACAGAAAAAGAAGAAUCAUACCGGAGAUAGUUACACCUUUGGCGCCUAAUAUCAUUAAUGAUGUCAUUGAGCUUCUUAGAAAGUGGAUUGUCUUGCUGCUGCAGAACAAACUGAGAGGGAGGAAAUUCAGAAUCGACGCGAGAGAAGCUAAAUUACAAUAAGUAAUUGUUUUGCUUCACCAAGGGGAAAAAAAGGGAACAUUUGAUUGCUUUGUCAAUCAAGAACCUAAAGAACAUGCAGGAAAACCACCCACCACCCUCAAAAAAAAAAAAAACAGGUUUAAUUUUAAGACAUGACUACGUUGAAUGAAAUGGCACAACCACAAACACUCAAAUAGGAUACGUGGUUUGAAUGCAAGCCUCAUGCUUUCGCUUGCUGCAAUGCAACCUGACUGACACAUCUAGUCACCAUGGAUUUAUAUAGUCUAACCAAAGCCAUUCAAGAAUAAUCCAUACAAAUUAAAUGCACUUCUUAAGCAACAUGUAUCAAAAGAGGAUCUAGGAAAACGGGUGCUGAGAAAGUGUUUCCCCCUUUUACGUUCUCAUACACGAAUAAUAUCACACCAAUAAACAGCAGAAGACAUGUCAAACUACCUGAGCAGGAAUUUCCUCAACAGAUGAAAUGCCUAGCAGCUGAUGGAUAACAUUAGGAUCUGCAGAGUUCCCAACAUAUAUCAAACAGUCCUCACCGUUCUCGAGAAGAUAGAUACCAGUGUCACUAAUGUGUUCACUGGAAAGUGGCAUAGACUGAGGAAUAAGAGAAUCUCCAUCCUCCUACAAGUUCAAAUACAGAAUGAAACGUAAGAAAUGUAAUUCAAUAAUAAUGUCUCAAAUGAAUCAAGAAAAUGAACAGAACUGCCAACUUGACUUAGAAAGGCAAAAGAAAAGGAGGGAAACAAAAUCCAUAAAUACAAGUACCAUACCUUUGUAUCAAGUUCGUGAAUUGCAAUCAAUCUUGGGUAGACCAGAGGGAUAGCCAAUGGAGUAGAGAGUGGGGAAACAUAAUUAAUCCAGAAGGAUCUACUAUCGAUCUGUCCAUCUGUUCUAAGUCCAGUGCUUUUAACCAAAGCUGAAAUAUUAUGAGAACUCAAUAAAAAUAUAGAUUUGACAUUAUUAUUUGCACAAAAUUGGCACAAGUAAUGGUUUUGUAGUGACAGAGAAAAUUAGUGUCACUCAUUUAAUAUGCACUAUAAGUAGGAAGCACUCGGAAGCUGAAUGAACAUACUAAGAAUGGGUGAUCAUUCAUUCAUCGAGGUUUUCUUGGCACUACUUUCCCUCAUAUCAUUUACAUCAACUCAACUCAUAUAAUACACCGGAUAGCAACAAAAGGAACAUAAGGAGGAAGGUGAUACAAGGAGAAGAAGAGGAAAUAAUGCAAGAAAAAUAUUUUAAAAUUGCACUGCAUGUAUAAACCAACACUGUCAAAUCAUUUGGAAAUGAAGGGCUUGGGAAAAAGGAAGGCAAGAUAUACCCAGUGUGUAAAGAGGAAGAAGUUUAAGUGCCUCAGGAAGAAUAAGUUGUCCCGAGGAUGACACUGUGGCACAAUAUUUACGGUAAGAGUGCAGAAUGUUGAUGCAAAGGUUUGUCACUUGUUCUCUGAUCCGUGAGAGAGGAGCGGUUGGUACUUCACUGGCAGCUGCAUGCAAGAAAAAUAACAUAAGUAGGACUACUCUUUAAAAAAGAUAAACAAGGAGGAAAAAGGAACAAAAUAAUGAAAUAGCAACAAUGCAUGAGAUAAAGACAACAUCAAACAUCAAAAGCAAGCAGGCCACUUGAUAACUCGUGACGGUAAUUAUGUCGACCACAACAAUGCAAUUAAUAAGUAGUAAAGAACUAGAGAAGCAGGAUGUUAAGCCCUCAAUACAGGAUCUUGUGCAGCUGAUUCUGUGGACACUGGGAGAUAAAUAUAGCUUCUUCAUCAACGAAAGAGAUGACAAGUUUGCUGUGGUUGAUUAGUCAAAAGAAAUGUGAAAGGAAGCAAAGGAGUGUAUUAAUUGCAUUUUCAAGGAAAAUAUACAUUUUAUUAAAUUUCUCCUAUACAUCCUAACGAAUUGAAACCUGAGGGAAAAAAAGGAAAAUAUUAUUUAGCUAUUCUGCCAAAAGAUAUAAAAGAGAUAUCCAACAAACACCGGUUCCUUAUUCCUACAGUGCCUCUUUUUUUUUUUUCCUUUUUUAUUAAGACACUUAUUUUUCUUUGUUCUUACUUUGUUCGAGUCGUGGUUUUGCUUUUGCAUAGCAUCCAAAACUUACAGAACAUCUGGACACAAAAGUUACAUCCCCAUCUAGCAAAUAUUCAUUCCAAAUAUAUGCAGAACAAGAGUUAUGGGGAUUAUAAGGGAGCACUAUUGCAGAAACAAUCAGAUUCGAUAUUGUACCAAUGGACACAUAGAAGGUGUCCACGCACAAUCUUACAUAUAGUUUGGCUAUGCACAUAAGAGAAAGGAGCAAAUAGAAGUGCAGCUUUUGGAAAUUAACAAAUCCAUGCAGCUUUGGGAAAUUAAUAACUCCAUACUUUAUAAGGACAAAUUGAGUGUCAAAGAUCAUCUCGGUAUAAAGGGAAGAAAAUGGAGCAUAGAUGCAGAAACCAAAGAUUCUUUCUUAGGCAGAAGCACGCUAUAGAGGAUAAACUCUUCCCAAGAAUUUUAGCAAUUCAAAAAAUGGAGAUAGAUUGAGAAGAAAAAGGGAGAUGCCCCCUAACCCUGAGGGGGCGAAUAAGGAGGGUGAACUUUCAACAUUAUACUUAAGAAUGUAGCACAGUGCAUUAUGACAUAGUAUCGUCUACCUUGUUUUAAGAUGCAAGCAAAUUGGGUGUCCAAGUCAGCUGAUCGAAACAGAUUACUCAACAUAGUUGUGCAAGGUAGAGCCAAAGUUGACACUCGGAUUCUUCUUUGGCCAUCAAUGGUAGUGUAAAGAACGGCAGACUGGAAAAACAGAAACAAGCUCUUGUAAAUAGCCAUCAUAUUGCACCAGGGAAGAAAAAGGUAAAAGGAAGGGAGCAGCAGCAGGGAAAAAUAGACAUACAGAAACAGGGCAAACAUGAUUGACCAGAAACUCAUUGGUGAAGACUCAAUAUAAAUUUGUACCUGAAAAGAACAUUCUGAACCUUCCUGCAAUUUGUCAUCAUGCUUCAAUGUCACCAUAAUUGUUUUGUCACAGUCAAUCUGCACAAUGGAAAACUCACUUAGAAAUGAAUACAAUUCAUAAAUCAGUCAAACUAGCAUAUUCGACAGGGAAUCAACAGUGUAAAGACUUUGAAUGUAAUUAUUCACACAGGAAAAGGUGAAUUAACAGGGUAAACACAUGCAUACAGAAGAACCCAUGCUAGUAUAGCUGCAAAUGUACUAAAAUCCCUUACCAGCAUGUGCAGUUUCUUUUUUUUUCCUUUUUGAUCAGGUAAACAUUUCAUUAAUCACAAGGCCAAAGUCGGCCGUAUACAAGAAGUAUACCAAAAAGUAAAGAACCUACAACAGGGCAUGGUUCUCCACAAAAGACACCCAAUCCUUUAUACAACCCAGGGAGGCUACACCACCUCAACUGGCCAAAAGUCAAUUCCACCCCUUCAAAAGCCCUCCUAUUUCUCUCUCCCCAAACGAUCCACAUCAAAGCUAAAGGAACAAUAUUCCAAGCCCUGCACUUUAUCCUGCUCCUUCUAGCUUUCCAACGAGAUAACAUUACGUUCACAGUUCUAGGCAUCACCAAAGAAAUACCAAACCAGCUAAACAUAUCCAACCACAGUCUCGUGGUCAGGUUGCAAUGUAAUAGAAGAUGAUCAAACUCCUUACCCGUCUCUUUGCAUAAGUAACACCAGCUAAUGCAUAUGAUCUUACUUUUUCUUAGGUUUUCCGCCAAAAUCACCCCUCUAGCAGCUAACCAAGAGAAAAAUGCAUCUUCCUCGGUACCUUAGGAAUCCAAAUAGACUUUACGGGGAAAGCCUUCACCUCCCUCACCAAGAGUUUCCCAUAGAAGGACUUGACAGAAAAAACCCAGUUACUCCCCAAAUUCCAUUUUAGAGUCUCGAAUCUAUCGACUGGCUCGUGAUGCUGAUGAAUUAGAGCUAGCAACUUUGAAACUUAUUAACCUCCCAGUCUUGAAAAUUCCUCCUAAACCUCAAAUCCCAAAAUGUUUCUUUUCCUUUUAACCCUCUAAUAUGAUGGACUACCGCCUCCCUCUGACAAGAAAUCCUAUAGAAGCUCGGGAACUCAUCUUUUAGUACCACAUCUCCACACCGUUUGUUUUUCCCAAAAACUGACUCUCCUCUCAUCCCCUACCCUGAACGAGAUGUUAACCUCAAAAUCAGCCCAUCCCAUCAUAAUAUUCCUUUAGCCAUACACCAUAUUGAUUUCAUUAGUUCUCCACCCCCCUUCAAUCACCCCAUAUAUUUCUACUAUCACUCCUCACCAAAAAAAUGGACCUCUAUCCCCAAUCUCCAUAAACAUUUUCCCGGCGAAGCUUUAUUAAAUACCCUUAAGUCUUUGACACCCAACCCUCCCCAAUUUUUAGGGGAAUUCACCUUCUCCCAUCUGACCAAAUAAUGUUUUCUUGCCCCGUUUGCCGAAUCCAAAGAAAGUUUCUUUGAAGUCUUUCCAAUUUUCCUGCAACACUGGUAGGUACAUGAAACAAAGACAAAAAUUAAGUGGGGAUGCUUGAUAAUGUGCACUUAAUAAGCACUUCUUUCCCUCCUUUGGAUAAAUAUCUUUUUUGCCAACUAGCAAGCCUCUAGAUUAACGUAACCCCCUUUGGAAGGAGAUAUCAACUCAUAAGGUUCUCCCAAAACAUGUAACUUAGAACAUAAGUACCUUUGGGUACUUUUGGACAUGUGAGCUUUCACAUUAAUGGCCCAUGUAACAUUCAUUUGAACUUGGCAAUGGACAAUCUGAAAAGAUGACUUAAAAGCUUCAUCUAGAUAUGAAAAAAGGCGGAUAAAAAUAUAGUUGAUAAACGAGUGACGAAUGAACAUGUCACAACACAUGCUUUUUCUCAGUUGCAUCAUCUACACCCCCAAAACUCACCAAAAGAACAGGACCUAACUCUGGAUGGUGGAGAAAACCACACUGUUGGAAGCUCACUUAGUAAAUCAGGCAGGGAGUCAAUGGUGAAAUAUCAAAAGUAGCCAACAUAAUAAAAGAGAUUUGGUAUUAGCCCAAGAAAUGUCCUACAAAUGCUUCGAACUUCAUACAGAUGAGCUUAGUUUGUAUAUCAAAUUCUAUCUCAGCUGUUGUGGUUGUACUCUGGAAAGUGCAUAAUAGUCUUCUAAAGGAGGAGGGAUAAACUGCACUGCAGGUAGAUCAGCAUUUAAUGGAAUUCUUUUACAGUAAUAAAGAUGUGCAUAGUUCAUUUAUCAAAUUUCAUCUAAGUUGUAGUUCUACUUCAUGCUUGGGAAAUGCAUAAUUGUCUGUGUGUGUGUUUGGGGGAGGGGAUGUGAUAGAGGGACAAACCGCAGGUAGAUCAACAUCUGUUGGAAUUCUUUUGCAGUAAUUGCCAGCGUACUCCUGAACUUGAAUUCCCUGCAAAUAAAUAGAACACGGUCAGCAUGCGAGCUCAGUUUCAAUUUCCAUAAAUUAGGUAUGGCACUUCUCCCACGAGAGAAGCACAGGAAGAUCCGAAAACUGGGGAGCAUACCUGACUACAUCUUACACGCAUUACUGCCUCAAACCCUUCGGGCCUAGUAAUAUUCCAUCGAAGAUCAUUGUAUAGCUUGGCAGUAUCAGCAAGAGCAGAAAACGGGAAAUAGUAAUACACCUGACACAAGUGAAACAACCAUAAAGCUCAAAGCUUAGAUGUAAAAAUAUCAAAAGGAACAUGAAGUGAAGUGGCUGCAUCAUAAGAUUGUUCAUAAAUUUCAUGAACAGUAAGUUGCACCAUAACCAAGGCCCUAGGGAAGAAGACAAGCUAAAAUAGUAACAAGCGUCACAGUUACCUGCCCACCAGUGGUCCUAGGAAUGACUGAAAUGGAGGCAAUGUCUUCAUAAGAUUGAGUUGUGAGAAACACGUCAACACAGACCUGAAGCAGUUGAGGUCUAAUUAAUAAAAGCGAACGAUUAUAAAAAUAAAGACCAAAAGGCGUUCUUAAUCCUAUUUGUUUUUAAUGAAUCAUUACUGCCACGGGCUUUUCAUAUAAGCUCUCACCUGAUACUCAGCAAACUCAAUGGCCAUUGUCUUCAGAUUUUUGUCGGCUGGCUGGAGUAACUUGUUAGCCUCCUGAAAUUGGAAAAUAUACAACUCUUCUGAAUAAGCAAUGUCAUGGUUUCUUUUUUCGGCAUAAGACGUUAGCGCUGAAUAUGUACAUUACAAAACUCAGAUGGAGUCCAGUUUCAUUUAUCCAAUGCUUACAGGAUUCCACUAAAAGUACCUCAGUGUACCAGACAAACACCAUUGGCAUAAAACAUUCAUCUGUUCUAAGAAAACUGAUCAACGAGUAAAAAACUGAUAAGCCCAGUCUGGUGAAAUCUUAGUAAGAAUACACCUAAACACAAGAUUUAAGAAGAAAAUUGAUAGCCACAAAGAGCACUCUCAUUUACCACACAAGAAAAAUGAUUAUUCUGCUCCACGAUUUAAGACAAUGAUUCAAGAGUGCAAUGAAGAACAGACAUUUUCACGAAAUGAUGAGCACGCUGCCAUUCAUUUCUCAGAGGCGACGACUCAAAUAAGUGAUUAGCAGCUUAAAGAACUUCAGUCAAGUUACUGGACUGAAGCGCUAUUUCUGCCCAUACAUUAUUGUACAUGCUCUAGUAGUGAAAUUUCAAGCAGACAUUUUGAUAUCAAUAAAUAGAAAAGACUAUUUAAUUUCCAAUGUUCUCUUUAAUAAGAAGUUGACAGUUAAAAAGACAUCAUCUCUCGCACUUAAUCGUCUUAGCGACAAUAUUAGAAGCUUCUAUAUAUUCAGCACAAUAUGGACAUCUUUAUGGGCAGAGCCCACAUUAUAAGGGGCAAAAACUAGGGGACAGUAUGUGGAAACAAUCUAAAAGUGAGACAGAUAUAUGCUGAAGAACUAAAAACUAGUUCAAUAAUUUUACCUUUUCUGCAGCUGAUACAUUGGUUCUUCCUUCAGCCUCUCUAGCAGAAAGGGCUCCAAUACCAGUAGAUGGCAGCACUAUAAAACAGAGCAAGUACAGCCAACACUUAGAAUUGUAUCACAAUUUGUGUAAUCAAGGACUCAAGGUUGCAUGGCUCAUGCAACAGAUCAUUUACAGGUCCUAUGGACUAGUUGAUGCACCAGGUGAAGAACUAUAAGGCAAUUGCCAAAAACAUAGUUCGAUCUUACAAAGCAUUUGGUCCAGAUAUUUGAUGGAGAGUGUCAUAACAGGAAUUUACUGAAAACAUAAUCUAAACAUAGCUAUUGUAGAAAUACUUCAAUUUUAAAAGAACCAGACAGUGCUGUAGAAAGCAAUCCUGUUACGUAUCAUCCUAUUUAGUCAGAUUGCAUUGGAAACAGAAGUUAAGCACAAAUUAAUGAAAGCAAAACAGUCAAUCAGCAGUGCAUUGUAAACAAGGCGUGGGGGAUUAAAGAUAAAAGAUGUUCUAAUGCAAGCAUGCGGACAAUAUUACCGGCUUGAUUUUUUACUAGUACAUGAGACUUAAAGUUAACUGCAUUUAGCACCUUACCUGAUUUUAACUGCAUUUAGCACCUUACCUGAUUGAAACACAAGAAGUUUGCCUCCAGUGCUUUUCAUUGCCAAGAAAGCAGCCUGAAGUAACAAAACACGAAGUAAGAAUCAAUCUAUAUGAUAAUCCAUCAUAGACUGAUGUGGUUAGACUUGCAUCAAUCAUCUGCAUGAGGGAGAUCCCAGAUUUAAAUUCUAUGGGAUCAAUCUUUAAUGUUCGAAGCAUUGGACACAUUAAUUUUUUUUUUAAGAAAACGAUAACCGUGGUGUCCAAGAUGGCUUGCGCGCACCUCGACUAACUCAAUGUGAUAUUUGUCACCUCCCACCAGCAAUAGAUACUAAUUGACUUUGUCAAACAAGGCUAGGACAAAUGGGAAGAGAUCACCUAGUGUUUUUGUCUCUGCUGAGAUUUGAACAUGAGACCUCGUGAUUCUCAACCCACUUCAUUGACCACUACAUAUUUUUAAAUUUAUGGCUUCAUACCUAUCAUUUAGUGCAAGUUUAGUCAUUUUUUACACAAGAACUUAUGCUCGAAGUUGAAAGUAUCGGGUUUAGAUGAACCCGUUACUGUAAGGUUGGACCUGCCCCUGCAUCUGCAUGUAGAGACAUAAUACUACUUAAUUUUUCCAAUCUUUUUCUAAGAAUGACAAAGUCUCAGGAAACUGUAAUGACCUAACUACUCACAUUAUAGAGGGAAUGCAGAAAAUACUUAUUCCAUCUAUGAAUUAACGAGGCAAUUUUUUUUUAAAAAAGGCAAUAUAAAACAAGUGGAUUUAUAUUCCAAAUGAUAACUUGGGAAUAUAACUUCAUGUAACGCACUGAUACCUUGACAGCAGCACCAAAAGCUGAAUCAGCAGUCCUGUUGUUCUGGAACAUAGUUGGGAUGCUUUCCAGGAGAAGCUCUAGGUGUUGACGGCACUGAAAACACAAAGAAGGAACAACUUUCAUAGGACGCACUCAUAGUCUUAGUCAUUCUGCUUUAAUAAGGGGAAAAUGAACAGAAGUUAGACAACAUCUUGCAGAUCUAACCUCCGACAGCUGCACAAUAACAUCAGUCUGAAGGGGGGUGUAAACGUCUUGGACAUCAGGGACUAUUAGCAUCAAUGGCUGCAAAGGGAGAUCCAGAAUAAACUUAUCAGAAAACAAGCACUUCACCAACCUAAACCAUUUGCCACAACCCUAAUCCCACAGUUUAGCAUCCAUAUUAAAGAACAAUGAACAAGUCAUAUUAGAGAACAAUGGAACAAGUGAAAUAGAAUCCAACUAUACCAGAGAAGAAAAAUGAAGAACUGCAUAAUUAAGCAAAAUGAAGAAAUCCAACAAUAAGGAAAUGAGCAACUAAUUAAGGCAGAAAAGUUGAGAAAAGUCAUAAAGUACUCUUUUUGAAGGCUAAUAUUUUCUUCCUACAAUCCAUUACUUAAUCAUGGACAAGACAAAUGAAAAAGGAAAACAACAACAAUUUUACCUUGUUUUAGUAAGUACUACUAACUCUGCUUCCCAGAUAUGUCUAAUUUUGCUCAAACUCUCCAAAAAUGUUGUCACACCUGUGUCGGAUGCACAAAAAUGCACAAUUUUUUGAGGAUCCGACAUGCAUUGUUUGACAUUUUUGAAGAGCCCGAGCAACAUACACAUGGUUAAAGAUUUUUAUUUUAUUUUCACUUCAGAAAUUCUUUACGAAGAGCCGAGGGUCUUUUGGAAACAGUCUCUCUACCUCCCACGAGGUAGUGGUAAAGUCUGAGUACGCUCUACCUUCCCUAAACCUCACUAGUUUCACUGGGUAUGUUGUUGUUGCAAAGAAAUUCUUUAAGAAAUGGCAUUUAGCUAAUCAUCUUGGCAACACAUUUCUGAAAUCCAACGAGAAUCAUUUUAGUAGUUCUGCAUUUUACCCUUAAAAGUAAUUGUCAAUUCAUCAUUACCUCAACAAACAGAAAAAUGGCAACGAUAACUGAUUAAGACUUAACACUGAUUACAAAGCAUCUUUUAAUUUUAGAUUCUAUUCUAAAGCUUAAUUUAGCAGAAUAAACUCAUUUGGAUGUGCUGAACCUGCUGCAAUGCACGCUUGAGAUUGUAAAAGUGGAUAGUUGAGUCGAAUGUAGCAACUCCAACCAAUGUCCGAGGACCAUCCUGCAAUAAUAAGUUUUCAAAGUCAAAGACAGCUCUUUAACUCCAAGAAUUCAUAUUGUGCAUUAAAAUUGAAAAGAAAUGCAUCUUAGCUGAACUAUAUCACAAAUAGAAUAGACUCCCGAAUCUCUUGCCUCUUAGUGAACAUGUCAUUCUACCACUUGACCGAUCCCAUCUCUCCCGAAUUCCAUUAGAUCAUAGAUUGAUUUCUACCAGAUCAUCCUAUGGUCCAUUCAACUAGAAUGACACCAGAUGCCAAGAAAAGAACCCCACAAUCAAAGCAAGGGUUCACCUGAAUCUUUUUGUCACAUUCAUAGUUUUCCUUUUACCUUCUGAUUUAUUAUAAGCCAUCACUUAAGGAGAUGCAAAUCAACAGGUUAACGCAUCAUAAUCUCUUCAUCUUUUUUUGCCUAAUCCCCCCCCGGUGUCCAGCAGCCACUAAAUAUAAAUUUCCAUAAUGACCUCUUGGAUAAAACAAAGUGAUCAAGCAGCAUUCGUGCAGCAUCGCACUAUUCAGAAUGGAGACAACUAGGUUUUCCACAAUUCAGACACAUAAAUAACUAACCUACCUCAUCAUCUCAACAGACAAAUUACACGGAUAAUUGCUUCGCUACAUCAGAAGUUCUAGUUAAUCUCACUGAUUUUAGUAUAAAAAGUGAUUAAUUUAUGAUGACUCCACUUGAGAAGACACGCCAAAUACUUUUCCCUCUAAUCUAAAGGUAAAAAAAAAAAAAUGCAUGUUGCAUCAUCAUAAACAACCAAUAGACUUACAGGGAGAUCAGAAAUAACUUGGCUGAUCGCACUGCAAGCAGCUGCAGUUGCACCAGUCUGUAUGGCAUUCAUGGAAACAUCUAUCAGGAAGAAAUACACAGCAGGCAUUGGAUCCCGAACCUGAAAUACAAGAAAAAAUUCCAAGUUAUUACUGCAAAAUAAAAUGAGUCACAAAAUCAAAUUAAGGAAUUCUCUAGACCAAAGACAGGAGUGCAUCUACGAAAAAGGAGAGCAUCAAAUCAACUUGCAACAUAGAGUAGGUUCUAAGCUAUAUCUACAUUGAUUUAGAACUCUGUCAAAUGUCUCUGUGGAAGUAUUAGUUUAAUUUUCUAAACUUGAGAUCCUACUCGUCCACACUACCGACCCCCUCAACCCAUGCGCUGUUAACAGAUUGCAUAGUACUCUAGGAGCAGUAAAUUGACAAGUCUGCCACAGUUCAACAUCUCAUGUAUCCCGCUCAUUGCUCAGUGGACCUUCUCCUUCUCACCAUAUUCCUCUUUAGCUUCUCUCUGUAUAUGUUGUUUUUUUACUACUUUCAAUGCUGAAAAGAAUUUUGUAACAAAUUAUAUACAAACCAACUGUUUCCUCCUAAAGUCUAAAAUCAGCAACAGAAUAGCAGGCCGAUAGCAACAACCUGGUGCUGGAAAACUACACAAGAACCGGCAUUUGGAAUAUAUCGAAAACGGUGCUAGUGAACUGCAAACUUUCCGCAUACCAAUCCACUGUGACUCAAUCUCAAGUUAGUGUUUUAUUUUAUUAUUACUUAUUUGCCCACAGGGUAUGUUGUUAUUGUUGUUGUAUUUUUAUACCAGCAUCAAUCCCAAUAGUUAAUAUUGCAAUAUGAAUCCAGUGUAGUCAAGUCACUCUGUUCUGGUUAGCUUCAGCAAAUACCAAAACAACUUCAGAUGUUAGAUUUGAAAGCACAAAGCUAGCAAAACAGAAAGUUCAGAGCUUGGAAUGUCUACUUAAUAUGGCAUUACUCCUAUAACGUCAUGCAAUCACAUCCCUUAACCAAUGUGUCCAAAAAGUACCAACCAUAUAUUCCUUCGUAGCGACAAACUCAACAGUUCCUCGGCAUAGUUCAGGCCUCUCAUCAGCAUCCCUACGCCUGCCAUCUGGACCUAAGUUGCACUGAUAGUCACGAGGAGUUUCAUCGGUAUGUCCUGCAACAAGGACGGCAAGAAACAUGAGAUAAGAGCUGCAUAACAGCACAUUUUCAUUAAACAUGCAGUAUUAAGAAAUUGAAAUGGUUUUUACAUUUCAAGUUAUGUAUGCGAUUGAUUGAUUAAAUCUGAUGGCCUUUGUCCUCACUUAAAAGUUGAGGAACCUGAAAAGAGAUAUCAGUAAAUGGAAUAGAGAGGUGUGUGGCAAACUAGACUAUCAGAGGAAUAAGGUUCUGGAAGAGCUGGGAUUCCUUGAACAAAUUGCUGAACACAGGGAAAAUACAAGAGAAGAGAAAUUGAAAGCUUUAAGUCUGAAACUAGACCUUAAACAGAUAGCAAUUGCUAAGGAAAUUUCUUGGAGGCAAAAGUCCAGAUGUCUAUGGCUAAAAGCAGGGGACAAGAACACUAAGUUCUUCCAAAGAAUGGCAAACUCACACAGAAGAGGCAAUAGUAUUGACAAGCUGAAAAUUGAAGGAGAAAUCAUUGAGGAUGCGGAUGUGAUAAAAGAAGGCAUCCUUGAUUUUUACCAAAAUCUUUAAAAGGAAUCUGAACCAUGGAGGCCAUCUGCAGAGUUUGAAAACAUCUCAACUUUAAGGAUUGAGGAAAGGGAUGAGCUAGAGCUACCAUUCAAUGAACUUGAAGUUCUUAAUGCACUCAAAUCAUGUGCCCCAGACAAAGCUCCAAGCCCUGAUGGCUUUACCAUGGCUUUUCUACUGGAAAGAAUGGAUUUUCAACAAAGAAGACAUCAUGAAUGCCUUCAGUUAUUCCAUCGAAACUGUCAAUUGGUGAGAUCCUGCAAUGCUUCCUUCAUUGCCCUCAUCCCAAAGAAGAAGGUGCUUUGGAACUCAGGGGCUUAAGACCAAUCAUCCUCGUAGGAAGCAUUUAUAAAUUGGUGGCCAAAGUUCUGGCUGAGAGGUUGAAAAAGGUGGUGUGCAAUUUAGUUUCGGGUCAACAAGGUGCUUUCAUGAAGAACAGGCAGAUUACUGAUGCCUCACUUAUUGCUAAUGAAGUGCUAGACUGGAAGAUCGAAAGUGGGGAAACUGGCAUUCUAUGUAAGCUAGACAUAGAAAAGGCUUUUGACCAGUUACAAUGGAGCGAUCUAGCUAAACUUCUAAAAACGAUGGGCUUUGGCAACAGGUGGAUUAGAUGGAUAUACUUCUGCAUCUCAACUGUUAAGUUCUCAGUAGUGAAUAGAAGUCCAGUAUGGUUAUUCUCUCCCAAAAGGGUCUCAGGCACGGGAAAUCCCUCUCUUCUUUUCUGUUUAUCUUGGGAAUGGAAGAGCUCACUCAGUUGCUAGUUAGAGCUAGAGAACUUCAAUGGAUUCAGGGAUUCCAAGUUGGCAAUGACCCUAACACUGCUGUUACAGUCUCACAUCUGCUAUAUGCAGAUGACACUUUGGCUUUUUGGCUUUUGGUGGAGCAAACAGACAACAAAGUGCGGCAAAUCAACAUCACUCUCAUGGUCUUUGAAUCAAUUUCUGGACUUCACAUCAACAUGAUCAAGAACAAAAUCUACCCAGUAAAUGGAGUCCCCAACUUAAAUGAUCUGGCAGACAUUCUUAGUUGCAAAACUGGAACUCUUCCAACUACCUACUUGGGAUUGCCACUACGAGCAAAAUUUAAGGUUACUGAUGUUUGGAAUGGAGCAAUUGAAAGAAUGGAGAAGAGACUAGCAACCUGAAGAUGCAAUCUCUCUCUUUAGGAGGCAGACUUACACUAAUCGGCAGUGUACUUGAUAGUAUUCCCACCUACAUUAUGUCCCUCUUUCCCAUACGAGGUUCAGUGACAAAGCAAAUUGACAGCUUAAGAUGGUGUUUGGAUAAGAUUAUAAGUUAGGUCAACAUGGCUUACAAGCCAUUUUUUCCUUUUAGGAUUGUUUGGCAAAUUUAAAAGUUGCUUAAAAAAAGUUAAUUUUCGCUUUUUAAAAGCCAAAAGCUAGAAGUUGCCCAUUCCUUACUCUUUUUUUUUUAGCUUAUAAUCCAUUAAAAGUUGACCAAGUAAAAGACAUUUGUGUCCCUUAUAAUUCUUACUUAUUCCAAAAUUACCCUCUUGUAACCCCAAAACACACUUCUCUUUCACUACAACACACUUCUUCUUGUAUUAAUUAAACAUUUCCACUUUUUGUAUUUAUGGCGAACUUAACUCUAGCCAUACUAGUACCUCUUUUGUGUGAAACUUCUAAUUUAUGAAAUAUGAUUUUUAUGUAUUUUUUGAUAAAGAUUUUUUUUUUUUUAAUUCUNNNNNNNNNNNNNNNNNNNNNNNGCUUUUUGUAGUGCUAGCAGGAAUACAAGUGACCCAGUGAAAAAUGGGGUUGAUGGUGUUGGCUAAAAAAGGGGGAGACAUAUGAAUUUCUCUAAGAAAAAAAACAACUCACCAACCAAGAUAUAUGGAGAACAUUCACGGAAGAUAUACAACUUCAUGAACGAUUAGUGAACAACAACAACAACAACAACAACAAACCCAGUGUACUUCCCACCAAGUGGGGUUUGGGGAGGGUAGAGUGUACGCAGUCCAUACUGCUACCUCCAGAGAAGUAGAGAGGCUGUUUCCGAUAGACCCCCGGCUCAAGAUAAAGAAAAGUAGACCAAAGCGUAAUUAAAUAAGAAGCAAGAUGGAUGGCAUAACAUGACAAGGAAUAAGACUCAUAAAAAUAGAAGUCAGAACAAUAAGAAAUAAAAUAAAUAAGCGCAAUAGAAGAAAGAGACCCACGCCCGCCUGACCGGGCUCCUAUCUUUGGACCCAAUCCUAGGUUUACUAGCCCGACUCAACCUGAGCUCUUCUAACUACUUACUAAAUCCACGCACACAACCUAGCCUUCUACCCUUAUCCGCGACCUCCACACCUUCCUAUCUAGGGUCAUGUCCUCAGGAAGCAGAAGCUGCUCCAUAUCAUGUCUAAUCACUUCCCUCCAGUACUUCUUCAGCCUACCUCUCCUUCUUCUGAAACCAUCUAACGCUAACCUCUUGCACCUACGAACUAGGGCAUCCGUGCCCCUCCUCAUCACAUGCCCAAACCAUCUCAACCUUCUUUCGCGCAUCUUAUCCUCCAACAAAGCCACUCCGACCUUCUCCCGAACGGUCACAUUCCUGACUCUAUCCUCUCUGGUAAGUCCACACAUCCAACGCAACAUUCUCAUUUCCACUACCUUCAUUUUUUGAAUGUAGGAGUUCUUGACUGGCCGACACUCUGCUCCAUAUAGCAUAGCAUGACGGACUGCUGCUCUGUAGAAUUUACCUUUAAGCUUUAGUGGCACCUUCUUGUCACACAACACUCCCGAGGCAAGCCUCCAUUUCAUCCAACCAGCUCCAAUAUGGUUAGAGACAUCCUCAUCAAUCUCGCCAUUCCCCUGAAUCAUAGACCCAAGAUAUCUAAAACUAUCCCUCUUUCGGAUCUCCUGAGAAUCCAACCUUACCACGAAAUCAUCCUCCUGUCUCACCUCACUAAACUUACAUUCCAUAUAUUCAGUCUUGGACCUACUCAACCUGAACCCUUUAGAUUCAAGGGUUUGCCUCCAAACCUCCAAUUUUUCAUUCACACCGGCCUGCGUCUCAUCAACCAGCACUACAUCGUCAGUGAACAACAUACACCACGGCACCUCCCCUUGAAUACUCCGUGUCAACACGUCUAUCACCAACGCAAACAGGAACGGACGAAGAGUCGAACCCUGGUGCAACCCUGCCUCGACCGAAAAAUGCUCUGAGUCACCUCCCGCCAUUCUCACCCGAGUCUUUCCUCCAUCGUACAUGUCCUUAAUAGCUCUGAUGUACGCCACCGGGACCCCUUUGGCCUCUAAACAUUUCCACAGAACCUCCCUCGGAACUUUGUCAUAAGCCUUCUCCAAGUUGAUGAACACCAUAUGCAAAUCCUUCUUCCUUUCCCUAUACUGCUCCACCAAUCUCCUCACCAGGUGAUUGCCUCUGUCGUGAGCGACCAGGCAUAAAACCAAACUGAUUCUCUGAAAUGAACACGAUCCUCCUCAAUCUCAGCUCAACUAACCUCUCCCAAAUCUUCAUAGUAUGACUCAACAGCUUGAUACCUCUAUAGUUAGUGCAACUCUGGAUGUCUCCCUUAUUUUUAUAUAACGGAAUCAUCGUACUCCACCUCCAAGCCUUCGGCAUCCUUGUCGUCUUGAAAAUGCCGUUAAACAAAUCAGUCAACCACCUUAAACCAACCUUACCUAUAAACUUCCAAAAAUCCACCGAAAUCUCAUCGGGCCCCGUCGCCCUUCCCUUUCGAAUUCUACGAAUAGCAUCUCUGACUUCCUCCACCCUAAAACGCCUACAAUAACUGAAAUUACAUCUCUCCUCCAAGUGUUCCAACUCUCCUAACUCGAUGCCUCUAUCUCCCUCCUCGUUCAAAAGCCUAUGGAAGUACUCCUGCCAUCUCCUCUUAAUGUGGACAUCUUCCACCAAAAUAGUACCAUCCUCCCCUUUAAUGCACUUCACUUGGUCUAAGUCCCGACCCUUCCUUUCCCCAGCCUUCGCAAGCCGAUAUAACCUCUUUUCCCCGCCUUUCGCAUCUAACCCCGCAUACAAGCUCUCAAACGCUACAGUCUUAGCUGUCGUGACUGCAAGCUUAGCUUCCUUUCUAGCAACUUUGUAGGCCUCCCUAUUCACCCGCUUCUCCUCUGCAUCAUUACUCUCAAUCAACUUAGCAUAAGCCCCCUUCUUAGUCUCCACCUUUUUCUUAACUUCUUCAUUACACCACCAGUCCCCCUUAUGUCGACCUGCCCGACCCUUCGAAACACCAAAAACUUCUCUAGCAGCUUCCCUGACACAACUGGCAGCCCUAUCCCACAUAGUCUCCACGUCCCCCUGCACCUCCACACCCCCAAACCUGCCACCUUCUCCUCAAUCUCUAACGCACUACCCGGUGUCAAGCCAACCCACCUAAUUCUAGGCCGACCCUCUUUGGCCCUUCUCUUUUUGCCCUUCUUGAUAGUCAAGUCCAUCACCAGAAGUCUGUGCUGGGUCGAAAGAUGCUCACUCAGAAUGACUUUACAGUCCUUACAAAGAGCCCUAUCCUCCUUCCUAAGCAACAGAAAGUCAAUCUGAGUCUUGGCUAUCGUGCUUCGGAAGGUAAUUAGGUGAUCCUCCUUCUUCGGGAAGCUCGAAUUCACCACCACCAACCCAAAGGCCCUAGCAAAAUCCAACAGAGCAGCUCCCUCGUCAUCCCUAUCGCCGAAUCCAAAAUCUCCAUGCACAUCGUCAUAACCUCCAGGCAAAACCCCAAUGUGCCCAUUGAAGUCCCCUGCUAUGAAAAUCUUCUCCGAACUAGGCACGCUUCUCGCCACCUCAUCCAAAGCAGCCCAAAACCCCGCUUUCUCCUCCUUAACCAAGCCCACCUGCGGUGCAUAAACACAACACACAUUCAGCAAAACCCCCCCAACGACUAGAGUAAUCGUCAUCAGCCUAUCACUAACCCUCUUAACCUCCACCACCUGCUCUCUAAGCUCCUCAUCCACUAAGAUCCCCACUCCAUUCCGACGCCUAUCGCACCCAGAGUACCACAGCUUAUACCCAUCCACAUCCCUAGCCUUAGUCCCUACCCACUUAGUCUCCUGCACACACGCAAUGUUGAUCUUCCUCCUCUUAAGAACCUUAACCAGCUCUAUGGACUUACCCUGAAGGGUUCCUGUAUUCCACGACCCUACCCACAACCUAUCUACUCUCGCCUACCUCUACGAUCCCUCACCACACCAGCCCUAACACUCGACCUAAAUCCCCCACCCACCCCUGCCCUUCCCUCCUCACCCCCACCCAAAACCGACCCCAACCCCAACCCCCUCAGACAUGACCUUAUACCACCAUCAACCCCUACCUCCACCACUUAAGAACCAAAAACCAAUCCCUAAACCGAUAAACCACAAAACAAAAAUCAACAAAAGGCAGGCAGGAAACCAAAAAAGCAGCAGGGAAGCAGGGAUCGCACACAGAUAAAACUAUCCGGCCUAUCAGAGGACACAACUCUAAUCACAAGAAAUAGCAGUGCAAACGAGAACGGUAAAUAAGGCGAGAAAUAAUAACUAGUAAAAAGUAUGUAAAUAACAAAGGUUAGAUGUCAUCGGGGUAAUCUCGUGUGCUAAUGGUGCCGUUAAUACUGGCUUCGAAGUUGAUUGCUGAAAAUACAGUCGCCGAAAAAAUUCUGCCAGGCUCUAGCUGUCACUGGAGCGUGUCCUGGGUGUUACCAGAUCUGUGUUCUGGUGCCCGUUGACGCAGUCGAUCCGGCGGAAACCCUUGUUCCGCCGGCGAAAUCAGUGGCUAAAAUUUCAAAGAAGGGGAAGGAAAAGAGAAAUAAUUCGGGAGAGAUGGGGAGAGAGGGAGGAGAGGGAGAGAGCUUAAGGGAGAGAAACAAAGCAAAGGUACCCUUAAUUAAUAACAAUCAACUCUACAUAUUGUUAACAGCUUUAAGGGGAUUUUAGACAUUUUGACCAAAAAAAAGUGUUUCACAACACUUGUUUACCAAACAAAUCAACAACUUUUUUUCAGUUCAACACUUUUAUCCAAACACGUAACUGCUUAUUUUAAAAAUAAGUUUCAGCACUUUCAAAAGCACUUUUAAAGAACCUUUUAAAAGCCACUUUUUUUCAGCCUAUUCAAACGGGCUCUAAGAAAGAAACUUCUAUGGGAAGGAAAUAAUGUGUCUCAAAAAUUUCACUAGUCAAGUGGAAGAAAGUGAUCCUACCUAAGUCUCAAGAAGGUUUGGGGAUUAGGGACCUGAAAACUCACAACAAGGGACUGCUCAUAGAAUGGCUAUGGAGCUAUGGCCAAGCAAAGGCCAGAUAUUGGAAAGAUGUCAUCAUAGCCAAAUAUGAGGCACAGAAACAUUGGCGUACCAACAGGAUCGGAGAACCACAUAGGGUAGGGGACCUAGAAAUUUAUCAGUAGCUUUCAAGAGGUUUCUUUCAAAAGGUAUCCUACAAAGCUCACAAUGUCUAACCAAUGGCUCGGAAACAGUACAUUAAAGAAUGUUUUUCCUCGCCUUUAUCAAAUAGCCAACAACAGGGAAGCAGCCAUUGCACAAUACAGAGAUGGCAACAUAUGGAACACUAUUUUCAGAAGGAAUCACCAAGAUUGGGAACUCAAUGACCUGCUGCUCCUCUUAGAGUCCUUGGUGUCCUAUCAUAUAGAUAGAAAUGCUAACAGGAUCUUAUGGGGCUCUUCCAAUAUAGGAACCUACACAGUGAAAGAUUUCUACAGAGUAGAAUGCUCGCAGAAUAGCCAAAUUGAGCUUUGGCAUUGGAGCAUGUUUGGAAAACUAGACAACCUCUCAAAGUCACUUGUUUCACAUGGAUUGCACUAUAUGAAGUCUCUUUGACUCAAGACAAUCUCAGAAAGAAAGGCAUCAUCCUCACCAACAGAUGCUACAACGAACCAGUUAACCACCUUCUUUUGCAAUGCCCUGUGACAAUUGCUAUCUGGCAGCUUUCUUCUCUAUUUUUGGACUUUAUUGGGUGAUGCCAGGUUGAAUCAAAGAAGCAUAUUUUAGCUGGAUUUCUUGGAGAGUUGACAAAUUCAUCAAAAGAAUCUGGACCAUGAUCCUUGCAGUCAUAUUUUGGACCAUCUGGAAGGAAAGAAAUCAUAGACAUUUUGAUGGGAUCUCAACUCCCCCAAGCUCUCUCAAGGCCAAAUGCUUAUUAACCUUAUUCAGUUGGCACUCCCUAUCCCAUGUAAACAGUACCGAUACCUUUUUAGAUUUUGUUAGCACCUUAACUCUUAUUUAACGGAGUAUCAAGGUAGCAUUCUUUUGACUUUUACAGAACUUUUCCCUAGCUUCUGAGAUCAAAUGUUUCUAGGUUUUUGAAGCUAUUUUUAGUUUAGUCAGUUUUUUCUCUCUAGCUACCUGUACGAUCUACGUGAUGCCUUUCUAAUACAAUUAAUAAUUACUUUACCCCCCCAAAAAAAAAAGAAUUGCAUGUGUAAUGCCGAAGCCGGUCCGUCCACACCUUGACUAUUUAUCAGAGGUGAGUGGACUAUCCCCAAAAUGAAAGAGAGAUAGAGAGCGAAUCAACAAUUCUUUCCUUUUACUGUUCCACUUCAUAGCGCUAGUUAACUUAUAAAGUUGCUCACGGGAAGGCUUCACAUAUAGACUAACAUGUCAACCUGUAAGGAUUGUAUUGAUAUCUAUCAAUGUCACUUCCAAAUAAAACUUAUAUCUGAAUUAGGUCCAGAAAGGACUACGUUUAAAGAUAAUUUUCUUCUUCGCAGCUUAUGAAAUGAAAGGUGUAAGAGUAAGACUGCUCACAUGUUCUCAGUUAACCAGUAAGAAUGGAUAUUAGACGUCUGAGAAUGCGCUUAUGUGUUUUGCUAGACUAGUUGGAGCAAAAAAAUAUCAAUAACGAUGUAAAUUUGAUACUUCUGUUUGGUAUUCUGUAGUUUCACAAAAUAUCACGGCCAUGCUAUGUUGCAUUUCAAUCUUGAGUCUCUAAAUAAUAUAUAGAGCCACUCUAGACUCCAAAUAUCACAUAACUUCAGUGGAAAUAAAUAAAAUUCAUUCUUACCACAAAAGUUACAGAUGAAACGUCUUCCCUGAUCAAUGAACUUCAUGAAAGGAUUUAUAUAGCCUUUGCAACGGGAGCACCGAACAGGACCACUUUCCCCAAAAUCAACCACCUAUCAAGGAAAGCAACAAUUAGGUGAAAGAACUAACAAACUAUUUCAUUCUGCAGUUAAAUAAGCCACACAAACCAAUUUACAUGAUUGAAAUGACCCUACAUGUUUAGAAUAUAGAGCAAGUAGAAAUGAUAACAGAUAUAUAACAAACAUAAACAUAAGAUCCAUGAUGAUUAGUCAAAACGAUCUCCACUCUAGGGAUCACGAUCAUUCCUUUUUUUUUUUUUUGACAAUGGUAACAUUUGAAUUUAAAUCAGUACUUACAUAGUACUAAAAAACCAUAUUUACAAAUAUGAGAAAGAAGUAUAGUCUUCCCCAAAGCAAAACUAAAAUCUAGAUGGACCCUAGUACAUCUAUGAUUGACUCAGUCUCAUUGGAGUAAACAGUGGUACACCAAAAGCAAAACAACAAAACUCAUUUAAUCCUGACUUCUUGUAGGCUAUUGUCCCUAUUCUCAAAACAUCUAUUAUUUCUCUCUCUCCAUAUAGUCCACCAUAUACAAGCAGGGAUCAUCCUCCAUCUUUCUUUGUUUGUAGCCCCAACUCCAGCUUCCUCCCAACUAAAAGAGUCUUAUCAAUUUUACUAGGCAGGAAAUGCCUCUGAGAUUUAAGAAAAUCUGCCAGAGCUAGACAGUGAAAUUGUAGUGUAGGAAAAGGUGUCUCACUGUCUCUGUAUCCUUUCCACAUAAGGAGCACCUGUUGCAUAGAGAGAUACCUCUCUUAGCCAUAUUAUCCAAUGUCAAAACAGCUUCAUUGGCUAACAAUCAAGUAAAGCAUGCCACUUUAUGUGGCACUUUGACUCACCAGAUAUGUUAUAUGUUUCCCAGGCCAUUUGUGAACUUGAUUAUCACUAACAUUUGUGUCACUAAGACUUGUCUGUUUAUACCCUUCCUUUACCCUGUAUUUACCUUUGUUGUGCCCAUGCCACCAUAAAUAAUCCUCACCAGCCUGUGUUCCAUGAAAACUCCCCAGUAGUUGGUAAAGUUCGAUUAUUCUAUGAAUUUCCCAGUCAUUUAGAUUUCUUCUUAGGACCAAGUUCCAUCCUUGUUGCGACCACAUAUCAGCAAUUGUGUUCUGUUGAUGUUGAGCCAAAACAAAGAUGUCAGGAAAAAAAUCUUUGAGGCUCACAGCACCCAUCCAUUUGUCAGCCCAAAAAGUAGUUUUUUUACCAUUUAGAGCAUUUACCUCUUUAGUCAUCCUCUUUAGUCAUACACCAUAGUGCUUUAUCCUCUUGAUGAUACCUCCAUAGCCACUUCACCUUCAAAGCUUUGCUCUGGUUUUUGAGGUUCUUGAUACUUAAGCCAUCUUGUUUCUUGCUUCUGAGGAUAUUCUUCCAUUUGACUAAGUGAAAGCCUUUCCUUUCCUAAUUGCCUUGCCACAAGAAGUUUCUUCAGAUUUUGUCCAACCUCUGAAUUACUGACUGAGGUAUAUGAAAGAUAGAUAACAUAUAUGUAGGAAAAGCAUCUAGAAUUGAAUUUAUCAGGGUCAGUCUACCUCCCAGAGACAGAUAUUGGGAUCUCCAUCUAGCUAAUUUCUUUUCACACUUCUCCAAAAUUGAGUUCCAAAUGUUUAUGGAUCUUGAUUUUGCACCCAAAGGCAUGCCCAAGUAUAUUGAUGGCAAAUUUCCCACCACUCUUCCCAAAAUCCGAGAAAGAUGAUCCAUCUUUGGAACCACAUUAAUUGGAUACAAGUGGCUUUUGUUCCUAUUUAUAUGGAGCCCAGAUAUGGCUUCAAAGUAAACCAGUAUAAGUCUUAAGAUCAUCAGUUGCUCCUCCUCAGCCCCACAAAAAAUUAGUGUAUCAUCAGCAUACUGCAGAUGUGUGAUUUCCACACUGUUUCCCGCUACCUUGCUAACUUCAAAUACAUGGAUUCUUCCUGCUUCCUUGCCUAUAUUCAGCAUGUUAUUUAGCCCUUCCAUAGCUAUGAUGAACAAGAAGGGAGAUUGGGGGUCUCCCUGCCUAAUCCCUCGGUGUGCAUUGAAAAAACCUUGAGGUGAAACAUUGAUAAGCACAAAAAACUUCACAGAUGACAUACAAAACUUGAUCCACCCGAUCCAUCUCUCACCAAACCCCAUUUGUCUCAACAUACGUAGAAUGAAAUCUUAAUUCACGUGGUCAUAUGCUUUCUUGCUAUCAAGUUUGCAUAAUAUACCAGGUUUACUUUGGGACAUUCUAGAAUCAAUUGCUUCAUUAGCAAGAAGCACUGCAUCCAUUAUCUGUCUGCCUCAGAUAAAAGCCAUUUGCUGCUUGUCUACCAACUUAUCCACAACUUCCUUCAGCCUUUCUGUCAGUACCUUCGAGAUCAACUUGUAAAAGCUUCCAAUUAAACUGAUAGGUCUGAAGUCUUUGAGCUCCUUUGCUCCUAUCUCCUUAGGAAUCAAUGCUAUUUAUGUUGCAUUCUAGCUUUUUUCAAACAUCCUAGUAGAAUGGAAAUUGUGAAAAGCCUCCAUAAUGUCUUGUUUAAUUAUCUCCCAACAUGUUAGAUAAAACCCCAUUGUGUAACCAUUAGGGUCGGGGGCUUUGUCAAUGGCACACAUCUUUAAGCACUCAAAAACUUCUUGCUCCUCAAAUGUUGCCCGCACUGCCUCUUUCUCAUCCACUGUGAUGGUAGGAUGAUUGUUAAUAUUUUGAGAAGGCCUCCAGUCUUCUUGUAGAAGGAUAUGACUUCCUCCUUAAUUCUAUUAGGAUCAGUUAUCGUCUCUCCCUGCACUUCCAAUUGAUCAAUGUGAUUAUAUCUUUUGUGGACAUUAGCAGUUUGAUAGAAAAACUUUGUAUUUCUAUCCCUUCCCUUGAGCCAUAAGGUCCUUGAUCUUUGUCUCCAGGCCACUUCUUCAUUCUUUAAACACCUCUCAUACUUCAUAAACAGUGUUGCUUUCUUGGCGAUUUCCUCCUCUGUCAAGGCUCUAAUAUUCAACUGAGAUUCUAGCAUAGCCAUCUGAUUGAGAAGAUUGUUAUUGUCUACUCCAUUUUUUCAAUUUCCCUUUGAGAGCUUUGAGUUUACCUGCUAAGAUGUAGUCUGGCUUCCCAUAAAAUUCAAAUUCACUCCACCAAUUCUUGACUCUUUCAGCAAAACCUUCUUGAUUCAACCACCAAUUUUCAAACUUGAAGUAGGAAUUAGAUUGCUCCCAGUGUCCACAAAGCAGAGCUAUUGGGACAUGAUCAGAGGUCACUCUUUGCAGUGUAGUCUGUUUUAGAUUAUUGAAGAGAUUGUUUCAUUCUGUGGAAACCAUUAUCCUGUCUAUUCUUGAUGCAGUUGUAUGACUAUCCCCUCUAUACCAGGUAUACUUUCCACCGCUUAGCUGUAGAUCAAUUAGGUCCAGGUCCUCGAUGCAAUCUGAAAACUCCCUCAUUGCUGAAUUUCUCCUGUUCCAAUCCCUUUUUUCAAAGGGAAAUCUACAAACGUUGAAGUCACCACAGAUAGCCCAUGGCCCAUCAAACAAGCCUCUUCCAUCCAUAGGUGCAUUGCUAGACCCAAAGCCCUAAUACAGAUGGAUUUGGAUUUGUGAUUGAUAGGCACGCAGCCUGCAGCAGGGUUCCACCAUUCUAAUUUGAGUCUGAUUUUCUUCCACUGCCAUUCUCCCUGUAGAACUUGUUCCGCCAUGUAUCUAUUUGGAAACUCAAAGAGAAAACAGUUGUACAAUAUCUCUCAGACAUUAAUCCCAAACGCCUUCUUCCACAUCAUCGAGGACCAUCGUCUAACUUCUGAGAGAGCGGGUGUUUCAGGUUUUGCGUUACCAAAAGACCCAAAAAUACAUCUUCCCAGUACUCCUUGAUCUUUGAUUUUGGCUGCAACAUUGGUUUCAAUCUCUUUUCCUUUGGUUGUGGCUACCUCAGAGCUAUUGCUUUGCCACUUGCUGGUUGUAACUGCUUUUGCAUAAGUCAUAUUUAAAACAUUUGUCUUGCAUUGUGUUUGUAUCUCCUUCUGUGGUGGAUUUUUAAUGAAACUUUGAAUCUUAAAUGCCACACUUUUCCAACCAACAUUUAUGUUUGACUCAGGUACAAUAAUAACCGCUCUGUCCUCUCACUUCAGUGACAAGAUACUCAUAUAUCUCCCAUGGGAAUUGUAUUUCCUCGUACAGAAGAAAUCUGCCAUUUGGUCCUUGUAUCUCCGACUUCUGACCUGAUAUUUUCGAUCGGCUGAUGCUUCUGUAAGGAUGAAGCAGAUCCAUUCCAACGCCUUCUCAUUGAGUGUAACCCUUCUCAUCAUAUUUCUGCUCCUUUACCCCCAGUCGUACCAUACAACAUUGUUUGAAGUCCAUCUGGUUAUGUCAUAAGAUUGUCAUAAGAUUUAAAACCUUGGUUGAAAUAUAUAUUCUAUUAUCUCCCAUAGGUUCAGAAAUCAGAGAUCUUAGUAAAACAGAAAUCAGAAGAUGUAAAGACUGGCUUGUUUGAAAGAUAAAGGGUCAAUUCCGGCAAGUCCACCGAAAAAGGUCUUGAGUAACGGCCUGAAUCUGUAGUUAACAGCCGGAAAUUAGUGUUGGUGAAGCCUGAUAAUUUGAAAAACUGUAUGAAUGGUCUCACGCGCCGGUGCGUGAGGCGCAUGAUGGGGGUAGCUGGGAGAUCUGGGUGGCGCGUGAGGGCGUGUAGGGUAGUUUCCGGCGAUAGGUUUUCUGGGGUUUGGUCGCAACAGGGUGUUGGUGACUAUGGAGGGGGAGAAUUGAGAGAAAGAGGAAGUAAAAGGGGUAUUCUGGUGAUCAGAAGGACCACCGGAGAUGUUUUUGGUUGAAAGGGGGUCUUUUUCUAAAGUUACAUUGGGACCAAUAAGAAAAAGAAAAAGAAAAAGCACACUGCCCUGACCUCCCAGGGUCACUGCAGUCAAUUGUACAUCUUAGAACAAAUCAAGUCAGUCAUACUUCAAUAGAUAUCAACAAACACAAUUAAUUGUAAUAAUCACUUAUAAAGAUCUUGACACUACAAAUAUCAUUUGUUUGCACAUGAUAACUUAAUUUUCGGUUAAUCACAUAUAAGACAAUUCUGCUUUUGUCUUGCUUUGAGGCUAUAUCCUAGUUGUGGAUCAAAAUUAGGAAGUCCAAAAUAGUGCUUUUGUAACUGACGGAAUCCUAGCCCGUGGCUACCUAUUUCUUUUAAUAUAAAACUUGCUUACCUUCUCAAAAAAAAAAAAGAGUCCACAAUGAUUCAGUUGGAGAGGUACAUUAAAAUCAAGAUUAGCGGUUAUGUGGCAAGCUACUAUCAAAUUACUUGGGCCUACAACAUGGGUGAAAGUGCAAAACAGCUCUAGCUAUCAAAGGUUGAAAGAGAUGAGAAAAAACUGGAGACAUGGAAGCAAGGAGGAGCCAGCCUUAAAGAUACGGGUUUGGAAGAAUCCAAUAGCUUUGGCUCAAAACCCGUGCUUGAAUUUUAAGUAUAGAAUCUUUUUUGUUCACAAAAGGUCCCUUUUAUUCCUUCUCAAAAGAAGUCUUGUUGUUUCUUUCCUUCCAAAUUGUUAUUCCCUCAGGCUCUUAGGAUAAAAUAUAACAUAUAUCAUCCUUUAUAAAGGUAUGCCAUUAUUUACCUCAAACACUAUUUCUUUGCAUGUUCCGUCAAAGGUUUCACACUUUCAUUUUUAGCCUGUUCGAAAAGAAUGAUGUUACUCUACAUUUAGAAAUAAUUUCACUUUAAACUUCCUUUUUCACCCUCAAUGACAUGAUUUUAUAGCCACAUAAUUAUCACGGCAUGUUUAAGACCACAAAUUCUACAAUUAUUUUUCUCUCCACUUAAAUGUCAUGCCCAGACAGAAAGGUUCACAUAUAAUGAAACAUAAGGGUACAAAAAGGCUAUUAAAAUUAGAAUACAUAGAUGGCAAAAAAUGCUUUACUUGAAGGGGCUCUUCAGAUGGAUGAGGAAGAGCCAAGGGCUGGACCAAUAAAGCCAACUGCAUUGCCGAGGUUGUCAAAAGGUCAACAGUGCAUGGUAUCUGUUACACAAACGAUGAGGACCAAAUCAUCUACCAUUAGUGCUUUAAUUAAAAAAAUAUAUAUAUGGUUACUAAGCUACUCAUUCCAUAGAAUAAGAAAGAGUAUAAUGCAGAAACCAUAGAGAGAAGAAUAACAGAGACAAAAAACAACGCAAAGAGGUUUAUUACCUGAUUAAUAGUACACCUCAUGUACCGUGGGCUGCAAUUUCCAGUGUCCCUAACAAUAUAGUCACUUGUGGCAGGCUUCGAGUGGACGAAAAAGGAAAAAGGGAAAAAAGGAGACAGCAGCAAGAACAAAAAAGUUAGUUUAGUAAGAAGCUUUGGGAGGCAAGCAUAACCAUUUGAAGAAAAGAUGGUUCAGCCGUAUAUGCAACAGUACUAAAUAAAACAAUAAUUUACCGGAGGGGGAUUGGCUUGGUUGCCUUGUCGGGUUUCAUGUAGAACUACAGAAGCAUUUGGAAUAGGGCGCGGGAUUUGAUUUGGAUCAACUUUUGAUGGGAUGGAAUGGCCAACAGAAGAAGUUAUCGAAGCCACUGCCUGAUUUGGAAGAGGAGGCGCCAUCCCAUACAUACUUGGUGGUUGCAUGGAACCAGGAAUAGCAGAAGGUGGAGCCCCCUGUCAAUAAGUAAAAUCAGGAUAUGCCCUUCACAUGAAAGAGGAAAUGGAGUAAAAGCAUGCUGAAACCAAUUUACUUGAUCCAACAUGUGAUCCACAUUGGAAAUGUGCCAUGCACGUAAGGGUCUUUUUGAAUUAUAUAUAAGUUUUAUCAGAGAUCCUUUUACCUCUUCUGAUUAAGAAAGGAUAGCCAGGUUGUUGUAGCUUCAAAUGUGAAAGUUAUCCUUUUCAGAUGGUCCAGCCAAACAGAAAAGGUGGUGCAAUAUACUUUGAUACUGUUUAAAUUUUUCAUGCUUGAGGAAACUUGUGCACUUAAGAUUUUUCUUUUACGAGCACUUAUACACUCAAGAUAUAAUAUAGCAAUUAUUUAAAUAGCUGCAGAUUUUGAAACAAACUUAUGAAAGGGUUCCUCUAUUUAUAGUUUGAAUUGAUUAGACAAAGUAAAUAAGUGAUACUGAAUAUAUCUUUCUCAUUACUUUCAAGCAUAGAAAAAUACCUAGCCAAAAUAUAACAAUUAAUAAAUAAAAAUAAUUUUUAUUUAUGGAGUAAUCAAAUAUAUUAUUUAAUAACUUCGACUAAUGGAAGAACCCCAAACAACAUAUUCAAAGUUCAAAAGGAAAAAAGAAUUCAUGUAGGUAAUUUCGUUAAUGAGAAUUUGAACUCUGUUUUGUGUUGAUGAAAAAGAUAAAUUUUAUAAUGCACAUACUACUAAAUAAAAGUUAUUUAAAAUAGCAGCACAUUUCAAUAUUUUAUCACAAAUCCAUCAAAAUACUUCUCCGAUUAUCUCUGAAUGAAUAAAAUAUGACAUCAUUAAUUAUUAUGGGAGUAAUACACUAGAGGUGAAAUGAGUUAAACCAUAAAAGAUACAAAAAAGAAAAGAAGGUACAUAGAACGUAAGGGCACAGUAGACAUUGCAUGAGGGAAAAUUGCAUAAAGCUGGAGGAAUAUUUGACUUUUUAUACCAAGUUGGAGCGAGAAAAUUAUUUUCACCCCUUUCUAAAUUUUAAGUCAUGACAGCACUUCACAGUGUAGCUUUUUUCUUCACUUUUAGACCCUACUACUUCCACAACAAAUUUUCCGGUAUUACCAAUUGGUCACUAACAGAGUCUCGAUAUCAUUCUCACAUUACUCAUCAACAGCACCAAACAGUAACCGGUUUCUGAAUAUUAUUGAUCAUUCUAUCCUAAAAGUCAUGAAGCAUCUCUUCAACAUUAGCCCCCUUGAACCAUUGUAAUUCCUUGAUGCCAGAACCCAACAGGCCAACAUUUCUUGUUGGUUAUUAAAUAUAAUAAAUACACGCAUAGAAUUUGAUUAAAAACGCAUCUUGUGUGGCUUGUUGAUCCAAAAGAUGUUGGUGCAAAUUAAAAAUACAAAUCCUAGGACUUCUUUUGUAGUCUAGCACAGGCAAGAACUAAAUAUAUCUCUCAGCUCCAUAGAUUACAAAAUAAAUUACACAUCGCUAAUGAGUUUAGGGAAAAUUCUUAUUUUUCCUUCAAUAACAUAUGCACGUGAUAUCAAAUUUUUCUUUUGGGAAAAUACAUAGAUUUCACCUUGCAAAACAAGUACAGUAAGAUAGGCAUAUAAAGAUCACCUGAUGGGGUGGCAGUUGCCACGACUGUGUUCCAUAAGGAGCACCCAUGUGUGGAGCGCCCAUGGGUGGAGGCAUGGCUUGAGAAGGUGCUGCAAAUGGGGAGGAACCUGGGGGAGGUGGCACAUUCUGAAAUGAACCUGAAAAUGGUGGUGGUGGUUGUGCUGUAACUGGUGUCGUGCUGACAGAUGACGAACUUCCAAAGGGUGAGCGCAUGCCUAAAGGCUGAGAAGAAGCGCCUGGUGAAACCAUAGCUGAUGGAGGAGCUCCAAAUGGUGGCCUCAUUGCAUUGCUUGGAGGAGGAAAACGUGCUCCACCCUGCAUCAUUCCCGGACCCCCUAACGGUGGCCCAUUACUAACCGAGCUAGAAAUGCUUGAUGGUGGCGGCAUAGCAGGACCUGUUGUCAACGGCGAAGAAGAAAAAGGACCCGGAGGCCCGGGACGAGAACCCAAUCCAGAAGGCAAAGACCCAGGUGGCGGGGGUGCACCACCCAUAGAAGGAGGCAUUACACCAGGAGGAGGUGGCCGAGAUGCAAAGGUAGGAACAGACUGAGCCACGGGAGGAGACAAUCCAGUCUGUGGAGGACCACUAGGAGAUGCAGGGCCUCUUGGGAACACACCAGGCGGUGGAGGUCCCGGACGACUAACAGGUGGUCCACCAGCAAAAGGUGGCUGCUGCCCAAAUGGGGUAUUAUGCCUAGGAGCACCAGGUGGCUGAUUGGGCCUAUUUACUUGUAGAUUUUGCAUACCAUCAGCAAGUGCAUUAGGGUUAUAAUUGGGUGGAGGCGCAUUCCUUGGUCUAGGUCCCCCUGGAGCUGCCAUUGAUUAUUUCCAAAUUUCUCAAAACUCUAGAACGGAUGCAAGAAAAAAAAAAGGUUAAAUAAAUAGAUAAAAUCAACAGAAAGAAAACAUAAGAACAGCAAUCUUCACUAUAUCAAACAUUCAGCAAGCCAAAACAAAACAUAUUGAUUCAAAGGAAAACAAGUCCAUAAAAUCAAUCACAAAAUAAAAAUAACCAGACAAUACAUCUUUUUGGGGAAAAAAAUCAUCAGAUAUUAUCCCCCCCUCCCCCCCUCCUUCAUUUCAGCACACGCGACCCAAAGAACCUGGAAUACGGACAAUUAACACAUUGACACCGAGAAAUAGCAUCAGCGGAAAAGUCCAAUCGACAAAGGCGACCAAGUCAAACACCAACAGCUCCAAAACAACAGAAAUUAGCAAAGAGAACUCAAACAUCUCAUGAAACAAAAAUAGAGCUGACAGGUUUAAAGAGAAGAAGUGAAUGCAGAGAACGCUCUAGAUCUGGAAGAAGAGAAGAUGGACAGGAUAUGGUUCUUCCUGAGAGAAACUGAGAGACUACAGAGACAUAUGGAAAAACUGGUCUCUUUGGCAAGAACAGAAUUUCUGUGGUGAUAUAAAUGAGUCCCAACUACAGGAUACAAAUGGGAUUGAAUAAAGAGUGAGGAUACUAUGAGAAUCACUCAGCCUUUUCAGUUUUUUAUUCAAGAUGUACAGAGAGCUAGAGCACAAUAAGAUACUAACUAGCUAAACAGGGAUGACAUGCAUCGACAUACCUACCCGCUUUAGAACUAGACACAAACCAUAAAGGGAAGAGAACAGCAAAAAGCUAUUGAUAGAAGAACCCAAACUACCAUUCCGUAUCAUUUUAAGGAAGAUCAAGGGCACAUACUUUGUUGUGCUUGGCCAUUGGCGAAACAGAUCAUAUCACAAUAGAUAUAUACAAAAUCACUCGAAAAAAUAAGAAAACUAAUUGCCUCCAAAGGCAGGGAUCAAAUCUUAGAAGUACAGGCAGAAAAGAACAAAUUAAGAGAGGCUCAAUUGGGAAAAAAGCGAAAAAUUUAAGACAGCGGUAUGGGAGAUACACAAAUAAGGAUCCUAAGGCUGGAGAGAUAUAGAAAAAUAUGUGCCAUAUUUUUGCCAACUGACCUUCCUCUAUUUCUCUAUGGACUAACUUACUGAGCUAGGGCUUCUUUAAAUGGAUGUUAUCUAGCUCAUAACAAAGUAUAAACCAUUUCCCCCCUUAAACUUCAUUUAAAAAUAGAAUUUUCAUCUAAGUUUGUAUUCUGAAUGUGCUUCUUCUCCUUCAAUUUUGGGAUGUUAGUCCAAUUAGUUUGUAAUUCUAGAACACAAUGCCUAAUUUGCUCACUGAAGUAUCAACCUCUCUUUUUUGAAAUUUUAUAACAUGCUAAUUUAUUUUCUUUUUCUGAAGUUCUCUUCUCAUGGUAUUGAUUAACACAGCCUUAUAUAUAGUGUUCUUCUCCUCCAUCCACGAUAUUUUUUUUUUGACUUUGGUAACAUUUGUAUUAAAAUCAGUACUACCUUAGUACUGAAAAACCACAUUUACAAAUAUGAUAAAGAAGUAUAAUCUUCCCCAAAGCAAAACCAAAAUCUAGGUGGACCCUAGUACAUCUAUGAUUGACUCAGUCUCAUUGGAGUAAACAGUGGUACACCAAAAGCAAAACAACAAAAUACAUUUAAGCUUGACUUCUUGUAGGUUGUUGUCCCUAUUCUCAAAACAUCUAUCAUUUCUCUCUCUCCAUGUAGUCCACCAUAUACAAGCAGGGAUCAUCCUCCAUCUUUCUUUGUUUGUAACCCCAACUCCAGCUUCCCCCCAACUGAAAAGAGUCUCCUCAAUUUUACUAGGCAUACUCCAGGAAAUGCCUCUGAGAUUUAGGAAAAUCUGUCAGAGCUUGACAGUGAAAUUGCAGUGCAGGAAAAGUUGUCUCACUGUCUCUGUAUCCUUUCCACAUAAGGAGCACCUGUUGAAUAGAGAGAUACCUCUCUUAGCCACAUUAUCCAAUGUCAAAACAGCUUCAUUGGCUAACAAUCAAGGAAAGCAUGCCACUUUAUAUGGCACUUUGACUCAACAGGUAUAUUUCCCAGGCCAUUUGAGAACUUGAUUAUCACUAACAUUUGUGUCACUAAGACUUGUCUGUUUAUACCCUUCCUUUACCCUGUAUUUACCUUUGUUGUGCCCAUGCCACCAUAAAUAAUCCUCACCAGCCUGUGUUCCAUGAAAACUCCCCAGUAGUUUGUAAAGUUCGAUUAUUCUAUGAAUUUCCCAGUCAUUUAGAUUUCUUCUUAGGACCAAAUUCCAUCCUUGUUGCGACCACAUAUCAGCAAUUGUGUUCUGUUGAUGUUGAGCCAAAACAAAGAUGUCAGGAAAAAGAUCUUUGAAUCCAUUUGUCAGCCCAAAAAAUAGUUUUUCUACCAUUUAGAAUCUUGACAAUUACUGAUUAUUGAGGAAAGACCAGAAGAUUCUGAUUGACUUCCAAAGGCUAACACCAUGUGGAGCAUUUACCUCUUUAGUCGUCCAUUUGUUCAGUUCCUCAUACUUGCUCUUGAUCACCCUACACCAAAGUGUUUGAUUCUCCUGAUGAUAUUAGGGUCAGUCUACCUCCCAAAGAUAGAUAUUGGGAUCUCCAUCUAGCUAAUUUCUUUUCACACUUCUCCAAAAUUGGGUUUCAAAUUUUUAUGGAUCUUGAUUUUACACCCAAAGGCAUGCCCAGUAUUCUGAUGGCAACUUUCCCACUACUCCUCCCAAAAUCCGAGAAAGAUGAUCCAUCUCUGGAACCAUAUUAAUUGGGUACAAGUGACUUUUGUUCUAAUUUAUACAGAGCCCAGAUAUGGCUUCAAAGUAAACCAGUAUAAGUCUUAAGAUCAUCAGUUGCUCCUCCUCAGCCCCACAAAAAAUUAGUGUAUCACCAGCAUACUGCAGAUGUGUGAUUUCCACACUGUUUCCGGCUACCUUGCUAACUUAAAAUCCCUAGAUUCUUCCUGCUUCCUUGCCUAUAUUUAGCAUGUUAUUUAGCCCUUCCAUAGCUAUGAUGAACAAGAAGGGAGAUAGGGGGUCUCCCAGCCUAAUCCCUCGGUGUGCAUUGAAAAAACCUUCAGCUGAACCAUUGAUAAGCACAGAAAACUUCACAGUUGACAUACAAAACUUGAUCCACCCAAUCCAUCUCUCACCAAACCCCAUUUGUCUCAACAUACUUAGAAUGAAAUCCCAAUUCACGUGGUCAUAUGCUUUCUCGAUAUCAAGUUUGCAUAAUAUACCAGGUUUACUUUGGGACAUUCUAGAAUCAAUUGCUUCAUUAGCAAGAAGCACUGCAUCCAUUAUUUGUCUGCCUCAGAUAAAAGCCAUUUGCUGCUUGUCUAACAACUUAUCCACAACUUUCUUCAGCCUUUCUGUCAGUACCUUGGAGAUAAACUUGUAAAAGCUUCCAAUUAAACUGAUGGGUCUGAAGUCUUUGAGCUCCUUUGCUCCUAUCUUCGUAGGAAUCAAUGCUAUGUAUGUUGCAUUAUAGCUUUAUUCAAACAUCCCAGAUGAAUGGAAAUUGUGAAAAAAGUUCAUAAUGUCUUGUUUAAUUAUCUCCCAGCAUGUUAGAUAGAACCCCAUUGUGUAACCAUCAGAGCCAGAGGCUUUGUCAAUAGCACACAUCUUUAAGCACUCAAAAACUUCUUGCUCUUCAAAUGCUGCCUGCAGUGCCUCGUUCUCAUCCUCAGUGAUGGUAGGAUGAUUGCUAAUAUUUUAAGAAGGUCUCCAGUCUUCAGGUUCUGUAUAUAACUUCUUGUAGAAGGAAAUGACUUCCUCCUUAGCAGAUUGAUGGAAAAACUUUGUAUUUCUAUCCCCUUCCUUGAGCCAUAAGGCCCUUGAUCUUUGUCUCCAGGCCACUUCUUAGUGUUGCUUUCUUGGCGAUUUCCUCCUCUGUCAAGGCUCAAAUAUUCAACUAAGAUUCUAGCAUAGCCAUUUGAUUGAGAAAAUUGUUCUUGUCUACUCCAUUCUUUCAAUUUCCCUUUGAGAGCUUUGAGUUUACAUGCUAAGAUGUAGUCUGGCUUCCCAUAAAAUUCAAAUUCACUCCACCAAUUCUUGACUCUUUCAGCAAAACUUCUUGAUUCAGCCACCAAUUUACAAACUUGAAGUAGGAAUUAGAUUGCUCCCAAUGUCCACAAAGCAGAGCUAUUGGGACAUGAUCAGAGGUCACUCUUUGCAGUGUAGUCUGUUUUAGAUUAUUGAAGAGAUUAUUCCAUUCUGUGGAAACCAUUACCCUGUCUAUUCUUGAUGCAGUUGUAUGAUUAUCCCCUCUAUACUAGGUAUACUUUCCACCACUUAGUUGUAGAUCAAUUAGGUCCAGGUCCUCAAUGCAAUCUGAAAACUCCCUCAUUGCUGAAUUUCUCCUGCUCCAAUCCUUCUUUUCAGAGGGAAAUCUACAUACGUUGAAGUCACUACAAAUAGCCCAUGGCCCAUCAAACAAGUCUCUUACAUCAGCCAAUUCCUCUCAUACAAGCCUCCUCUCUACUUUACUAUUAGGAGCAUACACACCAGUUAUAUGACAUUCAAAAUUGCUCAACUUAGCCUUAAAUUGGCAAGAAAGAGUAUAAGCUCCAACUUGUAAGAUUUCCCCUUCCCAAAUUCUAGAAUCCCAAAGCAGUAAGAUUCCUCCUCUGGUUCCACUGGCCUCCAAACAUGCAUACGUGAUCCAUCUCCCUGCCCAAAUUUGCUUAAUUAUCUAAUGUACAUUGCCUUCUAAUUUGAUUUCCUGGAGACAGACUAUGUCUGCUUUCCAUUCCUGAAGCAGACUUCAUACCACUCUCCUCUUCCUCUGUUCUUUCAACCCCCUAACAUUCCAUGAGAUCAAUUUGAUCUUCAGGGAUUAUUCUGUGAGUUCCCUUUCCCCUUCCCUCUAUCACCAUUGCUUUUGAAUUUAACGUCAAAAAAAAUUAGAUUCUUUUAACUCUUGUGCUCCUCUAUUUUUUGUUCUUCUAACUACUCCCAAUUGCUCCAUUCUUCUUGCAUGCCUGCUUACAUCCACUUGCCUUAGGAGUUCAAGUGUUUCUUCUUCCAAUCCCUGAAAUCCACCCCAAACAUCUUAUGAAGUUUAAGCAAAUUUUGUUGAACCCACACUGUAACUUUUCUCUCCAUUUCAAUGAGAGCUUCUUGUUGCCACGUACAAAGAGGUUCGAUCUCCCGUACAUCCCAUAAUUCUCCACAAUUUACCAGCCCUAUUAUUUCUUGUCUGAACUCUAUGUCACCCGUGAUGAUCUUCCCUUGUCCUUUAUCUUCACUCUCUUCACUAUUUGCUGCACACAAUUGUUCAAGUUCUUUUUCCCCACCUUCUUCAAUUUGUAAUUAUUCAUCAAUAGCUGUCAGGGCAGCUUCUUUUGUUUUCUGAUCACUUCGCACAUAAUCAAAAGAGAAAAUCACAACUGUUUCAUCCACUAUAACCUCCUAGAGGAAAUCUUCAACGGGUUGUUGGUUAAAAUUAUUAGCAAUAAUCUUUGCUUGGUCCAGCCCAACCGAUUUUAAGGCCCAUUUGUUGUUUAAACUAUGUACCUACCCAUCACGUGCUCCUGCAGUUACUUUUAAACAAUCUCCAACUGUCCCCACAUAUGUCUCCCCUGUUCCAUCACCAUCAACAUGGAGUCUCGGGUAUAGAGGAUGAAGUCUCUGUUAUCCAAUGGUUCUUCAUUUGGGUUUUCUCAACUUUUCCGGCAACUGGGCCUUUUUUCUCCGGCGACAACUCGAAUCUUGUUUUCCUUUCUACCCAUAUCGGAAUAAUAAAGUUAACUCCAUCUCUGGAGAUGUUAACUUCUGUUGGCAUGUUCCAAACAUCCCCUCGAGUCUCGAUCCUAGCCCAUUUUUGAUAGUUUCUUAGUUUUGUUUCCUCCUCCGUAGCCAGCCACCCGCCACAGAGUUCUCCGAUUUCGCGACAAAUCUCUUCUGACCAGAGGUGCAUUGGUAGACCCAAAGCCCUAAUCCAGAUAGAUUUGGGUUAGUGAUUGAUAGGCACGCAGCCUGCAGCAGGGUUCCACAAUUCUAAUUUGAGUCUGCUUUUCUUCCACUGCCAUUCUCCCUGUAAAACUUGUUCCGCCAUGUAUCUAUUUGGAAACUCAAAGAGUAAACAGUUGUCCAACAUCUCAUAGACAUUAAUCCCAAACGCCUUCUUCCACAUCGUCGAGGACCAUCGUCUAACUACUGAGAGGGUGGGUGUUUCAGCUUUUGCGUUACCAAAAGAGCCAAAACUACAUCUUCCCAGUACUCCUUGAUCUUUGAUUUUGGCUGCAACAUUGGUUUCAAUCUCUUCCCUUUGGUUGUGGCUAUCUCAGAUCUAUUGUUUUGUCAUUUGCUGGUUGUAACCGCUUUUGCAUAAAUCAUAUUUAAAACAUUUGUCUUUCAUUGUGUUUGUAUCUCCUUCUGUGGUGGAUUUUAAUGAAACUUUGAAUCUUAAAUGCCACACUUUUCCAACCAGCAUUUAUGCCUGACUCAGGUACAAUAAUAACUGCUCUAUCCUCUCUCUUCAGUGACAGGAUACUCAUAUAUCUCCCAUUAGAAUUGUAUUUCCUUGUACCAAAGAAAUCUGCCAUCUGGUCCUUGUAUCUUUAUCUUCUAACCUGAUUUUUUCGGUCUGCUGAUGCUUUUGUGAGGAUGAAGCAGAUCCAUUCCAACACCUUCUCACUAAGUGUAACCCUUCUCAUCAUAUUUCUGCUCUUUUCCACCCAGUCGUACCAUGCAACAUUGUUUGAAGUCCAUCUGGUUAUGUCAUAAGAUUUAAAACCUUGGUUGAAAUAUAUUCUAUUAUCCUCCAUAGGUUCAGAAGAGGGAAAUUUUAGUGAAACAAAAAUCAGAAGAUAUGAUGACUGGGUUGUUUGAAAGUUAAUAGGUCAAAUCCGGCAGGUCUACUGGAAAAGGUCUUGAGUAACGGCCUGAAGCUGUUGGUAAUAACCGAAAAUCAGUGUUGGUGAAGUCGGACAAGAUGAAAAACUGGCUGAAUGGUCACACGCGCCGGCGGUAGCUGGGAGAUAUGGUGGCGCGUAAGGUAGUUUCCGGCGAUAGGUUUCCUGGGGUUUGAUCGGAAUAGGGUGUUGGUGACUAUGGAGGAGAAGGAUUGAGAGAAAGAGGAAGUAAAUGGGGUAUUCCGGUGAUCAGAAGGACCACCGGAGAUGGUUUUGGUUGAAAAGGGGUCUCUUUUUUUUUCAAGUUACAUUGGGAUUAGUGUCUGGAUUUUCAAUUUUAUCAAAUCUCCAUCCAAGAUAUUUUGAACAUUCUAUUAAUAAAACGAUGGAAUGGAAGCCUUAGAGUAACUGGCAAAGUUGCUGCCUUGUGACCAGGAGUUCACGUUUUCUGGGGCGUGGAACAGCCUAUUGCAGAAAUGCAUGGUAAGGCUGCAUCCAAU
Molecule: long non-coding RNA, 193348 nt
Filed under: Capsicum annuum
Lineage: Eukaryota; Viridiplantae; Streptophyta; Magnoliopsida; Solanales; Solanaceae
Description: long non-coding RNA (CANN_LNC009069)
Source: RNAcentral